This 292140-nucleotide long non-coding RNA is filed under the name Vitis vinifera (wine grape). RNAcentral's name for it is "long non-coding RNA (VVIN_LNC002454)". The stretch from base 64533 to 64605 matches the Rfam family "tRNA". Lineage: Eukaryota; Viridiplantae; Streptophyta; Magnoliopsida; Vitales; Vitaceae. The record is from RNAcentral.
CCAAUGCACCUGUUUUCCCUCUCAUCACUGCAGAAGAUACAACUAAGCAACAACCAAUUUUCUGGUCCCUUCAGUGAAUUUGAAGUCAAGUCUUUUUCUGUAUUGGACACCCUUGAUUUGAGUAGCAACAAUCUGGAAGGGCCAAUACCUGUAUCCCUCUUUGAUCUCCAGCAUCUUAACAUCCUUGACCUUUCUUUCAACAAAUUCAAUGGUACUGUUGAACUAAGCAGCUAUCAGAAACUUAGGAAUCUUUUCACUCUUAGUCUUUCGUACAACAACUUGUCCAUCAAUGCAAGUGUUCGUAAUCCCACUUUGCCUCUGCUGUCGAAUCUUACCACAUUAAAAUUGGCUUCUUGCAAGCUCAGAACAUUACCUGAUCUUAGCACCCAGUCAGGAUUGACAUAUUUAGACCUUUCCGAUAACCAAAUUCAUGGAACCAUACCUAAUUGGAUUUGGAAGAUUGGUAAUGGAUCUCUUAUGCAUUUGAAUCUCUCUCAUAAUUUACUGGAGGAUCUGCAGGAACCUUUCUCUAAUUUUACUCCUGAUCUGUCCUCCCUUGACCUACAUUCCAACCAGCUCCAUGGCCAAAUCCCAACUCCUCCCCAAUUUUCCAGCUAUGUGGAUUACUCAAACAACAGUUUCAACUCUUCCAUCCCAGAUGAUAUUGGUAUUUACAUGUCCUUCGCUCUUUUCUUCUCUCUUUCGAAGAAUAACAUCACUGGAAGUAUUCCUAGAUCCAUCUGCAAUGCAACUUACCUGCGAGUUCUUGAUUUUUCUGACAACACUUUGAGUGGCAAAAUACCCUCAUGCUUAAUUGAGAACGGGAAUCUUGCGGUGCUGAAUCUAAGGAGAAACAAGUUUAGUGGCGCUAUACUUUGGGAAUUUCCAGGUGAGUGUCUUUUACAGACCCUAGAUCUCAAUAGAAAUCUUUUACGAGGAAAAAUUCCGGAGUCUCUGGGCAAUUGCAAAGCCUUGGAGGUUUUAAAUCUUGGGAACAAUCGGAUGAAUGAUAACUUUCCUUGCUGGUUGAAGAACAUAAGCAGUUUGCGUGUUCUUGUUCUGCGAGCCAACAAAUUCCAUGGACCCAUUGGAUGUCCCAAGAGUAAUUUUGAAGGGGAUAUACCAGAAGUAAUGGGGAACUUCACAUCACUCAAUGUUCUCAACUUAUCGCAUAAUGGUUUCACAGGCCAAAUCCCAUCGUCAAUAGGGAAUCUGCGACAACUUGAGUCAUUAGACCUCUCGCGAAACUGGCUGAGUGGAGAGAUACCUACACAACUUGCCAACCUAAAUUUCCUUUCAGUCCUGAACCUCUCCUUCAAUCAAUUGGUGGGAAGCAUCCCUACGGGCAAUCAAUUGCAAACAUUUUCAGAAAAUUCCUUCCUGGGUAACAGAGGAUUAUGCGGCUUCCCCCUAAAUGCAAGUUGCAAAGAUGGUACACCACAGACGUUUGAUGACAGGCACUCAGGUUCCAGGAUGGAGAUUAAGUGGAAAUACAUAGCUCCUGAAAUUGGAUUUGUGACAGGGUUAGGAGUCGUGAUCUGGCCUCUCGUGUUAUGUAGGAGAUGGAGGAAAUACUACUACAAACAUGUUGAUGGAAUUCUUUCAAGGAUUCUCCUUGGGCAAGACCAAGGAAGAGCAAAUGGUGGAAGAAGAGCUCACAGAAUUCGGCGGCGGAGAAUGUAGCAGUGGUGAAGAGGGAUGUGGCUACUAGUAAAAGCGUCAUUCCGUGUGUUAAAUGUAAUUCUGGCUUGCUUUUUCAUAAAACAAUCAUAGGAAUUAGAUUUUCAAAGUAAUAUUACUCUUACCUUUUAGUGAUGCAAAUAUUAAGGUCUCUAAAAUAUUAUAUAUUUUAAUAGUUUUAUUUAAAAAAUUUAUAUAUUAAAUAGAAAAUAUAUUUUCCACCCAUGUGCAGAAAAGCUUUUUAUUCACAACUCUAGUGUAUAACCAUGUUAACCCUACCCAAAUUAAAAUUCAAACUUGGGAGAUUCUGGGAGUCACUCAAGCUGGGCUGGAGCAUGGGUUAAGAUGUGUUGGCUGGAUGCGGGCCCAAGUUGGGUUAGGUUAAACUUCGUUGCCUGGAUUUCGGUCAUUCAAAAAUAUGGGCCUGAUUGUUACAAACGAAAGCCAACUGAGAUGGCUAGGUCCAUAUUCAGCCCAAUCAACACUUCCAAAGCCAUAAGGGAUUUAAGAUUGAUAAAUAAGGAGUUGGGUGGCUGCCCAUCUCCACCAUUUAUCAUUUCCAAGAAUCAUUAAACAAUGAUGAGAGUCUGAGAUUUUUUGAAGUAGACAAUGAAUCAAUAUAACCUUCUAUUUUUUAGAUCUUAAUGGAAUUUGAAAACUACUCAUAUUUUUAUGCAAACCAAAAACUUGAAAAAUAAAACCCAAAACCAUCUUCCAAUUGAUCAAAAUCCAUGCCCAAUCUUAUAAAAAUGAAAAAAUAAAUUACUAUUUUUUUUUUAUCUUAUACAUUCACAAUUUAGAUUUAUUUUCAUGUUUUCAUAUGAAAAAGACUAAGAAUGUUAGGUCCUCACAUGAUAAACCUAAUUUUAUAUUUUGUAUAAUCAAUAUAAUCCAAAUUAGACUUAUAUAUAUAUAAAAUAAAAGUUAUAAAAAAAUAAAUGAUUUUAAUGUAACAUUUUUUUAUUUUUUUUUAUAAUUUAAUUUUUAUUUUAUUAUAAGUUAUUAAGGAUAGUGUAAGAUAUUGACAUUAAAAUCAAAUACCUAUAGAUAACGAUAUAAGGUGGUUUUAUGGAAUGUAUAAGAUUAGGAAAUUAGAAUUUACUAAAAGUUUUAUAAAAAUCUUUAUAAAGGAUUAAUUUUUAAAAAUUUAAAUUUAUUGUAUUAUAUAGUUAAUAUUAGGAUUUUUUUUCUAAAAAAUAUCCAUAUGAAAUACCUAUUAAAAAAAAUUAAGUAGAUAGAUGAUUUUAUAGAAAACAUGAGAUUGCUAAAACAUUAUACGGUCAAAGUAUUAAAAAACAAUUUUUUUUUUCUUUUUAUCAACUUUAAGUGAUCUAUAAAUUUUCCUAUGUCUUUAAAAAAUCAAUUAGAAAAAAUAUGAAAAAAAAGAGAAGAAUUGAAAUAAAUAUAUUUAUAAAUUUCAUUAUCUUAUAAAUUUAUAUAUGAAUUAUAAUAAGAUAUAAUACUAUCAAAAAUUAAAGUAAAUUACUUUUAAAAGUUUGUUAUCCUUUACAAUCACAAUUUAGAUUUUAAUACGAAGAAGACUAAUAGUGCAUUUUAUUGGGGAUGAAUUAUUUUCAUCUCCAAUAUUGAGUUUUUACAACAAAACAAUUUCUUUUUCAAUAAAUUUCUUUAUUCCUCCAUCUAAUAGUAUUAGGACAAUAAUUUUGUCCCUCAUUGUGAGGUUUUUCCUCUCCAAACUAUUUAACAAUAAAAUAAUUUUUGUUGUCCAUUAUUUACCUUUUGGGACAACAUUAAGUUUUCAUCUCCCAAUAUAUUUUCUACCACAAAAUAAUUUAGGCUCAAUUCAAUUUCAAUUAAAAUUUUAGAAACAAAUUUUUGUGACAAAAUCAAAUUUUAUCUCCCAAAAUCAUCUUUGGAGAUAAAAUCAUAUUCAUGCCCAAAAAAAUUGUGCCAAAAGGUAGAAUUUCUUGUAGUGGUUUUUCCCGUGCUUUUUGUUUGUUUGUUUUUUUAUUAUCCUUUCAGUUGUGAAUCACUCUUCUUCUAUUAUAUUAUUAUUUUAAAAGAAGUGUCGGCAUCUUUUUGUUCAUAAAAUCUUUUACUUAUGUAAUAUCCUUCUAAAACAAAACAAUAUAUAAUAAAUAACAUUUCAGGUGUGCUUAUUUGGUUUUCUUUCUUAUAGAGACAUGUUGAAAGGUCUUUGUUUUACUGGCGGGUGCUUUGGUCACCUGAAUUAUGGGAAUCUCGUCUUACCUUAUCACCAAUGUAGUGCCUAGCAUCACUAGAAGCGUACGUUGUGCGAAAGACGGUACAAUUCGCUGGUAUACAUGUAAUAUUUAGAUGACUUUUAUUGGUUCAUUAAUGUGGCAAGAAAGAAAUAAUUUGUAUUAAUAUUGAUUGCAUUAGUAUUUAUGUAAUAUUUAGAUUUUUUUUUAAAUAAAAACAUAAAUUAGUAUUAUGCAUUUAUAAUUUUAAAAAAUUUCAAAAUGAUUAAGGAGUUUACCAUAUGAAUGAAUAAAAAUAUAGAAAUCAAAUAUAGUUUGAUAUCUUUACAAAUAGUCUUUAUUUAAAAAUAUUAAAACGUUAUAUAUAUAUAUAUAUAAAUUUUAAUGAAGUGUGAAUCUAAAAAUUGUUUAUAUAUUUAUAAUAUCAACUUAAUUGAAGAAAACAAUCGAUUUAUAAAAAGAAAAAAAAACAAUAACUUUCAAACAAAUUUUUUGUUUUAUUUGUUCUAAAAACUAUUUUUACUAAUUCAAUCAAAUAUGUUUUUUUAAGAACAAAAACUGUUUUUAAAAAUUCAAUUCCUAAAAGCAAUUUUAUUUUUAAAUACAUCAAAAUCUAUUCUAAAAUAAAAAAUAUUCUCAAAAAUUAUUUUCUAGAACUAUUUCCAAAAACACUUUCCAAAUAUGCCCUAAAUAUUCACAAGAUCACAUCAAUAUAGCUCACAAAAAAAUAAUGACCAAAAUAUUCAAGAAAUGAUCCACAUCAACACAUGAAAAAUAGGUACUCACUACCACGGUCUAAUAUCAAUAAAAUAUUUAAUGUCAACAACAUAUCCUUCUCUCCAUUUUUGUCCUAGAAAAGACAAAGGGCCAUUCACCAACUAAAUAUCUAAUAUUCAAACCAAAACAAGUAUGCUCAAUAAAUUCUCCAAUAUCCAAAAAUCAAGUAUUCACAUAUAAACAAGUAUUUACAUUAGCAUCCAAAAAAUUAAUAUGAAACAAGAAUCUCACUCCCACCACAUGGUUUCAACCCAGAACCUUUAGAAAGCUCUCUAUCAUCAUAUAAAUAGAUUCUAAGCUACAAAGAUCUAGCAUGGUUGAAUGCACUCAUAAUAAGCUAGAUCUAACAUAGUUAAGAAUAAAAAAAAAUGAGGAACUCCCCAAGGUAAGAAGAUAUCCUUGUUAGGAUAAAGUCCUUAAAAGAAUGACAUGAUGUAAUAAACUCUUGGAUUUUAUUAUUUAUUGAAUAAAGUUCCAGUUCACUUUUAUUUAUCCUAUUUCCAUGCAUGAUAUUUUGUAAGCACUCUCGCCUGUAUAUUUUUCAUUGUACGUGACUUGGGUGCAUUAAGAGUUGCACGGAAAAUCCAAGUCAUAGGUUUCUUGUAAAUAGAUGACUUGUUUAAAGUCGAUUGAUGGGUUUAGGCGACCCAUUAGAGGUUGUAGUGUACCAUAUCCUAAUUUGAGAGAUGACUGGUCUUGACUAUUGGGAUGAGUUUCCCAUGGUGAGUGUACUAGUGUAUAUGGUUACACAUUAAACAAGACCUAUGGUGAGUCAUGACUUAAGACUAUCAAGUAGUUAUGACUUCACAAAACUACUUCAUUGUGUUGUCUCUCAACCUUGAGAGAAUAUUGAGCUUGUGUUGAAGUUAGUAAUGGCUUUGACCUAUGAGUGAGAUCGUAAGUUGAUUAUAUAUUCCAUAUGAAUUGGGUCAUUAUUGAUGGAAGCCGGUAGUAAUAGGUAUUUUCAAUAGAGACAUUUUUUUUUAUUGAGAAUUAAACUAAUAAAUAGGAACAAUUAAACUAACAAAUUAAAACCACAAACACGUCUAAACAUAAAAGAUAGAUCAAAACUAAACUAAAUCGGAAUUAAAAACAAGAGCUUUUCUAAUAUGAAUAAUUAAACUAACAAAUUAAAAUCACAAACAAAUCUAAACAUAAAAGAUAGAUUGAAAUUGAACUAAAUUGAAAUUAAAAAUCAGAACUUUUCUUAUAGAAAUAAUUAAACUAAUGAAUUAAAAUUGUAAACACGUCUAAACAUAAAAGAUAAAUUAAAACUAAAUCAAAUUGGAAUUAAAAAAUAAACUUUAAUACUUAGAAACCAUUAGAUUAACAAACUAAAAUAAUAAAAAACACCUAAACUAAACAAAUAGAUUAAAACUAAAUUUAAGCAAAUUAAAGUUAUGAACUUGAUCACAUGAAUUAAAAAUAGAACUAAACUAAAAUCUAAACUUUCAUUAUCUUUGCAUGAAUUAAAAAAAUAAACUAAAAUUUAAGCUUUCAAUAUCUCACAUGAAUUAAAAAAAAAAAAAAAGAACCGACUAAGAUUUAAGCUUCCUUAAUUUAAUAUGAAUCAAAAUCAGGGCUAAACAAAAAAUUAAGCUUUUUUAGUUAAAUAUAAAUUAAAAGAAAAUUAACUUACCUUUUCCGAAGAUGAGUGUGAGUUGCGACGUGAUUUUUCAAAGUGCAGGCCUAUGUGUGGUGAUGCAAGAAUGGGUUGUGCAUGCUUUCUGAUGUUAAGAUGUAGCUGUUUUUUUUCUUCAAAAAAUAAAAUAAAAUUGGGUGUUGUUCUUUAAAAAAUGACAAAAUCCCAUGAUCCCCUUUGAUUCCCCCCUUGUGUAGUCUUCUAUUGCCUCCCUUUUAUCUCCUAGUGCCCACAUUUCUUUUAACUCUCCCAAACCAAAAUAUCCUUUUUUUCAAACUUCAUUUUCAAAAUUUAAAAUUUAUCCUCUCUAAUUUCAAAAAGAAAAAAAAAAAAACCAUUUUCCAAUCUAAAACUUAAUAUCCCAUUCUUAAAAAAUAUUCAAGUGUCAACCAUUUCGUUUAAAAAAUAUCUUGAUUUUCCGAUUUAAAAUUAAUCUUUUUUUUUUUUUUUGUUCUUUUUAAAUUCCGAUUUUUCAAUUUUUUUUUAAAAACUAAAUGUCAUUUAAAAAAAAUUAUGAUGUCAUUUUUAAACUUAAUUUCAAACUUAUCCCCUCUCUUUUAGAUAAACAAAUCUAUUUUCCAAUUUAAAACUUAAUCUCUCACUUUUUUUUAAAAAAAAAAAUCUGAUUUUCCAAUUUAAAAAAACUAAAUCUCCUUUUUUUUUAAAAAAAAAAAUUAUGAUGUCAACCCUUUCUUUUCCAUUGGUAAGUUUCCUUGCAAAAAAUCAAAUUUAUUAAAUGAAUAAAUAAAUUAGAAAACAAUAAAACAAUAAUAAAUAAAUAAGUUAAUUCAAAAAAUAAUAAAAAAAGAAGAUAAUAAAUAAAUAAAAAUAAACAAGUGAUUGAUAAUAAUAAUAAUAAAAAUAAAUAGAUAAAAAAUGAGCCACGCAAGGCAUGAAACCAUGCAAGUCAUACAAAUUAAGCAAAGAAUGCCUAAAAGGUGACCUAAGUGUACUUAAUAUGGGCCUAGGUGAACCUAAGUGUGCCUAGAUGAACCUAGGUGAAUCUAAGUGGGCCUAGGUGAAUCUAGAUGGGCCUAAAUGGGCCUAGGUGAGGUAGAUGAGCCAGGUGGGCCUAGGUGGGCCAAGUGAACCUAGAUGUGCCACAUAUGCCUAAGUGAACCUAAGUGGCCUAAAGGUGCUCGGGUGACCUAAAAAGGCCAAGGUGAUCUAAAUGGGCCAAAUGUGCCUAAGUGGGCCUAAGUGACCUAGGGGGCCUAAUGAGUCUCAAUGGGCCUAGGGGUGUCCAAAUGGUCCUAGGUGGGCAUGGUAUGCCUAAAAGGGUCUAGGUGAACCUAGAUGGGCCUAGGGGUGCCUAAAUAGGCUAGGACAUGCCUAAGUGGGCCUAAGUAACAUAAAUGGGCCUAGGUGAACCUAGAUGGGCCUAAAGUGGUGCUUAAUAGGGCCAAGUGUGCCUAAAUUGGCCUAGGUGAGCCUAAGUGGGCCUAGUGUCACGGACUUAGUCGUUCACUAAGCUCAUGCGGCACUUAGGCAAGUCAAGACGCUUGAUCUUGCUAAGUCAGCCUUGCUCCCAAUGCUUAGCUUGCUAGGCUAAGAUGCUCAUGACUCGAAAGCUUAAGAAGCUUAGUAGGCAACUCUUAGAGAAUGGAAGCUCUUAUUACUCAUGGAAGCUCUUAUUACUCAAGGAAGCCUUUACAAGUGCUUUGAAGACUCACUUGCUUGGUUAGAAAGUGAUUUGGGUGGUGUCUUGGCCAAAUGAGGGCCUCACCUAUUUAUAGGUACCAAUGGAACUCUCUGGAACCUUGGAGGGUUCCUUACAAAUCAAGAAUAUUCUAGAACUCCCUACACUAAUCUAUGUACAACCCUAUGUACAAGAAUAUACAAGAGAUCUCUAGAAUUCUCUAGAAAGCCUUGGACUUCUCUCAUGCCUUCCACCAUAGUGUAGAGAUGUGUAGACAUCUCUAGGCAUCUCUAGAACCUUCCACACUCUUCCAACCAAUGUCUUAGUGUAGAUGGCUCCAAGAGUCUCUAGAAGCUUUCCUCCUCCUAUAUAAGCCCAUUGGGAGGGUCAUUUGAAGCAUCUUGUGACACUAGGGUGUCUAAAUGAGCCUAGGUAGACCUAAAAGGCAUCUAAGUGACCUAAGGUGAUCAGGACAACGCCUAAGUGACCUAGAGUGAUAAGGAUAAUGCCUAAGAGACCUAGAGUGAUAAAGAUAGUGCCUAAGUGACCUAGGGUGAUCAGCACAAUUCCUAAGUUACUUAGGAAAAUUGGGAAAGUGCUAAAUGACUUAAACAUGCCUAAGUUUGCUAUCUUAAAAGUGUACUGUAGACCCUCAAUUUUGUCCCUUUAGUACAUGUCUUUAAGUUCGUUUUCAGUGCUUCAAAAUAGUUCCUUGGUGGCCCAUUACUACUCGUACGACUUACCUUUUUCUGAGUCACCUCGGAGACUUUGGUUGAGGGAUUAUUUGAUCCCAUAUUGUGACCCUUGGCAGCCCUAACUUAGACUUAGGUUUUUCUUGUUUUUUUUUUUUUAGGAUAGCUUUUAGAUACACUUGGCCCAUUAGGACACACUCUAGGUCACCUUUAGAUGUUUUUGCAUGGUUUGCAUGGUUGCAUGGCUCGUGUUUUUGCAUGGUUGCAUGACUCAUAUUCUUUUGGUGGUUACAUAGCUCGUAUGGCUUGCAUGUGGUUGAUUUUUUUUAUUUUUGUUUUUAAUUAUUUUUAUUUUUUAUUUUUAUUUAUUUAUUUUAUUUUUUAGAUGUGUGAUUUAAAUUUCUUUUGAUUUUCAAUUUCAUGAUAUUUAUUGAUUUUAAUCUUUAUUCUAUUUUGUCUUUAUUUUAUUCUUAUUUCUAUUUGUAUCUUUGUUUAUUUAUUUAUUUAUUUAUUUUUUGGGCAUGAGGAAACGGACCGCCAUUUAUUUGGAAGGAAAAUCAACAGAAUUUUGAAAAGAGGAGAUUUUAUUUUUAGAGGGACAACACAUAUACUUCUUCCAUAGGGGGAUCGGCUACAAGAAGGAAAGAAAAGAAAGAAAGGAAAGAAAGGAGAAAAGGAAGUAGGAUUUUCCUUUUCAGCAAGAUGGUUUCUUUUUGAAAAGUGGGACUGGCAGCACGCAUAGAAAAAGGGAUUUUUUUUUAAGAAAACCAGGGGCACGCAUUGGAGAAAACGGUUGAAGAGGAGAAGAAGAAGGAAGCACAAGAAAACCAGUGGAGAUUUUCUGAGGAUAGAAACCAGUGCAGAUUUUUUUUAUUUGUCAGAAGUAAGCAUUCCCAGGGGGGGGGAUUCUUUGGAUUGCUUUGGGUGAGAAGAACAGGGACUAAGGUACACGAGUUUCUAAAGGAUUUGGGAGAAGGAAUCAUAUCUAGAAGAAAGGAAUUGAGUCAAAGCUGCCGGGUAUGCUUCUUGCUACUUUUUUAUUCCCGUUUACAUUCAAUACUCCAUGAUCCUCUGACCAUUUUUGAAUAUUCAAUCUUUGCUGAUUGGUGUGGACGGUAGGUCCACAAUUAGUUCUAUUGAAAUUGGUUGUUUCUUUGUUUAUUUAAGACUUUCGUUCUUUUCAAUGUCAUUAAUUUCUUAUGAGAAUAAUAUGCAUUUGGGUCAGUCCUUGAUUCUGAUGAUGGAAAUCCUACCUUGUUCACGUUGAAAAUCUGUUUUAAAUCACUCCUCUAUUCUAAGCCAAUGGAUUGAAAUAUGAAAUUGUGGCUUUUCUUGGUUAUUUUCCUCUUCUUUCUGUGUUUCUUUUUUUUGUUAUUUUCUUCUAUUUCUGGCCCACACCUCAACCAGCCCUAUUCCCGAUCUUCAAGAUUUAUUAACGUUGAUUCAAAAAUUUUUGGAACUAUGGAAGAGAAUUUAGGAAAUAAAGAGGUUCUUGAGAACUGUUCUAGUGAGCUCGCUUUCUGCUAGCCGUCUGCAUGGGGAUGUUGUAAUUGGGGAGCUUUUGGCUAAAUGGCUUCUGAAACUUCAGCCUGUGACUACUUCUCCUUAUGUGUUAUUAUCAAACUUGUAUGCUUCAGAUAGGAAGUGGGCAAAUUUAAAGAACCUGUCAUCAGCAGGCAACAGUUUCUUUGGCCCAACUACAGACUCAACUUCGAGGUUAGAAUCAAUCCAGUCUUUAGAUUUCAGUUGCAAAUCCUUUUCUGGUGAUAUGGCAGCAUCAUUGACUGUUGAGUCUGAUAUGGAAUACAAUUGGAAUGCCAACAUUGAGAUAUUUGGAAGAAGAGGUCCUGCUCCCGGAGUUAGACUUGGUGGGGUGCUUGGCGACUCACUUACCAGAGUUGCAAGAAAGCAAGCAGAUGCACUUUUGUUUGCAGAGGCCAGGAAACAGAGUCUUGAUUCUUUGAAAAGAGAAGAUGGCAUUUUUGCUAUAGAAGGAAAAGAUUACAGCUCAAGUUACUAGAAGUGGACAGAGGCAAAAGAUAUCAGUAUAUGAUCUAAUUCCAGGUGAUAUUGUUCAUCUUUCCAUUGGAGAUCAGGUCCCAGCUGAUAGACUUUUUGUUUUAGGAUUUUUCUUUGUCGAUAAAUGAGUCCAGUUUGACAGGAGAAAGUGAGACGGUUCAUAUGAAUUCUGAGAAUCCUUUUUCUCUUGUUCGGAACUAAAAUUCAGGAUAGGUCAUGCAAAAUGCUUGUGACUACUGUUGGGAUGAGAACCCAAUGGGGUAAAUUGAUGGCAACUCUUAUGAAGGAUGAUAAGCCUACUGCAUCAAACUAUCUGUCCAUAGCUGCACUGCCAGUGGGAGAGACAAGGAAGGAGAUGGAUUUAAUACUUCAAAAACGGAGCAUUUAGAAGUUCGGAUGGAUCUUACAGAUGACUUAUUGCACAUGGUUUCCUUUUCUUGGACUAUAUUAAUCUUCGUCGAGCUGCUACAGUCUGUAAGUAGUGGCGAGCUGGUAGUUCUCAUGAAGACUUCUGGAGGUGUCUGAAUCUCGAAAAUUAGAACAUAUCUGAAGAACAGUUUGAGGAUAUGUGCCGUAGAUAUCCGAAUGCCACUGAAGUGAAUAUUUUUUUUGGUGCUCCUUCAAUUCACUCGCUGGUUAUGACAGCAAUAUCUUCUUUAAGGAAUCUGGAGAUCUUAACCUUGGGGAAAGGAACAUCAGGUGAUGCAAUUUUAUUUUAUUUUUAGCCUUGGCUGAUUGUUAUAUACUAAAGAGACUUGAAGCAGUUGAAUUCUCGAAUGCCCUGUACAAGAGCUUUUUGGACGAAGACCUGAUUUGACCAGAGAAGCUUUACUCCAGGACAUGUUUUCAAAUGCAAAAAGACCACAGCAAGACGAUUGCAUCUGGCCAAAGAGUUGCUUACUUUUCUUGUUGAAGCUCUAAAGUCUUUUGCUGAGACCAAAGAAGGGACUUCUGAAAAGGUGCUCCAGUUCUGUGGAGAAAGUGCAGAUCCUAAUGUCCAAACCUCUCAGUUUGUUUCCAUGAGAUGAAGGAAGAGGUGCAAGUCAAGAUUUAGUCUUGCUGCAAUUUCUGAUGUCGAAACUGCCAAUAAUUCUGCCAGCCUACAGAAAAUUCCAAUAUCUGUUUUGAAUAUUGAUGAAAAAUACAUUGCAUCAAGGUUUUGCUGUAAUCUGGAGAAGUCAUUAUCACCAUUAUUUAAGGAUGCAGCAUACAGAGAUUUUGACCUCAAUUUAUCACUCAAUUGGCAAGAGAUCGUAAGUGCCUUUGAUAACUGAUCAGUGGCUGUUUGAGGCGCCAAGUAUGUGACUAAUGAUUAUGUAUCAAUGACAGAACUGACUUCAUAGGCUACCUACAGAAUUUAACAAAGAAAAGAAAGUCGGGAGAGAAAUCUGAUGUUGAAUUCAAUGGCAAGUCCAAAGGAAUUCAGUGGCUGUUUAAGAUGACUUUUAUGGAUGAGUUCAGUAGAGAAUUGAAAAGAAUUCAAGUGGUUGCAUAUGUGGGUGAGACUCAAUUGCGUUAACGGGUACUCUUGAUGGCAGAAAUUCGAAGGGAAUGGGGAAAGCUCAUUAACACAUUGGGGAUCUGCACAUGUUCUGGCUGCUUAACUUGAUGAUCAGUUUUAUGGUGACAUUAUGAAGAAUCUAAUUGAAACAGUGGAGGAUCUUGUCAGAUGGGGGAUUUAUACAGGGCGUUUUGGACAUCAUAACAACAGGGGUUGCAGAUUAUGUAGUUAGAAGUGUCAUGGCCUGUGACAGUUCUGUUUUAACGCCAUGAUAGAGAAGAAGAUCCUUUUAGUUGUGAAUGUGGGAGCAUUGGAUAUGGUGAAUUCUGAAGCCAAGAUUACCAUACUUUCUCAUUUACUGAACAGAAAUAUUCAUGUACACAAUGAGCAAGUAUCUCUUAUUCGAACAUAUAUGUAAAAAGUCCAAAAGCUUCAAUGUUUUGACCAAAUCAAAUGCUUUUGUUUCUCCAUCAUCAGAGGCGUUGACUCUUAGAAGAAGGCGCACUCAUGAACAGCAGCUUGAAUUCCAUGUCACAGAGGUUUUGGAAGAGGCUCGAAUCAUUGAGGCUAAGCACAAAAGAUUGUUGGAUUAUCUGCUGGUGCAUUACUUUUGGAGUAUCACAUAAAAUCUCACUGGGAUUUUGUCCUAUGGAAAUCAUUAAACGGCGAUAACAAGUCAAGCUGGAGUUUAUCUGCGAGUUGAUGAACUCAUUGAAAUUGCCAAACUCCUUGGAUUGAAUUCUCAGGGUGAUGUAUCAGCUGCUGAAGUUGUUGUUGCUGGUGAUCUGCAAUUGGCAUUUGAUCUCUGCCUUAGUUUGGCAAAGAAAGGACAUGGUCCCAUUUGGGACUUAUGUGUUGUUAUGGCAAGGGGUCCUGCUCUUGAAAACAUGGGUAUAAACUCUCAAAAGCAGCUACUGGGUUUUGCCUUGAAUCAUUGUGACGAGGAAUCCAUUGAUGAACUGCUACACGCAUGUGAAAUCUAUGUUGUUGCACUGCUGGUGAUGUUGAACCGAGGGAAUAAAGAGUACAGGUUUAGGGAUUACUCCAACUGACUCCAUAAUCAUUUGGUGAAUGACAAGAACCAGGGCUGGAUCAAGAAUUGUUUGAUAGAUAUCAACAUUUGUAGUUGCCUCGGGAAAGAGAUAAAUGACGAUGUUGCUACAUUCCAUAGGAAGAAUUUGUUUCCAAUCCAGUCGAGUCACAACAAACCAACAGCCUAAUGUUCCUAACGUUGUGUAGAUCCCAUGGAAGAGGCACAUCCUGAAGAGCAUGAUGAGUUUACUGAGAAUGGUAAUGGUAAGGAAAAAGAUUCCAACAAUCCGGCAGAUGAAAGUUUUGAAGAGAUAGAAUCUGGACAAGUGGAUGGAAAAUUUGAGAGGGAUGAUCUGGGAAGGGUAAUGAAGACAAAGCUGACAUGGAUUUAGAGGCACCAAGGAAAGGUGUCUUGGGAUCUGAAAAUUCUAACUUCAUUAGUGAUCAUAUGUUCAAUGCAAAAUCUGUGACGCAAUCAAAGGAUGACAUGCAGGCUGCAAAUUCAAGAAACGUGACACCAGAAACCCUUUUUGCCUUCUCAAUUCUCAUGUUGGGUGCAAUUUCAAAGAGUAUUGCUACUUCUUUGACAUAUCUAGCAAUUAGGUGUAAGAUCAUGGUUCAAGCAGCAGAUCCAAAUGACGGUGAAGCCUAGAAAGCUCCACAGAAAUCCCACAAAAUAGUACAUGAUGUUCUCUAUGUUAUUUGGAAGAGAGAAGGUGGACCGGGGUUCUUUAAGAAAUUGCAAGCUUAGAUCCUGAAAACCGUACUAAACUCAGCAUUGCUUUUGAUGAUCAAGGAGAAAAUUGUAGCAGGCAUUUGAGUACUAAUACUUGCAGCCAUCCCCAACUAAGCAAGAGCCGGAAUUGUUAUUUCUUGUUAAUUUCUACUGUCACCCAUGAUCAAAUGAAGCCUUUAAGCUCUCUUCUAGCAAUGUCUUUGAUAUUAAAUACCCACCAGAAUCCCCAUUCAGUAACUGCUUCAAUUUGAGCUCAUGGAUCCGAGGAAAACAUGGAUAGGGAAAAUUGGUUAUGCCAGGGUCCGUAUUUCUCAAGAGCAAUCCAAGUUUGCUGGGAUUCUUCAUCCCUCAUUGGAAGUCACCAAAACUUUGAACNNNNNNNNNNNNNNNNNNNNNNNNNNNNNNNNNNNNNNNNNNNNNNNNNNNNNNNNNNNNNNNNNNNNNNNNNNNNNNNNNNNNNNNNNNNNNNNNNNNNNNNNNNNNNNNNNNNNNNNNNNNNNNNNNNNNNNNNNNNNNNNNNNNNNNNNNNNNNNNNNNNNNNNNNNNNNNNNNNNNNNNNNNNNNNNNNNNNNNNNNNNNNNNNNNNNNNNNNNNNNNNNNNNNNNNNNNNNNNNNNNNNNNNNNNNNNNNNNNNNNNNNNNNNNNNNNNNNNNNNNNNNNNNNNNNNNNNNNNNNNNNNNNNNNNNNNNNNNNNNNNNNNNNNNNNNNNNNNNNNNNNNNNNNNNNNNNNNNNNNNNNNNNNNNNNNNNNNNNNNNNNNNNNNNNNNNNNNNNNNNNNNNNNNNNNNNNNNNNNNNNNNNNNNNNNNNNNNNNNNNNNNNNNNNNNNNNNNNNNNNNNNNNNNNNNNNNNNNNNNNNNNNNNNNNNNNNNNNNNNNNNNNNNNNNNNNNNNNNNNNNNNNNNNNNNNNNNNNNNNNNNNNNNNNNNNNNNNNNNNNNNNNNNNNNNNNNNNNNNNNNNNNNNNNNNNNNNNNNNNNNNNNNNNNNNNNNNNNNNNNNNNNNNNNNNNNNNNNNNNNNNNNNNNNNNNNNNNNNNNNNNNNNNNNNNNNNNNNNNNNNNNNNNNNNNNNNNNNNNNNNNNNNNNNNNNNNNNNNNNNNNNNNNNNNNNNNNNNNNNNNNNNNNNNNNNNNNNNNNNNNNNNNNNNNNNNNNNNNNNNNNNNNNNNNNNNNNNNNNNNNNNNNNNNNNNNNNNNNNNNNNNNNNNNNNNNNNNNNNNNNNNNNNNNNNNNNNNNNNNNNNNNNNNNNNNNNNNNNNNNNNNNNNNNNNNNNNNNNNNNNNNNNNNNNNNNNNNNNNNNNNNNNNNNNNNNNNNNNNNNNNNNNNNNNNNNNNNNNNNNNNNNNNNNNNNNNNNNNNNNNNNNNNNNNNNNNNNNNNNNNNNNNNNNNNNNNNNNNNNNNNNNNNNNNNNNNNNNNNNNNNNNNNNNNNNNNNNNNNNNNNNNNNNNNNNNNNNNNNNNNNNNNNNNNNNNNNNNNNNNNNNNNNNNNNNNNNNNNNNNNNNNNNNNNNNNNNNNNNNNNNNNNNNNNNNNNNNNNNNNNNNNNNNNNNNNNNNNNNNNNNNNNNNNNNNNNNNNNNNNNNNNNNNNNNNNNNNNNNNNNNNNNNNNNNNNNNNNNNNNNNNNNNNNNNNNNNNNNNNNNNNNNNNNNNNNNNNNNNNNNNNNNNNNNNNNNNNNNNNNNNNNNNNNNNNNNNNNNNNNNNNNNNNNNNNNNNNNNNNNNNNNNNNNNNNNNNNNNNNNNNNNNNNNNNNNNNNNNNNNNNNNNNNNNNNNNNNNNNNNNNNNNNNNNNNNNNNNNNNNNNNNNNNNNNNNNNNNNNNNNNNNNNNNNNNNNNNNNNNNNNNNNNNNNNNNNNNNNNNNNNNNNNNNNNNNNNNNNNNNNNNNNNNNNNNNNNNNNNNNNNNNNNNNNNNNNNNNNNNNNNNNNNNNNNNNNNNNNNNNNNNNNNNNNNNNNNNNNNNNNNNNNNNNNNNNNNNNNNNNNNNNNNNNNNNNNNNNNNNNNNNNNNNNNNNNNNNNNNNNNNNNNNNNNNNNNNNNNNNNNNNNNNNNNNNNNNNNNNNNNNNNNNNNNNNNNNNNNNNNNNNNNNNNNNNNNNNNNNNNNNNNNNNNNNNNNNNNNNNNNNNNNNNNNNNNNNNNNNNNNNNNNNNNNNNNNNNNNNNNNNNNNNNNNNNNNNNNNNNNNNNNNNNNNNNNNNNNNNNNNNNNNNNNNNNNNNNNNNNNNNNNNNNNNNNNNNNNNNNNNNNNNNNNNNNNNNNNNNNNNNNNNNNNNNNNNNNNNNNNNNNNNNNNNNNNNNNNNNNNNNNNNNNNNNNNNNNNNNNNNNNNNNNNNNNNNNNNNNNNNNNNNNNNNNNNNNNNNNNNNNNNNNNNNNNNNNNNNNNNNNNNNNNNNNNNNNNNNNNNNNNNNNNNNNNNNNNNNNNNNNNNNNNNNNNNNNNNNNNNNNNNNNNNNNNNNNNNNNNNNNNNNNNNNNNNNNNNNNNNNNNNNNNNNNNNNNNNNNNNNNNNNNNNNNNNNNNNNNNNNNNNNNNNNNNNNNNNNNNNNNNNNNNNNNNNNNNNNNNNNNNNNNNNNNNNNNNNNNNNNNNNNNNNNNNNNNNNNNNNNNNNNNNNNNNNNNNNNNNNNNNNNNNNNNNNNNNNNNNNNNNNNNNNNNNNNNNNNNNNNNNNNNNNNNNNNNNNNNNNNNNNNNNNNNNNNNNNNNNNNNNNNNNNNNNNNNNNNNNNNNNNNNNNNNNNNNNNNNNNNNNNNNNNNNNNNNNNNNNNNNNNNNNNNNNNNNNNNNNNNNNNNNNNNNNNNNNNNNNNNNNNNNNNNNNNNNNNNNNNNNNNNNNNNNNNNNNNNNNNNNNNNNNNNNNNNNNNNNNNNNNNNNNNNNNNNNNNNNNNNNNNNNNNNNNNNNNNNNNNNNNNNNNNNNNNNNNNNNNNNNNNNNNNNNNNNNNNNNNNNNNNNNNNNNNNNNNNNNNNNNNNNNNNNNNNNNNNNNNNNNNNNNNNNNNNNNNNNNNNNNNNNNNNNNNNNNNNNNNNNNNNNNNNNNNNNNNNNNNNNNNNNNNNNNNNNNNNNNNNNNNNNNNNNNNNNNNNNNNNNNNNNNNNNNNNNNNNNNNNNNNNNNNNNNNNNNNNNNNNNNNNNNNNNNNNNNNNNNNNNNNNNNNNNNNNNNNNNNNNNNNNNNNNNNNNNNNNNNNNNNNNNNNNNNNNNNNNNNNNNNNNNNNNNNNNNNNNNNNNNNNNNNNNNNNNNNNNNNNNNNNNNNNNNNNNNNNNNNNNNNNNNNNNNNNNNNNNNNNNNNNNNNNNNNNNNNNNNNNNNNNNNNNNNNNNNNNNNNNNNNNNNNNNNNNNNNNNNNNNNNNNNNNNNNNNNNNNNNNNNNNNNNNNNNNNNNNNNNNNNNNNNNNNNNNNNNNNNNNNNNNNNNNNNNNNNNNNNNNNNNNNNNNNNNNNNNNNNNNNNNNNNNNNNNNNNNNNNNNNNNNNNNNNNNNNNNNNNNNNNNNNNNNNNNNNNNNNNNNNNNNNNNNNNNNNNNNNNNNNNNNNNNNNNNNNNNNNNNNNNNNNNNNNNNNNNNNNNNNNNNNNNNNNNNNNNNNNNNNNNNNNNNNNNNNNNNNNNNNNNNNNNNNNNNNNNNNNNNNNNNNNNNNNNNNNNNNNNNNNNNNNNNNNNNNNNNNNNNNNNNNNNNNNNNNNNNNNNNNNNNNNNNNNNNNNNNNNNNNNNNNNNNNNNNNNNNNNNNNNNNNNNNNNNNNNNNNNNNNNNNNNNNNNNNNNNNNNNNNNNNNNNNNNNNNNNNNNNNNNNNNNNNNNNNNNNNNNNNNNNNNNNNNNNNNNNNNNNNNNNNNNNNNNNNNNNNNNNNNNNNNNNNNNNNNNNNNNNNNNNNNNNNNNNNNNNNNNNNNNNNNNNNNNNNNNNNNNNNNNNNNNNNNNNNNNNNNNNNNNNNNNNNNNNNNNNNNNNNNNNNNNNNNNNNNNNNNNNNNNNNNNNNNNNNNNNNNNNNNNNNNNNNNNNNNNNNNNNNNNNNNNNNNNNNNNNNNNNNNNNNNNNNNNNNNNNNNNNNNNNNNNNNNNNNNNNNNNNNNNNNNNNNNNNNNNNNNNNNNNNNNNNNNNNNNNNNNNNNNNNNNNNNNNNNNNNNNNNNNNNNNNNNNNNNNNNNNNNNNNNNNNNNNNNNNNNNNNNNNNNNNNNNNNNNNNNNNNNNNNNNNNNNNNNNNNNNNNNNNNNNNNNNNNNNNNNNNNNNNNNNNNNNNNNNNNNNNNNNNNNNNNNNNNNNNNNNNNNNNNNNNNNNNNNNNNNNNNNNNNNNNNNNNNNNNNNNNNNNNNNNNNNNNNNNNNNNNNNNNNNNNNNNNNNNNNNNNNNNNNNNNNNNNNNNNNNNNNNNNNNNNNNNNNNNNNNNNNNNNNNNNNNNNNNNNNUUAUGGAAUCAAGUCAUGCGAAAUUGAUUAGGGCUUUGGUGGGGGCCCAACAUUCAUAACACUCACUUCAAUACUGUUUGCUUGAUAUGAUGAUUUUUUAUUCUUCUUGAUGAAAUACAUGAAUUCACUUUAUAUCUAUUGUUGAGAUACCCCUGUUCCCAUAGACGUGUGGAUGCCCACUAAUCAGGUACGCUCUCUUUACCUCCCAACUCUAAAAUUCUAUGAAUAUGUAUGUUAUCAUGAACCAUGACCAUGUUUGAUGUCAUAAUUGAUUGUCUUGAUGCUUGUUUGAUCAUCUUUGAUAAAAUACAUAUAAUGUGUGUUAUACUUCUAUACUAACUCUGAUGUUUUAUGAUAGCGCUUGAAGAGCGGUUCAGGUACGCACCCUAACUCUCUGUUUUUGUGAUUUGAUCUUGUUUAGCAUGCAAAUCUUUUGAAAUCACCUAGCCUACUUAGGUAUCCAUAACUAACCGAUUAAUUGCCAUAUUCCCCUUAACUUAGUCAAUAGAGACCUCUUUAGGGCUUAGAGGGGUGCUACCUCCUAGAGGUACCUUCCCAAUAAGUAACCUGAUCCCCGGACCAAGACUUGGGUUUUCAAAGACACGCUUUUCCAAAAAUUAUGGAGUCAUUUUUUUUAGGGUUUUAUUUCUUGUUUUAUUUUCCCUUCAAAAAUAAAAAAUAAAAUAAGUGGCGACUCCAACUUUUUUUAAAAUUAAUUUUUCACAAAUAAAAAGCGAGUCUCGCCGAUCGAGUGGGGACGCACGUGAAAAAUGCGGGUCCACAUGUACCUAAAUGAGCUAUCCUAAAAAAGAAAGGAAAAUCCUAGGUUUAACUCGGGGCUGCUAGAGUCACAAUGAGGGGCCAGAUAAAUUUUUCGACCAGAGUCUCCAAGGUGGCUCGAAAGCUAAGUUGUACAAGUAGUAUGGGGUAUCAGAGGACUAUUGUGAAGUACUAAAAGAGCAUCUAAUAGGGCAUGUACUAAAGGGACAAAAUGGAGGGUUUACAAUAUUACUCUAAGAAAUAACAUGUUUAGAAGAAAGUGAUUUGUUGUCCAGGUGUUGAUCAAGUUCAUGUUUAGGUAGUUUUUGAGGAAUAAAAGAGUUUCUCCUUUUAGGCAUGCAGCUUAUGGAUUUAUACAAUACCUUUCAUAUUAGUCUGUGAAACUUUUUAUGACAACUAGUUAGUUGACUAUGAUUGUGAAUCUUUGGAAUGGAAAACUCUUCCUUUUACUAGAGGAAUGGAGCUUGGUGAUGUUGUCUACAUAACCACUGACACUCAAAGGGGUUUUGAAGUGCAAAUCUUUGAAAAAAUGAAAGGAUUGGGAUUAUAGGCACUUUAAAAAAAUUCAGAAAGUAUAUUCAGUUCGCCCCACACUAAUAGCUUGGUAUUGCCUAGAAGCUCUUCAGAUAUGGCAAGCUUGAAGAAUAAAGCAUUUUUGGGUAUUGGAUAUAGUAAAAGGCAAAGAUCCAAAGUGUUUGUUUCAACGCCAAUAAGGAAAGGCCACCUUCGAUGCACAGUCCUAGACAACCCUACGGUUGUCCCUCUUCUGGUCAAGUUCAAGAUUACCUUGCUACUAGUUUUCUUUUCCAUAGGCAUGGCCACCUUCUGCCCUUCAGUGGUGCACUGCUUUACAUACAGUGCUCCUAUUCUCCGACAAAUCCGAUCCACCUUGGGGCAUACAUAUGGAAUUUUGAUAAAUGGGGCUCAGAUUAUUGCCUGAAAUGGCACAAUGAGAUGAGUUGUGGGAGUUCCUUCUACUAAGGUGAUAUUCAUUCGCUCAAAAUGGGUCAAAUCUCAUCCUUAGACUUGGUAUCUAGCACCUAUCAGUCUCUAUUCCUUCUACUCCUAUACCAACACUAAGCAAAUAUUCAAUAUACAAAAGACAAUCCUCUUCCUAGGGUCGCAAUUCUGGGAUAGAAAUACAUGUUUCCAAAAAUGAGAAACUACUGGUAGAGUUAGGCAAGAACGAGGCUUUAGUUGCAGUACUACAAGUGGAAAUUGAUGACUUGGAUAGAAGUUCCUUUAUUAUCUAGACAUGAGAGAUUGAAGUUCGAGAUACAAAAGGAGUCUUAUGAAGUUCUUAGACAAAUAGGCUGACAAUAAUUCUAUAAUUUCAGUUUUGCAAGUUAAAAGUGCCAACUUGGGUAUGAAUCAUGCAUUGUAAAGUUCAAAAUUUCCUUUUAUUUGGUGGACCAUAUCCUAUCUCAUCAGAUAUCCUUUCUUCUUAGAUGAAGUAAGAGCUUGAAUAAUCAGUAUCCAUUUGAUCUUCACGUCUUUGCUCCCCAUCCAAAUCACUGUAACAUUUUGCAUCUAUAACCAUACAACAGAAAUGCCCAUAAGAAUAGUGGAUCUUGUUGGUUCAGAUGCAAUGGGCACAUCAUGCUUAUUUAUGAGAAGAUGCUUGAAUCUGCUAGAAAAAACCUCAUCAGAAAAUAGGUCCAUCUAAUUUAGAUGGUCAUGGCUCUUAGACCAUUAAACCGGAGACAAUUCAAUGAGCAUUUAAAAUAGUUUCUACAAAGUCUAUCUAGCCUAAGGAAGCUCACCUUCAUCAGUUCAUGGACAUGAAAAUGGCAUCUAAAGACAUGAUGUGUUUCUUUUUUCACCUAAUUAAUAGUUCAGGUAAGAUUUGACAGGACUUCAAGAAUAACAAGUGUGAAAUGGGGGCUUUAGACUUGGAAUUCUGGGCAGAUAAAGAAAUCAUUGACGAGCAAGGAAACUUUUCAUUCACCAGCAUGAAAUAUCUUUCGCAUGGUUCUACUUAUGAACACCAUAUAGACCUGCAUUUUUCACGUGCAUUCCUACUCGUACGGCGAGACACGCUUUUGAUUAAGGUGAUUUUGUAUUUUUGUAUAAACUUGGAGUCGCUACUUAUUUUUAUUUAUUUUUUAAAGGGGAAUAUAAAGUAAGAAUAAAACCCCCAAAAGGACUUGAUUUUUGGAAAAGCUGUCUACAAAAAACCCAAGUCUGGGUCUAGAAAUCUGGUUAAUUGGGAAGGUACCUCCAAAGAAGUAAUAACCCUCUAAGCCCUAAUGAGGUCUUUACUAGCUGAGUUGAGGAAAAUAUGACAAUGAAUUAGUUGAUUAUGGAUACUUAAAUGGACUAAGGUGAUUUCAAAACUCUAUUAACACUAGCAUGUCAAACAAGAAUUCACAACACAAUCAUAAAGAAAAGAUUGUAUUGCAUACCUUAACCACAACUUAAGCACUAUCGCAAGACAUCAAUGGUUAGUUUGGAAAAUAAAACACACAUCAUGCAUUUUACCCUAGUCUCCUAAUCAAACAUGGUAAGUCAAACAAAUAAUAAAAAAGAUAUGCUAAAUAUGUUAAUGAUCACAUACAAAGCAAUACAUAAUAAUCACAUACAAAGCAAUACAUAAUUUAUGAAAUUAAGAUGUGAAGGUAAGAUGAGUACCUAAAUAGCAUAGAUAACUCAUAAUGUGCUUCAACAAGAUAUGGAGGGUUAAAUCAAAAUUAUAGUAAUAAAUAAUAAAAGAAAGAAAUCCUAGCAUGCUUGGUAUCUAAAUAGCAUAAAAAAAACGAUUGGAGUAUACAAAAUCAUCAAUUAUGACAUAUAUCUUGCACAUAAUUCCUAAAAAAAUUGAUGGUUAUGAUUACAACAAGUAGCAAAAGUGGACGCAAAGAUAAGUUUUGAAAACAAUCUUUUAUGUAGGGGUUCCAUCAAAUCCUCAUUCAAUAUCCAUAAGUUUAACUUGUGUAUUGCCAUUAGCUUAGGAGCACAAGUUCAAAUCUAUGUGAAUAAAAACAAAAUUUUGAGAACCAAUAAAGGUGAAUGCAACUUAGAUUGAAAUAAGUUGCAUAAUGUCCAAAGAAAAUGUGUUCUUUGCCUAAAUCUAGAAUGAAUGUUUUUCUAAAGCUUUUUAUUGAUUUAAAUACUUUUGAAAACAAUUUAGAGAGAACAAAAGAAACCAAGUGAUUUGAUAAAUCCCAAUCUACACAAAAUAGGUAUUUUUGAUUUCUUUCUUAAAAGAAAUUGAAAACAGCAAAGGUCAACUUGGAUAACUUUUUUGUCUACCUUUCAUUUGGGUUCAAGGAACCAAAUUCAUGUUGGAGAAAAAUUCAUUUUAAAACUUUUUUCAAAUAUGCAUACCAAAUAAAAUUGGUUGCAUGAAUUUUGGAAAAUUGACAUUUCUUUAAUUAAUUGAUCUAGGAUUAAUUUUAAAAUGAAGUUAGAAGAUUAAUUUGGCAAAAUAAAAAAAAAAGUUGAAAACAAUUUUUAAAAAAUAUUAAAACACAAAAUCUCAAACAUGAACUAUUAAGAAAGAGUGUAAGUGUGUAUUUGUGAAUUUUCUAGUGUGCCAAUGUGAAACUCAAGUGUCCUAAAUAUGAACCUAAGGUGCAACUGUAUUUAAAACUAUUGUGUCUUAAUUUAAGUGUUAAAUUAUGAUCCAAAACUGUCCUAAGUAUAAACAAUUAAUCGACCUCGAUAAUCAUCCACUAAUAUGCCAGUAACCAUUAAUAUUAUUCCAUUUCCUAUAUUAUCAUCCAUUGAUUUAAGAAAACACCAAGCAUCAUAAUACAUCUGUAGACAUAAAAAAAUUAGUGGAUUAAAUUACCACUAAUUUGGUCUUCUAAAAAAAAAAAAAAAAAUCUUAUGGAUAAGUCUCUCUCAUCUCCAACUAUAAAAAAAAGAUAAUAAUAAUAAUAAAAAUUAUUAUUAUUAUUAUUAUCUUCUUGGUAAAACCUCCCGGAUAAGAAAAUUUGCUAAAAUUAAGGAACUAAAUCCCUUGAAUUAAGCAACUAAAAUUGGGGAUUCUGAAAUUCAAAUUCCCUAUCUUCACCUAUAAAUAGAGGUGUCUUCCAUCAAGAUGGGGGAGAAAAAAUUCUAGAGGGAAAAAAAAGGAGAAAAAUCUAGAUAGGAAAAUCCUAAGGAGAAAAUCCAAAGGUAACUACUCCGUAUAGGGGAAGGGGCUUCACAACAAUAGGGAGCUUCAUCAAAUAUCCUUGCAAGUUCAAUAAACGGCAAAAGAACUAAUACAAUCGUUCUUUGUCAUUCAACAAGGUCAUUCGAGAAUAAGCCAUUUGUGGCCCUCGAUUGAUCUCUGAAAUAAAAAAAACGUCAUCGUCGUCUUCCGAAGUGUGAUCAAGUCAAAAGAAUCAGAGAGAAAAAUAUUCUUUUGGAAAGAAUAUUAUUUAUUUCUGAGAUUGUACCCGCACUACAUUUUUAAAUUUAAUAAAUCGUUUGUUCGCAUUAAUUUUCCUAUUUUAUUUUGUUAAUUUUUACAGGAUAAAAUUUUACGAAAUUUGUGCGUACAAAUUUCUGGCACGCCCGGUGGGACCUUUCUGUCUCUCAUCUCUUUUGUUAGAAGAUUGAUCUCUACUACGUCGAUGGCACCCAAAAGAACUCAAGUCGUGCAUGACAACAAGGGCAAUGAUAAGAUCGUCAUUGCACAAUCAACACAUGACACCGCUACGGGCCCUAUGACUCGUAGCAAAGGAAAAUCAACAUCUUCACUCUCAACAAAACAAACAAGUGAGUCUGCUUGUUUGCUAAAAGCGGUAAGGACCCAUGAUGAGCAUCAACCGCUCAUCACCUUGGCCUCUUUGGGGGCAAAGAGCCAUAGUCCUCGUAGCAGGGGAAAACUCUCUUCAACACUAAAGGACUUUGGGGAUAAAUCUCUUUGCUCUGUUACUAAAGCCAACUCCAGCACUGGCUCAUACUCCGGAUCGCCAACCAGAAUGUCAAAAGAGGAAAACUACUCCAAUCAUUUUGACUCUUUUACUUCUCCCUUCUCGAUGACCAUGCCGGUAAUGGCAACCGACACUACAUCCGUAGAGGAACAAUUAGCAGAGAUGGCUCGCGCCAUCACCAAACUCACCAAGUCGGUUGAGGAGAAUGAUAUGCAGAUAGCCUCUCUCAUAAACAAGGUUGAGACACAAGUACAAAAUGCGGGUGAGUCAAGUCACAAACUCAACCACCCUCCGAUUGUUGCAUCUCCUCUCGAUGAUGCACCACAUACGUAUAAGACAAUGCAAAGUGAAAAACAAAUGACAGAAUCUGCCUCAGUGGUGUCAUUAUCUGCCCAACAACUUCAGGACAUGAUAACUAACACCAUUAGGGCGCAGUACGGUGGACCCUCACAGAGUACGCUCAUGUACUCUAAACCUUACACUAAGAGGAUUGAUAACCUACGUAUUCCUAUGGGUUAUCAACCUCCAAAAUUUCAAUCAUUUGACGGAAAAGGCAAUCCAAAACAACAUGUUGCCCAUUUCGUUGAAACUUGUAACAAUGCAGGUACAGAUGGUGACUUAUUAGUUAAACAAUUCGUCCAUUCUCUUCAAGUGAAUGCUUUCGAUUGGUACAUAGACCUUGCACCAGAGUGUAUUGAUAGUUGGGACCAAAUGGAAUGUGAAUUCCUCAACCGUUUCUAUAGCACCAGACGAACUGUAAGUAUGAUGGAACUUACUAACACUAAGCAAUGGAAAGAUGAACCGGUUGUAGACUUUAUCAACCGUUGGCGUUCCUUAAGCCUCGACUGCAAAGAUAGAUUAUCGGAGGUAUCAGCUAUGGAGAUGUGCAUACAAGGAAUGCAUUGGGGUCUCCUAUACAUUCUCCAAGGGAUACGACCCCGUACCUUUGAAGAAUUAGCUACCCGAGCACAUGACAUGGAGCUCAGCAUUGCCAACCAUGAUGCUAAAAAUGACCUUAUCAUUGACCAGCAAAGAGAAAGACACAAUGGGAAAGCAAGUGAUAAGAUUUCAAUAAAACCCAUCUAGGAGUCAAUGAUGGUAAAUGUGACUCUUGCGCGAGAUAAAAAGAAAGAAGUAAAAGAGGUUAGACCAACCCAAGAAAUGAGAGGUGUCGGUUCACCUUUAAGGAAUUAAAGGAGAAGAGGUAUCCUUUUCCUGACUCUGAUGUGCCUAGCAUGUUGGAAGACCUGCUCCAGAAAAAAGUUAUUGAGCUACCUGAGUGCAAGCGUCUAGAAGAAAUGGGUCGUCUUAAUGAUCCGAACUAUUGUCAUUACCAUCGAAUUGUCAGUCACCCGGUGGAGAAAUGUUUCAUCUUAAAAGAUCUUAUAAUGAAACUUGCAAAACAAAGAAGAAUUCAUCUGGAUCUAGAUGAAGUAGUAGAUUGAAAUCAUGCUACAGUCACAUUUGGGUCCAUCGAUCUUGUUUUGUUACAUGUUCCACCUAAGACACUGGAGGCAUGCGCCGAUACUAUCCAAUGCGAUUCACCAAAACCAAAGCAAACGUAAGUGUCAUGUCAAGACACCAUUCGUCACUUCUAUUUUGAUAAUGAAUCAAUGUUGUAUAACGAAGAAGGUUGGACAUUGGUGACACGAAGAAGACCUCACAAGAAGCAAGAAUCUCAUCCCUACCCAAAUCUUCCUAGGAAGGAACAAUGUAUGCAAAAUAUUCAUCGAUAUGCGAAGAGGAAAGAAGAAAAGAAGCCUAAAAGAAAACAAGCGAUUGUACAGGUUGAUGAUUUCUUGGUACAAAAGCUCAUCACCCCUUUCACCUUAGGAGAAUACUUCCCUCAGGAGUUCUUUAAUAAAGGAAUGGUGACAUCAACUCAUAUGGUCUCUUAUCAUGAGAUUUCGAAAGAAGAUGAGUCAGGUAAAGAUGAAGAAAACGUUUUCGGUGCAGAGCCAAGAAAAACCAAGAAAGAUGAUGAGAUACAUAGGAAUCCAUCAUUUUAUGCCACAAAAAUAAAGGGGGCAAAACGAUUUGAAGACAAAGGCCACGAUUGUGCGACAUGUUGUGCAAACAUCACCUACACCAGUGGCGAUGAAAAUGACGUGACAUCAAAUUUUACCACAAUUGUUUUCAAACCUCAACAUUCUAGUGAUGCUCCUUAAAGCAUGAGCCUAAACUGCAUAUUGCUCCUAUCCUACAAGAGCUUAAACUGUAGUAAAAAAAAAAAUCAUUCUUGGCAAACUUCUUAAACCGAGGAACAAACCCUUUGUAUUAAAGAAGUCAAAUUCGGAGAUUCCAAACUAAAAUCUCUAAUUUCUCUACAUACAAGUGUUCUUUUCUUUCAGCAUGACGCGUUCUCAAAAGGGCGAUGCAACCUAGAACCUAAAUCCAAAAAAUGAAGCUUUAAAAGUCAAAAUCAAACUCCAAACAUUUUUCAACAAGCUCGUGGAAGAAUAUCAAACUCAAACAAAAGUGUCAUUCAUCCACCUUCAAAGCUAAAGAAGACAAGGAUGGGUUCUUCAAAACACUUGAGGAAAUUGUUGAUAAGUUUACUUGAGAGCAAGUCAUCAUUGACCCUCAAUUAAAUUUUGCUCCAAGAAUACGUGGUUACCACCCUUGGAUUAAAAUCAAGUCCAAGCUUGACACAUUCUUCAACAAGCUCGUGGAAGAAUAUCAAACACAAUACAAAAGUGUCAUUCAUCCACUUUUAAGACUAAAGAAAAUCAAGACAAAGAACUUCUUUUGUUCUCCAAAAUGCUUAAGAAAGGUCUUCAUAAGUUUGGUUGAGAAUAAGUCAUCUUUGACCCUCAAUUAAACUUUAUUCCAAGGACAUGAAUUUAUCAUCCUUCAAUCAAACUCAAGACAAGUGAUACUCUUGGCCCGCAUGAGCAUAAAUUGCGUACGGCGUAAAAAAAAUAAAAAUAAAAAUUUGCUAAGUCGAAAACCUGAAAAGGCGACUUAGGCAAAAGUUAGGACAUAUGCUCGCAAGAUUAAAUCUUUCUUUUAGUCUUGGAAAAAGUUAGAGCGUAAAAAAAAAAUGGAACUACGUUUGACUUGAUCCCCUCUCUUUGAAGGGUACGUAGGCAACUCGGGGAAACAACUCGAAUUUAGUCGCUACCACAAAAAAAAAAAAAAAAAAUUAUUACUUCAAGACUCACCCCAUCUACAUGACAAAGCAUGUACGUGAUGAGUCUUGAAGUGGGGCCAUUUGUAGACAUAAAAAAAUUAGUGGAUUAAAUUACCACUAAUUUGGUCUUCUAAAAAAAAAAAAAAAAUCAUCUUAUGGAUAAGUUUCUCAUCUUAUGGAUAAGUCUUUCUCAUCUCCAACUAUAAAAAAAGAUAAUAAUAAUAAUAAUAAAAAAUAUUAUUAUUAUUAUUAUCUUGUUGGUAAAACCUCCCGGAUAAGAAAAUUUGCUAAAAUUAAAGAACAAAAUCCCUUGAAUUAAGCAACUAAAAUUGGGGAUUCUGAAAUUCAAAUUCCCUAUCUUCACCUAUAAAUAGAGGUGUUUUCCAUCAAGAUGGGAGAGAAAAAAUUCUAGAGGGAAAAAAAAUGAGAAAAAUCUAGAGAGGAAAAUCCUAAGAAAAAAAUCCAAAGGUAACACCGUAUAGGGGAAGGGGUUUCACAACAAUAGGGAGCUUCAUCAAAUCUCCUUGCAAGUUCGGUAAACGGCAAAAGAACUAAUACAAUCGUUCUUUGUCAUUCAACAAGGUCAUUCGAGAAUAAGCCAUUUGUGGCCCUCGAUUGAUCUCUGAAAUAAAAAAAACGUCAUCGUCGUCUUCCGAAGUGUGAUCAAGUCAAAAGAAUCAGAGGGAAAAAUAUUCUUUUGGAAAGAAUAUUAUUUAUUUAUGAGAUUGUACCCGCACUAUAUUUUAAAAUUUAAUAAAUCGUUUGGUCGCAUUAAUUUUCCUAUUUUAUUUUGUUAAUUUUUAUAGGAUAAAAUUUUACGAAAUUUGUGCGUACAACAUCUCCAUUGAUUUUUUAUUUUAUGUAAACAUCAACAAUACUAACAUUGUUUCCAUUAAUUUUUUAAAAUUGAAACAAAGCCAUUAAAAUCUUUCCAUGCCGACAACAUUAUUUCAUCUAUAUAUAUUUCAUAAAAAAUAAUCAACUCAAAGGCCACUUAAUUUUUAAGCCACUAAAAUAUAUUAGAUUCCAAACAUGAGACACCUUCAAUUCAACCACUAAAAGACCUUCCAGUUUUAGUCAUGAAAUUCACUUCAGUUAUUCAUCGAAAUGCAUGAAUUAGCUCCCAAUAAUAGCCACAAAUUCAGCCUUGGGAUUCAACACUCCUAUGCCACCUUAUAUCCUCAUUUAUCCACCCAAAACUCACUCCAUUGACAUUUGAGCCACAAACUUUACACAUGUUGCCACUUUCUUUACAUUCUCUCAUUUUUCUAAUGCAUUCAACAACAUAACAUCACCCUUCAAUGAGUCUCCAAAGCUAGCUCCCACCAUCUCCAUGUUCUCUCAUUAUUAAAUUCAAGCACUAAGGCUCCUUAAGACCAUGAAUUCUCAUUGAAAAAUAAUCAUUCAUAAAAGCUCUAGACAUAACCACUUUCCACCAUUAAAAAUUAAAGCACCAAAUAUAUUUAAAUAACCAUGAACUCCAUAAAAAAAAAAAAAAAAAUCAGCAUUACUUUCUCAUUGCAUGGCCACUUAUUUGCAUUAACUUCCAUCAACAAAUCUACACUAACAGUAUCAAAUUCAGCUUUGAAUUUCAACCUUGUGACUCACAUGUAUACAUCCACAAUUCAACUCAUGCAAACCUCCAUUCAUGCAGCCACAAUUCAAUCACAUUUCUACCAAUAUUUCAGCCAUCAACACAUGCAUAUGUAGCCACAAAUCUUCAACCAUUAGCCUAUAUUACGUGGCCACAACUUUCAAUCCUUGAACUCCACUAUGUUACCAUAACUUUCAGCUAUUAAAUUCCACUAUACAAUCAUAACUUUCACAUAAGCUUUCAAGCCUUCGUACAACCAUGAAAUUCGCCUAUUUUCCAUUGCAUUUUUAGCCUUCAAAAUCACCCUAUGAAACCACCAAAAUUCGUGCUAGUUUAGCCAUGUUUCUACUUUCAAAAUUCAGCCUCCAAAUUUGAAGAAUUGACCACAAAGAUACAUGGCUGUUCCAUUAAAAAAAUUAUCCAUAUAAUUAUUGUACCUUUCAACUUUUUCAUUGAAAUAUAAAAGAGAAUCUCCCCCUAAAUCAUGUUUUCAAUCUCCGCCCAAACAUGUUUUACAAUCUCAAAUAUAAUGAAUCAAAAUUAGCACUAGACGAAAUUCAAAUUCCCAAUCUAAUAUAAUAAAUAAAACUUAAAUUUAACAAAGUUCAAACCUUCAAAACCAAAAUAAUGGAUUGAAACUAAACCUAACAUGAUUUCCAACUUUUCAAACUAAUAAUUAAAAACAAACAAAAGCUAAAGCAGAAUAAAAUUCCAACAUUUUAGACUAACGUAAUGAAUCCAAACUAUAUUAAACAAAAUUAUGAUUUUUCAAGUUAAAACAAAGAAAAGGUUUUACUUACCUUCUUCCAUGUGGUGCGCGACGUGGAGACUCAAUGGGUUGUGCAUGUUCUCCAUGUCUGUGCGAAUUGUUUUCGUAGUUCCAUAUAUUCCUAGUGAGAUGCAGGCUGGUGGGCAUUCCCUAACUGUGGUGUGGCUUGUGGAGAGAUCCUCUUUGGUGCAUGCUGUAAAAGGAUUUUUAAUGGUCGUACUACUGAAUCUCUUGUAGGAAGACCUCUCUUGGAUGCAUGGUGGAGACUCAAUCCUCUCUCCUAAAAAAUGGCAAUCUACAUAAACAACUCCUAUGCGUUUUGUCUUUUAAAAGUGGUAGUCUCUAAUGUCUCUGUGCAUGCCAAAUGAAUCCACUAUUUCUUAAAAAUAAUGGUGCGUGGUGGCCCCUUAAACCCUCUUAAUAUGUGUGUGUUGGAAGUCUCAUUAAUGAAGAAAAGAAUGCCACUACAUGGUGUCUUCUACUCUCGAUGCAUGUUUCUUCUCUGUUUUUCUACUCAAAAUCCUUUCUACCAAAACCUCUCGACCUCUCUAAAAAUCCCUAAUAUUAUCUAUUUUUUUUUUGGCUUUUUAAUCAUUCUUAUAUGAGAAUAUUUAGUCCUAAAAAUAACCCUUUUGGUUUUUUUAUUUUUCCAAAAUCCUAUAUUUUUCCCAUGCAAAAAUGCUUUGGAAAUCUAGUCUUACCCCCUUUCUUAUGCAACAACCCUUCAGAAAUCCUCCAUUUCUUCUUUUCCAAUCCUCUAUUUUCUUUUCUCUUCCCUUACCUUUCAAAUUCUGGUGGAUCAUGCCUAGUUGACUCCAUGCACAUGGAGAGGAUGACAUGUACUUAAAUGACCAUGCAAAGGUGGGACCCAAAAAAACAAACAAACUUAAGUGAUUGGUGAGGCGUAGCUGAGAUGUAGUUCCAAUAUUGACAAUGUUGCACUUUGACCUUUGCGAUACUAGUAGCUUGCCAUGGACGUUUUAUGGAAGUGGUAGUCCUCAAUUUCCAAUUUAUAGUAUUCAAGUCCCAUGCAAAAUAAAAUGAGGAUGUAAGUAGGAAUAAUGCAAUUUGAAAAUUAAACAUAAAAAUUAUGCAAUAAAAAAAAUUAAUAUGUCAAUUGCAUGUAUAUUUAAAAUCAAUGAUUAAUCACUCAUGUGCAAAAGAAAUCAAAGUGCGAAUCUCAUGCAAUAAUAAUAAUAAUAAUAAUAAUAAUAAUAAUAAUAAUAAUAAUAAUAAUAAUAAUAAUAAUAAUAAUGAAAAUAAAAUAAAUAAAUAAAAAGAUAUAAGAAAUAAAUAAAUAAAUAAAUAAAACACAGACAUAAAUAUCACGUUUGCAAUCCAAUGAAUUAAGAUGUUAAACGAACUUAAUAAACAAUAAUAAAAAAAUAAAAAUAAAAAUAAAUGAAUAGAUAAAAAUAAAAAUAUCAAACUUGUACAAAUCGAAGAUCGAAAAUUCAUCUCAUGCAAUCAAAGAUCUAAAAUCAAACCCAAGCUCACUUACACUUAAAAUCAAGUAAUCAAACUCAAAAACUAACCCAAGUAAAUUAAGCCUACAAAAGCAUCCAAGUGGAACCUAUCCUCAAAAAGAACUGAGUGAGGCCUAAACUUAGCUUGAUAGGCAACCAAGGGAUGGCUUCGAAUCAAUAGAGAAGUACAAGCAUACACCUAGUGUCAUAAGUGCUAAGUGGACAAAAUGAAGGGCUUACACACCAUUAAAGCUUUCUGGCAUUGGCAUCUAUAGCUAUCCGUGUUCACCUAUAGAAGUUUAGGCUGAUAGUUGAUAUUUAAUAUCAUAGAUCCUAACUAGACAAAUCAAUGAGACAUCAACUUCUAGUCAUAUCACCAGUUCCCUUCACAACUUGGGUCUGCAAUAUUCAAGUAAUGAGGAUUUAGCAACAACUACAACCACCAGCAGUACAGUCUCAAGUACACUCCUAGGCUUUAUUCUUACAUAGGCAUUUUGGUACACAUUACCUUUCUCCUAAUCAUUUUUGUUUUCCCUGUGAUCUUACACCUUUAAAAUUUGGAUUUCAACGAACCUUUUUCAUUAAAUAAUUCCAAUUUUCUUUAAAAAUUCCAUAAUUAGGAAUUUCUAAGCAUAAAAUCCAUAUUUCAACAAAUCUUUUGUUGCCACUUUCCUUUGUGGGUGCAUUUUCACUAUUUUAUUUUGUUUUCAACUAUUUUCAUGGUUUUGUUGAUUUUUAACAAGCAUGAAUAAACUUCUUGAUUCCAAACAAUGGAAUUCAUAGAAUUAACUCAUGCAAAAUUAAUUUGGGCUUUGGUGGGGCUUGACAUUCUUAACAUCUUCUUUGAUAAUGGUUCAAAUGAGGUAUUUGUUUGAUAUUUGAUUGAUUUUGAUUUAUUUCUGUGAUACAUGUGAUUGUUUUGCACAUGUUAUUGAGCUAACCCUGUUUCUAUAGAAGUGUUGAUGCUUGCUACCCAAGUACACUCUCUAUCACCUAUGUUCAGAAUUCUAUGAACAUAUAUGUUAUUAUGCGUUAUGUCCAUGUUUUAUAUUAUCUUUAGAUGUCUUGAUGUUUAUUUGAUUUGCUCGGAUAAAAAGCAUGUCGUGUAUCAUAUUUCUAAACUAACUUUGAUGUCUUGUGAUAGCGCUUGAGAAGCAGUCCAGGUACACAUCCUAACUCUUCUUUAUGUUUGUGAUUGACUUCCUUCUUUGGCAUGCUAACUUUGAAAUCAUCUUAGUCUAACUAGGUACCUUUAAUUAAAUGAUUAAUAGUCAUAUUCCCCUUAACUUAGCCAGUAGAGGCCUUUUUAGGGCUUAAAAGGGUACUACAUCAUUGAGGUACCUUCCCAAUAGGUAACCUGAUCCCUAAACCUCAUCACGGGUUUUUCAAAAACAUAUUUUUUCAAAACUAUGGAGUCACUUUUUUUAGCUGCAUGGAAAUUUAGAACUCAAAAAUCUGAUGACAUUAUAUACUCUGACUUUGAGGACAAAUUUGGAGCACUUUCUGGAGUCUAUUAUAUACAUACUAUAUAUCGUUUCGAAGCUCGGGAAGUCAGGAGUCCAACGCUUCAAACGGUUUGCAAAUCGAAGCUAAAAUGAAGAAGUUAUGGCCAUUUGAAGACAACUGCACCAAGCUGGAGGGUCAUUUCGAAAUGAUUUCGAAAUUCAACUUAUGAUUUCGAAAUUCAACUUAUGAAUUCGAAAUCCACUUCGAAAUGACACCAAUUUCGAAUUCACCCACUGCCACUUUGAUGUUCCGCCUCCUCUACCUCGGGAAUUGCAUCUAAAGCACUCCAUCCGCCCUAGGUGGACCCCACACGACUAGAAAUCACCAUUUCAUUAUUUUUUAAUCAUUUUUAGGAAAUUAUUUUGUAAUAAGUGGCCAAUGAGAGUGUGCCACAUGUUAGGUAAUUGAGGAUAUUAUAUAAACUCUCUCAAUUCUAGGUUUUGGGGAUCUUGGAUUUUUUCUGGAGAGUUUGACAUUGAAGGUGGAAGAAGACGAGAACUUUGGUUUGUUUUCUUUUUCUUCUUUAUUAAAUAUAUUGUUUUUAGUUUCUUUUGAUUCAAAUUAUGGAUUUUUACCCUAUUAUGGAUUGUGAAUGUGACAUCACCCCCAUGAGAGGCUAAGAGCCGACUUGGGGCUUGAAGCAUGAAAACCUAAGGGCUAGGAAACCUAUAGGGACAAUGGGUAAAUUAUUAUAACAAUGAGAUUAAUUAUUGGUUGAGUGACAAUUUAUCAAUUUUUUUUAUCCUAUCCUUGUGAGUUCGUUUAGGGAAUGAUACGGUAGGUUAUUACUUGAUACUAGUGAUUCUUGGUAAAUCUUGAUCAUUAGUUAUCCUCAUCUUACCUACCGUUAUUUACCCCUAAACAAAGCUAUAAGGAGUGGGAAUAGUUAAAAAUCCAAAUCUUAAAUUGAUAAUCAAUCUCAUUCAUUUGAUGGUUUUAGGAAUCUGUUUUAAAAAUGAAAAAUUAGGUUUCGGAUGCAAUUUUGAGUUAUAGAACUCAACUUGAUCGCGAGUGGUCAAGGAUCCCAAAACCCUAAGAUCAUAUUACUUAAAAUACCCUUGUUUUCUAUAAUUUCUACACCUUAGGUUGGAUUGUGGAAAACCCCAAACUUGAAUCAAUUGAAUUUAAAAUCAAUAUUCAUUUUCUCUUAUUAAUUUAAUUUCUUUUACUUAGUUUCACAUUAUUCACAUAUUGUUUUUCACUUAAGGAUUUAAACAAAAACAAUUCAUUUAUUCUAGUAUUGACAAUUUUCAUAAGCCAGUCCUUGAGAACGAUACCCGGAAUACUACAAAAGCCGUAGUGACUCUUUCUCUAGUUUUUCUUGACCAGAGUUACUACGUAAAAAGGCUAAGUAUUUUGGUACAAUAGAGAAAUUUCGGUCACCCGCCCCAAUUAGGAUGGGUAUGAGAGCAUAGUAAUCGGGGAUGGGACAGGUUUGGACUUAAUUUUUAAAACUCAAAUCGAGUUCAGGGCGGGUUCGGGUUUUGUAAUAAUCUGCCCUGCCCCGGAUAUAAAAUUACAAGUUUACCCUUUAUAUCUUACAAAAUACUAAAAAAACUCCACCUAUAAAUAUUUGUUUCUUGUCUCUUCCUUAGGGUUACUCACCUUUAACACAAAAAUCUCUCAUUCUCAUUGUUUUCAAACGUCUAGCUCUCAGAUUGAUUUUCCCAACUCAAAAAAUUUCUAUCUCACAUUUUGAGCCGUUAGGGGAGAAAAGAGAUAGGGCUCACAGCUUGUGGAGAAGACAAUCCCUCUAGCUUCAUUUUAUGCCUUCUUGAAACACGAAGAAAAUGAAGUCGAAGCUCACCUAGAGUACCAAAAUCCGAGGUCUAAAGGCUUUGGUUUUUGUUUGGAUUUCUUGUUUUUAGGUUAAAAAAAACCCUUAAAUUUCUAGGUUUUAUUUGCUCGAAUUCCUUUUUCUUGUUCUUGCCUAAAAUAUCCAUGUAAUUUGUUAUUGUCAAAGCCAAACCGAUUUGAUUUAGUGGCUUCACAUGCAUGAAAACAAUGAAUGAUUUUAAGAUUUUUAUCUCCCUUUUAUCAACUCAUUAAUUGUAAAAAAAAAAAAAAAUUCUUUGCUUUAACCCUAGUUUGAAAUUUGUAAUCAAUAUUUCUGAUAAUUUUUAUUUUUGUAUUUAUUUUCAAAUUUUCCAUUUCACAUAGAUUUCGUUUAAGUGCUAUUUAGAAUUUAACAACUCCAUAAUCCGUAAUCAUUUUUUUUUUCAUUUUUUUCUCUAUGUUCUGUUUGAUUUCCAAGAAAGUGUGGGAAAAGAAUAGAAAUGAAUUGAAAAUUAGAAUCAUAGAUUUUUAUUUUAUAUUUUUAUGGUCUAUUUUUGUGGUAAUAGAGGCUUAUUUAUAUAGGGUUUACUUGGGUUGGUUUGAAUGUAAAUAGGAUCCUCUUAUUUGUUUGAAUGUUUUAAUUAUAGGAUUUAUUUCAUUAUAAGAAAAAUGACAUCAGAAAAAUGGGAAAACUUUUCCAUACCAAGUGCGGGUUCAAAUCCAAUUACGGUUAGUACUUCAACUACUGAUAGAACAUUGGGAUCUAAAAGAAGAAAACUGACUUUGGUUGUUUGUAAUGAUUUUGAUAAAGUCAUAGAAGAUGGACAAGAUUAUGCUAUUUGUAAGCAUUGUAAAGGAAAACUCAAGGCCAAUAGCAAGAAUGGAACAAAACAUUUACAUGUACACAUAGAUAGGUGCAUGAAAUGAAGAAAUGUUGAUAUUAGGCAACAAUUAUUAGCAGUAGAGAGAAAAGGUCAUGGAAAAGUUCAAAUUGGUGGUUUUACUUUUGAUCAAGAUAUUUCAAGAGAGAAGCUUGCACGUGUAAUUAUAUUGCAUGAGUACCCGCUUUCAAUAGUUGACCAUGUGGGGUUUAGAGAUUUUGCUACUAGUCUCCAACCUUUGUUUAAGAUGGUUUCCUGUAAUACAAUUAAGGAUGACAUAAUGAAGAUUUAUGAGGUUGAGAAAGAGAAAAUGAUUAGCUACUUGGAGAUACUUAAAAGUAGAAUUGCAAUCACAACUGAUAUGUGGACAUCAAAUAAAAACAAAGGCUACAUGGCUAUCACCGUACAUUACACGUAUGAGUCUUGCUUAUUGCAACAUCAUAUUGUAAGGUUAGCUAUGUUUUUUUUUCUUUUUUUAACUUCCUAAGUUUUUUUUAUUUGAUCAUUUAGUGAUAUCACUUUGUAUUAAUUAUAUGUUUUUUUAUAUAUAUUUUUAAUGUAGGUUUGUUUAUAUGCCUCCUCCACACACAAAAAAAGUUCUUUUAGAUGUGUUAAUGGAUUUCUUGUUAGAUUGGAAUAUGGAUAGAAAAAUAUCUACAAUUACUGUGGAUAAUUGCUCAAGUAAUGACAUAAUGAUUGAUAUUCUUAUAGAGAAAUUGUCUUUGAGGGGUUCAUUUUUGCUGAAUGGAAAAAAUUUUCAUAUGCGAUGUGCGACACAUGUCUUGAACUUAAUUGUGAAGGAAGGUUUGGACGUCAUCGAAAAAAAAUUGAAAAUAUUCGUGAUAGUGUUGCAUAUUGGUCGACAACACCAUCAAGAGUUGAAAAGUUUGAAGAUGCAGAUCACCAAUUACCUAUUCCAUGUAAUAAGAAGUUAACUCUUGAUUGUAGAACAAGAUGGAAUUCUACAUACUUGAUGUUAUCAAUAACUAUAACAUAUACAUAUGUGUUCCCACGUUUGAAGCAACAUGAAAAACACUAUAUGGUUGUGCCAUUAGAAGAAAGAAUGGAAUAUGGCAAAAGAAAUAUGUGGAAGAUUGAAAUUGUUUUACAACAUAACGGAGUUUUCUCAAGGCAAAAUUAUCCUAUUGCAAAUAUUUUCUUCAUCAAAGUUUGUGAGAUUAAAAAGGCAUUGUAUUAUUGGUUGAUCUGCGUAAAUGAUGUUGUGAAAACGAUGACAUCAAGUAUGUUGCAAAAGUUUGGCAAGUAUUAGAGUGGGUGUCAUAUUGUGAUGGCAAUAGCAACUAUAUUUGACCUAAGCUACAAAAUGAAGAUUUUAGAGUUUUACUUCCCAAUAAUGUACAGGUGCUUCAAAUGAGAUAGAAAAAAAUUCGUGGAAUGUGUUAUGAGUUGCUUUCUGAGUACCAAUCAAAGUCUAAGUUGGGGUAAGAAACUGCAUCCUAUGGUACUUCAUGAGGUUCAACUCUUUCAGUGUUCAACUAUGAUGAACAAGAUCCUCUUUCAAAGUUUGACUUAUUUGUUCAUAGUACUAUAGAGAAAGUCAUGCAAAGUCGGAGUUGGAUUAUUACUUAAAAGAGUCUAUUCUGCUAAGGACUUUAGAUUUUGAUGUUUUAAGUUGGUGGAAGAAAAAUGAUAUAAAGUAUCCAACUUUGUAAAUGAUUGUUCGAGAUAUCUAUGCUAUUCCGGUAUCUACAGUUGCAUCAGAGUCGACCUUUAGCACUUGUGGUAGGAUGGUAUCAAAACAUCGCAGUAGGCUUCAUCCAGAUACUUUGGAGGCCUUAAUGUGUGCUCAAAGUUGGUUAUGGAAAGAAAUGGAAGGUAACCAAUUUACAAAAUUAUUAAUUUUAUGAAUGGUUUUGUAUUAAAAUAUUUAGUAAAGUGACUUGUAUGUUUUUGGGUGUUUAUUUUUUUUUAUUAGGUGAUUCUUCGAUUCAUAGUCACAGCUCCAACUCACAAUUAUAGAUGAAGAUGAUGAUUCACUCGUGCUUUAGGUUUUUUACUUGAGAUUAUGUUAGAGACAUAUUUUGGGAUGUUAACAUUAUCUUUGUAAUGUCUUUUUUUUUUUCUUCAUUUUCAAUGUUGUUAAGUUUAUGGAUAUCUUUUAAUUUUGGAUGUUGUAUUUUAGGAUGUCCUAUAUGUUGAAUUGUUAAUCACUACCAAUAUUAAUUAGACUAGUUUUAUAAGUGCAAUGGUUGCAAAUGUUGCUUUUACCUACAAAAGUUUAUAUUUAAAAAGCAAUGGUAAGAUAUUUCUUGAAGAAUGCAAUGAUAAGAAUGUAUACAAUCUUUUUAAACUGAAUUCUUUCUAAGAAUGUAGCCUUAAUUUAGUCUUGUUUAUGCAAUAGGUACCAUGGAAUCUGGCACUGGUUUAGCUCCAUGAAGUACCUUGAUGUUUCAUUUAUGGCUCUUUCUACUGCUGGUCAAUCUUAUUCACGUUAAUCCUAUACCAUACUGGUAAGUUUUUUCUCUACUUUUUGUUCGCUUUAUUGGGAUGAUUAUGGAAAUGCAUAUCAUGUCAUGAGAUAUUGGGGAGUAUAUUCUGACUGUUGGUUAACUACAUGUCACUGCAGAUUUUUAAGAAGAACCCAACCAUAGUAAAGAAUUAUGGGAUUUGACACUACUUUGAAUGGUGUUGUUGAGCAAAUGCACACUGAGAUGACUUCAUUUUUCAUGCUUAUAAUCUGCACAUCAGCAUUGUUUAGGUCCAGUUCAAUCUUUGUUGUCCUGUUUAGGCCACAUAUAUUACAAUGAUAAUAAGAAGAACAAAAUGACAUGGGGUUGUGAAAAAACUCAUGAGUUUUAUGAACUUUUCUUUUCUUUUCCAAAUUUAUAAGUAUUUAAAUUUUGCAAGUAUGACAAGUCUAUGAAGCCAAAGGCGUGAAAUCCAAAUGUGAAGCCAAAGGUGUGGAAUUGGACACCGGUAAAAAUGUUGGAUUGCAAUGUUGGAUAUUAUAUGAUACUGCCCAUAUUCUGAUGUUGGAUUGCAAUGUUGAUGUUUUUGUUUUUGUUUGAGCUAAAGAAAAGAAAAAGAUGGCUACUAAUAGAGCUAUUAGCUUAGAAGAAACCAAGAAUGAGACAAUUGAUUUUAUAAGUGCUUUCUUUUAUUUUCUUCUUUUGUUUUCUUUUAUUCUUUUAUAAUUUUUUUUCCUGGGUUCUGAAAUAAAAAAUGUUGGUUUAGUUGAAAAUUGCUUCAUUGAAUUGAUCACAUAAUUCUUAUAUUUUUUCUAUUUGAAAUGUGUUUUUUUUUUUAUAAAUAAACACAUGAUUUUCUUUAUAUUUUCUAAAUUGUGGUAGUUUCAAAGUUGGUGGUGAAUGACCACAUUUGUUCAUGAACACUAAAACUGUUUCUCAAUUUUAUUUUACUUUGUUUGGCUCAUGCUGGUCAUGGUUUUGUGACUUAUAGCUUGCUGGUAUAUGGUCUAGUUAUUGAUAUUUGUAGAGUGAAAAUGAUUCUUUGUGGCCAUUUCUAUAAUUCAAAACUGUUGCAAGCUAAUGGGUACAUAAAACUUUUUAGAAAAUUCCAUGUCAUUCCAUUUCCCCCAUUUUCAUUUCCUGCUGUUAACCAUUUGCAUAAUUAUUUCCCUUACCUUUUAACAAGUUAGAUAUGCUUGUUUCCAGCUUGAAGAUGAUGUCAUACCAAAGAGCUUUCCAGUAAGUUUCUAAUAGUUAAGCUAGAAGCAGCACUAGUACUAUCCGCUUAUUCAAAUAGAAACAUUUUGACUUGUUUAAUUUUGCUUCUUAUAUUCAAUUUUCUUUUAUUAAUGGUGUCAUGUUUUCUGCUUUUGAUUUUGAAGGUUUGUGAUGAUCGCCAUUUUGAAUUAAUUCCCUGUCUAGAUAGCAAUCACUUUGAUGACUGGUUGUCAACUUAUGAGUUGGAAAGUGUCGAUGAUUACCCUUUCAAUUGACAUUUGGUUCUGCAAACUUAAGUUUGAUUUUGGAAAUCUUGGUUUUGUACAAGAGUUCCUUUUUAUGAACCUGGGAUCUAUGGAAUUUAUAUUUGAUUCCAAACCCAUUGGUACCUUAUGGCAACUAACAAUGAAAUAGGAAUUACAACUCCAAAGGUCUUGUUCUAUUAAUCAAACACGGGUUAAUUGUCACAGACUUAUUAUGAUGGCCCCUUGUCUUUAGUCCCUACAGAGUCAUUUGAGACAAACUCAAAACUCUAUUUCAAUAAUGUCAUACAACACUUUAUGUAGGAUCGUUAGCUUUGUAUAGAUGCUUACUUACAGAAGCAAUUAGGCAUUAGACUGGAAUAUAUUUGUCAUGUUAAUUAGAAAUUGUUUUUUAUUUCUUUUAUUUGAUAGAAAAAUUGGGUAAAAAUAUUAAUAUUUGUUAAAGAUUUUUCGUAUGUAUACUAUAUUUUUGCUAUUCCUUUGUGGCCUGGUUAGAUUGGAAUUGACUAUAUUUUUCCUCUUAUUAUAUUUCCUGUGUGGUUGGAAGAAUACAAUAUUUCCCUUAAUUUUGUGGUUAUGAUGCAACAACAAUUGAUUGCAAGACACUAUAUGAUUUCUUUGUGGAAGGAUUUUAAUUUGGUUAGAUUUCAUGGGUUACCCAACAUGCAUAAAAAAAUCAUUUGGAUGUUUUGCUGAAAAUGCAUAUUCAAGAGCUUGUUUUACUAUUGCUUAUAAUGCUUGUAUGCUUUGCAAAUUUCUUUGAUAGUUUUUGGGUUGAAUUUUUUUAGGGUUUGGUUUUGAUACAUCUUAAAGGUAUUCAUACUUUUAUCUAUUGGAACUGAUACCUUGUAAAAGCAUGAUAUACAGGCUUAUUUUGGAUUGUGAAUUUGACAUUAAAAAAAAAAAAAAAAAAUCUUAUUGGUUUUUACUAUUGGCAAUUUCAGCUAUGGGACCCUCAUUCUAAUCCCCAUUUGUUGACUUGAAAGUGAGAAGUUUUAUUUGGGAAGUUUUUAAACUGAACAAUGAGAGAAAGAUCAGAUGGAUCACAAAGAAGACUGUGUGCAUGGUGGCAAUUUUUCUUGUGUUCCUAUAUGUGUAUCAUGGAUCCAUUUCUGGCUCUUAAAAGACUUUAGAGUAUGACAACAUAUCUUUGAGAAAACUUAGUCUAACUGGGGAUGAAGAUGCUGAUCUUGGCAACAAUCUAGUAGGGGAUAAAAUGCCAUUUCUUAAUGUUAUCUGAAAUAUGUAUUAUAAUAAAUAUGUGAAAAAUGAAUUUAAUAGAAUUGUCAGAAUUUGAGUUUCUUUUAGAGCAACCCAACCCAACAUUUCUCUGGACAUCAUUUUCUUAUACAACAACCCAGCCCAACCUCGCCUCAUUUCGGCCCAGCCUAGGCUGGCCUACCCCAAAAACACAUACACGGGUCAGGACGGGCUGGGGAUAGGAUUUCAAUGGUUAUUUGAAAACGGGAACGGAACCACGAACCCCAUCCCGUCCUAGGUUUGGGACGAGGAUGGAAAAUAGUUAUAUAUUUUGGGACGAGAAUGGGAUAGAGGGAGCCCAUCCCAAACCCGCCCUAUCACCAUCUCUAGGUGAUGACCACCUUGCAUGGAAGCACCCCGUUUUCCCGGAGGCUUGUAGACAGUUGCGUAUCGCCGAAGGGUAUGAUCACUUCUGUUAGGGAUUCUUUAACCCACCUGAUUUGUCUUAUAGAGCCACUUUGGUCUUGUAGGCUACCUUAGACCCAAUUAAGAUUUCACUCCUACACGUGGGUGCAUCUAUGGACCUUCAAAGCUGCCUUAGUCACAAUUGGGUUUAGCUACCCUUUCCAUAAUCUCUUUUUGUUGUGCUCAAAGAUUGCUACAUGUUUGAGUUUCAUUUGGGCCACCUAUUUGCAUCGUGAUUAGUGCAUUUCCAUAUCUUCGGAGCUCCCUUCAUGUUAUUUCUCUUGUACCUUAUAGGAGUGUUAUUUGUUUUGGUGUGGGUUUGAUUUUUUAGAUUAGAGUUAGAGAUAGAUUGAUCAAGGUUUUAGAGUAAUCAGAUAUGAUUCCUCAGCAUGUUACAGUUGCCAUGAUUUCUAUUCAGGAUGUACUGUUAGGUUUAAGCCAGAGGAUUGAUGGAUAGCAAGAUAGAUAGCCAGAGUUCAGGAUAAGAUGUUGUAUGAUUCAUUGGCGCCCACCCUCACCACGUAGCCAAUCAAUGAUAUUGUUGAAGAUGACAUUGUACGUAUGAUGAGAUUAGUGGAUAUUGAGCCAAAGCCUGUUAUAUCAAAUGAGAGUUCUUGUGGAGGAUGUUAGUUUUCUCUCUAAGAUGGCAGAUUUGAUUGACAUGGUUUUCUUCAUCAUGAGCCUGAGAUGGAUGUAUGGGAUGACAUUUAAAUGGUCAACAAAAAUUAGCCAGAGAUAGUUCAUUCUCUUGAUAUGUUUGAGGUCAUUGUUAUCGAGAGUUUAGAGAAGUUUAGUUUGUUUCUGCUUUAGAGUUGCUAGGGCAUCCUGCCUAUGUUGAUGAUAUGUUUAAGGGCGAUGUGAGCCCAAUUAUGGUCAUGGAGAUUCAUCUAUUCUAGGAGGUCUUAGAGGCCUACUUGCAAUACAACACAUGUCAUUAGAGAGUUGAUCCUAGAAAGGAAUUAUGAUUGACAUAUCUAGAUGGAGACCAGUUCAUAGACCCAACUAGCGUAGGUCAGUUGAAGAAGUAUUACAUUUGAGAAUACGUUCGUAGGAUGGGUGGCCAUCAUUUUAGUUAGCCUUAUAUUUUAUUAUCCUUAUUGAUAUUUAGACCAUUGUUAGCCCAUUGAGCCUCGUCUGGUACAUUAUGACCUUUUAUUUCUUAUAGCCUUGCUUACCUUCUCUAUACCAGGGUUAGGGCCCUUUGAUGUAUAUGUAUGCUUUGCUAGGAAAGUCUCAUAAGCUUUGGACUUAUAGGCCUAUUUUCUCAUCCUUAUUACCAUCUCUUUGUCACCUCAUUUGUUGUAUUGUACUAUUAUCGUGUUUUCAUUUUCUUCCUCACUCUUAUCAUUAUUUGCUUCAUUUUAUCUCUUAUCUUUCUUGGAUUGAUGAUUCUUCACAUCUUGGUAUAAAAAGGGUAGUCAUAUCACUCCCUUUAUCGCAUCAUUUGGCAUUGAUUAAGAGAUGUUAACUAGAGAGGUUAUCUCAUAGGUGGGGGUUCACAUUCUCAUUAGUGAUUGGGGAGAGUUUGCCCAUUCCUUGUAUAUUUUAUCAUUAGGGUAUGAUUCAUUGAUGGUUAGAGUAUGCACAUUCAUUCACUCAUUCAAAAAAAAAAAAAAACAAAAGACAAAAAAGAAAGAAAGAAAGAAAGAAAGUGCAUUGAUAUGUUUAUAUAUGAUCUCUUAUUCAUUUGGGCACUUAUAUCACUUUUUGAGGACCGUUUAUUGGGUAUAUUUAUCAUUGAGGGUUCUUAUGAGAUUUCUAUGAGAGUUGUUGCUUCUUGCUUCUUGAGAUUUCUAUGCAUUUGGAGUGUUCGGAUAUCAUGUGAGAGUUCUUUGAGAUCCUUCUCUUUUUGGAUCAUGGUUGAGAUGUAUUAUGGGUGGGAGAGAUGAGUGACUUCUUACUAAGGUCUCUAGAUCAUUGUUUUCUCUACCAUUAGUGAUAUGACUCUUCCUUCAUUGCAUUGAUAUGGGUUGAUCAUCAUUCAUUUUUAUUUCUCUAUGGCUUUCUAUGUUUUUCCAUGACUUUUUUUCUUGAUAUUGAUCCUGCCUUUUAUUCAUUUCUUAUAUCGAUACACAUUUUUGAUUCGAUACCUUGUUCACAUUAUUCUCAUACUUUAUUGAUAGUUUAACCACCUCUCAUUUUUCUUUUUUUACCAUCGACAUUUCCUUUGGUUACUUUUAGGUUUAUGGCUCAUGAGAUUUUUUCCACACAUUACAUCUUAUACACGAGGGUAUAAGUUUGAUUAUUGGGUAUUUGAGCCUAGUUUCCCUUUAUUUCUUUACCUUAUCACCCUGGCCUACGUUAUGUCUUGUGUCUUAAGACCACCCUAAGGCCAUGAGAUCAGGCGUUAUAUUUGGCAGCCUUUACUUAAGCUGGUGUUUGGGAUUUGGUUGAUAUGUAGACGUCGUCUUGUUUCUUCUUCUGGGAUAUGCUUCUUUGAUGCUUGGAGGUGAUUUAGUGAUGGAUGUAGACGAUCGCUUCAUGUUAUGGAGGAUAUUUGAUGUUUUCUGAUUUCCCUCUACUAUGCAUUAGCUAUCAUACUGGGGCAUAUCCCUCAUUUGAUGAGAUUGACAGAUUGUUAUUGGUUCACAUGGUCACUUUGUUUAUGAUGAUAGAUGUAGAUUUGAUAGUGUGGUUUCGUUAUGAUUCUCUAGUGGAGUUUCUCCCGAGUCAUUGAUCACACUCAUACUUUUCGAUAUCCUCAUUAUUCUUAAUGGAUCUAACUUAGUGAGACAUGUUUUCAUCCAUAUUCUUAAUGGAGUAGAUUAGUAUGAUGAUUUUUUAUUCUUGGCGGGCUUUGCUUUUGAGCUAGCAUGGUGGGUCAUUUCACAUAUACCUUUUGAGUUGGUUGUCUCAUCCUCGAAUAUAGAGAUGAUGGGUUAGUGUCAUUUGAGGUACCUUAUGACCUUGCAUCAUUUGCUAUACUAGGACAUAUUCCUCUUUCAUUUGGUUGAGAUGAGCCCCUAGUGGAGCACUUUCUUUGAGCUUGGGCAUUUUCACCGAUUAGAGAUUCCUAUUGGAGUAUGUUGAGAUGAUAUUAGUUAUAAUGGAGCAUUGCUGAGCUCAUUGAUAGUUUUCAUGAUUCUGGGUUCCAUUUAUGAAGUACUUCUGAGAUAGACUAGUGGAUUAUUACUGAGUUGGAGAAAGUUUUUAGUGCAGUGUAUAUAUCCUGUAUAUUGGGGCAUAUUUCCCCAUUUCGAGGUUACCGGAUUCUUGUUAGAUUCAGUUAGGGAUUCAUUACAGAAGUGUUUCUACUCUUGAGAUUAUCACAUCCCUCAUCAUUUUGGUUAUUCAUUUGAGAUUAGAUUUAGAGUGUCUCCCUUGAGACAUUGGCAGAUACUUCAUUCUGACUUCAUAGUGGAUUAUUAUUGAGUUGGAGAUAGUUGAUUGAUGAUGUUGGAUUCAUCAUUUUGUUGUGCAUCAAAUAUCCACACUAGGGCAUAUUUUCCCCUUUCUCUGAGAUUCCUAGUUACUGAUUGGGUUGUAUGGCUAUCCUUACUCAUGGUUACAGAGAUGUUUGAUUGAUGUUGACAGGUUCUUUAUCGUGCAUCAGAUAUCCAUAUCGAGGCAUAUUCCCCUCUCCUUGAUGAGUUUUGUUUGGGAAGUGGUACGAGGAUGGAUGAUUAGUGUUAGUUGUUUACCUCAUGACUUUGACAUCAGAUCUUAUACUGGGACAUAUUUCCCCAUUUUCUUUUAGUAUCUUUGAGAUUGAGAUAGUGGCUUGUUUGGUUUCAGAUUGAGUGCUAGCUUUGGACUUUCGAUGAUUUAUGAUAUCAGGGCUUUCUCACAUGGUUUUAUUGAGAUAGAGAUAGAUUGCAUCGGGUUUUAUCCACUGGACUGAUGGAUUCUUCUGUGGAGUGUUUAUGAGAUAGAUUGUUAUUGCUAUAAUUGUUCCACAGAUUGGGUUAUCCAAAUGAGCAGUAUUUUGUGCACUUUGAGCUUCCUUUUUAGAUGAGUUGUGGUGUACACACUUCGAGAUUUAUCUUUUGAGAUUCGUCGAUAGAGUAGCUUUUGAGACACAAAGAGUUCUUUUAGUUCAGAUUUUUCAGAGGUUUUUGUCAUGAUGCAUCGAUUUUUGACCCAUUAAUUUCAGUAGAUGAUUGAUUUACUGGUUGUUUCAGCAAUGUGAGUACCUCGGAUACUAGGGCAUAUUCCUCCUCUCAAGCCCAAUAGUGAAAUCCUUGGCAUUUAGAGUCUACAACUUUGACCCCUUUUAUUCCCUAUUAAUUUUUGAGUUAGCCUUCUUUAUCAGUUUCUUUUAAGUCUUAAGCCUUGUCGCUUUGAGCCAUCAUUUCCUUCUAGGCCUUGAGCCUCGUAGCCCUAAGCUAUCUUCUUCUCUUAGGCCUUAAGCCACGCUGCCUUGAGCCAUCAUUUCGUUUUAAGCCCUAAGCCUCGUAGCUUUCAGAUAUCUUUCUUCUCUUAGACCCCAAGUCUCGUAACCCUAAGCUAUCCAUUCUUUCUAAGCCCUGAGCUUGGUAGCCCUAAGUUAUUCUCCUUCCCUUAAGCCUUGAGCCUUGUCGCCUCGAGCUAUCAUUUCUUUAGGCCCAAAGCCUUUCCAACCUGAGUUGAGCCUUUAUCAUUUGGUUGUCCAUGAGUGGUUUGACCUAGAGUUUACGUAUCACACUCUCCUUCUAGUUGAUUAGUCAUAAAGCUCGGAACUCAUAGCCCCAAGUUGUUCACAGAGCCCUAAGUAAUUCAUGGCAUUUUGGAGUCCUGAGCUCACAACCCGAAGUUGUUCAUAUCCUUUACAUUCCUAAGAUGUUUUGUUUUCAUCAUUCUAGCCACUCAUGAGUGGUCUUGACUCAACACAUGAGUCGGAAAGCAUCUUGAUCAACUAUCUAUUUAAAGCCUCGAGCUUGCAACCUAGUAUCGUUCUUCUCAUUCGUGACCUUGAGUUAUUCAUAGCAUUUAGAGCCUUGAGCUCAUGACCUAGUGUCAUUCACCUAUUUCAUGACUCGGAGUCAUUCAUCUUGUCUUUGACCCAGAGUCAUUCAUCUCGUCCUUAACCCAAAGUAAUUCAUCUCGUCCUUAACCCAGAGUCUUUCAUCUCGUCCUUGACCUAGAGUCAUUCAUAGCAUUUAAAGCCCUGAGUUCCCGACCUAGAGUCAUUUAUCUCACCUUUGACCCAAAGUCAUUCAUAACAUUUAGAGUUUAGAGCUUCUGAACUGAAGUCAUUUGUAGCAUGUCAACCCAGAGUUGUUUAUCCUAUUUCUGACCCAAAGUUGUACAUCUUAUCCGUGACCCAGAGUUGUCCGUUUUCAUUUAUGACUUAGAGUUGUUCUUUCCACCUUUUUCUAUCCUGUGCUACUCAUCACGUACUUUUCCCCUUUUAUUGUCAUUUUUUCCCAUAGAGUUGUUCCAUCUUUGUUGUUGCAACCUCGUGGUCCGAGCUUACCCUUGUCAUGUGUUAGGAUAAAAUUUUUGGUCAUUUUUAGUUCUUCGCUAUAGUUCACUUCGUUCCACUUAUUACUCAUAUUUCUACUCAUAUUCCUUACACUUGUGAUUUCUACUGAGUAGGGGCAUAUUUGUAGACCCUCCAUUUUGUCUCUUUAACACAUGUCUUUAAGUGCUCUUUUAGUACUUACAGUAGUUCCUUGGUGGCCUGUUGCUACUCAUACAACUUACCUUUUUUGAGCCACCUUGGAGACUUUGGUUAAAGGAUUUAUUUAGGCCCCCAUUGUGACCUUGGUAGCCCUUCGAGUUUAAGUUAGGCUUCACUUGAGUGCACUUUAGGUUAGAUUCCACUUAGUUCACCCUAGGACACUUAGACACACCUUAGGUCACCUUUAGGCGUUUUUACAUGGUUGCAUGGCUCGUAUUUUUGCAUGGCUCUUAUGGUUUGAAUGUGGUUGAUUUUUAUUUUUUUAGUUGCAUGAUUUUAAUUUCUUUUGAUUUUCAAUUUCAUGAUAUUUAUUGAUUUUAAUCUUUAUUUUAUUUCUUGCAUGAGGAAAAAAACUACUAGUUAUUUGGAAAGAGGAUCACCAAAAUUUUUGACAAAGAAAAGUCCACAACUGCAAAUGGAGUGCAAUAUUGAGGAUAUUCACGCACUAAAGGGAUCCUGGUUUUAGAAGGAAAAAGAUUUGGAUGGGAAGGUGGAAUUCUCCAGACCUGUGGCUGCCAUGUGAAGUAUUCUCUUUAAGAAAGAAAGGCAUGACUGAAGCACAAGAAGAAGAGAUUCUUGAAAGAUACAAUAGACUUAUCAUAUGGGAUUCAUGCACCUUUAAAAGAAGGAUAGCAGGCUGGCAAGGGUUCUUUCUUCAACAGAGAGGGUCAAUAACAAGUGAAAAAGGAAUGGAUUCUCUUUAUCCGAAUAAAAAAGAGAUUCAGAUUUUUUUUUAGGGCAAAGCAGACGACAUACAUCCUUGGGGGAGAAGAUAGAAUUGAAGAGCAGAGGUUUUGGAAGAGAACAAGGGAGAGGAGCAGAAGGUUUUGGUUUUCGUGAGAAGAAGGCUAGGGUAGGGAAAAAAACGAGAAAAGAGGAAUAAAAGGCAUGAAAUUUUGAAGAUGAGUAAAUCUUGCUCGAGAGGAAAGACCCCAGGUAUGACCAUUGUGAUAUGCAUAUUAUUAUUUAUUAUUUAUUAUUAUUAUUAUUAUUUCUUCACACUAUUUCGCUUGAUUUCUAGGAUUGGUUUUCAUAUGCCUAUGCUGUCAGUUCUACUCUUGUCUUACUUAGUUUGACUUGAGAGGGGCGAGACUAUAUCAUAUUCAUUGUAGGUGUGUCUAGAGAUAUUGACUACAUUUUCUUUGCUUUGUUUAUGUCUGGUUUUUUUUCACUAGGCCAAGCCCAUUGAUCUCAGCAUGAGAUGGGACUUGGUUGAUAGUUCUUAGUUGGUUUUAUCCUCUGUUUCUAUUUUACUCUUCUCUGUUUAUUGCUUAGUUUUUGGCGGGCAGUGGUGAUAUUGUUAAUGUCCAAAUUUCCAGGACUGAAUAAGUGAGGUUGUGGAGGAAAAUGAACUCGAUGUGAGGUUCCUAUUUUUGCAUCUAUGCUCCAAUCUAUUAGUUCAAAACAUGGGUCACAAAAUUGCGUUGGAGUCUUGCAUUUGGGAUUGCUUUGUAUCUGGGUUUAAUAAGCUAUAUAUUGUAGAAAAGAUGAGACUCUGAGCAUUUAGGUUGGUCAAUCUGGUCAAUACAUUGGUAUGAUUAAUCUUGGUGGAAGAAGUUGGCUUUGAGAUAGAGCUAGAAAAAGAAACCAGAAUAGAGAAGAAGCAGAGGAAGUUGAGGUAUUUUCUUGAUGGUCUUUAUCGGAUAAGAAUCUCGCAGGUUGAUGAUAUGAUCAGAGAAUAAAAACCGCUGUUGGAAUGGAGUUAAUUUCGUUUGAAGGCGAUACACUUCAGGAACCAUGUGAAGGUAGGCUAUUUGCACAGAAUGAGCAAGUCUUUCUUCUUGAUGAGUGCUUUUUCGAGAUCUUUAGACGGUUGGCCUGAAAGCUAAGAUGAUAUACUUUGUUUUCCUGACACUUGAAGACAUUUUACCUUUAAUAUGCCUGAAUCUGGGGUUAUGAGUAAUCGAUGAUCAUUAGAAGGAGCAUUAGUGCUUGUUACGGGAAUUUCUAGAACUGACCCCGAUAGUUGUUGGAUUUUUUGCUUAUGAGUUGGCUCUGAACAAAAUCUCAUUCCAAUAGUUUGGAUAACAGAUUCUAAAGCACUAAUUUUUCUAGUUCUCGAAAACCAUUGAAAUGUUCAUAGUAAGAACCGUGAUUUUGGAGAGAAAAUGUAGAGAAGACCAUGAAAGCGUCUAACUUCACUUAUGAUGAACCAAAGAAGAAGAUUGUCGAUUGAUCUUGUUUUCUCCAAAACCCAUUACCCAGUUUGAGGUUGUUGCAAUUAAGCUUUGGAAAGUUUGCAAAAGAUUUGGAACUAGAAGUAACCUUGCAGAUUAUGCAAUUGUAGUUGAAAAAGCUCUUGGAUAGAUUGGGAAUUCCUACUACAGAUGCACCUGUGGAACAUUCCAUUCUCCAAGAUAGCAUGUUUUGCAAGGUCUCAACACAGAUGGGUCACUGUAUGGGGGAUUUCUAGAACAGAAAAGUUAGAAGCACCAUAAUCACUUGCAAUGGACGCUGUAAUUAAGGUAUUCAAGCGUGUUGCUAGGUUAUCCGAAUGCAAAAGAGGAAGAUAAAGACUCAAAGUUGCUUCCAAAGAUUGGUUUUGCUCAUUCUGAUCGAUCAAAUAGGAAAUUCGGUUCUCCAGAUUUUGCUUCAUGUUUAGAUUGAAAGCCAUUUAUGUUUUGAAGCUCCAUGGUCAACCUAUUGCUCGACGAAGCUUUCUCUCACGUUCAAUUAUAUAAUUGAUUUGAAAUUAUGGCCCUGAAUUUGCUUUGGAGAUUGGUACCUCACAACUCUAAAAUAAGGUUGGGGAUGUGGGACCCACUCUUAACAUGAUACCUAUGAUUUGUAGCUUGUAGUGCACCGAGAAAGCAACUCGUUGAAGGUUCAUGUGUGGUCAUUCAAAAGGGAAGUUGGUGCUUCCAUGUGCAUAUUCAUUGGUCAUAAUGGUGAAUGUUACACAAUUGCAUACAGACCCAGAUGGAUAGUAGGGUGUAUGCAAAUGAUUUCAUGUACCCGAUUCUUUUAAACGAUGUGUUCGAUGAAUGCUUGGGUAUAUGUAGUGGAAUUGAUCCAUGCUCAAGUGGAAAAACUAGGGCUUUGUUGAGGUACUUUCAAGGUUCAUAUCAAAUCAUAAUUGGCUAUGAUGAAGGAAGUGUUAUGGAAAUGACAAUAGUGGAAAAAUAAUAUGGGCCAAUUAUAACUAAAUUCAGAUUCUGAAUAUAAGGAGUGUGGGAGCAAAUUUUGAGUUUGAAGAGGAUUCUUUUGCUAAUUCAAUUUAUGAAGCUUUUAUUCUUGAAGGAGCCACAAAGCUUAGAACUAGUUCCAACCAGGAGGAUCGAGUGAGAUUCAUCAAGAAAAAAAUACGAGUUUCAAGAUUUUUUGAAGCCUAGCUUGUGAAUUACUAUAAUUUCUUUUGGAAAGAGCUCUCUCUCCAAUAAGCUUUUCCUAGAAAGUCCAUUGAGAUUUUUUGGAAUUCUAACUCAUAGAAAUUGGAAACUAUGGUAGAUGACAAAGACGAGAGGUGAUAGUAAAGUUCACAAAAUUAUUGAAGAAACCUAUGUGGAUCAAUAUCUUGGUAUCAUUGGUUAGCAUGCUGAUAUCUUAUGUACGUGAUUGUCCACUUAAGAGCCAUUCUGCCUACUAUGUGUUUCCUUCUAGGCAUUACAAGGUUUUUAAUGACUGGCUUCCACCUACUUCUCCAUAAGAAUACACAGAUGAAGAAAUUGCACCCCAUGUUGUAUUAAAGAAAUCCUAAGUGUGCCUUCAACUCAAUCAAGGGACCCGACAACUCUGCUAAGAAGGGUAAGCUGUAGAGGAUUCCAGUAAAUCAGUUCUUGAUUUACGGCAUCCUCCUUGAUUGUAGGACUGUAGAGGAUUCCAGUAAAUCAGUUCUUGAUUUACGGCAUCCUCUUUGAUUGUAGGAGAUACAUUUUCCAUUUGUAAUUAUCUUUUCUAAUUUAUCUCUGUAUUCAAACUUCUUGUAUACGUAUAUAUAAAUGGAAAACUCAACCCCAUAGAAGUGUGGUGGUUUUAUAAACAUUGUUAUGGUAUCAGAGCAUUUUUGGAUUAACCUCCUCGAUCCUCCCAUGGCCGAUUCUUCCUUCUCCUUCAACACCAUGAUCCACAUGAUCACUAUUAAACUCUCCUCCACAAAUUAUCUUCUCUGGCGAAAUCAACUUCUCCCUCUUCUUCAAUGUCAGAAUCUCCUUAGCCAUGUCGAUGGUUCCGUUGCGCCGUCUCCAAUCACUAUAGCUGUUGAUUCUUCUUCUUCUCAACCGAAUCCUCAAUAUGUGGCAUGGCAACUCCAAGACCAACGUCUUCUCAGUCUCCUCUUCUCCUCCUUGACUGAAGAAGCCAUGGCCGAAGUUCUUGGUCUCACCAUCGCUCGUGAUGUUUGGCUUGCCUUGGAAAAUUCCUUCAGCCAUAUUUCCAAGACUCGUGAGCUUCGCAUCAAAGAUGAUUUGCAGCUCAUCAAACGUGGCACCCGAAGUGUCACUGAAUAUUCUCGUUCAUUCAAGGCUUUAUGCGAUCAGCUCACUGCAAUGGGCCGCUCAGUUGAUGACACCGACAAAGUCCACUGGUAUCUCAGAGGAUUGGGCGCUGAUUUUGCUAAUUUUUCCACUGCCCAAAUGUCUCUCACCCCAUUACCGGUUUUCAAAGACUUGGUUCCUAAAGCUAAAAGCUUUGAGAUUUUCCAGAAGUCACUCGGGUCCUCCUUCCCUGUUUCCUUUGUUUCCUUUGCUGCUUUUACUGCCACCAAUGGAUCGUUUUCUUCAUCUCGGGGUGGUAGUUCCUCCAAGUCCCGUCGUUCUCGCGGUGGCUACCAUGGAGGCCAUGGACGUGGUAAAUGUGGUUCCUAUAUUCCUCGGUGUCAAAUCUGCAAGACUGAAGGUCACACUGCUAAUCGAUGCAGGAGCUGUUACGAUCGUGCUGAACCUACAACACAACUUGCUGAAGCCUUCACCACAGCCUGUUCUCUCUCUAAUGGCUUGGAAUCUGAUUGGUUCACCGAUACCGGAGCAUCCGCUCACAUGACCCCUGAUCCUUCUCAGUUGGACAAGGUUGAGCCUUAUCAUGGUAAGGACUGUGUAAUAGUAGGAAAUGGUGCUUCUCUUCCUAUUACACACACUGGCACGCUCUCUUCCUCUUCCAAUUUUCAACUUUUAGAUGUUCUUGUUGUUCCCCGUCUUACCAAAAACUUGUUGUCCAUAAGCAAACUGACGUCUGAUUUUCCUCUCUUUGUCACAUUUUCUCAUGAUAAUUUUGUUGUCCUGAAUCGAAUAACAGGAAUGGCAGUGGCAAAAGGUAAACACGCAGGUGGUUUGUAUGUGAUGGAACGUGGUCACUCUGCAUUUGUUUCUGUCCUUAGAAAUAAGAAUUUACAUGCGUCCUUUGAAUUAUGGCAUGCUUGUCUUGGUCAUGUAAAUCACUCUAUUUUAUCUUUUUUGAAUAAAAAAGGACAAUUAUUUCUCACUUCUUUAUUGCCUACUCCCUCUCUUUGCUCCACUUGUCAACUCGCUAAGAGCCAUCGCUUGCCUUUUUCCUCGAAUACUACUCGAUCUAAUGUUGUUUUAGGUCUCGUCCAUUGCGAUAUUUGGGGUCCCGCUCCCGUCAAAUCUAAUUUGGGAUUUAACUAUUAUGUGUUAUUUAUCGAUGAUUAUUCUCAAUUUACUUGGCUUUAUCCACUAAAAUUAAAAUCCGAUUUCUUUGAUAUUUUCCUCCAAUUUCAAAAAUUGGUUGAAAAUCAAUACUCCACCAAAAUCAAGAUUUUUCAAAGCGAUGGCGGUGCCGAAUUUACAAGCAACCGUUUUCAAUCUCAUCUUCAACAAUUUGGCAUCCACCACCAAAUGUCUUGCCCAUACACUCCUUCCCAAAAUGGUCGAGCUGAGCGCAAACAUCGUCAUGUCACGGAAACUGGCCUUGCUCUCCUUUUUCAUUCCCACGUUCCUCCUCGGUAUUGGGUUGACGCUUUCAGCACAGCAACCUACAUUAUCAACCGGCUGCCUCUGCCUGUUCUUGGUGGUCUUUCACCUUUUGAAGUUUUAUUUGGUAAGUCUCCUAAUUAUGAGAAUUUCCAUCCUUUUGGUUGUCGUGUUUACCCAUGCUUACGGGAUUACGCACCUCACAAAUUUUCUCCCCGUAGCUUACCGUGUAUUUUUCUUGGUUAUAGUUCCUCACAUAAAGGUUUUCGUUGUUUUGACACCACAACUUCUCGCACAUAUAUUACACGGCAUGCUCGCUUUGAUGAACAUUUUUUCCCUUUUUCAAAUACUUCCAGUGCCACUUCUAUUGCUGACAUCAGUCUCUCAAAUUUUUUUGAACCCUGCGCCCUUGAACCAUCUCCUAGCACAUCAUCUCCUACUACUACACGGGUCCCUCCUUCUCCUCCUUGCCAAUUUUGUGCGGAUGAUUUUGCUGUUGAGCCCUUGCAGGUUUCCUCUUCUGCUACGGAGUCCACAUCUUCUUCAGCUGCGGUCUCGCCCGUAUCUGCCUCUACGACGACCUUGGUUCCUUUUGCUGCUGAAGUUUUAUGGCUCACUCAUCUCUUCCGUGACCUUCGGGUUACUUUAACUCACCGACCUCUCCUUCUUUGUGACAACAAGAGUGCACUUUUCUUGAGCUCUAAUCCCGUGUCCCAUAAGCGCGCCAAGCACAUCGACCUUGAUUAUCAUUUCCUACGUGAGCUCAUUGUUGCUGGCACUCUUCGUCUUCAACAUAUCCCGUCUCACUUACAAUUAGCGGACGUCUUCACCAAGAGUGUCUCACGGGAUCUUUAUGUCUUCUUUCGCUCCAAGCUCCGAGUUUGUGUUAAUCCCACUCUUCGCUUGCGGGGGGCUGUAGAGGAUUCCAGUAAAUCAGUUCUUGAUUUACGACAUCCUCCUUGAUUGUAGGAGAUACAUUUUCCAUUUGUAAUUAUCUUUUCUAAUUUAUCUCUGUAUUCAAACUUCUUGUAUACGUAUAUAUAAAUGGAAAACUCAACCCCAUAGAAGUGUGGUGGUUUUACAAACAUUGUUAUAAGCAAUAACCAAAUGAAACAGAUUCCACCCAAGAACUUAAUGGUGAAAUUUCUCCUACUUCUUCUACCCUAGAAAAAGCUUUUAGAGAGGCUAGACAAAGGAGCGCAUAAUAGAAAUCACCUGCAGCCAAUAGAAAAUCAGAUCCACAGUCCAAAGAAGCAAGAAUUUCAGUUCCAUUGGAACAAUGGAUAUUUUGGAAAAGACAAUAUGACAAACUUGAAUGGGAGUUCAUCUAGGCUACCCUAGAAUCAAAAUGGCCCACGUCUUAGCCUCUAUGCUAAUCCCACCAAUCACCAACCAUACCACAAUGUAUGGCUUGCUUACAACCCAUCACUAGAAGUCAUGACAAUGGAUGUUUGCAUGUACUAUCGACCAAUCUUGCAAAGUUCUAUGAUGAAAUCUGGAGCAUGUGACUGCUGAAAAUAUGGUUUUGUAGCAUUAAUCAUGAGUGAUUGAACCAUCCGUGGAUGAAACCAUGUGAAUUUUGAAAGAGCGUCAGGAGAGGAAUGAGAUCUAUCACAAUCCUGAUAAGGCAACUGACUUGAUUAUUGAAACUAGUUCUCAGGUUCGACUUCGUCACACAUAGUUUCCUGAGGAAGCAAGAGAGCUUAAGAAAGUGCUCAAAUAGAACACCAAAGAGAAGAACAAAGCAAUAUGAAGCCAAGAUUCUGAGAAGGCAGGUGAAUUACGUGAUAGAGAACUUGAUCUAAAGGCAUAGAUCUCAAGUCUCAUAGACAAAGGCAAGGAAAUGACCAAGGUAGAGUAUCCAAAUCUUUAAAGACUCUACAUAAGCUAUUAUUGAACAAAAAUAUUUACUUCCUGAACCUCCUCCAUUGGGUUUGGUCUAAGUAUCAGGAUUCAUGAGUUCAAAUGGGGAACCAAAAUUUCUCCUCAUCAAUGACUGAAAAAAAAAACAUGAAAAUGGUAGAGAUCAACAACUUUGAACUUCUGGGAUUGGAUAAGGUCAUUGACGAAGACUGAGGUAACCAGAUUGUUUGGUAAUGGGGGUGAAGUUGCAACCAUUGGAAGUGGGUGAUGGAACAUCCUCAAAGAAACUAUUGAAAGUAGAACUGAAGAACUGUUUGUGGUUUCUACAAGUUUACUCCCAAAGAAGAAAUCCAUUUUGGCACUACUGUCUUAGGAUCCCCAACAACUCAAAGUCAUAAGAUGUAGAAUUGUCAAACUGGAAUAUCAACAAUCAAGCCAGUUCCGAAAAGCAUUGCCGUCAUCUCUAAUGCCGAGAUGUAGGAGUUAAUGGCUCAACAUGGCAUUGGAAAUCAAUAAAACUUUGAACAACAGGGAGCCUUGGAAAGUGCCAAAAGAGAGCAUAAUGCAGUUAGGGAUUCAACACCAGCAAGGCAGUCUCAGUCAAGUCUCAGGCUCCACCCAUACAGUUGCCACCUUGGUGCACACCGUCCUCCUCUUAUUACUUCUUCUCUUUCUUGUGAACAUACACAUUUUAAAUCUGGAUUUCAAAAUCUUUUCCAUUAAAUAACUCCAGUUAUCUUUAAAAUUCCAUCCUUAGGAGUUCAUAGACAUUAAAAUCUAGAUUUCAACAAACUUUUAGCUGCCAAUUUUUCUUCUAGCAUGCAUUUUCACUAUUUUAUUUAAUUUUCAACUAUUCACUUGAUGUUCUCAAUUUUCAAUAGGCAUGAAUAAAUUUGAUAGUUCCAAACAAUGGAACUCAUGGCAUUAAUUCAUGCAAAAAUAAAUUGGGUCUUAGUGGGGGCCCAACAUCCAUGACGUUUUCUUUGAUAUUGAUUCAAGUGAGGUGUUUGUUUGAUGUUUGAUUGAUAUCGAUCCCCUUUGUGAUACAUGAGAUUAUUUUGCACCUGUUAUUGAGCUAACCUUGUUUCUAUAGAAGUGCUGACGUUUGCUACCCAGGUAUGCUCUCUAUCACCCACUCUUCAAAAUCCAUGAAUAUGCAGAAUAUUAUGAGCAAUACCCAUGUUCGAUGUCAUACUUGAUUAUCUUUGAUAAAAAUGCAUGUUGUGUGUCAUAUUUCUGAGCUAACUUUGAUGUCUUAUGAUAGCGUUUGAGAAGCAGUCUAAGUACACACCCUAACUCUUCUUUAUGAUUGUGAUUUGAUUUGAUUUGAUUUUUUUUCAUUUGGCAUGCUAGUGAUAAUAGAAAUUUGAAAUCACCUUAGUCUACCUAGAUAACUUCAAUCAAUCGAUUAAUUGCCACAUUUCCCUCGACUUAGGCAAUAGAGACCUCUUUAGGGCUUAGAGGGGUACUACCUCUUUGAGGUACCUUCCCAAUAAGUAACCUGAUCCUUGGACCUAGACUCGGGUUUUUCAAAGACACACUUUUUUCAAAACUAUGAAGUCAUUUUUUUAAGGUUUUCUUUCUUGUUUUAUUUUCCAUUUUAAAAUAAAAUAAAAUAAGUGGUGACUCUGACUUUUCCAAAACUAAUUUUUCACCAUUGGAAAGUGAGUCUUGUUGAUUGAGUUGGAACACACAUGAAGAUUGCGGGUCCACAAUUAUUUUUUUGUUAGGCUAGAGAAAUAACCUUUUCUCAGGGGCUUCAAGCAUGUCUAAAGAUUUAUAACGUGUUCUUUUUUAUUGGUCAAGAUUUAAAAAGGUUUAUAUACAUUUAUUCUACAUGACCAUGAACUUCAUGUCAAUCAACUUUCAAAGAUUUCAAACAUCAUCAAGUGUACCUUAAUAUAUGUUGGGAUGUAGCCUUAGAAAACAUGAUAUGAUGUAAUAGAUUGAAAUACAUUUAUAAAUUUUAUUUAUUCAUAUUUCUUGGAUUUCCUUUAUCCUGUUUGUAUUAAUUGCAUAUAUGAGCAUACACACCCAAAUCUUUUACAUUGUUCACGACUUGGGUGCAUUAGUUGUUGCAUAGAAAAUACAAGUCAUAGGAUCUUUAUAAGUAGAUAAGUUGUCCAUAGUCAGUUCAUAGAUCUGGGCAAUCUUGUAGAGAUUGUAAUGCACUAGCUCCUAAUUGGAGGGAUAACUUGUCUUGGCCGUCGGAAUGACUUUUUCAUGAUGAUUGCACUAAUGUGUAUGGUUACAUAUUGGACAGGAUCUAUGGUGAAUCAUGAUGUAAGCUAUCGAUUUUCAUGAUUCACUAAACUACUAUAUUACAUGGACUCUCAACCUUGAAAGGAUAUUGAGUUUGUGCCAAAGUUAACAGGAGGCUAUAACUUAUGGGGGAGACCCUUAGGUGGUCACAUAUCCUUGUAGAUUGAGUCAUUAUUGAUGAAGAUUGGUAACAAUAGGUAUUCUCAAUAGAGGCACCAUGAUAUCUCAUAGGAAUGAAAUAGUGUGUCCCAUUGGGUAAUCUAAAGACAUAUGAUCUAGAAGACUGACCGUAACAUUUCCUUUAAUAGAAAUUUGACAUAUGCUAUUUGAAGAGAUAAUCUUCAAAUAGAGUAUGCCAAUUGAUCACAUAAUAAGUGAGAUAUGUAAUUCAAGGAUUGAAGAGAUAAUCUUGAUAGAUGAUAACAUUACCCUGUUAGAUUACAAACACUAGUUCAUUGGAAGUAUGCAUGGAAUGUAUAGUAAGUCACGAACCCAAGUUUUGUCUUAUUGUUAUUUACAUAAUGUAUAUAGUGUUGUUGAUUCUCUGUAUCAAGAUGUUGAAUCAAUUUCAGAAUUGGAUUUUGAGGGAAUUGAUAAUCCUAUAGGUCUUAAUGGUCUCCACUUUAAGCUCGUAUAUCCUAAUGACACGAGUUAUGAAGGUUAGAUUGAUUCUAGGUUCACUCUUGUGUAUAAGGACAUUUUGGUAAUUACAUAAGAUUGCAUAGGGGAUAGCAAACAAGGAUUUGGGAUUAGGUUAAUUAAUUAAUUAAUUAAAUAACCCUAUAUGGUUAUUUAAUCAAUUAAAACCUAUUUUGGUUUAGAUUAAGUGAUCCAAACCCAUGUGGGCUUAAGUCACUUUAAGCCCGAUAGGGGAAUUCUAUAAAUACCCCUUUAGGGGUUAAGGUUUCCAAGGUUUUUGAUCAUCAUCUUCCAUUGACCGGCGUGUUGUUUGGGCUAUAGAAAAGUUGGCAAAGAAAGACGAAAUUAAUGGGAUGGAGACCGUUUGUUUCAUGAUCGUGGAACCCUCAAUAGAAUUCCAAAUUUCCAAGUGACAUGAAUUAUCUUGUUGAAACUUGAAUCCAAAUUAAUAAAUUCUAUCAUUAUACAUAUUUUGAUAUUUUUGUUAAUGGAAUGAAAUUGCGUGGAUACUAAAUUCAUCUAAUAUCAUUUUCUUUCUAUAGUUUAUUGCAUCAAUUAUCCAUGUUUCAAUAAUCGAAUACAAUCGAAUUUACUUAAAUGUUGAAUGCUACAGAAUUUGUAGUUUCAAAUUAUUUUAUCAAAAUAAUACAAAAAUUGUAGUUCACAUGUUUUUUAAGAAGAAAAGUUGGAAAAAAAAUUUUCCACACAACCUUCAGAAAAUAAUAAAUUGUUAUACGACUUAGAAUGGCAUGAAUAAGGAAAAAAACCAUCCAUAAAAGUAAUGUUUACGCAUGUUUAGGAUUAGCAGUAUCUCCAAGCUAUUUCCAAUGGGAAUUCUACUCUUUUCAUGGAUUUUCUUCAUGCCCUUAUGCUCAAGCUUUUUUCUUAUGCAUGUUGCUUUGGUGUCCGACGAGUGUCUGAGUAAUGAGAGGGUAUGCUUGGAAGAUGAGAGGAUGUUGUUGUUGCAACUGAAGAGUACCCUCAAAUUCAAUGUUGCUGCAUCUAAUAAACUAGUUUCCUAGAGUCAAAGUGCCGAUUGUUAUUCUUGGGGCGGUGUAACCUGGGAUGCCACUGGUCAUGUUGUGUCUCUUGAUCUCAGUAGCGAAUUCAUUUCUGGUGAAUUCAAUAGCUCCAGUAGAAUUUUCAGUCUACAGUAUUUGUAGAGCUUGGAUUUAGCUAGCAACACCUUCUACUAUUCUCAAAUUCCAUUUGGAUUCGAUAAGCUUGACCGUUUGAUAUACCUGAAUUUGUCUAGCGCUGGGUUUUUUAGGUAGAUUCCAAUUGAGAUCUCACACUUGAGGAAAUUGGUUACUAUUGAUUUCUCCAUGUCUUAAUUACCUAGAGUUCCUACGUUGAAACUUGAGAAGCCAAAUCUGAGAAUGCUAGUUCAAAACCUAACAGAGCUUAGAGAACUCUAUCUUAAUGGUGUAGACAUAUCAGCCCCGGGGAAUGAGUGGUGUCAGGCAUUAUCAUCAUCUGUACCUAAUCUUUGAGUUCUGAGCUUGUCCUGGUGUUUUCUUUCAGGCCCUAUUGAUUCUUCCAUGGUGAAGCUUCACUCCCUGUCAGUUAUUCAUCUUAAUUAUAAAAUUUUCACAACUCCAAUUUAUGAUUUUUUGGCAAAUUUCUCAAAUUUGACUUCUUUAAGCCUCAGUUGUUGAGGACUAUAUGGAGCAUUCCAAAAAAUAUCUUUUAGGUACCAACCUUGCAAAUUCUUGACUUGUCUAACAAUCAGUUACUCUGGGGUGCUUUGCUAGAGUUUCCUUAGGGUGGGUCUCUACGGACUCUAGUGCUUUCGGAUACAAAAUUUUUUGGGCAUAUGCCAGAUUCCAUAGGUAAACUUGAGAUGUUGUCCUGGAUAGAACUAGCACGUUGCAAUUUCAGUGGACUAAUCCCCAGCUUUAUAGAAAAUCUUACUCGAUUGUUUUACCUGGACUUAUCGUCAAAUGGCUUUGCUAGUUCAAUUCCAUCCUUUCGUUCUUCAAAGAAUCUGACCCAUAUAAACCUUUCUCGUAACUAAUUUACUGUUCAGAUUAUUUUCCACCACUGGGAAGGUCUUUUGAAUCUUGUGAAUCUGGACUUGCAUCACAAUUUGCUGCAUGGUGGUCUUCCACUGUCCAUAUUUUCUCACUUAUCACUGCAGAAUAUAUGGCUUAGCAAUAACCAAUUUUCUAGUCAACUCAAUGAAUUUUCAGCUGUGUCUUAUGUACUGGAGGCCCUUGAUUUGGGUAGCAACAAUCUACAAGGGCCAAUACCCAAGUUUGUCUUGUUAAUAAAACCAUUAUGAAUCCAAAUUCUACAUAGAAAUCUCAUGUAAAUCAUAUAAAGAAAUUUUGCUUGAACAUUUUACGGAAUGCAAACAUACAAAAUCCGAACUAACCUGAGUCCAUUGUGGGUGUUGAAGAAGUAUGGAUCUUCUAAGGCGAUAGAGAGGAAACCACCUUUUGCUUAAUCUCUCUGGUUAUGGGAUGCAGGAGAGCGAGCGUUCUUUCUUUUCAAAAAAUAUAUAUAUCUUGAACGAACACCAACCUGAUGAAUUCCUUAUAUCCUCUAUGCCUUAGGGACCAUACCCUUUGGAUAUUGGGCCAUAUGUGUCUUUGGCCCAUCAUUUGAGACACAUAUGGUAUUGGGCUCUACACAUAAGGUGGCCUAUACUUUAUAACAAAUAUAAAUUAAAUAUAUACAUGCGAAUAGCUUAAUCAUAAACUAUGCUUCAUAUCUGUGAGUCCAUAGUUAUUCUAACAAUCUCCCACUUGUACCACAUAUAUUACCGAACAAUGUUUAUGAUAGUACUUUAUUGAGCUCAUCUUUGCUAUCCCAUCUAAUUGGUCCUACUUUAUGACUAAAAAUAGUCAAAUUUCACUUUCAACACUUGAUGCUAAACUGCUUCUACAAGUCAUCAUUUCAAUUCAGAGUAUUCAAACAUAAUAAUCUUUAAAACCAAAGUCUAUACAGAUAACACAAACAUAACAAUACAUCAAGAAAACAAACAUAAAACCUAAAUACAAACUCCCACUAUACUAGCACAUCAUUAAUAUGUACAACAUCCAUAUGUGUGACAUACUCAUGAUAUACUUUGGGUGGCAAACCCUUAGUGAGUGGAUCCGCAAUCAUGGAGUUUGUGCUUAUGUGGUCAAUUGAUACUUGAAGACUCUGAACUCUUUCUUUCACAACCAAGAACUUGAUGUCAAUGUGUUCGAACUUUGACAAACUUUGAUUGUUCUUAGAAUACAAUUCUGCGACCUUAUUAUCACAAUUGAUUCUCAAUGGUUUCUCAAUCCCAUUAACAAUUUGCAAUUCUGUGAUAAAAUUCCGUAGCCAUAUCCCAUGGUUUGAUGCCUCAUAGCAGGCUAUGACAUCUGCCUCCAUAGUGGAAGAAGCAAUAAGUGUUUUUUUAACACUUUUCCAAGAAACUACUCCUCCAGCCAACAUGAAGAUGUAGCCUGAAGUGGAUCUCCUAUUGUUAAGACAUCCCGCGAAAUCGGAGUCCGAAUAUCCCACGAUCUCUAAAUGAUUGGAUCUUCGAUAUGUGAGCAUCUAAUCUUUAGUUCUUUGUAAAUACCGCAUAACUCGUUUUUCCUUUUUCCAGUGAUCCAUACCUGGGUUACUCAAAUAUCUGCCCAACAUUCCAACAAUGUACACAAUAUCCGGACGCAUACAAACUUGUGCAUACAUGAGACUUCCUAUUGUCGAGGCAUAGGGAAACCUCUCCAUAUUCUUCAUCUCAAGUUCAUUUUUCAAACAUUGGUGCAAGCUAAAUUUAUCGCCUUUUGCCACAAGCAUGUCUCUUGGUGCAUAAUUGCUCAUGCCAAACCUACUUAACACAUUAUCGAUGUAGGACUUUUAUGAUAGCCCAAGUAUACCUCUUGAACGAUCCCUAUAUAUUCUUAUACCCAGCACAAAAGAUGCAUUAUCAAGAUCCUUCAUGUAAAAUUUACGGAAUAGAAAUCGCUUGGUUUCAUGCAAAAGUUCCACAUCACUACUUGGAAGUAGAAUAUCAUCUACAUAUAGCACCAAGAUAAUGAAUUUGCUCCCACUGAACUUGAGAUAUAUGCAGUGAUCAACGAUGUUCUCCUUAAAAUUAAAUGAAGUAAUCACUUGAUCAAACUUUCGGUACCAUUGUCGAGAAGCUUGUUUUAAACCAUAUAUGGACCUUUUUAAUGUGCAUACAAGUUGCUUUGACUCAUUAGACUCAAAUUUCUCCGGUUGCACCAUGUAUAUUGUCUCAUCAAUGUUACCAUUAAGAAACGCAGUUUUAACGUCCAUUUGAUGCAACUCUAAAUCAUAAUGAGCCACAAAUGCCAUGAUGAUUCUAAAGGAGUCCUUUGACGAAACCGGUUAAAAGGUCUCCUUGUAAUCAAUACCUUCUUUUUGAGUAAAACCUUUUGCGACUAGGCGUGCCUUAUACCUAACAAUGUUGCCUUUUGAAUCCUUCUUGGUCUUAAAAAUCCAUUUACAACUAAUCGGUUUUACAUCUUUAGGCAACUCUACUAGGUCCCAAACACCAUUGUGUUUCAUUGAUUUCAUCUCAUCCUUCAUGGCUUCUAUCCACUUUUCAGAGUCAGAACAUUGUUUGACUUGACUAACUAAAAUUGGAUCAUCUUUUAAACCCAUGUCAAACUCAUGUUCCUGGAGAUAUACAACAUAAUCAUCUGAAAUUGUACUUCUCCUUUCUCUAGUGGAUCUUCUCAAUGGUACUUGUACUUGAGGUUGUUGAAGUUGUUGAGUUACCUUUUCAUGAACUUGAAUUGGUUCCACAACUUGAGUAGGAGGAAUUUCAGGUGUGUCUACAAUCUCUGUUAUUGGUUGUACAUUCUGGAUAGUGUCAUCAAACAUAAUAUGACCAUGUCUAGUUGCAAUAAUAGGAAUACUAACAGAUUCUUCUUCAAAGACCACCUUUCUUAAUGGCUCUCUCCCACUUAACUCAACAUUCUCAAUGAACUUAACAUUGCCCGUUUCAAAGAAAGACUUAGUUGAGGGGUUAUAAAACUUGAAACCUCUCGACCUUUCAGAAUACCCUACAAAGUAGCAGCUCACUAUUCUAGAGGCCAAUUUCUUUUCAUUUGGCUUAUAAGGCCUAGCCUCAGUUGGACAACCCCAAACAUGCAAAUGCCUAAUACUAGGUUUCUUGUUAGUCCAUAACUCAUAUGGGGUUUUGGCUACUGCUUUGCUUGGGACUCUGUUCAAAAUGUAAACUGCAGUUUUGAUAGCUUCACCCCAAAGUGAUUCUGGUAAGGUGGAAUGACUGAUCAUACUUCUUACCAUAUCCUUAAGAGUACGGUUUCGCCUCUAUGCUACACUAUUUUGGCUUGGAUUCCCCGACAUGGUGUACUGAGGAAUGAUACCACACUCCAUAAAAUAUUUAGCGAAUGGCCUUGGACGUUGUUCACCGGAUCCGUCAUAUCUACCAUAAUAUUCAUCUCCACGGUCAAAUCUAACAACCUUUAUUUUCUUGCUUAGUUGGUUCUCAACUUCAGCUUUAAAAUUCUUGAACACAUCCAAUGAUUGAGACUUCUCAUGAAUCAAAUAAAGAUAGCCAUAGCAUGAGUAAUCUUUAAUGAAAGUGAUAAAAUGUUGUUGCCCAUUCCAAGAAGGGGUAGGAAAUGGACCACAAAUGUUCGUAUGUAUCAAUUCCAAGAUGUCACCCUCACCUAUUGGCAUCCUUUUUCUUCACAUUUUUUUGUUUACCCUUAAUACACUCUAUACAAACUUGAAAGUUUGACAAAUUAAGUGGAUCAAGAAUUCCUUCUAACACAAGCCUUUGAAUACGUUGAUUUGAAAUAUGACCUAAACGCUUAUUCCAUAGCAUUGAUGAAUUCUCAUUUGUUAAUUUUUCACUUAAUGCCAUAAUUGCUUGAAUGCAAGGUUUCAUUACCAUUAGAGACCUUUAUGUUCAAUUUGUAUAACUUAUCUUUUAGACUACCGGUACCAAUAACACUUGAAUUUAAAUAAAAACUAACCAUUCCAUUUCUAAAUGAACAAUAAUAUCCACAUUUGUCCAAACAUGAUACAGCAAUUAAAUUUCGUCUAAACGAUUGUACCACAAAAGUCUCUUUUAAAUCCAAAGUAAAACCAGAAUUUAACUGUAAUCUAAAAAGACCAAUAGCCUUCACUGCAACCUUAUUUUCAUUUCCCACAUAGAUGUAUUUUUCAUCAUCAGUUGGAAUUCGGCUCCUUAGGCAACCCUGCAUCGUGACACUAAUGUGAGUAGUUGCACUGUAUCUAUCCACCAAGUGUCAAUAGGCACUAUAGCUAAAUUAAUUUUUGAACAAACAAAGUUGAGAAGUGUACCUUUCCUUUCACGCCAAGCGGCAUAUUUGGUACAUGUCUUCUUCAUAUGACCAGCCUUCUUGCAAAAGAAACAAGUGAUCUCCUUAUCUUGUUUUUUCUGCACCUUUUGCUUAGAUGUCCCAGAAAAUGCAGUUUGUUUUCCUUUAUUGUCCAUUUUUCUUGUCUUGUUGGUACCAAAUCCCUGAGAUGUGGAAGCCAAGUGAGCACUUUCUAUCUUUUCUUGUUUCAAUCUCUCCUCUUCUUGUACACAUUGAGCAAUAAGCUCAUUCAUAGUCCAUUUUUCCUUUAGUGUGUUGUAACUGAUCUUGAAUAGACUAAAUUGUGUAGGUAGAGAGAUCAAGACCAAGUGCACAAGUAUGUCUUCUAACAACUCUAACUUUAGUGCCUUGAGUCUAGUCAUAAGAUUGGACAUUUCCAUUAUGUACUCCCUUAUAUUCUCUUUCCCUUUGUACCGCAUGGAGACAAGCUUACUAAGAAUAACGCUUGUGUCAACCUUUUCGUUUGCAGCGAAUUGGUUUGCUAUCUGGUCCAAGAAUGUCUUGGCUCGGGUCUUCUCAGGUAUUGCACCCCUUAUAGCUUUUGGAAUUGAGUGCUUCAUUAUCAUUAGACUCAUGCGAUUGGAUCGCUUCCAUUUUUCCAUAGCAGCCCUUUGCUCAGCAGUACUGGCACUAGUGAGGUCUGUAGGGCGAUCCUCUCUUAAUGCAUAGUCCAAAUCCAUGCACCCGAGCACAAUUACAAUGUCGUCCUUCCAUUUCUUGAAGUUUGUGCCAUUAAGCAUAGGAAUGUUAUUAACAUUAGCAAAUAUAGAAGAUGCUGAAUCCAUAACAUUAAAUCUCACAAUCAGUCACAAAAAAUAUCAUAAUAAAUAAAAAAUUUAACAUAUAUAUAUAUAUAUAUAUAUAUUUAUAUAUAUAUGCAUGUGGGCUUAUUACAAGAUACCUAGCACAAACAUUAAUAUUCAGUCUUUGGACAAAAAUAUCAACUUGUAAUUGGUAUCCUUUUACAAAAUUAGUUCAUAAAUAUUGACAAUAAAACCAAAGCAAUAUGCCUAUCUUUGGACUGACAUACAGCAUGCAAGGUAAACUUUAUAUGUCACAUAUUUAUGACUACUUUAUUUAUUAUUAUAUUAAAAUAAUCUUCCUUUGGGCCAAUUAUUUUAUACAAUAAUAACAUGUUUACAUAUUUCAAAAUAAAUAAAAUUAUAUAAUAUAAGUCACUUUGGCAACAAAUAUACAUAACUCAUUUAUUUUAAAAAUAUUAAACACAAAUGCAACAAGAAAUGGUAAAUUCGUAUAUUUAAUGUGGUACAGAAAAGAGAAUACAGAAAUUUAUCAAAAUCAUAAUUUUUUAUGGUACAAAAUCAUAAACAAGCAUAAGGGUUCUGUAGCUCAAUUGGUAGAGUGCAAGACUCUCAACCUUGUGGUCGUGGGUUCAAACUUAAUUAGGCUUUAACAUGUUUUGUGCUCUGGAUAACUUUUCUCCUAUUUUUAUAUCCUUGUUUUUGUUAAUUGUUUUAGGAAUUCUGUACUUACAAAAUUGCACAAUUUAUUGAGCUUAUAUGUGUCGUGCAGUUAAUUUGGUUUUGGCAUGAACUUUGACUUUGCUUAUUUUGUGUGCCCAUUUUUUUUUAAAAAAUCGGCAGUAAGUACCUUUUGAAAAUAGAAUUGUUGUCAUGUUUAAACAUUUCAUGUUUAAAUGGGCAAUAAUUACUUUAUUGGGCUUGAAGUUGCUUUUCUAUUUGCAAUACUUAAAGGCUUACUAUAUGAUUGAUUGGGUGGUGUUUUGUAGAAAUGAAGCUCCAAACGAUGCCGACAUUGGCGCCUUAAAGCCAAAGGACACCAACAAAAGAAGGACCCAUGGCGACGCCGAAUACCCCAGUAGUGGGGCCAAAUGAGGCCACAACGUCUUUCCGAUCGCCUAAAACGGCGCCAACAACCCUCUCUAGGCGGCAUCGCGGGGAACGCCUACAACGGCACCAAAACGACACUAGAACAAUGCUUUUUCGAUCCCCUAACGACACCAAAAUGGUGUCAUUGACUGGCGGAAUGGCAUCCAGCGCUGCUCCGAUUGCCAAAACAGCGCUUGCAGUGCUCCUCAAGGCGGCGGGGUAGUGGAAGCAGUGUCACCACUAUCACCGGUAGAGGCACCAAACGACGCCACAACGCUUCUCUGAGCGCCAUUCUUUGCUCUCUAGAAACCCGAAUCACCACCCUCCCUAAUGGCCUCCGAAUCGCCACCGAAUCAAGUCUCCCAAGCUGUGUUGCGGUUGUUGGUGUCUGGAUCUACUUCGGGAGUCGCUUUGAGAGCAACGCCACCAACGGUGUGGCUCAUUUUCUAAAACGCAUGGUGUUCAGGGGCACGGAAAAGAGGCCUGUUGAGGGUUUUGGUGAAGGAAAUUGAGAGCAUGGCGAUCACUUGAUGAUUUAAAAAAUGGCAAUUUCUUAAUGAUUUAACAUGCUGCUCUAAUACCAAUUGUUAAUAAAACCAUUAUGAAUCCAAAUUCUACAUAGGAAUCUCAUGUAAAUCAUAUAAAUAAAUUGUGCCUGAACAUUUUACGGAAUGCGAACAUACAGAAUCCGAACUAACCUGAGUCCAUUGUGGGUGUUGAAGAAGUAUGGAUCUUCUAAGGCAAUAGAGAGGAAACCACCUUUUGCUUAAUCUCUCUAGUGAUGGGAUGCAGGAGAGCGAACGUUCUUUCUUUUCAAAAAAUAUAUAUAUCUUGAACAGACACCAACCUGAUGAAUUCCUUAUAUCCUCUAUGCCUUAGGAACCAUGCCCUUUGGAUAUUGGGCCAUAUGUGUCUUAGGCCCAUCAUUUGAGACACAUAUGGUAUUGGGUUCUACACAUAAAGUGGCCCAUACUUUAUAACAAAUAUAAAUUAAAUAUAUAUAUGCAAAUAGCUUAAUCAUAAACUAUGCUUCAUAUCUGUGAGUCCAUAGUUAUUCUAACAUGUCUUUGAUCUUUGGGGUCUUCACAUCCUUGAACUUUCUUUCAACAAACUCAAUGGCACCCUUGAACUAAGCAAAUUUCAAAAACUAGAGAACCUUACUAUUCUGAGUCUUUCACACUAUAGGUUGUCAAUCAAUGUGGAUGGUUUCAAUUCCACCUUUUCUAAACCCCCGCAUUUCACCACAUUAAAAUUGGCUUCUUGCAACCUGAGAAAAUUCCCUGAUCUAAGGAACCACUCAAAGUUUUUGACAUAUUUAGACCUUUCACAAAACCAAAUUCAAGGGGAAAUACCUAAUUGGGUUUGGAUGAUCAGCAGUAGCUUCCUUAUGCUUUUGAAUCUCUCACAAUUUGCUGGUGGGUCUGCAACAACUUUUCUCCAAUUUUGCUCCUUAUCUCUGUCUACACUUGACCUACAUUCCAACCUGCUCCAUGGACGAAUCCCCACCCCACCCCAAUUUUCCAACUAUGUGGAUUACUCAAACAACAACUUCUUCUCUUCCAUCCCAGAUGAUAUUGGUACUUACAUGUCCUUCACUGUUUUCUUCUCUGUUUCAAAGAAUAAAAUCUCGGGAAUCAUGCCUGCAUCCAUCUGCAGUGCAACUUACCUCCAAGUUCUUGACUUUUCUAACAAUGCUUUGAGUGGUGGAAUACCUUCAUGUUUGAUUGAGAAUGAGGCUCUUGCGGUUCUGAAUCUACGGAGAAACAUGUUUAGCGACACUUUAUCUGGGAAUUUUCCUGGAAACUGUAAUUUACAGACUCUAGAUCUCAAUGGCAAUCUUUUAGAAGGGACAAUUCCAGAAUCCGUAGCCAAUUGCAAAGAGCUAGAGGUUUUAAACCUUGGAAAUAAUCACAUAGAUGACAACUUCCCUUGCUGGUUGAAGAACAUGAGAAGUUUGCGUGUGCUUGUUCUGUGAGCCAACAGAUUCCAUGGACCCAUUGGAUGUCCAAAUAGCAAUUCCACCUGGGCAAAGCUUCAGAUUGUAGACCUAUCUUACAACAAUUUUAGUGGGAAAUUCCCGGCAAAAGGCUUUUUGACCUGGAAAGCAAUGAUGGCUAGUGAAGAUGGAGUCCAAUCAAAGCUAAAUCACAUGCAAUUUAAGGUCCUAGAAAUGAGUGAAUUGUAUUAUCAGGAUGCUGUAAGUCACCAGCAAAGGUCAAGAAAUGGAGCUUGUGAAGGUCCUGACUCUCUUCACUUCCAUCGACUUCUCCUUCAACAACUUUGAAGGCCAGAUACCAGAAGAGAUGGGAAACUUCACAUCACUAUAUGUCCUCAACUUAUCCGGUAAUGGUUUCACAGGCCAAAUCCCAUCAUCAAUAGGGCAGCUGAGACAGCUCGAGUCAUUAGACCUCUCACGCAACCACCUGAGAGGGAAGAUCCCCAGAGAGUUUGUGAGCCUAACUUUCCUUUCAGUCCUGGACCUCUCCUUCAAUCAGUUAGUGGGGGCAAUCCCAAGCGAUAAUCAAUUUCAAACAUUUUCAGAAGCUACUUUCCAAGGGAACAAAGGAUUGUGUGGCAACCUUUGAGUGUAAAUUGCGAAGAGGAAACACCAUCACCGACGUUUGAUGACAGGCACUCAGCUUCCCGAAUGGAGAUUAAGUGGGAAUACAUAGCUCCUGAAAUAGGAUUUGUGACAGGGUUGGGAAUCGUGAUUUGGCCUCUAGUGUUGUGCAGGAGAUGGGAGGAAAAGCUACUACAAACAUGUUGAUAGAAUUCUUUCAAGGAUUCUCCAUAACCAAGACCAAAGAAGAGCGAGUGAUGGAAGAAGAGCUCACAGGGAGGCGGAGAAUGUAGCAGUGGUGCAGAGGGAUGUAGUUGCUAGUCAUAGUCUAUUUCCAUUAAUGAAAAAAUUGUAUAUUUAGGUUUGAUUUCUAUAAAUUUCUGGUGAAUGCAUAACUUUAUAUUUGGACGGUAUAAUGGUGAAGAUUUUUGAGGAUCAUAAGAAUUUGAUUUUCCGAAUAACUUUACUCCCAGCUUUUAUUAAACAUAUAUUUUUUUAAUUUAUUAAAGAAUUUAAAUUCUGAAACCACCCCAUCAAAAGCUUUUCUACAAAAGUAUCAAAUCUUAAAUUCGGGGGAAAAAAAAAACAAAAAAUAACCUUGAAAGUUCUUUGGCUUCAUAAUAUUUUAGUCAUAAAAUCCUUUUCAAUCAUUGUAUAAAACUCUAUUUUUUUUUUUCAAAAAAAAAAAAUCAAAGCUAUGGAAAAGUUUGAACAUGAGAUCCAACUAUAUAUAUAUAUAUAUAUAUAAAUAAUAUUUAAUAAAAAAAUCUGUUCUACCCAUGUGCAGACAAGCUUCUUAUUCAAAGCCAAAACUAUAGUCUAUAACGUUGUUAAACGUGCCCAAAAUAAAAUUCUAAUUUUGGGCUGGAUGUGGGCUUGAGUUGGGUCAAACUUGGUUGGCUGGAUUUGGGUCAUUCAAAAAAUAUGGGCCUGAUUGGUACAUCAUAUGACCAACUGAGGUAGCUAGGCCCAUAUUCAGCCCAAUUAACACAUCUGAAGCCAUAAGGGAUUCAAGAUUCAAAAACACGUAAUUACCAGACUAGGUUGUAAUUUUGAGUCGCUACAGAUAAAAGAUCUUCCUAUGUUAUACUAUCCAAUUUUCAAGAAUAAACAAUUUGAUAGCUUAGAUAUUGUUAUUCGUGAUAUUGAUAUGAUUUAAUAUCAUCGAGAUGUAAUUCAUACCAUUGAAUUUACAUUAUAGUUGAAAGAUUUAUCAUCUUUAUGAGAUUAAAUCUCGAGUUAUUACCAAAAAUAAAAAUAAAAAUGAUAUUAUGGAAGUAAAUACUCUCGCAUUUGUUGCUAUUGCAAUCUCCAUUCUAGGUCCUAAUAUUUUACUUAUCAAUUAUGUAAAAUCAAUUAGCCAAAACAACUAAUUUGAAUGAAAUUGAACUUCUUAGUUCUUAUCAUUAAUUAAAGAAAUAAAAUGAAUAUCAAUAAUUGAAUAAAUAAAAUGAAAAGGGUUCCAAUUUAGUGUCUUAAAUGAAAUGUAAUAUAUUUAGGUAUUUUUAUUUCAUACCGAACUUUUGACAUAUGAGUUUGACUACUAAUCCAAGAAAAAAGGAUAUUUAAAAAAAAAAUCAAACAACAAUCCUGCCACUCUUACCAAGGUAAUGAAUAAUCCUUUUUAAGGGGUCCAUAAAAAAAGAACAAACUCUAAAAUAGUGAAUUAGUUUUAUGGAAUAUUAUAUUUUUAUAUUAUGACUUGGUUUUAUCACUUUGCUUUGUCUUUCAAUAAAAUUAGAUCAUUAAAAAAAUAGAAUUUAGAACUGAAACCCUAUUUCCUUUUUCCAUUUCACUUCUAUUAUUUUUUUGGGUUUAUAAUAAAUGGAUAAUACUUAACUUAAGGGGAAGAAAGUCUAACAUUACAAGUGGCUGCUAUAAAAAAUUCUAUAGAAUUUAUCAUUUAUCAUUUUUAAUUUUAAUAAUAUAUAAAUGAUAUAUUUAUGAUAUUAUUAGUUUGACCAUAGUAGUUUGAUCAUUGCAUCGUGAACUAAUAACUUUUCCAAUUCGAGGAUUGAUCAAAUUUUGAAUACAUGGAGCAUGACAAAUGGAAAAGCAAAUUAAUUUUUUUUUAAAAAAAACAAAAAACAAAAACAUGAUUUCUACAUCAAAAUCUUUAUAAUCGCUCAUUAUGGAUGGAUUUACAUGCUCCUUCUAAGAUAUCUAAUCUUGGUGGAAAGUAUUAUGCAUUUGUUAUUAUGAAUGACUUAGGUACAUAUGAGUUCUAUUUUUAAGUCACAAAAAUGAACAUUUUAUUUUUAUUUUUUCAAAAUUUUGUAAAAAGGUUAAAAAUGAAAAAUGUUUCACAAUCACAUACAUGAGAAAGUAAUCGCAAGGGAGAAAUUGAAAAUUUUGAUUUUGCAACCUUUCGUAGUGAUCAUGUAUUGAACAUAAUUUUUUAGCUCUUAAAAUACCUCAACAAAGAGUUGUUAAAGAGAGAAGUAGAACUUUAUAAGAAAUGACAAAAACUUAGCUUAAUGAAAAUAAUCCGCAAAAUUAUUUUGGGUGAAAGCAACUAAUAUUACUUGUUAUAUUUUAAAUAAAAUUUUAAUGUAAUCCAUUUUGAUUUCUAUGAGUUUUGAAAAAAUAAAAAAUUCAAUAUUAAUUAUUUUAAAAUUUUUUGGUGCAAAUGUUUUAUCUUAAACUAAAAAGAUAAGGGAUUCAAAAUUAGAUAUUAGGAUUUUCCUUGGUUAUUCUUGUGUAAGUAAAAGUUGUAUAGUUCUCAACAAAAAGACCUUUAAAGUAGAAAGUUUAUGCAUGUUGUAUUUGAUGAAUAUAUAAUCCUUUCUCUCAAGAUAGCAUCAAGCUUAAUGAUGAGAUAAGUCAUUAAGAAAGGCUAAGCAAACUCAACUUGGAUAAAACUCAACCUUGACAUGAAGUAGAAAAUCUAAAGCCUAUAAAAAGGAGCAACUUUCACUUGUGUUUCCACCAUAAGAAGGGACAAGUACUCUAGAGAUCUUCCAAAAGAGUGAAAGUUUGUCAUCCAUCAUCCUCAAGAAUGAAUUAUAGGUAAUCCAUUUAGAACGAAAAAAACUAAAUCAUCUCUUAAAAAUAUUUGCAACAUUCUUGUUUCCUUGUCUCAAAUUGAACAAAAGAAAAAAAAAAAUUCAUGAGAUUGAAAAUGAUGAAAUUGGAUAAAUGUUAUGCUAGAAGAGCUAAAUAAAUUUAAAAGGAAUGAACGACAAGAACUAGCUUAUGGACCUUCUAAUCAAUCUAUAAUAGGCACAAAUGGGCAUUUAUAAAUAAAAUAAAUGAAGAUGUUGUAAGGGUAAGAAACAAGGGUAGGUUAGUAAUUGGAGGUUUUCAUCAAGAAAAAGGUAUAAAUUAUGAGAACACGUCUACUUUCUUUCUAGAUUAAAGGCUAUUAUGAACAUGUUGAUUGCAUUUACAUGUUAUAAAAAAAUUAUUUGAUAUUAAAUGGAUGCCAAAUGUGCAUUUUCAAAUGGUUAAAUAAUAGGAGUGUAUGUAUGGCAAUCUCUUGGUUUUACAAAUUAGCUAGCAACAAUUUAUUCAUCUUUUGUUAUAUAUGUGGAUAAUGCAACUAAAUUUUACCUUUUGUUAAACCAAGAAACUAGUGAGGUCCCAAGGAGUGUUUCACUAGUGUGUUUCUUAUAUAUAUAAUUAAGUCAAAGUUAGUACUCUUACAAUGUCUUAAACCAAAAUAAAUAAUUAUUCUUUUUGAAUAUCUAAAAAGUCUAUUUAUAACAUUAGAAUGAGAUUUCUUAGGACAUGAUUAAAAUCUUGUACACAAGCAUACACAAAGCAUGAUAUCUGACUUAUUAAUGGUAAGGUAGUACAUUGAACCAAUCAUGUCACUAUAAGAGAGUAUGGUUAUCUAAAAAUUCUAUAUAUGACAUCAGAAUGAGAUUUCUUAGGACAUGAAUAAAAUCUUGCAUGUAAGCAAAUGCUAAGCAUGAUAUCCAACUUAUUAAUGGUAAGUAGUACAAUGAAUCAAUCAUGUUACUAUAAAAGAGUAUGGUUAAUAGAUUGUCCUUGUUCAUCUUUGUUAAGCUUGAUAAAUAAACUCAUUAAAGUUUCCAUAGUCUUUAUAUCUUCCAUCUUGGACUUUUUAAGAUCUUUAAUAUAUUUUAUUUUAUUAAUAAUGUAUUUUUUUGAUAGCUCAACUUGUAGAUCAAGAAAGUAAUUGAGCUCUUUUAUCAUAUACUCAUUUCAAAUUCAUUUUGUAUACACUUAUAGAAUCCUUGACGAAGAGAGAUGUUAGAAGCACUAAAUAUUAUGUUAUUAACAUGAAUUUGAACUAUGAGCAAAUCAUUACCUUUGGUGCUGAUAAAAAAUUUAAUGUUUAUUUUGCCCAUUUUAAAACUAUUAUCAAGUAGAAAUUUGUCCUAUAUUUUAUACCAUGCCUUAAAUUUAUAAACAUGUCUAUUUCAAAAAUAAAAAUAAAAAACUUAAAUACAUUAUCCAUACUUUCAUAUUAAACUUUUUUUAAAAAAUAAAAAUAAAUUACCUAAAUAAGUUCAAGAGAAUUCACCUUCUUAAAAAUAUGUUAAAAAAACAAAAAAAAAACAAAACUUAAAUAUAGAGGAAUAAUAGAUGGGAAAUUAUGACAUAUAAUUCUCAUUGAUGAUGAUGGAUAUUUAUAUACAAAUACAGUUGAGUUAUAUUAUAAUUGAAACUUUAUCUUCUAUUAUAAUUCAAACUAAUGGUAAACUUCUACUCUAAUUCAAAUUGUAUAUUCUACUCUAAUUCAAACUAAUAUAUAAUAAAUAGAUAAAUACUAAUAUUUAAAUUACAAAUAACAUUAACUUUCUUUGAUAUGCCCUUGCAAGAUGUAGCAUUGAUUGGAGAUUCAAAUCUUGGUCUUGAGAGAAAUAAAUAAAUAAAUAGACUGCGAUGUAUUCAAAUUUUUUUGGGGAGGGUGGUUUCCCCGAGUCUAGGCGAUGAGUGGAUUCAACUUCGUGGCUAAAAGAUUAGGCAAAAGUAGUGGGAUCUUCCUAAGUCGAAUUUCUAAAAUCUUUGAGGAACUUAUAGAAAAAAAAAAUGUUUGUUAAAGGAAGAGUAGGAUUAAGAGCUUUAUUUGGCAUUAAACUAGAUAAUGUUUUAGAAGUUAAUGCAAUAAAUGACAUAGGAGUUAAAAGGGAAGGAAUAGUAUAAGGCAAAUCUCAAGUAGAGGUAGAGGAACAUGACCAUGUUUGUUUUUCGAAGACAUGCUAGAAAACAAUCAAAUAUUUGAGGAAGCUUUUAGAGAAAGAGAGAGAGGCAAAGUUGAAGAUAAUAAAUAAGUAUAUGUUUAAUUAAGGGAACCAAUAUUGGUAGGAAGCAAAGAAGAAGAAAAUUGUGGAAGGUUUGAAACAAGAAAAUUUGAAGCUCUUGAUGUCAAGAGGUAUUGAAAUCAAGAUACUGCAUUAGAGAUUGUAGGGAAAGAGACAUUGAAACCAAGAUAUUACAUAGGAGUCUAUAAGGAAUGAGGCAUUGACAAUAAAUAGACAUAGUAAGGUCUCUAACAUUUGUGGUAGGGGUUGAGGAAGGUGAUGUAGGGCCUAAGCCUACACCCUAAAUUUACUCCAAGUUGAGACUAGGGUUUAGGAUUCAAAGGCUUUGAUACCAUAUAGAGGAAUAUUUUUAUAGAAAUACAUUUGAGUUCUACUAUAAUUCAAACUAAUAGUAGACUUCUCAUCUAAUUCAAAUUCUAUAUUCUACUCUAAUUCAAACUAAUAUAUAAUAAAUAGAUAAAUACUAAUAUUUAAAUUAAGAAUAACAUUAACUUUCUUUUAUAUUAAAUACAUUAUCCAUGUAACUCAAAAAGAAAAAAGAAAAAGAAAUCUUAAAUGCAUUAUCCAUGCUUUCAUAUUAAUUUUUUUUAAUGAAAUUAACAAAAUAAUUUCAAUAGUAUUUGCCUUCUAAGGAACCAAAAAAUAAAAAAUUUGUUCAUGCUUUUAGAUUUAUAUAGCGGAAAAUACUCUUAUCAAUAUAUUGACUUGCAAGAUUCUUUUGAUUCAACUUGAAGAAUAAGGUAGCCUUACUGCAAAGCUAACCUAUGAAUUAUAUUUUGACCCACAAUUUUAUAGCCCCUUCUAUAUCUUUUUCUCAAAUUUCAACAAACCAAAAAAUUGUUUCAUUGAAAGAGCAAUGUCUGUUUUUUUUUUAAUAUGGUUAAUUUGAAUGUAUAGAAAAUAAAAAUUUUUAAACUAAAUUCUUUAUAUAACCACAUAUAAAUAAUUUUCAAUUAUUUCAUCAAAUUUAAUCAAUUUGCAUGUUAUAUACAUAAAAAUAAUCAUGAUAUUCCUAUCAAUAAAUUUUUUAAAUCUCUUUCAUGUAGUAAUUGAGUUCAAGUUAAGUAUAACAUGAAAACAAAAGUACAAAAUUUUUGAAAAUGUAUUAAAAAAACAUAAAAAUGAUAGCCAUAGAAUAGUAUUUAUAUAUUAAAUAUAUUUUAAUGUGUUUUCAUGUAUUGGAAUUCAAUGAAAUACAAAUUUUAUUUCCACAUUAAUAUUUAUUAUUAAUUUUUGAAGUCUUGUUUGUUAUUGAUAGACAUUUUAUUUUGAACUAAUGACACACAAUUUACUAUAGAUAUAUUAUUUUUGUAAAAAAAUAAUUUAAUAUGUGCAUUAUUAAUUGUUUUAUUAUUUUCAUAAUUUCAUUUAAAGUUUAUAUUGUCAAAUUUCAAGAUUUUUUAAUCAAAGUUUUCAUUGUUAUUAAUAUUUUCAUUGAUGUAAACUACCAACAUUUUCAUGGAUAUUAAUUUUUUUUAUUAUGUAGGUUGUAUCAUAUGGUGUAUCACUCAUUUAUGUCUUAAAUAUAAUUUUCAAAAUUUAUUCAUUUAUCCUAAUUUGAAACUUUAUUAUUAUUAUUGUUGUUAUUAUUAUUCUAAUAAUAUUUUGCUUUUAUUUAUCCAUAACAAAAUAAAAAAUAAUUUAAUACAAAUUUGAUUUUUUUUUUCAAAUUUUUCUCACAUUCUUUUAUAAAAAAUUAAGAAGAAAAUCUUUAACCACUUUUUUUUUCUUUUUUUAAAAUUUUUUAUUUAUCAAGAACUAUCUUUCUUCAUAAGUAUUUUUUUUUUCCUUUUUCUUAAUAAUUUCCAAAAGUUUUUUGAGCCAUUAAGACUAUGUUUGAUUCCUAAAAUAUUUGAGGGAAAAUGCAAGAGAGCUAAAAAAAAAAAAAGUGGAAAAGUAGAAGGAAAUAAAAAAUGAAGAAAAAUAAAAAAUAGAUUUGAAGUUAAUAAAUUGUUUUUAUAUACAACUUCAAACUCAUUUUAUUGAUUUUAACUCUUUCAUAUGAAGAUUAAAUAAUUUGAAAUUGUAUCAUUUUCUAACUAGUUUUAAUAUAUAUUUGAUUUUCUUUAGUAUUUUUCACAUGACAAUCAAAUAUGAUAAAAUCAAUUUUUUUUAAUAUUUUUUUCUUUCAUUAUUGCUUUCCGGGAAUCAAACAUAAUCUAAAUUUCUUGUUCUUUUUUCCACAAUAGAUCAACCAAGAGAAUAGAUAAGGGUCGUUGAACUUGACUUGAUGUAGAGAACCUUGAAUUUCUCUCUUUUCUUCCUCCAAUUACCUUGCCAAUUCAAAACGCCUUUAGUAGCAAGACUUUGAGGUCUACAACUAUGUACAAGUCAUGCACUCAAUUAUGCCAAAAACAUCACAUUCACAAGUCUUUUUCUUUCACUCUCCCAACUAACUUAAAUACUUCCUAUUAGAGAAACUACUAUAUAAAUAGUUAUAAAAUGUAUACUUAUUUAUAUUUAUUCAUGAUAAUAGGUAACAAUUAUAAUUAAAACAUGGAUUUUUGAGAUGAUAGCUACAAUAAAUUGAAACCUCAUCCAAUUAUUUUAGGAGAGGCAAAAUAAUGUUUGAUUGACAUAUAAACUAAACUGAGUAAAUUACAAGAAAAAUGUUAUGCUUGUUAAAGAAUUUGAGCAUUGACUAGUGUGUUGUUUGUGAUUCGUCCCUAGCAGCGGCAGUGGCAAUGGCACCAUUUGAUUCGAGGUUCAAUCCCCGGCAACGGCACCAUUUGGUUCGUGCCCAAUUGGUGUCUCAACUGAUUCGUGUCCAGCUGGUGCUCCUUGAUUGAGGGAGUAAUCAACAAAAUUUAUAACCUAUUAUACCAUGAACUAGGGUAGCAAAGACAAAGCUACUAUAGCAUAGUGGCUCUAGGAUCGUUCACUGGGAUGGGUUUUCACUUUGUAAAUGAUAUUAAUUCAAAGCUGAAUUGGUGCCUUUUCAUUUCAAGGUUAGCUUUAAAAGAAAACAUAAAGAUGUUUAAAUGAAAAAGGUUUGAUUUUAAACUAACAAAGAAUAGUAACUGAUUUUACUUACAAAGAAAAGUGUUUCUUGGAGUUCGGAUCACUAGGCUCAGAUUCCUCAUACAAAAAGGGAGUUCCGGUCACUUGUUUCUUUCCCUCGCAUUAGAGAAUUAACAUAUAGUUCCUUCUCCAACCGGUGUUGUACAGAUGCUUCCCAUUAAUGGGUUCAAACACUAAAUCCCUCUCACUGAUGCACCUUGCAAUGACUCAUACCUCUCACCUAGCACUUGCCAUUCAAGAUGAUCUUUAAUCUUGGACUUCCCUUCAAAAGCUCGCAAGAGAUAACUAAUGGAUGUCUCCUUGGAGUCCAAAAGCUUACCAAGUGUUGGCUAUUCUAGAAAAUCCUACCUUCAAGUCACCUCCCAAAGGCUCGCAAGGGGUAAACUAGUGCAUCUCCAUGGACGGAGAUCACUUGCCUUACCAAGUGUUGGCCCAAGUGAUUUAAAGGCGUUUUAAGUUAACUAAAAAGAUAAAAACCAUUAACGGGUCACACUUUCUCUUCAUUAAAAACUAAAACAACAAAACUUCCAAUUUAUGCAUGUGGAAACUUACCCGACUUUCCUUACUCCAAGAGACAAAGAGCCUAGCCUCUCAUCUUCUGAGGAAAAAUCCUCAGAGUUUGAUUAGCUAGAAAGAAAACUAAAGAGAAAACAAGAAUAUAUAAGAAAAACAGAGCAAGUGCUUUGUUCGUUGAUUCUAUAUAUGAUAUAUCUAUAUAUUGAUCGAUUACAUCCUUUUUCUUACAGUGGAUGCAAGGGAAUAUAUAUAGAGACGUUUUUCCAACCUUCCUAACUAAGAAAUCUUAUGGUUGGUGGAUUACAAGGAGAAGAAUGGAAAUUCAUACAAAAAUAUCUGAAGAAAAAUAUCCCAAAGUGUCGGUCGCAAAUAUCGGGAAGCACUAAGGACCAUUUCGCAAGUGAAAACGAGGUCUGCGAGAUUUCGCAGACAUCCAAAAAGGGCUGCGAAAUCACUUCGCAGCAAAAGGUUAUUCUCGUAGGGCUGCGAAGUUGGCUUUCAUCUUGAGGUGCUCAGCUUCCAACUUGCGGCUUAUAUCGGGCAACUUCAGGAGGAAUUUCACAGCACUGUACAAAAAGGCUGCGAAAUCAUUUCGCAAGAAAAGGGUGAUUCCGCAACACUUUGCAAAAUGCUUUCUUCAGCUUAGAGUGAUUGACUUGCAGUGGCUGUAACUUCUUCGUUUCAAAUCCAAAUUGAACCCGUUUGAAGCAUUGGAUUCUUGACUUCCUGAGCUUUGAAAUGGUAUAUAGUAUGUAGAAAAUGGACUUCGGGAAGUGCUCCAAAAGUGGCUGACAUGACUGUCAUCAAGAAUGCUUCAUGGCAGAUUUCUCUUUACUUUCCCUCCUUGCAUUCCGGAUUUGCUUAUGGCAAAGGACUUCAAAGCUUUGGUUCUUCAUGAAUUUGAGCUUCUAAAAGCUUUGCCAUAACUUGUUCAAGUAGCUCCUCCAUCAUUUGGCAUGCUUGAAUUGAUUCAUAAGCUGAUAAAAACAUGUAAACUUGCCACAAAAUGGUUAAAACCAAUUACUAAGGACCUUAAUGAAUUAAUUGGGUUAAAUGAAUAUGAUUACUACUCAAAUUAAGGUGCUUAAAACCAUUAUAAUUAGGUCUACAAAAUAGCACUUUUUGGUAGUAAUCAGUUUGGGCUAGAGAAAAGGUGGCAAAGAAAAAAAAAUAUGGAAGGGAGACUUCCAUUUUCACAUUGGUGGGAAUAUUGAGUUGAAUCUAAUUUCUCAAGUGACAAUGAUUUAUCCCAUUGAAUUCAAAUUAAUAAAUUUUAUCAUUAUAGAUAUUUUGAUAUUUUUAGUAAUGGAAUGAAAUAAUGUGGAUAUUGGAUUCAUUUAGUAUCACUUUCUAAAGUUAAUUCAAUAUGUAUGCGUGCAAAACUCUAUAAAAUUGAAUUUAUUAUUUAUGUUGUAUGCCACAAAAUUUGUAUAGACUCCAUUUUUUAUUUAUUAAAAUGAUAUAAAAGUUAUAGUAAACAUGUUUUUUUUUAUAAAAAAAAAAAGAAGAAGAAAAGUACGUACAAAAAAAAUUCUCAUAAAAUCUUGAAAAACUAAUAAAUUGUUAUGUGACUUGAAAUGACAUGAAUAGGGGUUUGAGUUUAUGUCUUGAUAUAUGAAACUAUCUUAAAAGGGGCAAAUAGGUAAUCUAAGCUUGUAGUUCCUAAUUUUAAAAUUAAUUUAAUUUGUGGAAAUCAAUAGCAUUCAAUCACAAGACAAUUACAAGUGUAGCAAUUCUAAAGUUAUAUUCCAAAAUCAAAGAUAUUACCUCAUACUUGAAAUCUUCAAUUUAUCAACCUUCAUUACUUCAAUAAGUUAAUCCAAGUUCACUCAAACUAAAUAUUUAUAAUUAAUGUAUUAAAGCCUAAAUACAUGGUAACCCAUAUGAAGAAAAACUAAAGAUGAGAUCACCAUGACUUGUAGUAUCUGGGUUGUCAUCCCUAGGAUCCAUNNNNNNNNNNNNNNNNNNNNNNNNNNNNNNNNNNNNNNNNNNNNNNNNNNNNNNNNNNNNNNNNNNNNNNNNNNNNNNNNNNNNNNNNNNNNNNNNNNNNUCAUCCCUAGGAUCCAUAUGCUAGACUNUCAACAAAAAGCAAAUCGUCUAUCUACAUUGAAAAGGUCUAAAAGCAAAGUUUUUUUUAUGAAACUAAUUUUUUAUCACAUUGCUAUGGUGAAAAUAAUAAAAUCUAUAGUAAAAACUUUUGAAGAGUUCAAAAAUCUAAUUUUAGAUUCAUAGAUAGAGAUAGUAACUUUUAACCCUAAGACAAAGAUCAAAGUUCACCAGGAUUGAAUUAGAUCUUAAGAUCAAUCUACAUCUAGCAUUGAUAUUUAAAUUUAAGGCACUAUUCUCUUAAACAAAUUUAACAUGUCAUUAUUUCAAUUUUGAGUUUAUAUGCUUUCAUUACUGACAUCCAUCAUGUAUGUUUGAUUGCUAGAGUUUCUCUCAGUGGAUCAAAUCAAGUUGAGUAGUGAUCAAUGUAUCCCUAAACAUCACUAGCAUCAUAGUAAGAAUCCCUUAUACUUAACCUAUGCCAAAGCACGUAGAGGAUUAUUCUAAUUAAUUUAAACACAAAAUAUUUAUAAACAAACCAAAUGAAAUUUAACGUUCUAUUGCACAUCAUUCCUAUGAAUCAUCUAUCUUUAUGUUACUAUUAGAAAAACAACCCCUAGAUCUAGAUUAAAGAGUGCAUGCAACUAAAAUCCCAAGUGUAGUGGAAGAUGCCUAAUUUUUCAAAAACUUAUUUUAAGGUGUUCUUAAUAAACAUACUGUAGACCCUCCAUUUUGUCAUCAUAGCACAUAUCCUAUUACGUGUUCGUUUGGUACUUUACAAUAAUUCCUUGGUGGCCCAUUAGACACCACUUUGAAGACUUUGGUUGAGGGACUCAUCUGACCCCAUUGUGAUUCUAGGCCACCUUAGGCCCACUUAACCACUUUAGGCCCACUUAGACACCCUAGGCUCAUUUAGAUGCAUUCAGCCCAUUAGGAACAGCCUUAGGCCCACUUAGGCACCCUAGGCCCAUUUACUAUACUUGGCCCAUUAGGCACCACCUUAGGCCCACUUAGGCAUCCUAGGCCCAUUUAGAUACACUUGCCCCAUUAGGCACCGCCUUAGAUCCACUUAAGCACCCUAGGCCCAUUUAGACGCACUUGGCCCAUUAGGCACCCCUUUAGGCCCACUUAGGCACCCUAGGCCCAUUUAGACGCAUUUGGCCCAUUAGGCACCGCAUUAGUCCCACUUAGGCAUCCUAGGCCCAUUUAGAUACACUUGCCCCAUUAGGCACCGUCUUAGGCCCACUUAAGCACCCUAGGCCCAUUUAGAUGCACUUGGCCCAUUAGGCACCCCUUUAGGCCCACUUAGGCACCCUAGGCCCAUUAAGGCACCGCAUUAGUCCCACUUAGGCCCACUUAGGCAUCCUAGGCCCAUUUAGAUACACUUGCCCCAUUAGGCACUGCCUUAAGCCCACUUAGGCACCCUAGGCCCAUUUAGAUGCACUUGACCCAUUAGGCACCACUUUAGGCCCACUUAGGCACCCUAGGCCCAUUUAGAUGCACUCGGCCCAUUAAGCACCACCUUAGGCCCACUUAGGCACCCUAGGCCCAUUUAGAUACACUUGACCCAUUAGGCACCGCCUUAGGCCCACUUAGGUCACCUUUCAGGGAAUUUUUGCAUGUUUGCAUGGCUAGUAUGGAUUGCAUUUUUUGUAUGGCUUGCAUGACUUGCAUGACUCGUUUAUUAUAAAGUUGCAUGACUUGACUUUUUGUUAUUUUAUUUUUAUUUAUUUUAUUUACCGUCUUGUUUAUUUCUUCUUUUAUUUUAUUUUCCUAUUAUUUUGUCACUUUUUCGUAAUAUUUGUCCUUAUAUAUUUUAAUUUAAUAAGUUUGUUUAAAUGUUUUAUUAUUAUUAUUAUUGUUAUUAUUAUCAUUAUCAUUAUUAUUAUUAUUAUUAUUGUUCUUACUAUUAUUAUUACUUUUACUCAUUUUUUUUAUCAUGAUUAUUAUUAUUACUUUAUUUUAUCUAUUGCCUUUAAAAUUUUCCAAGGAAGUACACCAAUGGAAAGAUUUAAGAGAGUAGCAGUUGUUGGAAUUUUUAUGUGUGGGCUUAUAUAAUCAAUUUGAUAAUGUCAUAAAUUAGUGUUAAUUUAAUUUUUGCAUUGUGGUCCAUAAUAAGGCUGGAUACAUUGUUGUUUGAUUUUUUAUGGGCUCACCCUAAUUCACUUGACUGGCCCAUUAAGUCAAGUAGUCCAAAUAAUGUGUAAUAUAUAUAUAUAUAUAUAUAUAUAUAUAUAUAUGUGCAUUUGGAAGGGGUCUCAUUUCUUCUUCUUGGAGAGCACGCACUGCACGCACACACACACUUGGACUGAAUUUUAGGAGAAAAGGGAAAAGCUCAUUGAACCCUAAUUCUCGUACCAUCACGCACCUGGAGCAACUUCUUGGAUACCAGUGGAGGAAGAAAUGGCUUUUCAUGGCAUAAACCAAGGUAACCAGCUCAUUUUUUGUCGUUCAAUGCAUGCUUAAAUGUUAACAUGUGAUCCUAUGCUAUUUCAAUUCUCUUCAAUUGGUAUCAGAGCUAGCAUGGAUGACAUUUGAGCUACAAUUUUGGGUUUUUUUUUUUUUUUUUUGGUUUCUCGUUUUCUGGUUAUGGAAGCCAUUUUUUUUUGGGCUUCUUUUCGUUUGGUGUUUAUUCUUGGUUUUCAAGCCCGAUUAAGGUUGGAGACUUGUAUAGAAUAUUGUUUGGAUCAAAACCCAUCAUUUUUGUGGUUUUUGGAGCUCAUUUGAUGAGAUUUCGAAAAUCAGGGCUUAUUUUGGUUCUUCCUAUUAUGCGUUUUUUUGUGCAUUUUUGGGUUUAGAUUGAAGGAUUGAUAUUUGAGGAUGGAAAUCUAUGUGUUUUUGUCAAAAAAAAAUGCGCAAAAUUUUGGGCAAUUUUUUUUUUCUUUCUUCUCCAAAACUAGGGCAUGUUCAGUUGGAGAAAAAAAUGAACAGGCCCCUACUGAUGUCAUGAUGACGUCAUUAAAAAAAAAACAAAAUCUUUUUUGGUUGCCUUGGUAUUCUUGGAUUGAUUAUGCAUAUGUUAGAAUUAUUAUGCAUUUGUUAAAUUUGACUUUAUUGGAACAAUUAUUGUUAUUAUUGUUUUUUUUGGUAUAAUUUUUAUCUUUAUAUCUUAUACCAAUAAUGUUGUCCAAGGUCAUUUUUGCUAAAUAUUUAAAUUUAUUAUGGCAAUAAAUAACACUUGUGUGAUUGCCUAUCACAAUUCCAAGUGUGUCAAGUUGCGCAAAUCAAAUAUUUGAGUUUAUAAUGACAAUAGUGAACAUAUAUGUGGUUGCCUAUCGUGAUCCUAUAUGUGUCAAAUUGUCUUUGUUGAGAUAUUUUAACUCCCACUUUUAGUUUCUUUAUUAUUGUGAUUACUAAGAUCCAUAUGGGUAUUGUAAUUGUCCUAUCGAUGAUAAUAAUACUUAGUAGGAUGCUUAGAUUGGUGAAGGAAAUUAAUUGUAUAUUAUGAACCGUACUAAUUUUAUUUGCCCUUUCGGUAAUAAAAUUAGUACAUCUUGGUUGUGAUAUUUAAUUAAUUAUUCUUACUGCCGUGGAAUUUUAAAAAUUCCAAGCUAUUGCUAAAUUAAGAAAUUCUGGAAACUAGCAAAUGCAUGAUAUUGUAAUAACAUGCAUAUUGCUGAAUUUUGCUACUUUCUAGCUACUAGCAAUCCUGGUAUUACUCUUUAAUUGUCUGCCAUCAAACUUCUUACUGGAAAUAAUUUUGAAGAACGCUUUGAGUCUUUCAAUGUGCAUAUGACUCUACAUAAUCUUGACUUGACUUUGAGGGUUGAUGAGCCAAGUAGGCCCACUGAUGUGAGCUCUGUAGAUGAAAGAUCAUUUUAUGAAAGAUGGGAGCACUCCAAUAGGAGUUGUUUGAUGGUGAUGAAAUACACUAUGGAUAAAUCUAUCAAAGAAUGCGUGCUAAAGACGAAAAGGGCCAAAGACUUCUUGGAAUAUGUGAAGGCCAAUUAUACGAAAAUUGAUAAGGCAUAAAUGACAACUUAUUUGAAGCUUCUCACAACCACUGUGUAUGAUGGAGUAGGUGGGGUUAGAGAUCACAUCAUCAAGUUAAAGCACUACUUCAACAAGGCAAAUGAUAUGAAAGUGGAGUUGGGUGAAAAAUUCUUGAAAUGGUUGAUACUUGAGUCUUUUCCUGUUUCCUUUGAUGCAGUGAAGUUGACUUACAAUGCCUUGAAGGAAGAAUGGACUCUAGAGGAGUUGAUGUCCCAUUGUGGUGCAACAUGAAGUAUCACUGAAGAAAAAUGAGACUCACUCCCUUGCUCCUGUUAUUGAGCAAGUCAGUAAUAUGAAGAAAAAACCUUCACACAAGAAUUUUGGAGGCUUUAAGCAGUUCAAGAGGGAAGGGAAUUCAAAUCAAGGAACCUCUAAUGCAUCUGUUUCUUCUAAUACUGCAAAGAGUGAUUAAUUCAAGGGGAAGUGCAACUUUUGCCACAAGAUUGGCCACAAGCAGGCUGAUUGCUUCAAGUUUAAAAAUUGGCUAGAGAAGAAAAAGAAAUAUGAAAUUUCAGUUAUGGUUAAUUUGAAUGCAAACAUGAUUGAGACUGAUAUUGUUGAUGUUCAUACCAAUUCUUGGUGGUUAGAUACCGGUGCCACUAUUCAUGUCACUAAUUCUUUGCAGGAGAUGACAAACAAAAGGAGGUCAUCAAAGCAUGAAGAAAGUGUGUAUAUGGGUGAUGGAAGCAAAGUGAAAGUGGAAUUUUUUGACAUGAUAAAGCUAAGGUUGAUCACAUAAAGUUUUUUGUUGUUACACAAUGUGACUUUCAUACCCUCACUUCGAAGGAAUCUGAUUUCUUUAUCUAUUUUGGAUAGACAUGGUUAUUUUUUUCACUUUGGAGGUGGAAAAGUGGAUAUUUUUAGCAACUCAGUCUUAAUUGACAAUGAUGUUUUGUUUGGAAAUCUUUAUAGUCUCAGUUUUCAUCAUGGUUCUUUAUGUGAUUCAUCUUCUGUUAAUUAUGAUGUUGGCUGCAAGCAUGCUAUAAUGAAUUUGAGUUCUUCCAUGUUGUGGCACAAACGCCUGGGUCAUAUUUCUAGGCAAAGAUUAGAGAGAUUGGUUAAAGAUGGUGUGCUUUCUAAUCUUGAUUUCUCAGACUUCGAGACUUGUGUUGUUUGCUUAAAAGGGAAGAUGACAACAAAGACUAGAAAUGAGAAGAUUGAUAGGUGUGGAGGCACUUUAGAUUUGAUCCACACAGAUAUAUGUGGUCCUUUGACACCAAUUGCUUUAGGGGGUUAUAAAUAUUUCAUCACUUUUAUUGAUGAUUUCUCUAGAUAUGGUUAUGUUGAACUAAUCCAUGAGAAAUCUGACUCCCUAAAUGUGUUUAAAGCCUUUAAGUCUAAGGUGGAGUUGCAGUUGGGAAAGCCCAUUAAAGCUGUGAAGUUUGAUAGAAGUGGUGAGUAUUAUGGGAGAUAUGAUGAGACUGGACGGAAUCAUGAACCAUUCGCUAAGUUUUUGUUGGAAUGCGACAUUGAUGCUAGAUAUACAAUGCCAGGCACUCCUCAACAAAAUGGAGUUGCAGAAAGGAGGAAUCACACAUUAUUAGAUAUGGUGAGGUGCAUGUUGUCUAAUUCCUCAUUGCCAUAAUUUUUGUGGGGUGAAGCCUUAAAUAUUGCGGCAUAUAUUUUGAAUCAAGUGCCCAGUAAGUCUGUGCCUAAGACACCUUAUGAGCUAUGGUCAGGGAAGAACCCAAGUCUUCAUUAUUUCCAUGUUUGGGGAUGUAAGGCUGAGGUUAGGCCCUAUAACCCACAAUCAAAGAAACUUGAUCUAAAACCAUUAGUGGUUUCUUUGUUGGCUAUUACAUUGGAUCAAGGGGUUUCAGAUUUUAUUGUCCAUCUCAUACCACCAGGAUCAUUAAGUCAGAUAGGGUUGUAUACUUUGAGGAUGAAGUUAAUGCUGAUCCAAAUUUUAUGCCUCGUGAGAUACCUUUUGGAGAAGAGCAUGUUGUGAUUCCUUUUCCUACGUCUCAUGUUCCAAAUGUGGAUGUUCCUAUUGUCCAAUAGCCAGCCACUAAUCAAGGAGAGCAUGGUGAUCAAGUGGAACCUGACAUUCCUGUUGAUGAUAAUGUUGUUGAUGGGGUUCCUUUGAGAAGAUCAUAAAGGGUUCGUAGGCUGGCUAUUUCAAAUGAUUACAUGAUUUAUUUGCAGGAGCAUGAGUAUGAUGGUUAUGAUGCUUCUGAUCCAGUCACUUAUCAAGAAACAAUUCAUUGUCCUCAAUUCACUUCUUGGAAAAAAGUCAUGGAUGAUGAAAUGAACUCUAUGUAUAUGAAUGGUGUUUGGGAUUUGGUGGAAUUGCCACAUGGUUGUAAACUAGUUGGAUGCAGUGGGUAUUUAAGACCAAACGUGAUUCUAGCAGGCAAAUAGAGAGAUAUAAAGCUAGACUUAUGGUUAAAGGUUAUAGUCAAAGAGAAAGAAUUGAUUUCAAAGAAACCUUCUCACCUGUGUCGACCAAGGACUCUUUUAGAGUGAUUAUGGCCAUAGUACCUCAUUUUGAUUUGGAGGUACAUCAGAUGGAUGUCAAGACACCUUUCUUGAAUGGUGAUUUGGAUGAGGACGUGUAUAUGGAGCAACCUACUGGUUUUGCAGAAGUUGGAAAGAAAGAUUUAGUUUGCAAGCUUAAUAAGUCCAUUUAUGGUCUUAAACAGGCUUCGAGGCAGUGGUAUCUGAAGUUUGAUAGGAUUAUCACCCAAAAUAGUUUUAAAGAGAAUACUAUUGAUAGAUGCAUAUGUUUGAGGGUCAGUGGGAGUAGUUGCAUAUUUCUUGUUUUAUAUGUUGAUGAUAUACUACUCGCAUCAAAUGAUUCUGACUUGUUGAUUGAGACAAAGCACAUGUUGUCAACCCAUUUUGACAUGAAGGAUCUUGGUGAGGCUUCUUAUGUUUUGGGCAUAAAGAUUCUUUGUGAUAGGGCUAAUGGAGUGCUUAAAUUGUCUCAAAGAACCUAUAUUGAGAAGAUAUUGAAGAGGUUCAAUAUGCACAACUGUAGAUCUUCUAAAGUGCCAAUUGUGAAGGGUGAUAAGUUUUCAAAGGCUCAGUGUCCUCAAAAUGAUGAUGAGCGAGAGGAAAUGAGAACCAUUCCUUAUUCAUCUAUGGUUGGUAGCCUUAUGUAUGAUCAAGUAUGUACACGCCCUGAUAUUGCUUUUGUUAUGGGCAUGUUGGGAAGGUACUUGAGCAAUCCUGGGUGUCAACAUUGGAAAGCCGCUAAGAAGGUCCUUAGGUAUUUGCAAGGAACUAAGGACUUAAUGUUGACAUAUCGGCACACCAGUUUACUUGAUGUAGUUGGGUUUUGUGAUGCUGGUUUUGCUGGCUGCAUAGAUGAUAAGAAAUCCACUAUGAGCUAUAUUUUUAUGAUGGCAGGAGGAGAUGUAUCUUGGAAAAGUGUCAAGAAAACACUUACAACAUCCUCAACUAUGGAGGCGGAGUGUGUGGCAUGUUAUGAGGCUUGUUGUCAUGUUAUAUGGAUGCGGAAUUUUAUUUCAACUUUGGGAGUUGUUGACUCCAUUUCUAAACCGUUGAAAUUAUUUGUGAUAAUUUCACAGAUGUUGCUUUCUCUAAGAACACUCUAAGUAUUUCUUGUUCCAAACAAAUUGAUGUAAAGUUAUAUUUUGUUAAGGAGAAAGUGCCAAAGUUUCUUAUUGAUAUUGAACACAUGUUCAUAAAAAGUAUAUUGGCGGAUCCAUUAACAAAACGCUUACCCAUAAUUGUGUUUCAGGAACAUGUAUCUCAAAUGGGGUUGUUGGAAGCCUAGGUUGUAUUAAGUUAGUGGGAGCCACUUUUGGUAUUGUAAUAUUAUGCUAUUGUUGGAAGGAUUGCUAUUAUUGUAUAUUUCCCUAUGAAUCAAGUAAUGAAGCAUAUAUGAUUGCUUUUGAUUAUUUGUUUUUGAUGAGAUUCUAUGGGACAUUGAUUUAUGAUUAUGUAUAUGUUGUGAUGUUUGAUUAUGUAGUCCAAGUGGGAGAAUUGUUGGAAUUUUUAUGUGUGGACUUACAUAAUCAAUUUGAUAAUAUCAUAAAUCAAUGUUAAUUUAAUUUUUGCAUUGUGGUCCAUAAUGGGAUUUGACACAUUAUUGCUUGAUUUUUUAUGGGCUCACCCUAAUUCACUUUACUAGCCAUUAAGUCAAGUAGUCCAAAUAAUGUGUGUAAUGUGUAAUAUAUAUAUGAAUUUAUUUACAUAUAUAUAUAUAUAUAUAUAUAUAUAUAUAUAUAUAUAGAUAUAUGUGCAUUUGGAAGGGGUCUCCUUUCUUCUUCUUGGAGAGCACACACUGCACGCACACACACACUUGGACUAAAUUUUGGGAGAAAAAGGAAGAGCUCAUUGAACCCUAAUUCUCGUAUCAUCACGCACCUAGAGCAGCUUCUUGGAUACCAGUGGAGGAAGAAAUGGCUUUUCAUGGCAUAAACCAAGGUAACCAGCUCAUUUUUUGCCGUUCAAUGCAUACUUAAAUGUUAACAUGUGAUCCUAUGCUAUUUCAAUUCUCUUCGGCAGCUGCACCACCAUAGAGGAAUUUUAGAGAGGUUUUUUAUAAUUAUGAUUUUCGGUGGAGAAUAUGCAUGUGAAGACUUUUUCACAUGAUGGAUGCAUAGAUGGACUUUGCCAGUGGGGCUUCAUGAUAUAUGGAAAUUCUGGCACACCACGACUGCAUAUGGAAAUUAAAAAAAAAAAAAAAAAACACUACUGCAAAUGAGAAAAGGCAUUACGCAUCUUGAGAAGAGGUUUAGAUUCAUCCAUGGUGAGGUGUCAUUUCCAAGCUGGUGGAGUCAAUAGAACGUUUAUGGGAAGUAAGGUUGUGAUUUUUUAGAAAAUGGAGAAUCAGUCCGGUGAGCAUAGCGAGAUUCCCUUCUGAAAGAAAAAUUUCCAUAGUUGGUUUUGGCAAGUGAAAAGAGCAGGAUGCAGCGUGUAUGUAGACAGAGAGUGAGGUCGUGUUCAAGGAAAAGAGGGAGAUGCAGCCGCAUGAUUGAGAGGAAAGAAAAAUGAUUUUCGGCACGUGGAGGAGAAGAAUAACAGGCUGGUGGAGGAAUUAAUAUGACUUUUGGGGAAGAUACAGAGAACGUUUUGAAAGACAUGACACUAAUUUUGGGUGAGAUAUUCAUCGCUCUAUUCAAAAAGGAAGAGAGAAAGGUGCAGCCGCAGGAUUAAGGGGAAAAAAGAGAUCAGUCGAGCACCAUUCUGGAGGGUGAAAAGGUACAGUUGCACCAUUGGAAGGGAGAAAGAAACGACCGCACCAAAGAAAGAAGAGAAGGACACACUUUGAAAGAUUUGUGAAAGAAGAUAUUGAGAGAUGUUCUAGGGAGGACAAAGGCUGGUCUUGAGAGAUAUUUUGGCCCCAAGUUUGAUGAUAUUGAGAUCGUGAGAUUAUGAGGAAUUCAAGCCAUGUUUGGAACCUUGUUUUGGAAGAGACUCAGGUAGUUUUUAGAAGGGUUUUACUGUUUUAGGCUACAAUCUGGAAAGUUUUUGGCCAUAAUCUGGAGGUGCACUCCAGGUCGUGUUUGGGAGAGUAUUCAGGCCACUUUCUAAGGCAGUUCAAGACGCAUUUUAGGAAAGGAUAUCGUUGAAAGAUGAUGGAGAGGGGAGCAUGACGAUUAGGAGCGUGAGUGAGAUCGAUUGGGAGAGAAGAGAGAGUUGGGUCAUACCAUAAAAGGCUUCGAGAAGCACUACUGCAUCAGGGAGCCACACCAUCAAAGGGGAUAGAAAAGGAGAACCAACUUCACUACUCAAGGGUUGGCUUGGCUCGAUCAUUCACCGAUCACCAUAACAAGAAAACACCAGUAAGGCCGUAUUGAUCAUCAUCAAAUCGAAAAUUCCAGAUUUAUGUCCAUACUUUCAACAUCAAUUCCUUGCUGCAACCUACAGCUACAUGACCUCCACAGACUGCACCCACCGCCAGUCCAUUCACAAAGCAUAAACCCAUCGAUUCCGACAAGUAGAGAGGUGCAGUCACACCGUUGAGAUAAGGAAAGAGUGCAGUCGCACCAUUGAACUUCCGCGGGAGGCACGACUGUCCGAAGAGCAAGCACCAGUCAACAAGAAAUGAAGUAGCCGCACCAUUACAUGUGAGAGACGUAGCCGGCUAGGGUGAGCAAGGAACAGACGGUGGGUUGCAUAUUGGAUUCCAAAAGAAGUGUAGCUGCACCAUUGUGAGAGAGGAGUGUUUUUUGAUGAACUAAAGUUGGAUGAUGCAAGCCUCGGGAAUGAACUUUGUGAAGUAGAUGGAUGGCAGCUUUUCUGUUAAUGGGGAUGCAUCUGGGUUUUGUUAAUGGAGUGGGGAACACACGUGCUAGAUUAUUGAGAGGGUGGUCUUUGAAUAUAACAAGAGAAUACACGCUGUCAAGGGGAAUUUCUCUCCAUUAACGUGCAGUGCUUUGGGAACUAUGCAGUGCAUUGGCAGUCAUCACACCAUGCAUCCUUGGAAUUGAUUUUAAAAAUCCUACUUGCACUUUGGUGGAAGGUGGCCCAUACGUUUAUGAAAAGGUAAGUUAAUUCUUUUUAUUUUAGUCUUGAUUCAUGAAUAUCCAAUUCAAUUCAUAGUUGUUUUAUAAUUUUAGCUAUUUAGUUUAAUUAUUUCCAAUAUCAAUAUAUUCAUGCUAUCAAUUUAUUAAAUUUAGUUUUAAAUUAUUCCCAUUUAGCCUAUGUAUUUUAAAUUUUUUAUUUAUUUAUUUUUCUAGUUUAAUUAAUCUUAUGUGGUUAUAUUCAUGUUUUCAAGUUAUUAAAUUUAGUUUUGAUUGAUUAUGUUCAGCUUCAAAGUUUCGAGGUUUUUUUAGUUGUUAAUUUUGAAUAGCUAGGUCAGUGUGUGCAUUUCAUAAAAUCAUUUGCUAUUAACUUUAAGUAUCCCUAUUAAUUUAUACUGCUCCUUAAAUUAUUAGUUUUUAGUUUUGAUUGACUCAUAAAUUUGUGUUGUCCUUAAAAUUAUUAAAUUUUUUUUAUCGAUCUAUGUUGAUUUUCAUUUUUUCUCAGAAUCCUUAGUCGUUGAUUUUAAAGAUCCAUGUUAAUUUAUAUUCGUCUCUAAGCAAUAAUUAAUUCUUGAAGAUCUAUGCCUUUAUAUGUUGUUCUUUAAAUUAUUAUAUGUUGUUUUGGCGAUCUAAAUUUUGGUAUCCAUCUAAUUGUGUAACGACACGAUAUAUUUAAGAAUUCUUGAUUGAUUAUUUUUUGUUUUGAGUUUUGAUUUUUAUUGAGAACUUUAACUAAAUAAGUUAAUUAUUAUCGACUCGAUUCUAAGUUUCUGUUUUUAAUUUAUUGAGUUUAAAUUUAAAAAUUUAUUUAAUUGCAUGGAUUACCAUUGUAUGGAUUCCAAGUUUUGAUUUUUCUAGGUUACGUUUUUAGGAUUAUAGGUUAUUAUUCUUAUUAGACCAUUUGAUUAAAUCCAUGUUUUAAAUUUUUUUAGCUUUAGUAUUGAUUGACCCAUAAAUUUGAGUUGCCUUUAAAAUUAUUAAUUUUUAUCGAUCCAUGUUGAUUUUUAUUUUUCCCAGAAUCCUUAGUAGUUAAUUUUAAAAAUCCAUGUUAAUUUAUAUUCGUCUCUAAGCAAUAAGUUAUUGAUUUUUUAUGAUUUAUGCCAUUAUAUGUUGUUGUUUUGGUGAUCUCGAUGACGUUUAUUAUUUCUUUGAAACUAAGUUGAUAAUUUGUGAUAAUCUCGUAUUAUUAGUUUCAUUCUAAAACUCAUUUAUAAGCUAUUGAUUGAUUUAUCUUAAGUUUAAAUGCAUUUAAAGUUCCAACGGUUAGUUCUUGAUCGAUAUCUGGUGAUCUUGCUUAAGGCCAUUGGAAAAUCAUGAAGAUUGGCCUCUACUCUCACCUUUAUCAUUUUUGUUGAUUAUUAAAAAAGUUUACUUUGUGAUUUCGUUUUCUUUUGUUUUGCUUGAUAUUUUGUUUCCUACAUUCUGUUGUUUUUCAAAUUAAUUUCUUUUAUUUUAAAGUAAAAAUACUUUUUCUCAUAAGAUCCCUUUGAAAAUCUAUUUUAAAAAUUCAUUUAGAGUGUUUAGAAUUAAAAUCACAUUUUCUUUUCAAAUAAUAUGCAACCAUGUUUUGAUUGGUUCGCAUCUUUCUCGGUUUUCAAUAAAAAUUAUGGUUUCGAGUAAGACAUAAAUCCAAGCUAGUGGUCCUAAAUAAAUGGGAUAAUUCUAGGCUAGAUUUAUGUAUAUCAAUCGGGGAAUUGGUGAAACCCCUACAUAAAAUUAUUUUUUUAAAACUCAUCUUUGCUGCCACCUUUGCUAUUGAUUGCAAUCAUAUCUAUUUUUUUUAGAAAUUAUAUACAAGAUGUAUGUAAUAAUUGAUGAUUUCGUAUACUUUGAUCAUUUUUGCUAUGCUAAUUAGAUAACAAUCAUGCUAAGAUUUCUUUAUUUUAUUAUUUAUUAUCUAACCCCUCAUGUUUUGCGAAAGCACAUUACAAGUUAUCUAUACUAUCCAGGUACACCCCCUAUCACCUACCUUCUAAAUUACGUAAAUAUGAUUGUCAGUACGAACCACACCUAUGUUUGAUAGUGCUUAGGUGUCUUGAUAUAUAUGUUUCAUUGUUCGAUUAUUUAUGAUAAAACGCAUGUUGGAUGAUAUACUAUUUGAACUAAUUUUGAUGUCUUGUGAUAGCGCUUAAGAAGCAGCCUAGGUACACACCCUAAAUCUUCUUUAUGAUUGUCAUUGGUUUUCUUGUUUGGCAUGCUAUUUUUUGAAAUCACCUUGUUUACCUAAGCACCCUUAAUCAACCAAUUAAUUGUCGCAUUUCCCUCAACUUAGUCAAUAGAGACCUUUGUAAGGCUUAGAGGGGUGCUACAUUUUUAGAGGUACCUUCCCAAUAGGUAACCUAAUCCCUGGACCUAGACUCGGGUUUUUCAAAGACACGUUUUUCCAAAAAUUAUGGAGUCUCUUUUUCAGGGUUUUUUUUUCUUGGUCUAUUUUCCUUUUUAAAAUAAAAUAAAAUAAGUGGCGACUCCGACUUUUUCCAAAACUAAAAUUUUCACCAAUAGAAGCGAGUCUCGCUAAUCGAGUGGGGACGCAUGUGAAAAAUGCGGAUCCACACAUACCCUUGGAUUCGAAUGUUCCCAAAUCUUUUUCCCAAUUUGUAGUAGAAAUCUCAAAUUCAUUUUGAUCUUCUACUUGAUGACUCUCUCUUGGAUCUUGGCUAUAAAUAAGUGUGGAACUCUAUUUAGAGGAAGUGUUGUUUAUGAUUUUUCUCCAAACAAAAUAUAAGAUAGCAGUUAGUCUAACGCUAAACCCUAAGAGGGUUUAUACAACCUCUUAAUUGGGUUUAAGUGACUAAGGCUAAUCAUAUAGGCUUAAGUUGUUUAAUCUUAGCCUAGUGAGUUUUAUUUAAUAAAUUAUCCUAAAUGGCUUCAAUUAAUUAAAUAGAUUAAAAAGAAAACCCAUAAGUCAUUUAAUCAUAAGUCCUUGUACAACCUUUGCUAAUACAAAAGCAUCCUUAUGCAUACUCAUAAUUAAGUACUAAAAAACACUCUCAAUAAAUGCCACCAAAAAGUGUGAGCUUUAGUCGGACCACCAGAACCCAUUGGAAAGUAUGUACUAGCUCUCUUAGAAUCAAAUUCUAAAAUUGACUCAACAUUCCAUUAAAGAGAGUCAAUUGCACUCCAAUAUCUUAUGAUAUUAGAUUGAGAUAUAAAACUUGGGUCCAUGACUUACUAUCCACUAUAUGUAAGUUCCCCAUAAACUAAUGAUUGUAAUCCAAAAAAUGUAGUAGUUAUCAACCUUUAAAGAUCACCUUUCACUCCUUGAGUCUUAAAUCCUCCUAUACCAUGACAAUUAAACAUACUCUAGUCCACAAAGGAUAUAUGUCAAAUUUCAUUGAAGAAAUUGCUAUAGCCAUAUACACUACAUGAUCUGAAAUCCUUGGGAUCGUCCAAGGGGAUACAUUGUCUCAAAUCCAUGAGAUAUUAUAGUGUCUCUAUUGAUCAUAAUAUCUAUUGUUACUUGCCAAAACCGUCGGUCACCCAAUCCUUUGGGAAUAUAUGAUCACUUUAGGAUUUCACCCAUAGGUCAAAGUAAUUGAUGACCUCGACAUUAGCAUAAUAUUAUCUAAAGGUUGAGAACCCAUGCAAUUAAUAUUUGGUAGUUUGGAGAAGUUAUGACAACCCAAUAAUCAUUAGUCAUUGUUGGAAAUCAAGCCCACGUCGCCUUCCUGCCUGUGCAUGUUCCUCCCCAUAUUUAGCAUCCUCUGUUUACUUCCCUGAAUUAGUGUAAUGUACAGCUUUUAUUAUAAUUGAUUUAGGAGUAAUUCUAGCAAGGUAGUUUAUUCACUUUCCAUGUAAGGGAAAUUUCGUCCGGUGAUAGUGUACCAUUCCAGAAUUGUCUCAUAUCUGUAGGCUAUUUAUUUAUGCUUUCAUUCAUUGUAAAAAAAAAAAAAAGGUAUCACAGAAUAAAUUGAGUUUGUGUUCCUCCAUAGUUUGUCUUCAAAUUCUUCAUAUUUUAGUCUUCAAAUUCUUCAUGGUAUCAGAGCAGGUUUAAUCCUGUCUCAUCGUCUUCAUCUUUAGUUAGUAUUUUUUUUCUUACUCAAUUCAUUCUUCUAGUUUAUGCCUAAAUACGGUCCAACCUUUGGAAUGGCUACCAACUCAUCAUCCUCUACUUCUGAUAUCAUCAUCUCAUCGUCUUCAUCCUCUCAUCAGAUGGAAACCUCUCAUCUUCCAAUCACAGCCCAUAAACUGAAUGGGCAAAAUUAUUUGCAAUGGUCUCAGUCCAUAUUAAUGUUUAUACGGGGAAAGGAGAAAGAUGACUACAUCACCGGAGCUUCGGCGGCACCAGAAACCAUAGCAUCAACCUACAAAAAGUGGAUAGCAGAAAAUAAUAUGGUCAUGUCCUGGCUAGUCAACUCUAUGACCAUUGACAUUGGUGAAAAUUUUCUGUCAUUUGAUACUGCCAAAGAAAUCUGGGACAUUGCAAAAGAAACUUUCUCAGACAAGGAAAACACAUCUGAAAUCAUCCAGAUUGAAGGCAUCUUCCACGAUUUGCGUCAAGGAAACCUUACGGUAACUGAAUAUUUCAAUACUCUUACUCGUCUAUGGCGUCAACUUGAUACGUUUGAGGUUCAUAACUGGAAUUGUGUUACAGAUGGUUUGUUGUAUAAAAAGAUUGUCGAAGGGAAACGUGUGUUUAAAUUUUUGUUAGGCUUGAACAAAAAUCUUGAUGAAAUCAGAGGAAGAAUCAUGGGAGUAAAACCUCUACCUAGCCUCAGAGAGGCAUUCUCUGAAGUCCGUCGCGAAGAAAGUCGGAAAAAUCUCAUGAUGGGAUCCCAUCAACAACUGAAUAUGGCAGAAAGCUCGGCUCUUAAGACUCAAUUCGCUCCUUUUGACAACCGUAAAAAAAUUAAAGGAGGUAGACCUUGGUGUGAUCAUUGCAGAAAGCCGGGGCACUCAAGAGAAACUUGCUGGAAGAUUCAUGGAAAGCCAGUAGAUUGGAAGCCACAUCAACCACUUGAGAAAGAAGGACGAGGCAAUCAUGUGGCUACCGAUGAACAAUCGCCACAACCUGAAGCUAGCCCUUUUAAUAAGGAGCAAAUGGAGAUGCUUCAGAAACUACUGUCUCCUCUUUUGUCAGUACAGUCACAAACUGGCUCAUCUUCCAACCAAGUCAUUGGUUCCGGAACCUUGGCUCACAAAGGUAAUUUUUUGAGUGCCUUCACUGCUAGUAAGAAACGUAAAAAACCUUGGAUCGUGGACUCAGGAGCAUCUGAUCAUAUGACGGGAGAUGCGACAAUUUUUUAUACAUAUAGCUCAUUUCCAAAUAAUUUAACAGUCCGAAUAGCAGAUGGUUCACUAUCAAAGGUUGCCGGAACAGGUUCAGUUGUGUUAUCAAGGGAUCUUACUCUCAACUCUGUUCUCCUUGUUCCUAACUUGGACUGUAAUCUAUUGUCAAUUAGUAAACUCACUAAGGAAAAGAGGUGUAUUACUAAUUUUUCCUCCACUCCAUGUGAAUUUCAGGAUUUGGAUUCGGGGAAGACGAUUGGCAAUGUUGAGAAAUGCUCUGGACUCUACAUCCUUAAGGAGCACCACGAUCCACAAGAACAACCUCAAAUGAUAGUUGGUAGUAAUUCUAUUUCGGUUUCAUGUCAAAAUAACGAUAGUGCAAUUAGGUUGUGGCACUAUCGCUUAGGUCAUCCAAAUGUUAUGUAUCUCAAGCAUUUAUUUCCUUCAUUAUUUAAUAAAAAUCCAAAAUCCUUUGAGUGUGAAAUCUGUCAAUUAUCAAAACAAGUCCGGUCUCAUUUUCCCAUUCAACCCUAUAAAGAGUCUAGUCCAUUCUCAAUGAUUCAUAGCGAUAUCUAGGGUCCGUCAAGAAUAAAAAAUGUAACUGGUACUAGGUGGUUUGUCUCUUUCAUAGAUGAUCACACUAGAUUAACUUGGGUAUUCCUCAUGAAAGAAAAAUCUGAAACGAGUCAAAUUUUCAAAAAUUUUAAAAAUAUGAUUCAGACCCAAUUCCAGUCAAAAAUACAAAUUCUAAAGUCUGAUAAUGCUAGGGAUUAUUUCAACUCCAUUCUAGGAGAAUUUCUAGCAUAAGAAGGGAUAGUUCACUUAAGUUCAUGUGUUGAUACCCCACAACAAAACGGAAUCGCUGAAAGGAAAAAUAGGCAUUUGUUAGAGGUGGCUAGAUCACUAAUGUUCUCCAUGAAUGUUCCAAAAUUAUUCUGGGGGCAAGCUGUCCUUACGGCAGCCUACCUCAUCAAUAGGAUGCCGUCUAGGGUACUAAAAUUCCAAACACCUUGUCAAACACUCCUAAAAUCCUUUCCGACUACUCGUCUCAUCUCCACCAUCCCACCCAAAAUUUUCGGGUGCUCUGUCUUUGUUCAUAUCAAUCAACAACAUAGAAGUAAACUUGAUCCUAGGUCACUCAAGUGCAUCUUUCUUAGGUAUUCUUCAAAUCAAAAAGGGUAUAAGUGUUACUCUCCGGUCACAAGAAAAUUCUACAAUUCAAUGGAUAUCACCUUUUUUGAAACCCAGCCUUACUAUCCUAAAAAUGAUAUUCAAGGGGAGAAUUCAACUCAGGAAUAUCAAUUUUGGGAUCUUGAGUCAUUCAAUGAGUCACCCAUCACCACUGAAAAUCACAUUCCUCUAGAGUCAUUUAAUCAGCCCGAGUCCAUUGUUGACUUAUGGGAUAAGGAGCACAUCCAAGAGGAAACGGAGGAAAGAGCACUUUCUCAACAAACCCAUGAGGCUGAACUGGGUCCUAAUCCAAGCAAACUUCCAAGUAACAACGCUCCUGAUGGUACUGUUGAUUCCGAGUUAGAAAAUGAUAUUCUUAAUAUGCCCAUAGCUUGGAGGAAAGAAGUUAGAUCAUGCACUCAGCAUCCCAUUGGAAAUUUUAUUUCUUAUGAUAAGCUAUCACCUACGUUUCGUGCAUUCACUUCUAGCAUCACAGAGAUACAAGUUCCUCAGAAUAUUCAGGAAGCUUUCAAGUAUCCUAAGUGGAAGGCGGCAGUCGAUGAGGAAGUUCGGGCGCUGGAAAAGAAUGGUACGUGGGAAAUUACUAACCUCCCAAGAGGUAAGAAACCAGUUGGGUGUAAGUGGAUUUUCACAGUAAAGUACAAGGCAGAUGGUAAUGUGGACAGGUAUAAGGCUCGGUUGGUCGCCAAAGGAUUCACCCAAUCCUAUGGCAUUGACUAUCAAGAAACUUUUGCUCCAGUUGCCAAGCUCAAUUCUGUUCGUGUACUUUUAUCCUUGGCAGCUAAUCUCGAUUGGUCGCUUCACCAACUUGAUGUGAAGAAUGCCUUCCUCAAUGGUGAUUUAAAGGAAGAAGUUUACAUGGACAUUCCUGUUGGACUUGAGACGACAUCAAAUUUCAACAAGGUUUGCAGACUCCGAAAAUCCUUGUAUGGUCUCAAACAAUCUCCCAGGGCUUGGUUUGAACAGUUCACUAAGGUAGUGAAAGGGUACGGAUUCGUUCAAUGUCAAUCCGAUCACACAUUAUUUGUGAAACACUUCCCAGAAGGGAAGCUGGCAAUUAUCAUUGUAUAUGUGGACGACAUAAUUUUGACAGGUGAUCAUGAAGAGAAAAUUGACUUACUUAAAAAAUUAUUGACAAAGGAAUUUGAGAUCAAGGAUCUUGGAACCCUCAAGUACUUUCUCGGAAUGGAGAUUGCUAGGUCAAAGAAAGGUAUAGCAGUCUCACAACACAAAUACGUUCUGGACUUAUUGAAUGAAACAGGAAUGCUAGUAUGCAAGCCGGCAGAAACACCUAUGGAUACAACUGUCAAACUGGAAGAAAGUGAUGGAAGUGUGCCAGUUGAUAAAGGAAGAUAUCAACGUCUUGUGGGGAAACUCAUCUAUCUUUCUCAUACAAGGCCAGACAUCGGCUUCUCCGUUAGUGUGGUAAGUCAAUUCAUGAAUAAUCCAACCGAAAAACACAUGACUGUUGUGAUCAGAAUAUUGAGGUACCUCAAGAUGACACCGGGAAAGGGUCUCUUCUUUCAAAGAACAACAAAGAAAGAGAUUGAGAUUUUUUCAGAUGCAGAUUGGGCAGGUUUAGUGACUGAUCGGAGAUCAACUUCAGGUUAUUGUUCAUUUGUCUGGGGGAACUUGGUUACAUGGCGAAGCAAGAAACAGUCAGUGGUAGCUCAUAGCAGUGCUGAGGCAGAAUUUCGUGCUAUGGCACAAGGUAUCUGCGAGAGAAUCUGGUUGAACAGGCUGUUAGAAGAAUUACGGGUUCCAUUGAAGCAUCCCAUGGUGUUAUACUGCGACAAUCAAGCUGCCAUCAGUAUCGCUAAGAAUCCGGUUCAUCAUGAUUGAACUAAGCACGUGGAGAUAGAUCGACACUUUAUCAAGGAAAAGAUUGAAGAAGGAGUUUUCAAAGUCAGCUACACUCCGACAAACUGUCAAACGGCUGACAUUCUCACAAAAGCUCUUGCUCGAGUUAACUUCGAAAAUCUGACAGAAAAACUUGGAAUGAUCAACAUUUACAACGCGGCUUGAGGGGGAGUGUUGGAAAUCAAGCCCACGUCGCCUUCCUGCCUGUGCAUGUUCCUCCCCAUAUUUAGCAUCCUCUGUUUACUUCCCUGAAUUAGUGUAAUGUACAGCCUUUAUUAUAAUUUAUUUAGGAGUAAUUCUAGCAAGGUAGUUUAUUCACUUUCCAUGUAAGAGUUUAUUCACUUUCCAUGUAAGGGAAAUUCCGUCCGGUGAUAGUGUACCAUUCCGGAAUUGUCUCAUAUCUGUAGGCUAUUUAUUUAUGCUUUCAUUCAUUGUAAAAAAAAAAAAAAAGGUAUCAUAGAAUAAAUUGAGUCUGUGUUCCUCCAUAGUUUGUCUUCAAAUUCUUCAUAUUUUAGUCUUCAAAUUCUUUAGUCAUGAUUCUCCAAAGGUCAUAUUCAAUCUGUAACCAUAUACACUAGUACACUCAUUGUGGUAAACCUAUCCUAAUUACCAAUAUAAGUUAUUCCACCACUUAAGAGGUAGUGUACUAUGACUUUUGAUGGAUUGACUAAGUCUAAAAAACGAUCGUAAACUAACUCAUCAACUCAUAAGAUGUUAGGAUAAAUCCUUUAAAAGCAUGACAUGAUAUAACAAAAUUUAGAAUUUAUUAUUUGUUAAUAAAGUUCCAGUUUUACUUAUAUCUAUUCUUAUUUCAUGUAUUAUACUUUAUGAAUAUAUAUUAUGGCUUACAUAUCUUGUAUUGUAUAUGAAUUGGAUGCAUUAGGAGUUAUACAGAAGAUCUAAGUUAUGAGUCCCUUGCAAGAGGAUGACUUGUUCAUAGCUAGUUUCUAUGCCUUGACAACCCAUUAGAGACUGUAGUGCAUUACCUUCUAAUUAUAGGGGUUACCGGUUUUGGCUAUCAGAUGGGUUUCUUGUAUUAGUGUGUAUGGUUACACAUUGGAUAUGACCUACGUUGAGUCAUGAUGUAAGACUCUAAAGUAGUCACGACUUCACCAAGUUAUUUCAUUGUGUUAUUUUCAACCUUGAGUGAAUAUUAAGCUUAUAGUAAAAUCAGUAGUGACUUUAACCUACAAGUGAGAUCCUAAAGUGACCAUGUAUUCCUUUAUGGAUUGGAUCACUAUUGAUGGAAACAUGUAACAAUGGGUAUUCUUAAUUAAGGUACCAUCAUAUCUCAUGGGAUUAAGAUAAAGUGUCUUAUUAGGUGAUCUUAAGGAAGUGUGUUUAUAUAAAUUAUGACUAUAGUAGUUUCUUAAGUGGAACUGGACAUAAACUCUUUGUAAGCUAAGAUUGAACAAGCAUAAAAGAAGAAUAGUUUAAUGAAGGUAAACAAAUUAAUUUAAGUUAAAAUUGUUUUUCACAAAAAGGAAAAAAGAGAGGAGUGUGAUGAAUAGAAAAAUAUUAUGUACUAGUAACAAAAUGAUGGAGGGUCCCAAAGAGAAUUGUCCCUCACUUAAGCAUGAAUCUUAAAGAACGUGAUGGCAACUUUUGGCCACUCAUAAUCACAGCUUGAAAUGCUAUUCUUCACCAUACCACCAUAAAAUUGGAUGAAAUUGGUAUCUUUAAUCCGCUUCUUGGCAAACAACAUUUUGAAAAUAAAAAUCCCUUUCAACCAUUUUGGAGAAACACCAUUUAGUUACAAAUGAAAUUCUAAUCCAAGAAUUUAGCCAUAAGUAGUUCUUCUAUGAAAUAGCAUUCCAAACACACUUUCAAAUGGUCAAAAGUCAUCCAACCCAAAUACUAGAAUGAGUAGACUUAGUCUAUUUUAUGACUCCGAAUGAAAUAUUUACUCCUUAGAAUAAAAUAUAAAGAAUGUUUUUCUUUUAAUUUAUUUGAGGGAAACAUCUUUUGGGGUGUGGUCAGAAAGAAAAUUUAAUUUUUGAAGUCUUGUUUGUUAUUGAUAGACAUUUUAUUUUGAACCAAUGACACUCAAUUUACUAUAGAUAUAUUAUUUUUGUAAAAAACUAAUUUAAUGUGUGCAUUAUUAAUUGUUUUAUUAUUUUCAUAAUUUCAUUUAAAGUUUAUAUAAUCAAAUUUCAAGAUUUUUUUAAUCAAAAUUUUCAUUGAUAUUAAUAUUUUCAUUUAUGUAAACUACCAAUAUUUUCAUGGAUAUUAAUUUUUUUUAUUAUGUAGGUUCUAUCAUAUGAAGUUAUAUGGUGUAUCACUCAUUUAUGUCUUAAAUAUAAUUUUCAAAAUUUAUUCAUUUAUCCUAAUUUGAAACUUUAUUAUUAUUAAUAUUGUUAUUAUUAUUAUAAUAAUAUUUUAUUCUUAUUUAUCCAUAACAAAAUACAAAAUAAUUUAACACAAAUUCAAUUUUUUUUUUCAAAAUUUUCUCACAUUCUUUUAAAAAGAAUUUAAGAAGAAAAUCUUUAACCAUUUUAAUUUUUUCUCUCAUUUUUUCCUUUUUUUUAUUUUUUUUUAUCAAGAACUAUCUUUCUUUAUAAAUAAUUUUUUUCCUUUUUCUUAAUCAUUUCCAAAAGUUUUUUGAGCUAUUAAGACUAUGUUUGAUUCCUAAAAAAAUUGAGGGAAAAUGCAAGAGAGAGAGAGAAAAAAAAAAGUGGAAACGUAGAAGGAAAGAAAAAAGAAAGGAAAAUAAAAACUAGAUUUGAAGUUAAUAAAUUAUUUUUAUAUGCUACUUCAAACUUAUUUUAUUGAUUUUAACUCUUUCAUAUGAAGAUUAAAUAAUUUGAAAUUGUAUCAUUUUCUAACUAGUUUUAAUAUAUAUUUGAUUUUCUUUAGUAUUUUUCACAUGACAAUCAAAUAUGAUAAAAUCAAUUUUUUUUUAAUAUUUUUUUCUUUCAUUAUUGCUUUCCGGGAAUCAAACAUAAUCUAAAUUUCUUGUUCUUUUUCCCACAAUAGAUCAACCAAGAGAAGAGAUAAGGGUCGUUGAACUUGACUUGAUGUAGAGAACCUUGAAUUUCUCUCUUUUCUUCCUCCAAUUACCUUGCCAAUUCAAAACGCCUUUAGUAGCAAGACUUUGAGGUCUACAACUAUGUACAAGUCAUGCACUCAAUUAUGCCAAAAACAUCACAUUCACAAGUCUUUUUCUUUCACUCUCCCAACUAACUUAAAUACUUCCUAUUAGAGAAACUACUAUAUAAAUAGUUAUAAAAUGUAUACUUAUUUAUAUUUAUUCAUGAUAAUAGGUAACAAUUAUAAUUAAAACAUGGAUUUUUGAGAUGAUAGCUACAAUAAAUUGAAACCUCAUCCAAUUAUUUUAGGAGAGGCAAAAUAAUGUUUGAUUAACAUAUAAACUAAAUUGAGUAAAUUACAAGAAAAAUGUUAUGCUUGUUAAAGAAUUCGAGCAUUGACUAGUGUGUUGUUUGGGCUAAAGGGAGACUUCCAUUUUCACAUUGGAGGGAAUAUAGACUUUAAUCUACUCAAGUGACAAUGACUUAUCCCGUUGAAUUCAAAUUAAUAAAUUUUAUAAUUAUAGAUAUUUUGAUAUUUUUAGUAAUAAAAUGAAAUAAUGCGGAUAUUGGAUUCAUUUAGUAUCACUUUCUAAAGUUAAUUCAUUUCUCCUCUUGAAACAUCCGUAAAAGUAAUGUUUAAACAUGUCUGGGCUUAGCAGUCUCUCCCAGCUGCUGCCAAUGAGAAUUCUAUUCUUUUUAUGGAUUUUAUUCAUGCCCUUAUGCCCGAUCUUUUUUGGUAUGCAUGUUACUUCUGUGUCCGGCGAAUGUCUGAGUGAUGGGAGGGUAUGCCUGGAAGAUGAGGUGUUGUUGCUGCUGCAACUGAAGAGCAGCCUCAUAUUUAAUACUGCUGCAUCGAAUAAACUUGUUUCCUGGAUUCAAAGCGCGGACUGCUGUUCUUGGGGAGGUGUAACAUGGGACGCCACUGGUCGUGUUGUCUCUCUUGAUCUCAGUAGCGAAUUCAUUUCUGGUGAACUCAAUAGCUCCAGUAGCAUUUUCAGUCUACAAUAUCUCCAGAGCUUGAAUUUGGCUAACAACACCUUCUCUUCUCAAAUUCCAGCAGAAUUCCACAAGCUUGGAAACUUAAAUUACCUGAAUUUGUCCAACGCUGGCUUUUCUGGGCAGAUUCCAAUUGAGAUUUCCUACUUGACAAGGUUGGUUACUAUUGAUCUAUCUAGCCUUUAUUUCAUCACCGGUAUCCCAGAACUGAAACUUGAGAACCCAAAUCUGACAACGCUGGUCCAGAACCUCAAGGAGCUUAGGGAACUUCAUCUUAGUGGUGUAAACAUUUCGGCCAAGGGAAAGGAGUGGUGCCAGUCAUUAUCAUCUUCAGUGCCAAAUCUCCAAGCGCUAAGCUUGUCCAGAUGUUUUCUUUCAGGCCCCAUUGAUUCUUCUCUGGAGAAGCUUCAGUAUUUGUCAAGAAUUCGUCUGGAUGGCAAUAAUUUUUCCUCUCCAGUUCCAGAAUUCCUUGCGAAAUUUCAAAAUUUGACUUGCUUGCGGCUCAGUUUUUGUGGAUUAUAUGGAACAUUUCCUGAAAAGAUCUUUCAGGUACCAACCCUUCAGAUUCUUGAUAUCGAAAACAACAUGUUACUUGAGGGUUCUCUGCCAGAAUUCCCUCUGAAUGGAGCUCUGGAAACCCUGAUCCUCUCAGAUACAAAAUUUUCAGGGAAAGUACCUGACUCAAUAGGCAAUCUCAAGAUAUUGACCAGGAUAGAGCUUGCAAGGUGUAAUUUCAGUGGGCCAAUCCCAAACUCCAUGGCCGACCUCACUCAAUUGGUUUACUUGGACUUGUCUGAAAAUCAGUUUUCUGGUCCAAUCCCGCUGUCACUGUUUUCCUUUCCAUCACUGCAGACGAUACAACUAACCAACAACUAAUUUUCUGGUCAGUUCAACAUUUUGCUUAAUGCGUCUUCAUCUGUAUUGCAUACCCUUGAUUUGAGUAGCAACAAUCUGGAAGGCCCCAUACCAGAAUCUGUUUUUGAACUACAGGGUCUUUACAUCCUUGAUCUAUCUUCCAACAAAUUCAAUGGAACAGUGGAGCUCAGCAAGUUUCAAAAACUUGGGAAUCUUACCACUCUCAGUCUUUCGUACAACAAUUUGUGGAUAAUUGCAAGUGGUAGUGAUUUCAUUCCUUCAAAAUUACCGCAUUUGACCACAUUAAAAUUGGCUUCUUGCCAGCUGGGGACAUUACCUGAUCUUAGCAGCCAGUCAAGAUUGUCAUAUUUGGACCUUUCCGAAAACCAAAUUCAGGGGGAGAUACCUAAGUGGAUCUGGAAAGUUGGUAAUGGCUCUCUUAUCCAUUUGAAUCUCUCUCUUAAUUUACUGGAGGAUCUGCCAGAACCUUCAUCUAUUCUUUCUACUAAUCUUUUGGUCCUUGACCUACACUCCAAUCAGCUCCAUGGGCGAAUUCCCACUCCACCCUCAUGUUCCGCCUAUGUGGAUUACUCAAACAACAGUUUCACCUCUUUCAUCCCAGAUGACAUUGGUACUUAUAUCUCCCUCAAUAUUGUCUUCAUGCUUUCAAAGAAUAAUAUCACUGGAAUUAUCCCUGAAUCAAUAUGCAAUGCCAGUUAUCUAAGCGUUCUUGACUUAUCUGACAAUGCUUUGAGUGGCAAAAUACCCUCAUGCUUAAUUGAGAUCGAGACUCUUGCAGUGCUGAAUCUAGGGAGAAACAAGUUUAGUGGCAUUAUAUCUGGCGAAUUUCCAGGAAACUGUGUCUUACAGACUUUAGAUCUGAAUGGGAACCUUUUAGAAGGAAAAAUUCCAGUGUCUCUGGCCAAAUGCAAAGAGUUAGAGGUUUUAAACCUUGGGAACAAUCAGAUGGAUGAUAACUUUCCUUGCUGGUUGAAGAACAUAAGCAAUUUGCGUGUCCUUGUUUUGCGAGCCAACAAAUUGCAUGGACCCAUUGGAUGUCCAAAUAGCAACUCCACCUGGCCAAUGGUUCAAAUUGUGGACCUAGCUCACAACAAUUUCAGUGGUGAGUUACCAGCAAAGUGCUUCUUGACCUGGAGAGCAAUGAUGGCAGGCGACGAUGAAGUCGAAUCCAAGCAUAAAAACCUCGAAUUUGAGGUCUUAUUAGGAUGGUACUAUCAGGAUGCUGUAAGAGUUACCAGCAAAGGUCAAGAAUUGGAGUUGGUGAAGAUCCUAACGCUCUUCACCUCUAUUGACUUGUCACGCAACAAUUUCGAAGGGGAGAUACCAGAAGUAAUGGGAGACUUGACAUUACUUUAUGUUCUCAACUUAUCUGGCAAUGGUUUCACAGGGCGCAUCCCAUCAUCACUAGGACAGCUCCGACAGCUUGAGUCAUUAGACCUCUCAAUGAACAAGCUGAGCGGCGAGAUCCCUACACAGCUUGCGAGCCUAAAUUUCCUUUAAGUGCUGAACCUCUCAUUCAAUCAAUUGGUGGGAAGAAUCCCAACAGGGAGUCAAUUGCAAACAUUUUCAGAAAAUUCCUUCCUGGGUAACAGAGGAUUAUGGGGCUUCCCCCUGAACCCAAGCUGCAAAGAUGCUACACCACCACCGGCGUUUGAAAGCAGGCAUUCAGGUUCCAGGAUGGAGAUUGACUGGGACUACGUGGCUCCGGAGAUUGGAUUCGUGACAGGGUUAGGCAUCGUGAUUUGGCCUCUAGUGUUUUGCAAGAGAUGGAGGAGAUGCUACUACGAGCAUGUUGAUGGAAUUCUCUCAAGGAUUCUCCGCGGCUAAGACAAGGAAGAGCAAAUAAUGGGAGCAGGGAUCUAGCGACCACUAGUGAGAAGGAUCUAGUUGGAGUGUAUUGUAUUUCUAUUAGAUAGAAACUAUCUUUUCUACCCAUAUGCAGAAAAGCUUUUUAGUUUUUACUCAAAACUAUAGUCUAUGACCCAGUUAAACCUACACAAAAUAAAAUUCUAAUUUCGGAGAUUCAACAAGUCAUUCAAGAUGAGCAAGAGGUUAAGAUAUGUUGGCUGGAUGUGGGCCCGAGUUGGGUUAAACUUGGUUGGCCUGAUUGGUACAAACCAAGACCAACUAUGGUAGUUAGGCCCAUGUUCAGCCCAAUCAACACAUCUGAAGCCAUUAGGGAGUUUAGAUUGAUAACCACUUAAUUAUCAUGCUAGCUAGUAAACCUGCUGCACAUCCACUUAUAAAAGUUUCAUUUGGAAAUGUUUCUCAUUUUACCCUUUUUUUUUAAUCACAAUUUUUAUUAUAUUGUUAAUUUAGAGGAAGAAAAAACUUCAAUCAAUUUUUUGUAAUCCUUUCUUCCAACAAUCAUUUAUGAAGAUUAAACAAUGAGACAAGUAUGAGAUGUUUUUAGAGUAAAUGGCGAAUUAAUGUAACUUCUUAGGUCUUCGUUCUUAAUGGAAUUUGAAAACAAUGAAUAUUUUUAUUCAGGUGAAAUAACAUUUUUUAAAGAGUCCACGAUCCUUCUCAUCAUACCCUGCAAAUGCUUGUACAGUUUUUUGGGUUGUUUUUGCCUUCACUCACCAUAAUUCCUAAUCAACUUUCAUGUGAAGAUUAAGAAGCACCGAAACUGGGCCAAACCUGUUCAUGGGGAAAGAAUAGUCUUUGGUUUCCGAUACGUCCUCAACAAACAUAAAAGAAGAAUAGUAAUCAAUUCAGAGUAAACAGGUCCAAUUGAUCAGUGAAUUGAGAGUGAGAGGACAGUUUGUAAGGGGACCUUUUUGGUCUCAUUCAGAGUAAUCAAUUCCAUUUCAGUAGGGGUUCUGCUUCCCUUGUUUUCUUUCUCUUUCACAAGGACUGGAGUGGGUAGACUUGAAGCCAAGCUGAACAGCUCUUAGCUCUUCCCAACUACCAGCCCCUCCCUCACCAAUCACUUCCACUUGCAACUUACAUUAUCGCUACAUUUGUCAAAGUGAAGGCUAUGAAUUUUUGUAGAAUAAUUGUAACAACAUUUAUUGUACUAUAACGAUGCCUAAGAGAGGAUGAAAAAUGGUAUUAAAAGCAAAAAAGAUAGAUGUCAUCUUUCUGUGGAUGACCUGUAAUCGGCUUGUUUUUUCGUUUAAUUUUUUGCAUGAAUUUGCGCACUCAACAUUUCUUGUUGGGUUUGAUUAAAAAGCCAAUGAGAGAAAGAUCGGUAUAUAUGAAUUGGAUACGAGCAUUGUAUAUAAGAUGAGUUUCUUAGGUGGUGUUUGUUUUUUUUACUUUUGCUGAAAGCAAAUUGUUUUCAGAAUUUAGGUUGUUUGUUUAUCUACUUUUUUAUGACUUAUUAUAAACUUUUUAUUAAAUAGAAAAAGACAAAAUAUGUAGCUUUUUUAAAAUAGAAUAAAAAUAUCAUAUUGGUUUUUCUUUACCUUUUAAUACUUAAUAGAAAUAGAAUACUAUAAAAACAAACAAUCUAAUAUUUAACACUAUUAAACAUUAAGGUUCUAUUUAAAAUUAAGUAAAAAAACAAACACCACUUUAGUCUCGUUCAAAGUAAUCGAAUCCAUGUCAGUAGGCAGUUUGAUUUUUCAAUGGAUUAAAAAGUUUGUAAUCAUUUCUAAAUAUUACAUGAAAUACAUGAAAAGGAAAAACUUGUAGUGGAACUUAAUGCUCUAAAAACGAAAUCAAAAGGCAAAUGUUGAACACACUCUUAAACUCUUUCUCCACUUAUCCAUUUAUUUUUCAAAAAAAAAAAAUAUAUGAAUGGUUAAAAAUACCUCUUUUUCAUCUUCUCGACACCACUCAUCACCAACCUUGGUUUUUUUUCUUCCAUUUUCUUUUCUUUCGAGUCUCUUACCUUCACCUACUAAAUAUAUGAAUUUGAUUUUCAUCAAACCCAUCAACAUAGGGUAAAAAAACCUUAUGUUGUUUUCUAUUCCAAAAAGCAUUGGGGAUAGAAAAACAUAAAUUUGUUUCAAUUUGAUUUUUAAUAUUUUCUAUUCUUGUUUGAAUAUCUUUUUGUAAUAGAUUUUCUUCCAUUCUUUUAUAAUGUAUUUCUUUGCUUAUGUGUUUGAUAUGUUGUUUUUUCUUUUGAAUAAGAUUUACUUCAUUUUCUUGAAGUGUAUUUAACUCUUUAAUUUUUAAAGAACUAAUAAAUUUGAAACAAAUACUUUGUCCUUUAUAACUAGUUUUAAUUCCUUCAUCAUCUACUUUAAAAGGAUAAAGUAGUGCAAGGAAUGGUGUUCCCAAGAUUAUAUCUUUAUUCAUAUCUCUGACAAUUUAAAGAGAAGUCUUGUAACAAACAUUUUGAUUAUAGAUAUGAACAUUUGAAAUUUUGAAAUCUACCAUCAAAGGCUUCGAGUUUGUACUCACACACUUGGUAAGUCUUUUCAAAGUAUAUAGUUGGGAUUAAUCCUUUCUGUACACAAUUAAUAUUAGCACUAGAAUCAAUUAAUGUUAAAAACUCUUUUAAAAAAAUCAGGUUUUAUAAAACGUUUUACUUUGAUGUGCCAUUUUUUAAUUAACAUUUUAGUUAUACUAUUUACAAAAAAUUGAGAAGAUUCUCCUUCUUCUAAUUGUUUAUCUUCAUGUUGUUCUAAUUUUUCAUUUUCUAAUAUUUGGAGUCUUGUUUUUUAUUUCUUGAUUUUGACUUAUCAUGGUAUUAAUUUGAAGUUUUAUCAACUUAUUUCAUUUUGAAGGUCUUGAAUUCCUAUUGGUUUUAAAGCAGAAAAUUGGUUUAAUACAGUUUUUAAACUGUAUUGAUUUGUAUUUUCUAUUUGUCUUUCAUUCCUUUGUUCAACAUGGAGGUAAUUUGAUUCCUACUUCCUGUUCUCAAUUAUUAUUCUUUAUAUCAAGAUUUCAAAUUCCAUGGAUCUUGUGUUGGGACUUUGUCCAAACACAAUUAAUUCCCCCUCUCUUUCCUCCGCAUUUGGCGGUUGAAUUCAAACUCAAAUGGUGGUCAAACUUUUCUCCUUCUUCCACCCAACAAAUUCCUCAUAUUCGUCAAUGGAUAUCUUCAAAAUAUUCUAACACAAGCAAAAAAAAUACAUUAUAAAUAAAUGGAAGAAAAUCUAUUACAAAAAGAUAUUCAAACAAGAAUAGAAAAGAUUAAAAAUCAAAUUGAAACAAAUUUAUAUUCUUCUAUCCCCAAUGCUUUUGGAAUAGAAAGCACCAUAAGUUUUCCUUACCCUAUGUUGAUGGAUUUGAUGAAAAUCAAAUUCCCACUAAGGCAAUACCAAUUCAAAUGAAUACUCAAUUAAUUACUUGAGUAUUGUAAGAAAGAAAUCAAGGAUCUUUUAGAAAAAAAUAGUAUUAGAAAGAGUCAUUCUCCUUGGAGUUGUGUAUCUUUUUAUGUUCAAAAACCUUUGAAAAUUGAAAGAGGUGCUCCAAGACUUGUCAUAAACUAUAAGCCUUUAAAUAAGGUUCUCAAAUGGAUAAGGUAUCCAAUACCUAAUAAGAGAGACCUUAUUGGAUGCCUUUAUUAUGCUUCAAUUUUCUCAAAAUUUGAUAUAAAGUCUAGAUUUUGGCAAAUUCAAACUCUAUCUCUUACUCUAAUUCAACCUAAUAUUAAACUUAUACUCUAAUUCAAACUAAUAUAUAAUAAAUAGAUAAAUACUAAUAUUUAAAUUAAGGACAACAUUAACUCUCUAUGAUAUUCUUAAAGAGAAAAAAGAAAAAAAAUUAAAUACAUUAUCCAUACUUUCAUAUUAAUUUAAUUUUUGAAUGAAAUUAACAAAAUAAGUUCAAUAGCAUUCACUUUCUAAGGAACCAAAAAAUAAAAAAUUUGUUCAUGCUUUUAGAUUUACAUAACGAAAAAUACUUUAUCAAUAUUUCAACGAUCAAGAUUCUUCUUAUUCAACUUGAAGAAUAAAGUAAGCUUACUGCAAAGCUAACAUAUAAAUUAUAUUUUGACCCAUAAUUUUAUGGCCCCAACUAUGUCUUUUUCUCAAAUUUCAACAAACCAAAAAAAUGUUUCAUAGAAAACGCAAUGUCUAAUUUAUUUAUUUUUUUUAUGGUUAAUUUGAAUGUAUAGAAAAUCAAAAUUUAAAACUAAAUUCUUUAUAUCACCACAAAUAAAUAAAUUUCAAUUAUUUCAUCAAAUUUAAUCAAUUUGCAUGUUAUAUACAUAAAAAUAAUCAUGAUAUUUCUAUCAAUAAUUUUUUAAGAUCUUUUUUAUGUAGUAAUUUAGUUCAAGUUAAGUAUAACUUGAAAACAAAAGUACAAAAAUUUUGAAAAUGUAUUAAAAAAACACAAAAAAUUGAUAGCCAUAGAUUAUUAUUUUUAUAUUAAAUAUAUUUUAAUGUGUUUUCAUGUAUUGGAAUUCAAUGAAAUACUAAUUUUAUUUCCACAUUAAUAUUUUGUAUUAAUUUUUGAAGUCUUGUUUCUCAUAGAUAGACAUUUUAUUCUAAACUAAAGACACAUAAUUUACUGUAGAUAUAUUAUUUUUGUAAAAACCUAAUUUAAUGUGUGCAUUAUUAAUUGUUUUAUUAUUUUCACAAUUUCAUUUAAAGUUUAUAUAGUCAAAUUUCAAGAUUUUUUUAAUCAAAAUUUUCAUUGAUAUUAGUAUUUUCAUUCAUGUAAGUUUAAACUACCAAUAUUUUCAUGGAUAUUAAUUUUUUUUAUUAUGUAGGUUCUAUCAUAUGAAGUUAUAUGGUGUAUCACUAGUGUAUGUCUUAAAUAUCAUUUUCCAAAUUUAUUCAUUUAUCCUAAUUUGAAACUUUAUUAUCAUUAAUAUUGUUAUUAUUAUAAAAUUUUACUCUUAUUUAUCCAUAACAAAUUAAUAAAAUAAAAUAAAAAUUAAUACAAAUUCAAAUUUUUUUUUUCAAAAAUUUCUCACAUUCUUUUAAAAAAAUAUUAAGAAGAAAAUAUUUAACCAUUUUUUUCUCUUUUUUUUUUCACUUUUUAAAUCUUUUCUCAUGAUACCUAAACAUCAAGAAAUAUCUUUCUUCAUAAAUAAUUUUUUUUCCCUUUUCUUAAUCCUUUCCAAAAGUUUUUUGAGCCAUUAAGACUAUGUUUGAUUCCUAAAAAAUUGAGGGAAAAUGCAAGAGAGAGAGAGAAAAAAAAAAGACAAAACAAAAAGAGUGGAAAAAUAGAAGGAAAGAAAAAAAAAAAGGAAAAAAAAAAAUAGAUUUGAAGUUAAUAAAUUAUUUUUAUAUGCUACUUCAAACUCAUUUGAUUGAUUUUAACUCUUUCAUAUGAAGAUUAAAUAAUUUGAAAUUGUAUCAGUUUCUAACUAGUUUUAAUAUAUAUUUGAUUUUCUUUGGUAUUUUUCACAUGACAACCAAAUAUGAUAAAAUCAAAAUUUUUUUUAAAUAUUUUUUCAUUCCUCAUUGCUUUCCGAGAAUCAAAUAUAACCUAAAUUUCUUGUUCUUUUUUCCAUAAUAGAUCAACAAAGAGAAGGGAUAAGGGCCAUUGAACAUGACUUGAUGUAGAGAAACUUUAAUUUCUCUCGUCUUGCUCUAGUUACCUUACCAAUUCAAAAUGCCUUUAGUUGGAAGACUUUGAGGUCUACAAACAUAACCUAAAUUUCUUGUUCUUUUUUCCACAAUAGAUCAACAAAGAAAAGAGAUGAGGGCCAUUGAACAUGACUUGAUGUAGACAAUCUUGAAUUUCUCUCGUCUUCUUAUAGUUACCUUACCCAUUCAAAACGCCUUUAGUUGGAAGGCUUUGAGGCCUACAACUGUGGAAAAGUCAAGCCCUCAAUUAUGCCCAAACAUUACACUCACAAGUCUUUUUCUUUCACUCUCCUAACUAACUUAAAUGAUUCUUAUUAGAGAAACUACUAUAUAAAUAGUUUUGAGAUGUAUACUUAUUUAUAUUUAUUUAUCAUAAUAGAUAACAAUUAAAAUUAAAACAUGGCAUUUUGAGAAGAUAGCUAAAAUAAAUUGAAACCUCAUCCAAUUGUUUUAGGAGAGGUAAGAUAAUGUUUGAUUAACAUACAAACUAAAUUAAAUGUGUAAAUUACAAGAAAAGUGUUAUGCUUGUUAAAGAAUUCGAAAAGCGUAUUUUUUGGGCUAGAAAAAAGGUCGCAAAGAAAAAAGAAUUAUGGAAAGGAGAAUUCCAUUUUCAUGUUGGUGGGAAGAUAGACUUGAAUCUAAUUUUCCAAGUGACAAUGGCAUAUUCCCAUUGAAUUCAAAUUGAUAAAUUUUAUCAUUAUAGAUAUUUUGAUAUUUUUAGUAAUGGAAUGAAAUAAUGUGGAUAUUGGAUUAUUUUGAUAUUUUUACUAAUGGAAUGAAAUAAUUUAGAUAUUGGAUUCAUUUGAACUAUGUUUGGAUCCCAGAAAAUACUAGGAAAAGAAAAAAAUGUUAAGAAAAAUGGUUUUCUCACGUUUGGUUUCACUAUAGAAAAUAUAAAAGAAAAUCAAAUAUAAUUAAAAUUAAUUUACAAUUUAGAUAUUUUAAAAUUAUUUAAUCUUGCUAUAAUAGAGAGAACUAAGUAAAUUGAGUUUGCAAAAACAUAUAAACAUAAUUUAUUAAAUUUAAAUUUUUCUUCAUUUUUUCUUUCUUUUUACUUUUCCUCUUUAUUUUCUUUCCUUUGCAUUUUCCUUCAAUUUUUUUGAGAACCAAACAUAGUCUUAGUAUCACUUUCUAAACUUAAUUUGGUAUGUAUACAUGCAAAACUCUAUAAAAUUGAAUUUGUUGUUUAUGUUGUAUGCCAUAAAAUUUGCAUAGACUCUUUGGGAAGCUUCCCUCCAUGUGUCCUUCACAGGCUCAAGGCCCUUUGGCCGUCCAAGGGAAGCAAAUAAUCUGUCUAGGAGAAAUCCAUCUGGACCAAGACAAUCUCCGUUUGGCAUAAAAGGAAAGACGAAUUUCCUUUUUCCCUAAUGCCAGACAGAAUGGACAAACUAAACCGACUGGGGGACUUUCAAAUGGACAAACUAAGCCAGUCGAAAAUUCCAAGCAUUGAGUAGAUGAUUAACCACCACCAAUGCCUAAGCAACAAGCAAAACAACAUUUACACCCAGAAAUCAAUGUCCCUUAGUCGUUACGUGCAAUCGGUGACAUUAAAAAACGUAUAUGCACAACCAACAACAUGGUUCGAGAUACAAAAAAUAAAUGACGCCAAUUAGUAACUCUUAUUUGGUAUGAUUGUCCAAUCCACACUAAGCUAAUGACAUUGACUACCUUAUUAAGGCAUAGUAUCCGCCAUGACGACAAUCAUCAGCGCAAGAAAUGCAUGAAUGCACAAUCAAUGCUAUGAUGAUGAUGUCAUACGUUCUAUAAAAACUCAUCUAAAAGCAUGAAAAAGGUAUGCACAUACAUAACCAUUCAAAAAGUUGGAUUCAUUCUCACUAGAUUCUGACUUAAGCUUCGAAGGGGCAUGCUCGGACCACCUAUCUGAACAUCCUUUUGUGUUGGGAACAAUCCAUCUAACUCUAAUGAAGUCAGAUCCUACAUGCAAUUGGCACAACACCAACAUUGGUGCAGUCUAUGGGAAACAACUAAGGAUGUUAAUGCCCUUUAGAAACUAAUCAUCAAUUAUUAGUGAUGAAGACUAUUUUGUCUAAUGCAAAAGAAUGGAGAAAGGCCAACGAGAAAAUGAGCAGCAAAUACAAACUUUGCUCUACUAAACAGAACGACUAAGAGAAAAGAACGAGGAGUUGCAGACUCAAAUGUCAAUAGUGAGCCCCUCUCAAAGUCGACACACUCAAAGCUGACAAACAGCCUCACGACGAACUGUUGAGGCAUCUUUCCUUGGGGGCACAAAGUUCUCCUUCGACAGCUACUCAAGACAAUACAAGAAGGAGUCUUCGCCAACUCAUCAAAUUUAGUCAGACGAAGGCAUCAAUUCCAUCUGGGCAUCAAGGAAAAAGAGGCGCGACAAAGGGUCGCAUUUGUCUAAUGCGAAGCGAGCCAGACUAAGACCUUAAGCACUAGGCGUGGAGACACAACCGCACAUGUUAAAAACUCUAAGGGCACGUCUAAGUCAGCCAGCCAUAACAACCACAUCUAGAUGCCCCCCCUCAACCACCAAGGCAAUAGCAGGCAGGAGUGUCAACAACGCGAGCCACACCUUACUCUAUUAGUCGAAGGUUGGAUGACAUGCUCUCCAUGUUGUUCGUCACUCAUAUCAUUAGCUAUGAACCACCCAGAGGGUUCGUGUUGCCCAAAUUCAUAAUGUACGAUGGAACGAGUGACCCAUUUGACCACAUCAUGCACUUCAGGUAGCUUAUGACCCUUGACAUAGGGAAUGAUGCACUGAUGUGCAAGGUCUUUCCGGCCAACCUACAUAGCCAAGUUCUCUUCUGAUUUCACCACCUUGCAUAGAAUUCUGUGAACACAUUCCAAAAUGUCUCAGAAGCCUUUGUGGGCCACUACUUAUGUUUUGCUCGCCAAAAGCAGAACAUAAGCACCUUAUAGAACAUCAAGUUACAGGAAAAUGAAAUGCUAAGGGAUUUCAUGAAGCGGUUUGGACAAGCAGUUCUUUAAGUUAAAUCAUAUAGUAUGGACGUCAUCCUAUAGAUCUUCAAGCAAAGUAUUAGCCUAGGCACUCCAUUUUUCGAGUUCCUUGCAGAAAAGCCACCCAUAACAAUGGAUGACCUAUUCAAGCGGACAGACAAGUAUUCUAUGCUCGAAGAUGAUGUCAAAGCAACCUCUCAACAAGUCUUGGUCACCAAUCAACCGGCCAAGAAUGAUAAAGCAAGGAGUUGUAAGCCUUCUAACCAAAUGAGACAGGUAGCAAAAAAUAAGACAACCGACAACAACAGUAGGAGAGUCUCACUUCUUUAAGUAUCUCUUAUAAGAAACUCCUCCCAUAGAUCUGUGACCCAUCGGACUUCAGAUGCUUGGAUCUAAUUAAGAUAGAUUCGGAUAGAUGGGACUAGAACAUAAGGUGCUCUUACCAUAGGGAAAAUGAAAACACCACUAAACAAUGCAAGAGUCUACAUUACUUGGCGAAAAAACUCAUCAAGAUUGGACACCUUAAGCAGUACUUUUGCACAACAAGCCAGCAAAGAAAGACAACACUAGAGGUACCCGCCCAAGCCCCUAUAUCUCCGACAACCCCCAAACUAUAAUUAACUAUAUACACGGAGGUCUAAUAGAUGACAAACACAACUCUAGGUGACAAAGGCGAAGGUUUCUUCAUGCAACUUCUAUAAGAAAAUAGAUUAGUUCCGUCUAGGACACCUUUGUAGAAGGAAGUGUGCAUCCAGUCGAUUACACAAUCACCUUUCCUCUUAUAGGUGUCAAUUGGGUGUUGCAACCCCAUAGAGAUGCCUUGAUCCUAACACUAGGGAUGGGCAAAUUAGAAGUGCGGAGAAUCCUAGUUGAUCCAGGCAAUUUAGCUAAUCUCUUGCAAAUGUCAACCUACAGGCAAAUGGGUCACUCACCAUCUGCCUUAGAAAAUCCAAGGCGUCUACUAUCCAGAUUUAAUGGACUUACAAUAACCUCCCUAGGUGAUAUUGUGUUACACGUCCAAUCCGACUCGAUCAUAACGAGUGUACAAUUCUCGAUGGUUAAUGAUCUGUCUCCAUACAAUGCCAUUAUGGGACAUGCAUGACUUCACAAAAUGAAAGUCAUUCCUUCUACGUACCAUCAAAUGGUAAGCUACCUCACAGAAGUGGAACAAGUCAAUUUCCUUGGUAGCCAACUAGCCGCAUGAUAAUACUAUCAAGUGGCGCUAGAGUUUGUACAUCCAACCAACGAUGAGGCACAUCUCGAACCAUCGAACACAAGGUAACAAUAGCAGUUACUAAGCCCGAUGGAGAAAUAUCCAUCCGCGGUUGAUCCGCUUCAACCACUGCUUUUUUCACAUGACACAAAUCAAAUCACCUACAAUCAGUUUUUUACUUGCGCAAGAUGAACUAGAACUGCUAGGGAAUACGAUUUAGUGCAAUAAAAACAUUUUUUCCUAGACUCACUAGGACAUGUAAGAAAUCCAUCCGGUCGUGGCCUCCCAAAAGCUCAAUGUCUCACCCACAUCGUAUCCUAUCUAGUAGAAGGUCUAAUGCUUUCAUAUGGAUUGUCAAAAAAUCAUCUAGAUGGAAGUUGACAAGCUAUUGGCAAUCAGAUUUAUUAGAAAAGUCAAAUAUUCAGAUUGGUUGGCGAACGUGGUGGUAAUUCCAAAGAAAAAAGGGAAAGUGGUGAGUUUACGUUGACUACACUAACCUGAAUAAUGCUUGUCCAAAGGAUAGUUUUCUCUUACCUAGAUAGAUUAGAUAAUCAACGCCACAAUCGAGCAUGGGGUGCUAUCCUUUUUAGAUGCCUUUUUCGGAUACCACCAGAUCCCUAUGUUAUAGCCAGAUGAGGAGAAAAUAGUCUUUGUCAUGCCACAAGGACCAUAUUGUUAUAGAGUCAUGUUGUAUGGACUCAAGAAUGUUGUCGCUACCUACCAGAGACUAAUGACAAAAAUCUUCAAGCCCUUGAUCGACAGAACUAUGGAAGUCUACAUUGAUGACAUUCUUGUAAAGAAUGAGACCCAAGUUGAGCAUGUUCAGCACCUAGAAGAAACAUUCCAUUUGAUACGAGCAUACAACAUGAAGCUCAAUCUAGUUAAAUGUGCCUUCGACAUCAAUGUAGGAAAAUUUCUAGGGUUUAUGGUAACCCAAAGGGGAAUUGAAGUUAAUCCAGCUCAAGUGAAAGCCGUCUUGGAAACACCUGCUCCAAAUAACAAAAACAAAUUGUAGCACCUUACAGGCCAUCUCACAACUUUGGGUCGUUUCAUAGCUCGUUUUAUAGACAAGAUGCAACAUUUUUUCCUCACAUUUAAGGGGGCAAGCACGUUUGGCUGGACAGACGAAUGUAAACAGGCAUUUGAGGCAGUCAAACACUACCUCAUUGAACCACCUAUUCUAAUCAACCCCAAAUUCGACAAAGAACUUUACAUGUAUCUGGUCGUAUCUAAUUACACUGUCAGUGUCAUCCUAUUUCGACAUAUACUAGACAAGGAACAGAAACCCAUCUAUUAUGGGAGCAAAGUAAUGGUGGAUGCUGAGACAUGGUAUUCCUAAGUAGAGCAAAUUGCUCUAGCACUAAAGAGUGUAGCUCAAAAGCUCCACCCACACUUCUAGGCUCAUCAAGUGAUCAUACUUACAAACCAGCCGCUUCGAGUCACCUUGCACAAGCUAUCCGGAUGAAUGUUGAAAUGGGCAAUCGAGUUGAGUGAGUAUGAGAUCAAGUAUCAAUCGUGGUUAUCCUUAAAAAGACAGGUUAUGACCAAAUUUAUAGUUGAACUCCAUGAAAAAAAAAAAAACCACAUCCGGUCAAUCGCCCUAGAAAGCAAUGGUGGAUAUUUCAUGUAGACGGAGCAUCCAAGGUGUCUAGAUCCGGAGUGGGUCUGCUCCUGCAGUCAUCAACUGGGAAACUAGUAUAAAAAACUAUCCACCUUAGCUUCUCGUUUUCCAACAACGAGGCAAAAUAUGAAGCUAUGCUAGUCAGGCUAGAUCUUACCCUAAUGUUAGCCAUAACCAAGUUGGAAAUCAUGAGCAAUUCUCAGCUAAUUGUUGGGCAGAUUCAAUAAGAGUAUGAAACAAAGGAUGAAUGUAUGACGCGAUACCUUGCCCUGGUGGAAAAACACCUGAAAAAGCUAGACGAAUGGAUUAUCAAACAGGUGCCGUAAGAGGACAAUGAAAAUACCAACACACUAGUCGAGCCAGCUGCCACUUUCCCCAUAAAUGGGACGGUAAUGCUACCCAUUUACCUCGAAAUCAAGUCUUCCAUCACUCCUAGGCUAGUAUGCAAUAUCGGUUAAAUAGACUCAGGAUGGAUGCUUGACAUCAUAAAAUACCUCCAAACAGGGGAUGUACCAAAAGACAGAAAGCAAACACACAAACUUUGCAUACAAGCAACAUGCAUCACUUUAAUUAAUGAUCAACUUUAUAAACGAUCAUUUGAAGACCCAUAUCUAAAGUGUUUGAGCAAGCCAGAGUUCAAGUAUGUCCUAAUCAAACUCCAUGAUGGCAUAUACAACAAUCACCUAGGGGGGCAAACUUUAGCGCACCGUGCCUACACGUAAGGAUAUUAUUGGCCCACCAUGAAGUGGGACACUGAAAGCUAUGUCAAAAGAUGCGAUCGAUGUCAAUGACACAUUCCCAUUCCCUGUGUACCUUCGAAAGUCCUCAAUUUGGUCACAAGUCCUUGGCCAUUUGUGUAGAGGAAUGGACAUAGUCAACCCCUUACGUAUUGGAGCAUCGCAAAAAAAGUUUUUGCUCGUUGCAAUCGACUACUUCAGCAAGUGGGUGGAGACAGAAGCUUAUGUCAGUAUCAAAGACAAAGAUGUUUCUAGAUUUGUCUAGAAAAACAUCAUAUGUCAAUUCGAAAUUCCACGAGCAAUUAUCAUGGAUAAUAGGCCCUAAUUUGAUAGGAUCGUCUUCUGAACAUUUUGUUCAAAGCUAAACAUUAAGAACUUUCACUCAACACCCCACUAUCCGCAAAGCAACAGACAUGCCAAGUCAACAAACAAAGCCCUAUUAAAUGCUUUGAAGAAAAUGUUGGCAAGAAUAAAAGGAAAAUGGGUAAAUGAAUUGCCCAAAGUUUUAUGGGCCUACCAGACAACAUCUAGACGGCCAACAGGAGCCACUCCCUCGCCUUUGCUUAUGGGAUGGAAGCCAUCAUUCCAACCAAAAUUGGCAUGCCUACUACCAAAAUAGCAGUGCAAGAUAAAAAAGACAACAAUGAACUCAUAAGGCAACUAGAUUGUGUUGAAGAAAAGUAAGAAACUCCAGCUAUCCGAAUAGCUUCUUACUAUUAGAGGGCAAUCACUCAGUACAACAAAAAGGCACGACUACGGUUUUUUCAGUUAGGAUCUUUGGUUCUUAAAAGAGUCUUAAAAAACACAAUUGAAAUGGGACAUGGAAGCUAUAAGCUAAUUGGGAAGGACCUUAUGUUGUAAUUAAGGUAGGAGACUUGGGGGCAUAUCACCUCCAAACACUAGACGACGUGUCUCUGCUCUUCCCUUUGAAUGUAACUAACUUAAAAAUAAUAUAGCAAAGACAAAUUGCUAAAAAGAGCACACUAGAAGGAAAAUUAAUAAGUGUAUUCAUAAUUGAGCAUACAUUGUGUAUAUAGGCAUAAAAAUCUAGGCCACAAUUGGCUAAAGAAAAGAAAAGUAAAAGAAGUCAAGUCUGCUCAUCAUGGGAGCCGUCUUCAACGGAAGGGUCCGUCUCCUAAACCAUGUCCAUCUCUUAGUGCAGGACUACCCGAAAACUCAUCUUCCUCAUCAUCAGAAGGGAACCUAGGAGUAUUGUUUGCAAUGUCAUGCUUCUUCAUACAACACCGGUAGCCAUAGAAGAAUAUGUCAUCAACCUGCUUCUAAUAAUCUGUUUCUAUAUCAUUCUUUUGAGUGGAAAACCCUUCCCGAAUAUCUUAUAGCUCACUUCUCAACUGGGCAGUCUUCUCUUGAACCUUCUCUUUUUUGGCCGCAAUAACAACCUUCUCCUUAGCCAGGCAGCGAGCCUUGGCCUGGGAUGCUUUCUUCUCUUCCUCGACUUUCCUCAGCAGGCAGACACCCUUUCAACCAACUUUUGGGUAGUAACAACCUUACCCAUUGCCGUCUUCAUGACGACUAAGAGCUCCUCAUUUUUGUCCAUGUUAUGGGCGAUAUAUGCCAUCAUGGUUUCGAUUGCUUCUAGUCGUUGGAAAAGGUGCGCUUGUUGUCGUAUGAGGUUACAAACCUCGACUAUCAUCUAGGGGUAGCAAAGAUCAUUAUGAAAUAAGACACUAAAGGAAAAAUGAGAAAAGUCACAAGUGAAAAAGAGGGGGACGACUAACCACUUCCACUGUCUCAAAAGCAGUGUAGUCCCUCAUAUGAAUGAUGCGAACAAUGGCAAUGUCCGGAGUACCAUAAAGAAGUCGCGCCAUGAAAGACUAAUUAGGGUCUUCAUCCACCUCAACCAGAAUUCGUUGCAUAGCUGGAAAGAGCUCUUUAUGUCCUACACUAGAGGCUCCAUUUCGGUAAAGGUUGGGAUACGCCUUAUAAGCUUAGACAAUUUCUUCAUGCUGGGAACAUAGGCUGGCUUUGGGCCGUGAGGAGAAGGAUUUAGACACUUGAAUGAAUCCUCAUUGAUGUUCCCUAAGACGACAAAGGGUUUCCUCAUCUCGUGGUUGGGAAUAUCACCAACAUAUGAGGGUUUAUCAUUCAAACCUGAGUCGACAAUGUUGGCUUGGACGGAGAGUCCAAACCGGGAGCUGGAUGAUCCUUCUUUGAAGAAGAUGGGCCAAUAGCGAUAGACUCAGACAGGCACUUACAUUGCCUCUUACGGAAUCUGGCUCUCAAAUUGGUAGCCAUCUCCUCUUCUUCGUUCUCAUCGUAAAUAAUUAAGGGCACCAACUGACUCUCUUGCUUCUGUCUCGUCAUUGGAAGAUGAAAAGGACAAAAAAAAAAAAAAAAAAAACGGAGAAGGCGAUGAAGACAGCAAGGCAGGAGGUGGAGUUCUCGUUUUUUUGAUGGAACGAGUCGCGGGCUUCUUAUUUUGGGCAUAAAGACGAACAACGAAGUUGGAAGCCGGACGACUAGCAACUUGAGCUUGCUUCAGUGUUCCCUCCUAGUGUUUCUUAUCACGUUCCUCUAAAAAAGCCUGAUGUGCUUUAGAAUAAGCCAAACAAGCAACCUUGUAGAAAAGUACAUCAUUCAGCACGAAAUGUUUGUCAGGCACUAAAGACGAAGAAGCUAGCCGGGAAUACACUAGGAUGAUCAAGACAUUGAAUUUUCAAUUAAGACCUGGAGGUUUUUAUCUGAUAGAAGAAAGUUGUGAGCCCAUUCAACAGCAUCAAUCUUGAACAACUUGUUUAAAUAGGCAAAUGAAGCCUUCUCCACCCACUCCGCAAGACGUCCCCACCUCUCUUUGCAUGUAUUAGACAAACAUGAAGAUCGUGAGUAGGUUAGCAACAAGGAUAGAAUAGUAGCAAGACAAGACGAAAAUGGUAAAAUCAUAGUCUACUUGGAAUCUUCAACAAAUGUUGCGGAGCAAAAACUUUAUCUAGACCCUCAAAAGAACCACUCUAGGGGCCAAACACCAAAACAUGCCCCUUCGCUCAGCCUUUGCUUGAGUUCAAAAAAUUGGUCACGAAUUGGAGAGAAGGGAUGUGGGCAAAUAAGUUGAACCUUUCCUUUGGGUUCAUCUUGACAGUGUAGAUGAGUAAGACUUCUAGUAGAGGAAGAUCUAAUUGGAAAAGCAUAUCCAACACAUUGCACCCCAUCGAUAUCCAGAUUAUGUUCGUAUGAAGGAAAGUAGGAGGAAUUUGUGUGAAGUGAAGAAAUUGUUUAAGAAGAAAAGGAAGAUGAAGACGAAGCCCCACGGAAAACUGUUCUUUAGUAAAGUAUAUCAUGUUAUUCAGGAUAUCGACUGACGAUAAAGCUUCGUCGACUGAUAGUUGAAUCAAGAUGGUGUCCAGAACUCGAAAACGAGCACGAAACUCCUGCUUGGACAGGUCACCAACUGGCAAUUUAGCUUAGAGUGCCCGACUCUAGCAUUUUUUUCAUCUGCCUUGCUGAGGCCUUCUGUUGGUAUUAGUAAUUCAUCCUCUAUCCAUUAUAUCAUAGGGAUCUGGGUUGUGUGGAAACCUGCACGGAUCAAUGUAGUUGGCGGAACCAAUCAAUCAACCCAUUCGUCGUUUGGUGUUGCCCUAGUAACGGACAUUUAAAACUAAAUGAACUAUAAUCUAAAUCUAGAUGGAUUUGAUUGUGAAAACUUGUAGAAAAAACUCCUUCGCCAAUGACGAACGCUGAAUCGCAUACAUCACACCUUCGCACCAUCACGAUGAUAGUGAAAGCAUGAGACAACAACACAAAUACAAUGACGACAUAGAAGCAAACAAGAAGUCUAAAACACCCAAAAUCUGGACAUUGAUAUGUCCAUUUUCUCUCCAAACAAACAACACCAACACAAUCAGAAAAGCAAAAACUAGCCCAACAAAGAAUCAAAAUGACAGUAAAAAACUUACCUAAGCUAAGACCAAAACGCUUUUAGGCGAGAAAAGAAAUCCUCUAGUAGCAUACUAGUUGACGACGAUGGAAGUGAAAAGACGCAAUCGAUGGUAAGCAAAGUAAUGACAAAGAAGCAACAUAGACAAGAGAACACUAUGUAUAGGAAAUGCACCAAAUGACACGCAUCCCUUGGCGCCCAAAAACUAAAAAAAAACAGAUAAUCCAUCAUGCCCCAGUUCAUCAGCAACCUGACCAAACAGAGGUAGACGGAUUAGGAGGAAUUGUGGGAAGCUUCCCUCCACUUGUCCUUCAUAGGCUCAAGACCCUUUGGUCGCCCAAGGCAAGCAAAUAAUCCAUUUGGGAAAAAUUUAUUUGGACUAAGACAAGCUCUAUUUGGCGUAAGAGGAAAGACAAAUUUCCUUCUUCCCCAAUGCUAGACAGAAUGGAUAAACCAAGCUGACUGUGGGACUUUUAGAUGAGCAACCAAGCUAGUAGGAAAUUCCAAGCAUUGAGCGGAUGAUUAACCACCAACAAUGCCUAAGCGACAAUCAAAACAACAUUUACACCCAAAAAUCAAUGUCCUUCAAUUGUUAUUCGCAAUUAUUGACAUUGAAAAACGUAAAUGCACAACCAACCACAUGGUCCAGGAUGUUUGCAUGAUAGACAACAAAUGGCGCCAAUCAACAACUUUUAUUUGGUAUGAUUUCCCAAUCCACUCUAAGAUAAUGGCGUUGACUACCUUAUUAUGGCAUAUUAUUCGCCAUGACGACAAUCAUAAGUGCAAGAAAUGCAUGAAUGCACAAUCAACGAUGUGACGAUGGUGCCAUACAUUCUAUAAAAACCCCUCCAUAAGCAUGAAAAAGGUAUGUGUGUACAUAGCCAUUCAAAAAGUUAGAUUUACUCUUGCUAGACUUAAGUUUCAGAGGGGCAUGCCUGGACCACCUGUCCGGACAUCUUUUUGUGCAAGAAAAUAAUCCAUCUGACUUUGGUGAAAUUAGACGAGCCUGCAUCUAGUUGGCACAACACCAACUGACUCCAUUUUUUUUAUUGAAAUGAUAUAAAAAAAAAUACGUACAAAAAAAAUUCUCAUAAAAUCUUGAAAAACUAAUAAAUUUUUAUAUGACUUGAAAUUACAUGAAUAGUGGUGAGUUUAUGUCUUGAUAUAUGAAACUAUCUUAAAAUGGGCAAAUAGGUAAUCUAAGCUCGUAGUUCAUAAUUUUUAAAUUAAUUUAAUUUGUGGAAAUCAAUAGUUUUCAAUCACAAGACAUAUUACAAGUGUAGGAAUUCUAAAGUUCUAUUCCAAAAUCAGAGAUAUUACCUCUUACUUGAAAUCUUCAAUUUAUCAACCUUCAUUACUUCAAUAAGUUAAUCCAAGGUCACUCAAACUAAAUAUUUAUAAUUAAUGUAUUAAAGCCUAAAUACAUGGUAACCUAUAUUAAGAAAAACUAAAGAUGAGAUUACCAUGACUUGUAGCAUCUAGGUUGUCAUCCCCUAAGAUCCAUAUACUAGACUAUUCAACAAAGCAAAUCCUCUAUCUACAUUGAAAAUGUCUAAAAGUAAAGUUUUUUAUGAAACUAAUUCUUUUUCACACCACUAUCAUGAAAGUAAUAAAAUCUAUAGUAAAAACUUUUGAAGAGUUCAAAAAUCUAAUUUUAGAUUCAUAGAUUGAGAUAGUAACUUUUAACCCUAAGACAAAUAUCAAAGUUCACUAUGAUUGAAUUAGAUCUUAAGAUCAAUUUGCAUCUAGUGUUAAUAUUUAAGUUUAAGGUACUAUUCUCUUAAACAAAUUUAACAUGUCUAUUAUUUCAAUUUUGAGUUUAUAUACUUUCAUUACUAAUAUCCAUCAUGUAGGUUUGAUUCCUAGAGUUUCUCUCAGUGGAUCAAAUCAAGUUGACUAGUGAUCAAUGUAUCCCCAAACAUCACUAGUACCAUAGUAAGAAUCCUUUGUACUUAACCUAAGCCAAACCACAUAGAGGAUUAUUCUAAUUAAUUUAAACACAAAAUAUUUAUAAACAAUCCAAAUGAACUUUAAUGUUCUAUCGCACAUCUCUCUAUAUAUGAAUCAUCUAUCUUUAUGUUACUAUUAGGAAAACAACCUUUAGAUCUAGAUUAAAGAGUGCAUGCAACUAAGAUCCCAAGUGUAGUGAAAAGAUGCCUAUUUUUUCAAAAAAUUAUUCUAAGGUGUUCUUAAAAAACAUACCCUUGGAUUCGAUCCAAAUCUUUUUCCUAAUUUGCAGUAGAAAUCUCAAAUGCAUUGUGAUCUUCUACCUGAUGACUCUCUCUUGGAUCUUAGCUAUAAAGAAGAAUGGACCUCUCUUUAGAGGAAGUGAUGGUUAUGAUUUCUCUCAAAACAAAUUAUAAGACAACAUUUAGUCUAACCCUAAAUCCUAAGAGGAUUUAUAUAAACUAUCAAUUAGGCUUAAGUGACUAAGGCUCAUCAUAUGGGCUUAGGUUGUUUAAUCUUAGCCUAGUAAGUCUUAUUUAAUUAAUUAUGCUAAAUGGCGUCAAUUAAUUAAAUAGAUUAAAAAGAAAACCCAUAAGUCAUUUAAUCAUAAGCCCUUGCACAACCUUUGCUUAUACAAAUGCACCCUUAUGCAUACUUAUAAUUAAGUACUAAAAAAGUUCUCAAAAUAAAUACCACCAAAAAGUGUGAGCUCGAGUGGGACCACCAAAACCCAUAGGAAAGUAUGUAUUAGCUCCCUUAGAAUCAAAUUCUAAAAUUCACUCAACAUUCCAUUAAAAAAAAAGUCAAUUGCACUUCAAUAUCUUAUGAUAUUAGAUGGAGAUAGAAAACUUGGGUCUAUCACUUACUAUCCAUUGUAUGUAAGUUCCUUAUGAACUAAUGUUUAUAAUCCAAAAAUGUAGUAGCUAUCAAUCUUUAAAGAUCACUUCUCAAUCCUUGAGUCUUAAAUCCUCCUAUACCAUGACAAUUUGACAUACUCUAGUCCAGAAAGGAUGUAUGUCAAAUUUCGUUGAAGGAACUGCUAUAGCCAUAUACUACAUGAUCAUGAAAUCCUUGGGAUCAUGCAAAAGGAUAUAUUGUCUCAAAUCCAUGAGAUAUUAUAAUGUCUCUAUGGAUCAUAAUAUCUAUUGUUACUUUCCAAAACAGUCAGUCACCCAAUCCUUUGGGAAUAUAUAAUCACUUUAAGAUUUUACCCAUAGAUCAAAGUGAUUGAUGACCUCUACAUUAGCAUAAUAUUCUCUAAAGGUUGAGAACUCAUGCAAUUAAUAUUUAGUAGUUUUGACAACCCGAUAAUCAUUAGUCAUGAUCCUCCAAAGGUCUUGUUCAAUCUGUAACCAUACACACUAGUACACUUAUCAUGGUAAACCUAUCCUGAUGAGCAAAAUUAUUUAUUCCACCACUUAAGAGGUAGUAUACUAUGACUUUUGAUGGAUUGCCUAAGUCUAAAAACCAGUCAUAAACUAACUCAUCAACUUGUAAGAUGUUAGGAUAAAGCCUUUAAGAACAUGACAUGAUAUAACAAAAUUUAGAAUUUAUUAUUUAUUAAUAAAGUUCCAAUUUUACUUAUAUCUAUCCUUAUUUCAUGCAAUAUACUUUAUAAAUAUUCUGGUUUACAUCUUUUGCAUUGUACAUGAAUUGGAUGCAUUAGGAGUUAUAUAGAAAAUCUAAGUCAUGAGUCCCUUACAAGAGGAUGACUUGUUCACAACUAGUUCGUGUUCCUAGGCAGCCCAUUAGAAAAUGUAGUGCACUACCUCCUAAUUGGAGGGAUAAUUGGUUUUGGCCAUCAAGAUGGGUUUCCUGUACUAGUGUGUAUGGUUACAUAUUGGAUAAGACCUACAGUGAGUCUUGAUGUAAGACUCUCAAGUAGUUAUGAAUUCACCAAGUUGUUUCAUUGUGUUGUUUUUCAACAUUGAGUGAAUAUUGAGUUUAUACUAAAAUUAGUAGUGGUUUUGACCUACAAGUGAGAUUUUAAAGGGAUCAUAUAUUCCCUUAUGGAUUGACUCACUAUUGAUGGAACUUAUAACAAUAGGUAUUCUCAAUAAAGGUACCAUUUUAUCUCAUGAGAUUAAGAUAAAGUGUCUUAUUUGGUAAUCCUAAGAAAGUGUGUUUAUAUAAAUUAUGACUAUAGUAGUUCCUUAAGCGGUAUUGGACAUAAGCUCUUUGUAAGCUAAGAUUGAACAAGCAUAAAAGAAGAAUAGCUUAAUAAGGGCAAACAAAUUUAAGUUAAAACUGUUUUUCACAAGAAGGAAAAAAGAGAGAAGGCCACACAAGAGUGAUAAUUAGAAAAAUAUUAUGUACUAGUAACAAAAUGAUGGAGGGUCCCAAAGAGAAUUGUCUUUCACUUAAGCAUGAAUCUUAAAAAAAGUGAUGGCAACUUUUGGCCACUCAUAAUCACUACUUGAAAUGCUAUUCUUCACCAUACCACCAUAAAAUUGGUAUCUUUAAUCCACUUCUCAGCAAACAACAUUUUGAAAAGAAAAAUCCCUUUCAUCCAUUUUGGAGAAACACCAUCUAGUUACAAAUGAAAUUCUAAUCUAAGAAUUUAGCCAUAAGUAGUUCUUCUAUGAAAUAGCAUUCCAAACACACCUUCGUAUGGUCAAAAGUCAUCCAACUCAAAUACUAGAAUGAGUAGACUCGAUCUAAUUUUAUGACUCCGAAUGAAAUAUCUGCUCCUUGGAAUAAAAUGUAAAGAAUAUUUUUCUUUUAAUUUAUUUUAGGGAAACAUCUCCUAGGAUGUGGUCAGAAAGAAAAUUUAGAAUGCAUUUGGGAGUGAUUCUAAAAAGCGUUUCUCACAUUUUUAACCCUUGAAUGAUAAAAAUUUUCAAGUAUUAGAAAUAUUAAAAGCGCUUCUUAUAAUCACUACCAAAUGGGCUUUUAAUACAAGAAUAUAGUUAAAAUAAUCUAGAAAGUUGUAUUGGAAACAUUCCUUCAAUUAGAAAAAAAAAUUAAAUUAACAUUUUUAACAAGAUCAACUUAUUAUGAUUAAUUAUAAAUUUAAAAUUUUGUAGAAAUACAUAAUCAAGAUCCGAUUAGACUAGCGUUGCCAAUACAUGUCUGAUCCAAAAUGAAUUCGGAGUGAUACUUCUUUUCAAACCCAACUUAAAUUAUAAAUUAAGGAAUCCAAGAUUCUAAAAGAUGGUGCCAAGGAGCACGUAACAAUAAUGAUGAGAUAAGAAAAUAAGUGUAGACUGAAUACAGAAGAAUUGGAACCAAGUAGAGUUGAAAGUGAAUUGAGAGUGAAAGGACAGCUUGUAAGAGGACAUUUCUGGUUCUCAUUCAAAGUAAUGAAUUCUAUGUCGGUAGGCGUUCUGUUCUGCCUUCCUUGUUUUCUUUCUCUUUCACAAGGACUUGAUUAGGAAGACUUGAAGCCAAACCGAAGCAUUCCCACUUGCAACUUAGAUUAUCACUACAUUUGUCAAAGUCAAGUUGGACCAAGUGUUCAGUUUGGGUGUGAAUACAUUAACCAAUAAUUAUAUCAGCAAUAGCUUGAUAGGGUUUAUUCAGAGAGGACAACUUAAAAGGUGAAACGCAUCACACUAAUUUAGGAAAUUUUAGAAAAUGAUUGGACUAUAAUAAUACCCAAGCGAAGAAGAAAAAAUAAAUGGUAUUAAAAGCUAAAAUGAUAGAUGAAAUGUUUGUGGAUGACCUCUAAUCAGUUUUAUUUUUCUUUUUAAUUUUUUUUUAAUUUUAGCACUUAAAUGUUGGGUUUGAUUAAACAAUUAAUGAGAGAUAGAUAAUAGAAAUGAAUUGGAAACAGGCAUUGAUUGCAUGUCCUUAGACGGUUUUAUUUUUUAAAGGAAAGACAAAUGUUAAAACACACUCUUAAACUCUUUCUCCACUUGUCCAUUUUUUUUUUCAAAUAAAAAUAAAUAUGAUUGGAUAAACAUACCCUCUUCUUCAUCUUCUUAAUACCACUCCCUCACCAACCUUAGUUCUUCAAUUUCCUUCCCUUCCCUUCCUUCACCUACUAUAUAUUAUUGCUAUUACAGAAAGGGUUUUCCUUUAAGGUUAGGAAAGAUCAAACCAACUUAAUAUUUAUGCAAGUAAUGGAAAUAAAUUAUAUUAAGGCUACUCUUCCCAAAAUCAAAAGUAUUAAAAAGUUCAUGAAAUUUAAGGAAGAACAUACCAAACUAGUAACAACUCUUUUUUUAGGACAUUAAUGGCUCAGUUGAUCACCAUGCAUGAAAUUUAAUGGUUCAUGGAGGAUAAGUAUCUCUUAAUAUAUUUCAUAUUUAAUUCCUUGUCUCUUAAACAAUAUGGGUCAUUUCAAUUGAAUUAUAAUAUUUUUAAGGAUAAGUAGAAUGUUAAUAAAUUGGUUACUACCCUUGUCCAAGAGGAGAUAGGGCUAAAGCAACAAAUGAACUCAUGCACUUCAUUUUAUAAGCUUUCAACUAGCUAGAAAGAAGUCUACAAAGGGCACAAUCCAAUGACCAUAAUUGAAAUUAAAUGAGUCUUAUAAAGAUUCCCAAAAGAAUGAACAACAAGAAUAAUAAAAUAUCAUUUUUGAAAGAAAAUUGGGCAGUAUAAAAAAGAUUGCUAGCUAGAAACAUAAUGCAUCAUUUUUUUUAGAAAGAUAAGUUGAGUACUUACAUACAUUUUGAAUCAAAUUUAACAGAAGAUCCUUACAACCCUUAGUGGAUUGAUUCACACAUAACUACUCAUAUUUCUAACACAGCACAAGGAUUCUAUAAAAUCCAAAUCAUAAAUCUAAAUGAGAACUUAAAUCCAAUCAAAGCUCCAAUUGAAGCCGCUAGAAUUUGGCAUUUGAAUUUUAAGCUCCAAUUAAAUACAUUGGGAUUUAUUGUUUGAAUUUUAAACAACCAUUAGACUUGUUCUAGACACUUCAUAUAUAUUGUUUUCAAGCAAUUUGAUUUCUUUGUCUAAAAUUGAUGCUUCUGGAUACACUUUCAAAUUUAGGAAUAGGUGUUUCAAUUUUUCUAAAAAUAAUCAUCUCCUAAAUUUUAGUAUCUUACAUGAUGAUUUGUACAAGUUGAAAGGUGAGAAUCUUCUAAAUUAUAAAAAUUUUAGUACCAGAAUGUUUAGUAGAUAAGCCUUUAGCUUUCUUGUGGCAUAAAUGUUGGGGAUUAGUUAAUAAUGAAAUUCCUCCAAACUUAAAUUUAACUGAUACUCAAUGUGUAUGUGGAUUAUAUUAGAGUAAAACCAACUAAACUCCCUAAGAAAUGAGGUACUAGGAGAAUAAAACUUCUUGAGAUUAUAUACAUGAUAUAUGUAGGCAUUUUGAUACCCAUCAUUUGGUGGAGAAAAAUAUUUGUCAAUUUUAUUGAUGAUUUUCCACGUCAUGAUUAUGUUUACCUAUUGCAUAAAAAAAAAAAAUAAAAAAAUAAAAAAUCUCAAUUAACGAGCAUCUUUGGGCCAUACACUAGUGGGGUUGAAAGAUAUAAAAAAGAUGAAAAUUGUAAAGUCAUAUGUGGGUGGUGACUAUUAUGAUAAUUACAAUGAAUCAAUAAAUGUCUUGGAUCAUUUGCUAAAUUCCUUGAAAGAGAUGACAUGUGUGCUCAAUAUGUUAUGUAAGGCACACUAAUAAAGUGAUGUAAUUGAAAAACAUAAUCGUACUUUGAUGAACAUGAUUAAAAGUAUUUCAAGUAAUUUGUUUUUAUCCUUUUUAUUGUAGUUACAUUUUUUGAAAACCAUCAUUUAUUUUUUGAACUGCAUUCCUAGUAAGGCAUAUCCAAAGUUUCCUUUCAAACUAUGGACUAAAAGAAAACCUAGGUUAAGGCACAUGCACGUUUGAGGUUGUGAUGGGGGUUAGAAUAUGUAAUUCAAAGGGAAAGAAAUUAGAUUUUAAAAUGAUAAGUGGAUAAUUUAUUGGUUGUCCAAAAUAGUCUAGAAGUACAAAUUAAAUUUAUUGUCCAACUUAUAGUCCAAGGAUUUUAGAAAUUGGAAAUGCUAGAUUCAUAGAAAAUGGAGAAAUUAGUGGGAGUGGAGAACCGUGUAAUAUGGUUAUUAAUGAAGAAGUUAGGAUACAAGUUCCUUUACCCAAAACUUCAAAGGUUGUUGUUCCUAUAUAUACAAUUGUCAAACAAUUUGAUAACAUUUAAGAACAAAAAGUGAAUGAUCAAGCUUUUCAUAAUGAAACUAUAUUAAUUAACCCGUAGUAGACGAACCACAUGAAAUAGCAUUAAGGUCUCAAAAGAAAGGAGAUUAUGAAAAUCAUGUGGUACAUUUAUAAGUCAAUAUUUAACUUAAGAAUCAAUAAAGAUCCUACUUCAUUUUCACAUGCCCUAAAAGGUAUUGAUUUAGUUAAUUAAAUGGGUCGAUGCUAUGAAAUAAGCUAAAAUCAACAAAACAAAGUUGGCAUCUUGUUGAAUUGUUUGAAAGUCAUAAAAAUUUCUAUGUAAAUAGGUCUUUAAAACCAUGAAUAUAGUAGAAAUUUUGGCAAUAUAAAACCAUAUUGUUUGCCAAAGGUUUUAAUAAAAAGAAAAUGGCACAAAUAACGUAUUUCAUUGACAAGGGAGAGAUCUAGAGUAUUCACUUGCCAAGGUUAAAAGAUUCCCCCACAAUAAUAAUCACCUUCAACAAUAAUUAACAACCUAACAAGAAUCAAGAUUGAUAAUUAAGAAAAUUCAACCAAAAAGGGGACACCAAAUAUAACAUGGAAAAACCCUCCAAAUGGAGAUAAAAAACCACUGAAUUCUACUUUAAUAAGGGGGGAUACUAUAAUUAAGUCCUCAAAUUUCUUCGUCUUGAAAAGUUAUAUAAAUAUCUCAAUACCUAAGGUGGGAAUCCAUCACCUUAGGAAACAUGAACAGAAAGAAAUUAGGGAAAAAAAAUAUACCAUAGGGACUUCCCAAAAAGGUUGAUGAAAAAAACUUGUAACUUCACUUUGAGUCCCAAAAUAGUGCCCAAAAAACAACCCUAAUUUUAUUUUUAUUUUUAAAUCAAAUCUUCCUUCUCUCAUAAUACCAAAGAUCUAAUGCUCAUGGGUUAAACAAACAUAGCCUAACAAUCUCCCCCUCUAGCACAUGAGCGAGGAAUGCCAAUCUAUAACUCCAACACAUGGAGUUUAAACCCUGCUGUCGUAAUGGACAAUUGAAGCUUCUACUGGGGAACAACCUUUAUAAAUAUAUCUGAGGCAUUGUUGUUUCUAUUAAUCUUCUUCAAUUUGGCUACAUUUUCUUCAACUAUAUUGUCCUUUCACAUAUAUUUUUCUUAAUUUUUAUGUUUUUUUUAAAUAAAAAUAAAAAAAGAGAUGUGGAUAUAAAAAGAGAAAUGAUGGAUGUGUUUAAAAUUUAUCUUCCCUAAAACAUUCUCAUAUUAUCUUUUUAAAAGAAUUCAAAAAUACUUUCUACUAAUUUUUUUCUUAUUUUCAUUAUUAUUAUGAUUAUUAUUAUUAUUUUUCAUGAUAUUCAAAUAUAAGAAAACAUCUCCCUUAAUAUGCAAAAUUUUCAAAUUUUCAUAAUUAUUAUUUGUAAAAGGUGGGGCCAUUGAAUAAGACUUCCUUAAGAGAGCCUUGAUUCUCUCUCUCUCUCUCUCUCUCUCUCUCAUCCUUCUAUUUUCUUGCCAAUUUAAAAAGACUUUAGGAAGACCUUGAUGCCUAAAACUAUAUACAAAGUGAACCCUCAAUUAGGCCGAAACAUCAACCUCAUACUCUCAUGAUCAAUUCAAUAAUGUUUCCGACCAAUAAAACUCUUGUAUAAAUGGUCGAAAAAUGUCUACAUAAUUAAAUUUAUUUUUUAUCAGAUGAAUUAAGAAUUAUAAUUAUAGUUGAAACAUGGUCUUUGAGAAGACAACUGAAAAUAAUUGAAACCUUAUGAAAAUAUUUAGGAGAGGUGAGAAAAUGUUGAUCACCAUACCGAGUAAUGUGAAUAAAUGGAAAGAAAAAAUGUUCAGCUUAAAGAAUUGACCAUUCACUACGUGUUGUUUGAGCUAAACAAAAGGUAGGCCAAAAAAAAUGACUGAGACUUCCUUUUUAUGUUGAUGGAACGCACAAAAGAAUUCCGAAUUUCCAAGUGAUAAUGACUUUAUUAUUAUAGAUAGUUUUAUAUUUUCAUUAUAAAAUGAAAUGGUGCAAAUAUUGAAUUCAUUCAAUAUCACUGUCUUUCUAAAUUAAGUCAACUAUACAUGUAUAAGUCUAUAAAAUUGAAUUAAAUAUUUAUAUUCUUUUAUCAAAAUAAUACAAAAUCAUAGUUAAUAUGUUUUUUUAAGAACAAAAGCAGGAAAUAAAUAAAUAAAUUUCCACACAAAUUGUUGUGUGGAAAAAAUGAAUAAAUUUUUGAAAAAGAAAAUAAUAAAUUGUUGUGUGACUUGGAAUAACAUGAAUGGGAAAAUAAUUGAAAGAAAAAGCAAAAAUGGUCAAAUUAAGGUGAUGUUUGUUAUUUUACUUCAUUCUAAAUAGAACUUUAAUAUUUAAUAGUAUUAAGUAUUAGACUAUUUAUUUCUAUUAAGUAUUAAAAGGUAAAGAAAAUCAAUAUAUAUUACUUUUUAUAUUUAGAAAAAAAAACCAAAUAUUUUGACUUUUUCUAUUUAACAAAAAAUUUAUAAUAAGUCAUGAAAAAAAUAUAAAAACAAACAACCAAAAGUUUGAAAAUAAAUUGCUUUUACAAAAAACUAAAAAAACAAACACCCUCUAAGAUUUUGAUUAAUAAUGAUAUUAAUGGUCAAGAGUGAAGAGAUUAAAAGGGAACUCACUCCUCCAAAAGGUUUAAAUUGGAUCAUUCUUAAAACUUCACUUAAAGAUCAAUUUUAGCGUUAUGAUGGUUGAUUGAGAAGUGGAUUAAUUUUCUAAUAUUAAUUGUCCUAUGAUGAUGAUGAUGAUGAUUAUUAUUAUUAUUGUUAUUAUUAUAUUUAAAAUAUGCUGUGGAAAAAUGUAUAUAAAGAAAAAAACAAGAUAUAUAAAGUGAGGUGUCAUCUUAUGUGUAACUAUAUAACCGUUUCUCAUCUUGAAACAUCCAUAAAAGUAAUGUUUAAACAUGUGUGGGCUUAGUAGUCUCUCCCAGCUGCUGCCAAUGAGAAUUCUAUUCUUUUUAUGGAUUUUAUUCAUGCCCUUAUGCCCGAUCUUUUUUGGUAUGCAUUGUACUUCGGUGUCUGGCGAAUGUCUGAGUGAUGGGAGGGUAUGCCUGGAAGAUGAGGUGUUGUUGCUGCUGCAACUGAAGAGCAGCCUCAUAUUUAAUACUGCUGCAUCGAAUAAACUAGUUUCCUGGAUUCAAAGCGCGGACUGCUGUUCUUGGGGAGGUGUAACCUGGGACGCCACUGGUCGUGUUGUCUCUCUUGAUCUCAGUAGCGAAUUCAUUUCUGGUGAACUCAAUAGCUCCAGUAGCAUUUUCAGUCUACAAUAUCUCCAGAGCUUGAAUUUGGCUAACAACACCUUCUCUUCUCAAAUUCCAGCAGAAUUCCACAAGCUUGGAAACUUAACUUACCUGAAUUUGUCCAACGCUGGCUUUUCUGGGCAGAUUCCAAUUGAGAUUUCCUACUUGACAAAGUUGGUUACUAUUGAUCUAUCUAGCCUUUAUUUCAUCACCGGUAUCCCAAAACUGAAACUUGAGAACCCAAAUCUGAGAAUGCUGGUUCAGAACCUCAAGAAGCUAAGAGAACUCCAUCUUGACGGUGUAAUCAUAUCAGCCCAGGGAAAGGAGUGGUGCUGGGCAUUAUCAUCUUCAGUACCUAAUCUCCAAGUGCUGAGCUUGUAUAGCUGCCAUCUUUCAGGCCCUAUACAUUAUUCCCUGAAGAAGCUUCAGUCCCUCUCAAGGAUUCGUCUGGAUGAUAACAAUAUUGCUGCUCCAGUUCCAGAAUUCCUCUCCAAUUUCUCAAAUUUGACUCACUUGCAGCUCAGUUCUUGUGGAUUAUAUGGAACAUUUCCAGAAAAGAUCUUUCAGGUACCAACCCUCCAGACUCUUGAUUUGUCAUACAACAAGUUGCUCCAGGGUUCUUUGCCAGAAUUCCCUCAGGGUGGAUGUCUAGAAACCUUGGUGCUCUCGGUUACAAAAUUUUCAGGGAAAUUACCCAACUCCAUAGCGAAUCUCAAGAGGUUGGCUAGAAUAGAGCUUGCAGAUUGUGAUUUCAGUGGUCCAAUCCCAACGGUGAUGGCAAACCUUACUCAAUUGGUUUACUUGGACUUCUCUCAUAAUAAGUUCUCUGGUGCAAUCCCAUCUUUUAGUUUGUCCAAGAAUCUAACCCUAAUAGACCUUUCUCAUAAUAAUUUAACAGGUCAGAUUUCUUCCUCUCACUGGGUUGGUUUUGUGAAUUUAGUGACUAUUGACUUUUGUUACAAUUCACUGUAUGGAAGUCUCCCGAUGCCCCUGUUCUCCCUCCCGUCACUGCAGAAGAUAAAACUUAACAACAACCAAUUUUCUGGUCCAUUUGGUGAAUUUCCAGCUACGUCUUCUCAUCCCAUGGAUACCCUUGAUUUGAGUGGCAACAAUCUGGAAGGGCCAAUACCUGUAUCCCUCUUUGAUCUCCAGCAUCUUAACAUCCUUGACCUUUCUUCCAACAAAUUCAAUGGCACUGUUGAGCUAAGCCAGUUUCAGAAACUUGGAAAUCUUACUACUCUUAGUCUUUCGUACAACAACUUGUCCAUCAAUCCAAGUCGUAGUAAUCCCACUUCUCCUCUUCUGCCAAUUCUUUCCACGUUAAAAUUGGCUUCUUGCAAGCUCAGAACAUUACCUGAUCUUAGCAGCCAGUCAAUGUUGGUAAUUUUAGACCUUUCCCAAAACCAAAUUCCGGGGAAAAUACCAAAUUGGAUUUGGAAGAUUGGUAAUGGCUUUCUUUCUCAUUUGAAUCUCUCUCAUAAUUUACUGGAGGGUUUGCAGGAACCUUUGUCCAAUCUUCCUCCGUUUCUGUCUACCCUUGACCUUCAUUCCAACCAGCUCCGUGGGCCAAUCCCCACUCCACCAUCUUCCACCUAUGUGGAUUACUCAAACAACAGGUUCACCUCUUCCAUUCCCGAUGAUAUUGGUACUUACAUGAACGUCACUGUUUUCUUCUCUCUUUCAAAGAAUAACAUCACUGGAAUUAUUCCUGCAUCAAUCUGCAAUGCCCAUUACCUGCAAGUUCUUGACUUUUCUGACAACAGUUUAAGUGGCAAAAUACCCUCAUGUUUGAUUGAGAACGGGGAUCUUGCAGUGCUGAAUCUACGGAGAAACAAGUUUAAGGGCACUAUACCUGGGGAAUUCCCAGGUCACUGUCUUUUACAGACCCUAGAUCUCAAUGGGAAUCUUUUAGAAGGAAAAAUUCCAGAGUCUCUGGCCAAUUGCAAAGCAUUAGAGGUUUUAAACCUUGGGAACAAUCGGAUGAAUGAUAUCUUUCCUUGCUGGUUGAAGAACAUUAGCAGUCUGCGUGUUCUUGUUUUGCGAGCCAACAAAUUCCAUGGACCCAUUGGAUGUCCAAAUAGCAAUUCCACCUGGCCAAUGCUUCAAAUUGUCGAUUUAGCUUGGAACAAUUUUAGCGGUGUGUUGCCAGAAAAAUGUUUCUCAAACUGGAGAGCAAUGAUGGCAGGUGAAGAUGACGUCCAAUCCAAGUCCAAUCACCUGCGAUUUAAGGUCCUAGCAUUCAGUCAAUUGUACUAUCAGGAUGCAGUAACAGUUACCAGCAAAGGUCAAGAAAUGGAGCUUGUGAAGGUCCUAACUCUCUUCACUUCCAUUGAUUUCUCAUGCAAUAAUUUCCAAGGGGACAUACCAGAAGAUAUAGGAGACUUGAAGUUACUUUAUGUUCUCAACUUAUCUGGUAAUGGUUUCACAGGCCAAAUCCCAUCAUCACUAGGACAGCUGCGACAGCUUGAGUCAUUAGACCUCUCACUGAACAAGCUGAGCGGGGAGAUCCCUGCACAGCUCUCGAGCCUAAAUUUCCUUUCGGUCCUGAACCUCUCUUUCAAUGGAUUGGUGGGAAGGAUCCCUACAGGUAAUCAAUUGCAAACAUUUUCAGAAAAUUCAUUUGCAGGUAACAGAGGAUUAUGCGGCUUCCCUUUAAAUGUAAGUUGCGAAGAUGCUACACCACCCACGUUUGAUGGCAGGCACUCAGGUUCCAGGAUAGCGAUUAAGUGGGACUACAUAGCUCCUGAAAUUGGAUUUGUGACAGGGCUGGGAAUCGUGAUUUGGCCUCUUGUGUUGUGUAGGAGAUGGAGGAAAUGCUACUACAAACAUGUUGAUGGAAUUCUUUCAAGGAUUCUCCAUCAGAAAAACCAAGGAAGAGAAAGUGGUGGAAGACGAGGUCACGGAAUUCGGAGGCGGAGAAUGUAGCACUGAUGAAGAGGGAUGUGACCACUGGCCAUGAGUCUAUUUCCAUUAAUUCAAUCCGAAACAUUAAAAAGGGGUCCAUAAUAUUAUUUAAGUAAAUGUAUAAUUUUAUAUUUGGACAAUGCCAUGGUGUAGAUUUUUAUAGUAACGUUACUCUUACCUUUAGUGAUGCGAGUAUCAUGGUAUAUAAAUAAACGGUUUUUAUAUAAUAAAGAAUUUAAGUUGUAAAACCACUCCAUGAAAGCUUUCCUACAAAUAUAACAUGUUAUAUUUAAGAAAUUUGAAACAAAGCUAUAGAAAAUUGUUUUUACAUAUUAAAUAGAAAAUAUCUUUUCUACCCAUGUCCAGAAAUGCUUUUUAUGUACAGCCACAGUCUAUAACCAUUUUAAACCUACCCAAAUUAAAAUUCUAACUAGGGUGAUUCAGGGAGCCACUCAAGCUGGGCUGGAGAAUGGGUAAAGAUAUGUUGGCUGGAUGUGGGCCCGAGUUGGGCUAAACUUCGUUGGGUGGAUUUCUGUUGGUAUUAAAAAAUAUGGGCCUGGUUGUUACAAACGAAGACCCCCAAUGAGGGAGCUAGGUCCAUAUUCAGCCCAAUCAGCACAUCUGAAGCCAUAAGGGAUUUAACAACAUGAGCUUGAAAACUAAAACCCAAAACCAUUCCCUAAAUUAUCAAAAUCCAUGUCCAGCUUGGCAUUCAAAUUGAAUUUCCCUAAGCAGGUUCAAUCUCUCCUUCCCUAUUUCACCCUUUAUGAAUCCAUGACCUUCACAUCAUACCCCGCAAAUGACUGUACAGUUUUUGGGUUUGUUUUUGCCUUCCUAAUCAACUUUUAUGUUAAGGUAAAGAAUUCAUUUGGGUCUUCACAUAGUAGUUUAUCUAUCAUUUGUAAUUAUUGUGAGAAAAGAUUAUAUAAUUUCACUUCUUUUUUUUUUUUUUCAUCUAGUUUUAGGAUGCAUUGGUACAUGGAAAUGAAAAUGGAAAUAUGAUGGAAAUGGAGGUAAAUAAUAAGUGAGAGUAAAAUUUAGUUUCCAUGAUAAUGAAUCUUUUUAUUCCUAUUUUCAUUCUAAGAAACUAUUCAACCACAUUAAUGAAAGGAAAAUUGAAUUGAUUUCUCAUUCCUUAUUUUGCUAUUCCAAACAUGGCUUUUAAUCUAUUUUACUUUUAAAAGAAAGAAAAACUUAUCUUUAAGGACUCAAGGAUGUACCAAACGUAAUUAGAGUUGGUAAGUAGUUAAUAGAUUGUCCAUUGUUUGUAACUAAUUAGAAGGUUGUAAGUUAUAUAAUUUGUGGCUACUUAUUAGUGUUGCUGUGUGGUUGUUCAAUUUUUUAGUUUUUAUUUUUUUUAUCAAUUUUCUCUCAAACAAGUGCUCUGGAUCUCUUACGUACUCUCUCCAUAUUGAUUGUUUUGUACGUAGCUACCAAAGAGUUUUAGAAAGUGUAUGCUUGAGGCACAUAACAUGAGAUCUUUCAAAGUUUGCAAAUCAUAACAAAAAAAGAUAUGUAGAUUUGUGACACUUUGAGGUAAUGAGACAUUGGAGAUGGAAAUAUUGAAAAUGAUGUCUCUUCUCUCAUUAAAAUUUUUCUCUUGGUUGAAAAUUUAUAGCACAAUUUAUUGAAUAUUAAUUAAUUUUGUGACAAAGAUUUUUAUAUUAUUUUUUUUUUUACUUAAUUUGUUGUAUUAUUAAAGAUAUUCAAAAUGAUGAAAUCAUUUCCUGAGGGUCAUAAAAAUAAAACGGUUUAUACUACAAAACAUAAUAAAAAAUAUAAUUAAUGACCAUGAAAUUUUUUUUCUAUAUAUGAUUAAUUCGAUUUGAAGACUAAUAUAAGUGUUUAAUCAUCUCUAAUCUUACAUAUUCAUCCCAAUGUUACUUUUUAAUAAGCCUUUUUCCUAGAGUCAACAAUCUCUCCCCUAAGAUAGAGCUCCUAUAAUUCGAACUCAUGAUCUAAUUUUGAUAUCACUUGUUAAGAUCAAGAACUUAGCUAUAUUAUCUUUGAAAAUCAAUUUGCUAUCAAUGAGGUCAUCCUAAUCCUUUUUAUGUGGUUCUCGUUCGUACUCAUCUUGAGACUUAACCAUCUCGAGUGAAAUAUUGGUGCCUUAGCAUCUUCCGCUUUACACAUUUUUCAAUAGCCAUUUUUUGUAAGAAGCAACAAUAUUAUUGCACACUUAACAACUUUCUCCUUCCUUUGUCUUACGUAGUUUGAUGCUUUGAUAGGACAAUGACCAGAACCGGAGAUUAGAGGAUGACCAACAAUGACCACCUUUUUGAUGCCCUAAUUCAUGAAUAACUAACAUGCUUUGAUACUAUUUUGAAUCUUUGAUACUCUGAUUCACCAAUGGCCUUCAAACUGACGAGUUGAUUCCAUUUCAAAUUAGUGUGUUAAUGAUGCUGAUGCUGUUCUGAUUAGAGGAAGCUGAUGGUGCUCGAAUUUGAAGCUGGGGAUUCUGUUGCAGGGUACUGAUUAUACCAGUGCUAUAAUAUGGUAGUGAUUUUGUUUAUUGGAGAAGGAGAUUUUGAAUAUUUGAUCGAUGCUGCUAGUUGAAAGGUAUUUUUGAUAUUUAAAUAUUUUUGAUGAAUAUGCUCCAAUCCAGGACAUUGUUUGAUCAAUAGGCCCAAUACGUAAUUUCCUAGUUUGUUUUUUAGUAAUUGGAAGUAAAGAGAAAUUUGAGGGUGUGCAAACUUAAGGGUAAGUGAGUUUGACAUUACAAGUGGCUAUUGUGAAAAUUUAUGUAGAAUCUAUUAUUUUUUAAUUUUUUAUAAUUAUUUUAAUUUUAAUAAUAUAUAAAUUAUGUGUUUAUAGCAUUAUCAAUUUGAUCAAAGUUCAAUGAAUAGUUUGACUGUUGAACCGUAAAUCAAUGACUUUUUCAAUUUAGUUCUCUAAAAUAUUAAACAUUGCAAAUGGGAGUACAUAUUAAUUAAAAAACAAACAAACAAAACUUAUCUUUACGUCAAGAACUUCAUAUUUGCUCAUUUUAGGACUUUUAAUAAUGGAGGAACGUAUCAUGCAUUUGCCAUAAUGAAUGAUUUAGGUACAUAUGAGUUUUAUUUUUAAGUUAUAAAAAUGAACCUUCUCUUUUUCUGUCAAAAUCUUGCAAAAAGGUUAAAAAUGAAAAACAAAAAAAAAUUACAAUCACUUAUAAUCUGUAUUGAUCAUGGACAUAAUUUUUCUAUUUCUAAAACACCUUAAUAGAUAGGUUGUUGAAGAGAAAAAUAAAUCUAUAUAAGAAACGACAAAAACUUGGCUUAAUGAAAACAAUUUUUCUUAAUGAAAAUAGUUUUCUAAUUAUUUUGGGUGAAAGCAUUUAAUAUUACUUGCUAUAUUUUAAAUAACGUUUGAUAGAUAAACUCAUCAUUAGAGUUUUCAAGGUCUUUAUGUUCUUUACGUAAACUUUUUAAGAUGAUCUUUAAUAUUCUUUAUUCAGUAAUAAUGUUUUUGUUUUUAUUACUUGAUUUGUAUAUUAAAAAAGUAAUUAAGCUCCCUUACCAUAUGCUCAUUUCAAAUUCAUUUUCUAUAUAUAUACUAAGAGAAUUAUUGACAAAGAGAGAUGCUAGUAGCACUAAAUAUUAUGUUGUCAACAUAAAUUUAAACUAAGAGCAUGUCAUUACAUUUGGUUUUAAUAAAUAUUUUAGUGUCCAUUCUAUCCAUUUUUAAUCUAUUAUCAAGCAUAGUUUUGUUUACCCAAUUGAAUUAGAAGUGAACAUCAAAAUAUUUUUUUCCAAACUUUAUGAAAGUCACAAUAUGUAGCAUUUAACAUGUAUGAGGUUUACAUGUAACGGUCAAUAUUUUUACUCAACCUUGUUUGAAAUUAAUAUAUAAACUCAUAUUAUUUCAAAUGGGUAGAAUUUGUUUUGUGAAAAUUUCAAGGCAUGAAACAACUUCUCAUAUAAAUUAAAAAAGAAUAUGAAAAAACUUAAAUACAUCAUCCAUACUUUUUCAUACUAUUUUUUUUUUUAAUGAAAUGACUUAAAUAAAUUCAAGAGCAUUUACGUCCUUAAAAACGUGUUUAAAGAAAAUAAAAGAAGAAAAGAAAGCAAAAUAAAACAAAACUUAAAUACAUUAUCAAUGUAACUCAAAAAGAAAAGGAAAAAAAACUUAAAUAUAAUAUCCAUAUUUUUAUAUUGAACAAUUUUUCAUUAAAAUUAACUAAAUAAGUUUGAAUGCAAGUUCAAACUUAAUUUAAUCCUAAAAUUAACUAAAAUUUAAUUUUAAUGCUAGGUUCAUAGAAAAUGCUAGGUUCAUAGAAGAUGGUGAGGUUAAUUAGUGAGAGUCAAGAACUAUGUAAUAUGAUUAUUAAAGAAGUUAGAAUGCAACUUCCUUUAACCAAAACUUCAAAGAUUGUUGUUCCUUACAAUUAUUAAACAAUUUGAUAACAUUUAAAAACAAAAAGUGAAUGAUCCAACUUUUCAUAAUGAAAUUGCACUAAUUAACCCAUAGUAGAGGAAGGGCACGCGUGAAAUAGCAUCAAGGUCUCAAAACAAAGGAGAUUAUGCAAAUCAUGUGGUACAUCUAUAAGUCAAAAAUUUAACUUUUUCAUUUUUACAUGCCCUAAAAGAUAUUGAUUUAGUUAAUUAAAUGGACCAAUGUUAUGAAAUGGGCUAAAAUCAAUGAAACAAAAGUUGACAUAUUGUUGAAUUGUUUAGAAGUCAUAAAAAUUUCAGUGUAAAUAGGUCUUUAAAACCAUGAAUCUAGUAGAAAUGUUGACAAUAUAAAACCAUAAUUUUUGCCAAAGGUUUCAACAGAAAAAAAAAAAAAAAUGGCAUGAAUCACGAAUAUCCCUGUCUCACCCCAUCUCUAAAACACGUUCAUUUAGAAUCUUUAUGGCAUUGAUAGACUUGGAGUAACACAUUCAUUUUAAAAUGACUUAACGUAGCUAGGAAGACUUUGAGGUCUAAAGUUAUAGAGAAGUCAAUAAGCUCUUGGGAAAAACAUGAAGCACAUACGUCUUCUAUAGGACAAGAUAGGAGUAUUGUAUGUUCUCUUUGCCACAGCGACUCCUGUCACUCUCACAGCCAACUUCCAUGAUCCUUCCCACAGAAGUAUCAAAGUCGAGGUGGUCGACCAAGAUCUCUGUUAUAGUGUGAAUACCUUUACCACAAAGAGUUGUAAGAUAAGCAUGAAGAAUGUGUUCAAGAUACAUUUAGAAUGCUGUGUUGUUUAUGCAUAACUAGACACCCCCCUUUCUUUUUUCUUUCUGUUCAAACAUCUACAAAAAAAUAAAAUAAAAUAAAAUAAAAAAUCAUAUUAAACAUGUUUUGUUGUAGCAGUAUCUCCCAGCUGCUUCCAAUGAGAAUCCAAUUCUUUCAAUGGCUUUAUUUCUUGCCCUUAUGCUUAAUCGUUUUUGGUAUCCAUGUUGCUUUGGUGUCCGGGGAAUGUCUGAGUGAUGGGAGCACAUGCCUGGAGGAUCAGAUGUCCUUGUUGCUGCAACUGAAGAGCACCCUCAAACACAAUGUUGCUGCAUCAAGUAAACUAGUUUCCUGGAAUCCAAGCGGGGAUUGCUGUUCUUGGGGAGGUGUAACCUGGGACUCCAGCGGUCAUGUUGUCGGACUUGAUCUGAGUAGCGAAUUGAUUUCUGGGGGGUUCAAUAGUUCCAGUAGUCUUUUCAGUCUACAACAUCUCCAGCGCUUGAAUUUGGCUAACAACAGCUUCAACGAUUCUCAAAUUCCGUCUGGAUUCGGUAAGCUUGGCAAUUUGAUUUACCUGAAUUUGUCUAGCGCUGGGUUUUCUGGGCAGAUUCCAAUUGAGAUUUCACGCUUGACGAGGUUGGUUACUAUUGAUUUCUCUAUCCUUUACUUCCUUGGACUUCCUACGCUGAAACUCGAGAACCCAAAUCUGAGAAAGCUGCUUCAGAACCUCAGAGAGCUUAGAGAACUCCAUCUUAAUGGUGUAAAUAUAUCGGCUGAGGGGAAGGAGUGGUGCCAGUCAUUAUCAUCUUCAGUGCCUAAUCUCCAAGUGCUGAGCAUGCCAAACUGUUAUCUUUCUGGCCCUCUUGAUUCUUCCUGCAGAAGCUUCGGUCUCUCUCAAGCAUUCGCCUGGACAAUAAUAACUUCUCUGCUCCUGUUCCAGAAUUCCUUGCGAAUUUCUUGAAUUUGACUCUAUUGCGGCUCAGUUCUUGUGGAUUACAUGGAACCUUUCCAGAGAAGAUCUUUCAGGUACCAACCCUACAGAUUCUUGAUUUGUCAAACGACAAGUUACUACAAGGUUCUUUGCCGAAAUUCCCUCAGAAUGGAUCUCUAGGAACCUUGGUGCUCUCGGAUACAAAAUUCUCAGGGAAAGUACCAUACUCCAUAGGCAAUCUCAAGAGGUUGACUAGAAUAGAGCUUGCAGGUUGUGAUUUCAGUGGCCCAAUCCCAAACUCGAUGGCAGACCUUACACAACUGGUCUACUUGGACUUAUCUAAUAACAAGUUUUCCGGUUCAAUCCCACCUUUUAGUUUGUCCAAGAACCUGACCCGAAUAAACCUUUCUCAUAAUUAUUUAACAGGCCCGAUUUCUUCCUCUCACUGGGAUGGCCUAGUGAAUCUAGUGACUCUUGACUUGCGAGACAAUUCACUGAAUGGAAGUCUCCCCAUGCUCCUGUUUUCCCUCCCAUCACUGCAGAAGAUACAACUGAGCAACAACAAAUUUUCUGGUCCCUUGAGUAAAUUUUCAGUUGUGCCUUUUUCUGUACUGGAGACCCUUGAUUCGAGUAGCAACAAUCUGGAAGGGCCAAUACCUGUAUCUGUCUUUGAUCUCCAUUGUCUUAACAUCCUUGAUCUUUCUUCCAACAAAUUCAAUGGCACUGUUGAACUAAGCAGCUUUCAGAAACUUGGAAAUCUUAGCACUCUUAGUCUUUCAUACAACUUCUUGUCCACCAAUGCGAGUGUUGGUAAUCCCACUUCACCUCUGCUGUCGAAUCUUACCACAUUGAAAUUGGCUUCUUGCAAACUCAGUACAUUACCUGAUCUUAGCACCCAGUCAAGAUUGACACAUUUAGACCUUUCCGAUAACCAAAUUCGCGGGAGCAUACCUAAUUGGAUUUGGAAGAUUGGUAAUGGAUCUCUUAUGCAUUUGAAUCUCUCUCAUAAUUUACUGGAGGAUCUGCAGGAAACUCUCUAAUUUUACUCCUUAUUUGUCCAUCCUUGACCUACAUUCCAACCAGCUCCAUGGCCAAAUCCCCACUCCUCCCCAAUUUUCCAAAUAUGUGGAUUACUCAAACAACAGUUUCAACUCUUCCAUCCCAGAUGAUAUUGGUACUUACAUGUCCUUCACUAUUUUCUUCUCUCUUCCGAAGAAUAACAUCACUGGAAGUAUUCCUAGAUCCAUCUGCAAUGCAACUUACCUGCAAGUUCUUGACUUCUCUGACAAUGACUUUAGUGGCGAAAUACCAUCAUGUUUAAUUCAGAAUGAGGCUCUUGCAGUGUUGAAUCUAGGGAGGAACAAGUUUGUUGGCACUAUACAUGGGGAAUUGCUGCACAAGUGUCUUUUACGGACGCUAGAUCUCAGUGAGAAUCUUUUACAAGGAAACAUUCCAGAAUCUCUAGUUAAUUGCAAAGAGUUAGAGAUUUUAAACCUUGGGAACAACCAGAUUGAUGAUAUCUUUCCUUGCUGGUUGAAGAACAUAAGCAGUUUGCGUGUCCUUGUUCUGAGAGCCAACAAAUUCCAUGGAACCAUUGGAUGUCCCAAGAGUAAUUCUACCUGGGCAACGCUUCAGAUUGUCGACCUAGCCUUCAACAAUUUCAGUGGUAAGUUGCCAGCAAAAUGCUUAUCGACCUGGACAGCAAUGAUGGCGGGUGAAAAUGAAGUCCAAUCCAAGCUCAAAAUCCUGCAAUUUAGGGUUCAACAAUUCAGUCAAUUGUACUAUCAGGAUACUGUAAGAGUUAUCAGCAAAGGUCAAGAAUGAGUUGGUGAAGAUCCUAACUCUCUUCACCUCCAUUGACUGGUCGUACAACAAUUUUGAAGGGGAGAUACCAGAAGUGAUAGGGAACUUCACAUCCCUUUAUGUUCUCAACUUAUCGCAUAAUGGUUUCACAGGCCAAAUCCAAUCGUCAAUAGGGAAUCUGCGACAACUUGAAUCAUUAGACCUCUCGCAAAACAGGCUGAGUGGAGAGAUACCUACACAGCUUGCGAACCUAAAUUUCCUUUCAGUCCUGAACCUCUCAUUCAACCAAUUGGUGGGAAGGAUCCCUACAGGUAAUCAAUUGCAAACAUUUUCACCAAAUUCCUUCGUGGGUAACAGAGGAUUAUGCGGCUUCCCCGUAAACGUAAGUUGCGAAGAUGCUACACCACCGGCGUCUGAUGACGGGCACUCAGGCUCCGGGAUGGAGAUUAAGUGGGAAUACAUAGCUCCUGAAAUUGGAUUUGUGACAGGAUUGGGAAUCGUGAUUUGGCCUCUAGUGUUGUGCAGGAGAUGGAGGAAAUGCUACUACAAACAUGUUGAUAGAAUUCUUUCAAGGAUUCUCCAAGGAAGAGCAAGUGGUGGAAGAAGAGCUCACAGAAUUCGCCUCCGGAGGCGGAGAAUGUAGCCGUGGUGCAGAGGGAUGAAGUGAUUAGUCAAGAGUCCAUUUCCAUUAAUCCAAUCCUAUGUUUCAUUGAAGGAAUAUUAAAAAGGGGUCCAUAUUAUUGGAUGGGCCUUCAAUCCGUGUGUCAAAUGUAAUUCUGGCUUGCUUCUUAUAAAUUUAAUCGAAUGCAUAAUUUUAUAUUUGGACAAUGUCAUGGUGAAGUAGAUUUUCAAAGUAACAUUUUUCUUACCAUAUUCAGCCCAAUCAACACAUCUCAAGCCAUAAGGGAUACAACAUUGAUAAGCAAGUAAUUAUCAUACUAGGUGGUAAGGUGGCUGCCCAUCUACUUAUAAAAGUUUCAUCCUCUUACAGGCUUUCACAUUAAAUUUGGCAAUGGUUCUCACUUUAUUUUAUUUUUUACCACAUUUUUUUAUUAUUUUGUUAAUUUAUGGGAAGAAAAAAAUUUAUCAAUUUUUUUUAUAGUCCAUUGUUCCAAUGAAAUGAUUAAACAAUGAUAAGAGUAUGAGAUUUUCAAAAGUAGAAGGUCAAUCGAUAUAACUUGUAAAUUUUUAGAUUUUAAUGGAAUUUGAAAAGUACUAAUAUUAUCAUGCAAGUGAAAUAACAACAUGAACUUGAAAAAUUAAACCCAAAACCAUCUCUAAAAUUAUCAAUAUCCUGACCCAACUUCACAUUCAACUUGAAUCUCUUUAAACAAGUUCAAUCCUUUCUAUUUUUCAAUUUUCUUUCACUUUUUUUUUUCUUUCUAGAAUUAGACUCUUUAUGGGUACCAUGAAAAAGAUUGCUAGCUAGGAAUGUAAAGCAUGGUUUUUAAGAAUGAUAAGUGCUCAUAUAUAUUUUGAAUCAAAUUUAAGAGAAAGUUCAUUACAAUGAAUUGAUUUUCACUUAACUACUCAUAAUUCUAGUAUGAUACAAGGAUUCCAUAUAAUCCAAAUCAUAAAUCCAAAUAAGAACUUUAUGUCUAUGGGAAAUCUAAUAAGCUCUAAUUGAAGUCAUCUAAAUUUAUCAUUUGAUAUUUAAGCUCUAAUUGAAUCCAUUAGAAUUGUUAUUUGAAUUUUAGACAUAUUAGAUAUCAUUUAGACUUCUUUUAGAUAAUUCGUAUAUCUUGUUUUCCAGGAAAUUUGAUUUCUUUGUCCAAACUUGAUGUUUUCGAACAUACUUUCAAAUUUAAUUAGAAACAAAUGUCUCAAUUUUUUUCAAAUAAUCAUCUUUUCCAUUCUAAUAUCUUACAUGAUGAUUUGUAGAAGUUGAAACUCGAUAACCUUUUUACCAAGAUCCUUGUUACCUUGCACUAUAAUGUUUAGUAGAUAAGCUUUUAGUUUUCUAGUGACAUAAAUGUUGGAGAUUAGUAGAGAAUGAAAAUCUUCAAAACUUAGAUUUUAUUGAUACUCAACGUGUAUGUGGAUUGCAUUAGAGUAAAACCAACCAAACACACUAAGAAAUAAGCUACUAGGAAAAAAAUAAUAAAAAUUAUAUUAGAAAAAAAAAUCCAUAUGCAUUCGUAUAUAACGGAGCUUACAACCAAUCUACAAAUAUUAAUAAAAUAUUCGUAUACAAACGGAUUUUUCACUAGCCGUUGGAGCAUUUAAUGCUCCGUUAUCUUUGACCAGACAUCGAUCAAGAAGGCAAAUACCUCGACCAGGAAGGAAAGGCUAUUAGCAGAGAGAGAGAGAGAGAGAGAGAGAGAGAGUGUGUUUUUUGCUCCUCUCGACUAGAUCUCAAUCAAGAAGGAGUAAUCGGUCAACCAGUACCCUGGUCGGUUGAGCCGGUUUGGCCAGUGUCUCGACUGGUUCACCAUUUUUGGCCCAAAAAACCUAUAUUUUUUUGCUAUUUUCUCUUCUAACACUUAGGCAAGGUAUUUAGGUAAAUUAAUUUGCCAAUUUUGAAAUGAUUUGCCUAAGGUUCAUUUGAUAAAACUCGGGUUUUGAUGGAAAUGUAACUUUAAAGCAUAAACUGAGUUUUUCAAAUAUGCAUGAAAUGAUACGUAAAUCCUAAGUGCACCCAUGCAUUCAUCUUACAUAUGUUUCCUAUGAUUAAAGGUCUUCCAAAAGUCUUAAUCUUGCAUCCAUUAGGUCAUUUGAUGAAUUUCCAAACUGACAUUUGAAAUUGUUUAUAAUUCAAACCAAUUAGUAACUUAACCAUAAUUUGUUAUCAUCAAAACAUGAUUAGGAGAACCCUUGGGCUAACAAUCUCCCCCUUUUUUAUGAUGACAAACCUUGGUUAUCUAAGAGAAAAAGAAUCUCCCCCUCAAACCAAUCAUGGAUCAACAAUCAAAAUUUACGAAGUUAAAACCAAGAUAAUCAAGACAUACUAGAGAGAAUUUGCAAUAAGAAACAACGUAAGUCAUCAAAAAUAUAAGAAUAUCAUAUAUAAGUCAAUGUAUCAAUAUCCAGUAUAUACGAUCCAAGUGAUAUGACAAUGAUAUGCAUGUAAGUCUCCUAGAUCCUAAAAUAUCUCCCCCUUUUGGCAACAUAAAAAAUGAACUAAUAGGGUCUCGAAGGAAUCAAGGAUGAGGAAGUGGAGGAGAAAACACAGAGCGCAAAUAAGCCAUCAUAUUCUCAUGUUGACUCUCCAAACGAUCCUCAAUACGCUCAAUCCCCUAUUGGAGAUACUCAAACUGUGAAGUGAAGCCAACCUGAUGAUCCAUGCAAUCCUCCAUAAAGUAGAACCGUGUGUCACUGACUACAACAAGCUCCUCCAUAUGAGUGCUUAGAGAGCUAAUCUAAGCAGAUAAAUCCAUCCAUGGAGCAUGGUCAAGAGCAAGAGGUGUUUAAGCAAAUGGUAUCUCAAAAAGUGUAGGCUUAGUGAAUGCAAGUUCAAAGGAAGACUUAGUGAAUGACAAUUAAGUAUAUGGACCCGCUAUAAAAGUUGGCUCAAACAUCAUUGGCUCAGAGAAAGUAGUCUCAAACUGAACACCACUAACUGGAGUGGAGGAAUGUCAAGCUCGGGCUCUCUCUGUUGAUAGCCACUCUGAGGGUCUACUCCACACUCCAUCUUUUUAAUCUCUACCUCCUCCUCAACUCCGGGAUGUGCCUGUCCCUGUCCCCGAGCUUGUGUCGUUGCUCUCUUUGCUUUCCUUACCCAAGAACCAUUUGUGGCCUUCUCAAAUUUCAUCUUCCCCAUGGACUGAUCAUCAUACGUAUCAUAAGCGUUGGGGACCUCAAAGUUUGUCUCUCUGCUCAAGUCAAUGCCGACAUCCUUGCACACUCUAGUAAGGAAGUGACCAUAGGGGAGUACGCGAGUCGUGCUCUCGCAACAUGAGAUCAAGUGCAUCAUCAUCAAGUACCCCAAGUGGAUUCGUCUUCCAGUCAAAAUAGAGUCAAUAAGGAAUGCCUCAUAAUAAGAGACCUCAUCUCGGUGUCCACCCCGUGCAUAUGAUGUAGCACUUUGCUGAUGACCGUCAGGUUGUGUGCUGAGGGUUUGUCCAUCCCGUGGGCAUCUACAAGUUCACAAAUCCUCUUAAUGGCUCUAGGCUCAAAUCUUGGCACAAUGGGCCACAUUUUGGACUCAUAUACUUUGAGUCCAACUGGAGCAAUAUCGAAAAUACUACAAAUGCUCUUUAGUCCAGACGAAUCUUGACGCCUUUAACAGUAGAAAUGAUCGAGCCACCUGAUGAGAAUCAACAAGCAUUCGAGGAUCCAUUGUAUGUUCCAGUUGGGCCUAUUACUAAAGCAAGAUCCAAGAAGAUUAAAGAAGCAAUUAAUGGGCUAAUUCAAGAGAUUUGGGUUGAUUCUAACGUAGGACAUUCCAAGCUUGGCCCAAAGGAAGAUGAAGGUGUAAUAAAUUUAAUCGAAGCUAUUGAGGGCUAAUCUGGCUUGAUUGGGCGUGAUUUAUGGCGUGGAUUAAUGACUGAUUGACUUUCGAACUCCAUAUCAGUUAAUAGACAUUUUUCCUAUUUUAGAGCUUCUAAUUUUAGGUUAAAUCUACCUUAAUUUUAGGCUUUUAUUAUUUAGAACGAUUUUUAGCUAUUUUCCUAUUUUGGAUUUGCUAAUUUCAGACCAACUAAACUUUUAUUUAGGGUUUUAAUAUUUAGUAAGUUUUUAUUUCAUGACAUAUAAAUAGCAUGCACUCAUUGUAAUAGAGGAUAAUUUGAUUGAAUAAAAAAUUAGAAAAGGUGAGGCUUUGCUCUUCUUUUGGUUCUUCAAGGACUAUGAACUUAUCAGGGAUUCUUCUUUGUGGCUUUCAAACUUUAUACUUUCGGUUCGUGAUUCCAUUGUAAUCAUUGGGUCAAGGUUGUUACUUAUACUUUUGGUUCACGUUUCACUUAUAAACGUUGGGUGUUCUAUCAAAAAUCUGUAUUUUAGCUUUCUUGGGCAAUUAUUCCAAUACUGUUUGUUGGGUCUCAAAGCGUGUCGAUUGAGGUUCACAUCAUUUGGUAUUAGAGCUCAGGUUCUAAAAUCAGUCGAUUGAGGUUCGCAUCACCACCUAUGCCAUAAGUCGCCUUUGAGUAAAAAGCUCACACCAAAGUCGAGAAAAUCGACUCCAAAACAGUGACCACAGGAAACCAACCCAUCCUAGUGAAUAAACCCUCGAAUCCGAAGUGCUCAAGUUGGGGAAAAUUAAUAUUUCUCCUCAGAACUACUCGUCCCAAAGCAAAGUGAUGUUUGUACCGUUGGUAGUCCACCACGAAGUUGAACAAGGCAGUAUCAAACCUUGCCUUUCGGGUUUGACAAGGUUCCAAAAGCUUGAAUCCUAAAUCCUUAAGAGGGUUUAUAUAGGAUUUCCUAUGGACUUAAGUGACUUGAGCCCAAAUUUGGCUUGAGUCACCCGAUCUAGCCCACUUGGGUCCUAAUUAAUUAAUUAUUUUAAUGGACUCCAAUUAAUUAAUUAGCUCAAAACACCAAUCUAGAAAAAUUGUUCAUAAGAUCUUGUGCAACCUUGUAUUUUUACUAAAACACCCUUAUGUGCCCUUAUGAACUACAAAUCUAAAUCUCUCAAAUAAAACAUGUCACCAUGAACUAGGAGCUCAAGCGGGGACCAUUGGGACCUAUAAGAUUAUAUUGGCUCCCUCAUAAUUGAAUUCCAAAAUUGAUUCGAGAAUCCACUAAAGAGAAACAAUUGUACUUCGGUAUCCUACAUUAAGACAAAGCUUAGGUUUGUAACCUACUAUUCAUUGCAUGCAAAUUCCUCAUGAAUUAGUGUUUGUAAUCUAAUAAGGUAGUGUUAUCAACCUAUCAAGAUUAGCUCUUUAAUCUUUAAGUUAUAAAUCCUCCUAUUAUGUGAUCAAUUGACAUACUCUAGCUUAUAAAGAACAUAUAUCAAAAUUCACUUAAAGAAUUACUACAACCACAUAUUUCAUAAUCAUAUGCCCUUUAGAUCAUCCAAGGGAACACUUUGUCCCAAUUCUAUGAGAUGCCAUGGUGCCUCUAUUGAGAAUAUGUAUUAUCACCAACCUCCAUCAACAAUUGCAAUUCAUAGGGAAUCUAUAUAUAUAAUCACUUUAGGGUCUUACCUAAUGGUCAAAACCUCCUAUUGAUUUUUAGCAUAGACUUAAUAUCUUCUUAAAGUUGAGAGUCCAUGCAAUAUAGUAACUUUGUGAAUCAUGACAACCCAAUGACCUUAUGUCAUGAUUCAUCAUAGGCACGAUUUGAAAUAUUGCAAAAUUUCAGCGAAAUAUCGUCGAUUUUUCGCUUAUCGGAGAGAAUCAACAUGACAUUCGUCAUUGAUAAUCAAUUGACGGAUUUAUUGCGGAUUUUUUUGGGAAUAUCGGUAAUAUUUUGGCAUUUAUCGACAUUUUUGCCUAUUUUUCGAAAAAUUUCCCGAUUUUUUGGUGCCAACCACUUUGGUCAACACGAAAUCAACCCUCACAUUUUUUGUUGUAAUGCCUAGGGGAUUUGAACCUAGGUCAAAAGGCUUGGGUUGAACCCUGGUUACAACUGGGCCAAAAUGUCAUUUGUAAAUAUAUGUUCAAUUUAAAUAUGUUAAAGUUCAGCAUUUAAAAAAUAAUUUUAAUUAUUUUAUUUUAAAUUUUAUGUAAUUGAUUAAUAAAAAUAUAAAAACCAACAUUAUAAUUUUUUUAACAAGUCUUUUUUUAUAUCAUUUAUAUGAUAAUUAAAUAUAAAAAAUAUAAAUAUUAAAAAAUCAUAUAUGUAUCAUCAUUUAUUUUACAUUAUUGAAUGCAUUUAAAUUAAAUAAAUUAUAGUUUUAAUAUUAAAUGUAUUAUUAUUGAUCUCAUUAAUCUUAUUUUAAAAAAUAAUUAUCACUUCACUUUUAAAUUUUUUAUAUUUAUUUGUUUAUUUUUUAAUAUCUUUAUUUUAAAAUAUUAAAAAUAUAAAUUUAUUCAAAAUAUACUAAAAUAUAUAUAAAAAAAUUAAUAAUGAAGUUCUAAUAUUUUAUAAAUUAAAAUUAAUUUGAUAAGAUAAAUAAUAAAUUAUAUAUUAUGAUUGAUAUAUCCUUGCUUAGAGAUAAUUUUCUCCUUAAUCAUACUUAUGUCAAUUAUACUUACAAAUUAACUUUAGCAUGUGCCUUUUUACUUAUUUUAUCAUUUUUUUUUGGAGUUUUUCCAAAUAUUUCAAUGAAUUUUGAAUAAUUUUCACCUCACCAAAAUUUUUGUCAAAAUAUUCACCAAUAUUUCUCCGAUAUUUUCAAUAUAAUCGUAAAAUUCAAGUAUCAAUAUAUCCAUAUUUUCCAAUAUUUCAAACCAUGAUCAUAGGUCUUGUCUUAUGUAUAACCAAUACACACUAGUGUACUCACAAUAGGAACCCUAUCUCAAUGGUCAAGAUAAGUCAUAUUUUAUAACCAUACACACUAGAUUUUAAAAGUGUGAGAUAAUGCUCAUAAAAAUAACAAAGUAGAGAAUUUGUUGAUAAUUAUUCCCAAAUAAAUGUCAUUAAAACAAUUUGAACUAGAAUUUAAAAUAAAAAGAUGUCACAUGGAUUAACCUAGGAUUUGAGAAAUUUGGCCUCAUCAUAGGCCAUACUACAAACCUUAGAUGAAUUUUAGGAGAAAAUGAGUAGAAGUUAGAAUAAUAAAACAGUUCUUUUAUUUUCCAAAACAAAAAAAUUGGAAAACACAUUUUACAAUCAAAAAAUAUUUUAUGCUUUUUGUUCUCAAGAACAGAAAACAAAGUGUUUCAGAUAAUAUCUUUUAGUUAUUUUAAUUAUUUUCACUUAUUUUUUUAGAGUUGUUUUAAAAAAUAAUUAUAGAAAUAUGUAUCAUGAUUAAAAAUAAAGCUCGAUCUAGAUAUAAAAAUAAUUUUUAAAACUUACUUAAAAAUAUUAAAACCAUUUCAAAUUCUCAAACAGACUUUUAGUUUACAAAACAUCAAAGAAUAGUUUUUAAAAAUUGUUCUUAAAAACUAUUUUUCAGAAUUAUUUCAAAAACAGUUAUCACACAGGUCCUUAAUUUCUAGCCUGUGAAAGAAGAGACAAAAAUGAGUAAUUUUGUUUAAUAUAAAUAAACAAAGAGUCAUGUGAAUAAAGGGAUCCUUGAUAUAACAACAAAAAUCAACCUUUCCAACUUCUCAAGUGAUUCUAUCUCUUUGUUGACCAUCGUGACAACCUUAAUCUCUUUUCAUUAGCAGUAGGAGUAAGGUAGAUUAGCAGUAGAUUCAUCAAUGGGGAAACCAUUUUAUGCUUGUUCCUAUCAUUUAGGUUUACAUCAAUGAGUGGUUUGGAGGGUGUACUACCUAUAGUCUAUUUAAAUUUGAGGGGAAAGGCUUUUAUCCUUUAAAGGACUUCUUGCCACCCUUCUUCAAUUUUGGGGAGAGUUCGAUCAAUAUUCAAUAACCAUUUAGCAUUAUUAUCCAAGGGGUCAUGGGAGAGAAGUUUCUCUAGCAUUGGUUAUGCCAUAUCCAAUAUACACAUCACUAGAGGGUGACAUUAUCCCAAUAAUCACAUCAUGCCCUUCAGUACCAGUAUAGUUUUGAUCAAUGCAAUUUGCUGUGAAUUUCUGUAGUGGUAGAAUUAUAGCCAGGAGGUUCUAGCCCCAGUAUCCACCAUAGGCCAGCAAAGUGAAUAAUCCUAGGAGAAUAAGCUCAGAAGCACAAGGAUUUGAUCAAUGGAACCUGGUUUUUUUUGUUUUAAUUUCUUUACUGAUAUAAUAAACCUUCUGUUUAUUUGGUUCGCUGUCAUUAUUAUAAUCUCUAGUAGUUGCACCAUCCUGGGUGAAUGAGCUAUUACCCCUACCAAUUGAACUUUUUUUUGGUUAUAGUCCUUGGUAUUCUCUUGGAAUUGACAACCAUUUGGAAAAUAAAAAUUCCUUUAUUUAGACAUAAAAAGAAUCCACAAGCAUGGACCAUUGCUAAAAGAAGAUUGAUAUGAGACUAUUCAACCCGAGACACUAUUUGCCUAGGUAUAUUUCGGGAUGGUGAUUAAUUCCUCUAAUAGGACUAGAACAAAUGGCUAAAUUGCUCUGAUAUGCUCACAUCUUUAAUCAAUAAGUUUACACUAAAUCAGUAUAACUCCCUACCAAAACGCUAGGUGAGAGAUCAGGGGCAAAGCUAGGUAGUGUCUGGGAGGGGCAAAUGAAAUUUUAAUAAAAAUAUUAGGGUUUAUUGCUAACUAUUUGGUUACUGGUGAAGUUCCAAGUGAGUGGAAAACACAAGACAGGAAGCACUUUUUUGCAAAGAUUCAUGCUUAUUAUUGGGAAGAGCCCUUCCUUUUCAAGUAUUGUGCAGAUCAGAUCAUAAGGAAGUGUGUCCCUGAAGAAGAGCAACAAGGGAUCCUCAGCCACUGCCAUGAGAAUGCCUGUGGAGGCCACUUUGCCUCUCAGAAAACAGCAAUGAAGGUCUUGCAAUCAGGGUUUACUUGGCCAUCGCUUUUUAAAGAUUCCCACAUCAUGUGUAGGAGUUGUGAUAGAUGCCAAAGACUCGGGAAGCUUACAAAAAGAAACCAAAUGCCCAUGAACCUGUGGACCCGCAUUUUUCACGUGCGUCCCCACUCGAUCGGCGAGACUCGCUUUUUAUUUAUUUGUGAAAAAUUGAUUUUUGAAAAAAAAGUUGGAGUCGCCACUUAUUUUAUUUUUAUUUUUGAAGGGAAAAUAAAACAAGAAAUAAAACCCUAAAAAAAAUGACUCCAUAAUUUUUGGAAAAGCGUGUCUUUGAAAACCCAAGUCUUGGUCCGGGGAUCAGGUUACUUAUUGGGAAGGUACCUCUAGGAGGUAACACCCCUCUAAGCCCUAAAGAGGUCUCUACUAAUUAAGUUAAGGGGAAUAUGGCAAUUAAUCGGUUAAUUAUGGAUACCUAAGUAGGCUAGGUGAUUUCAGAAAAUUUGCAUGCUAAACAAGAUCAAAUUGCCNNNNNNNNNNNNNNNNNNNNNNNNNNNNNNNNNNNNNNNNNNNNNNNNNNNNNNNNNNNNNNNNNNNNNNNNNNNNNNNNNNNNNNNNNNNNNNNNNNNNNNNNNNNNNNNNNNNNNNNNNNNNNNNNNNNNNNNNNNNNNNNNNNNNNNNNNNNNNNNNNNNNNNNNNNNNNNNNNNNNNNNNNNNNNNNNNNNNNNNNNNNNNNNNNNNNNNNNNNNNNNNNNNNNNNNNNNNNNNNNNNNNNNNNNNNNNNNNNNNNNNNNNNNNNNNNNNNNNNNNNNNNNNNNNNNNNNNNNAACAAAGAAUUAAGAUCAACUAAUGCAUUUAAAUUAAAAAUGAAUUGAAAUCAAACUAAUUGGGAUUAAAAAUACAAACUUUAUUCAAUACAAUUAUUUAAACUUAAGAAUUAAAAUCAACAAAAUACAUUUAAACUAAAAAAAAAAAGUUAAAAUCAAACUAAUUGGGAUUAAAAAUACAAACUUUAUUCGAUAUGAUUAUUUAAACUUAAGAAUUAAGAUCAAUAAAAUGUAUUUAAACUAAAAACGAAUUGGAAUCAAACUAAUUGAGAUUAAAAACAUAAACUUUAUUUAACGUGAUUAUUUAAAGUCAAGAAUUAAGAUCAACAAAAUACAUUUAAACUAAAAAACAAAUUAAAAUCAAACUAAUUGAGAUUAAAAAUACAAACUUUAUUCGAUAUGAUUAUUUAAACUAAAGAUUUAAGAUCAACAAAAUACAUUUAAACUAAAAAACGAAUUGAAAUCAAAUUAAUUGGGAUUAAAAAUACAAACUUUAUUUAACGUGAUUAUUUAAAACAAAGAAUUAAGAUCAACAAAAUAAAUUUAAACUAAAAAACAAAUUAAAAUCAAACUAAUUGGGAUUAAAAAUACAAACUUUAUUCGAUAUGAUUAUUUAAACUUAAGAAUUAAAAUCAUUAACAAACUUAAACUAAAAGAUAGAUUAGAAUUAAACUAAUUGGGGAUUUAAAAAUAAAAUAAUAUAAACUUUAACACAAAGAAUUAAUCAAAAACUAAAAUUUCCAAAAAAUAAAAAAAAAAAUAAAAAAAAAUCUAGGCUAAAUAAAAGUACUAUAUAGAAAACUAACCUUUGAAGUGAAAGAGAAAAUCCUCUCUUGAUGAUUAAAUGACAGCCCGAUCUCCGUUCGAAGUCCCUUGCUUUUUUCCCAAAAUUCCGUGUGCUCUGCCCCCCCCAAGAAAAAUCUCCUAUUCUUUUCCUUUUCUCACCUAUAUAUAUCACCCCUCAAGACCUAAAUUUGUUUCCAAAAAGGAAAAUUCUCCUCCUUCCUUUCUUCUUCUCUUCUUUUUUUAAAUCCUCCAAUCAAAAGCAAUCUUCCCAAUUUCAAAUUCCCCUCCAAAACCUUCCAAGGAGAGUCCCAUCUUCCUUAAACUCCAAUGGUAAGUUUCCUUGCAAAAACAUGAAAUUUUUGAAGUUAAAUAAUUGCAUGUAUAGAUAAAUAAGUAAAUAAAUUAAAAAAUGGUAAAAAUAAUAAAUAAAUAAAUAAGUUAAGGAAAAUAAUAUAAAGAGGAAGAUAACCAAUAAAAAGUGAAUGAUAAUCAUAAAAUUAAAAUUAAAAACAAAAUAAAUAAAUAAAUAAAUAAAAUAAAAUAAAAUAAAAUAAAAGUCUUCGUAGGCCUAGUGUGCCUAAACGGGCCUAAGGUGAGACUAAGUGGGCCUAGGGUAGUGCCUAAUGGGCCAAGUGUAUCUAAAAGCUAUCCUAAAAAAACAAGAAAAGCCUAAAUCUAAGUUAGGGCUGCCAAGGGUCACAAUAAGGGAUCAAAUAAUCCCUCAACCAAAAUCUCCGAGGUGACUCAGAAAAAGGUAAGUGGUAUGAGUAGCCAUGGGCCACCAAGGAACUAUUGUGGAGCAUUGAAAAUGAAUUUUAAAGACAUGUGCUAAAGGGACAAAAUUGAGGGUCUACAGAACCCCAUCCUUAUAGUUGAUCUUUUUGAUGUUUGGGGUAUUGACUUCAUGGGACUUUUCCCAAUGUCUUUUGGUAACUCUUAUAUAUUGGUGGGGGUGGACUAUGUUUCCAAAUGGGUGGAGACAAUCCCCUGUAAACAUAAUGAUCACAGGGUGGUUCUCAAAUUUCUCAAGGAGAACAUCUUCUCAAGAUUUAGGGUGCCCAAGGCCAUAAUCAGUGAUGGAGGUACUCAUUUUUGCAAUAAACCUUUUGAAGCACUAUUAGCCAAGUAUGGAGUGAAGCAUAAGGUAGCUACACCUUAUCAUCCUCAAACUUCCGGGCAAGUGGAGCUAGCAAACAGAGAAAUAAAAAACAUACUGAUGAAAGUGGUGAUUACAAGCAAAAAAGAUUGGUAUAUUAAGCUGCAUGAUUCAUUAUGGGCAUAUAGAACAGCUUAUAAGACUAUUCUUGGCAUGUCUCCCUAUCGUCUCGUCUAUAGCAAAGCAUGUUACCUCCCUGUGGAAGUUGAAUAUAAAGCUUGGUGGGCAAUCAAGAGGUUGAACAUGGACUUGAUCAGAGCUGGGGCAAAGAGGUGCUUAGACCUUAAUGAGAUGGAGGAAUUAAGAAAUGAUGCUUACAUCAAUUCCAAAGUUGCAAAACAGAGGAUGAAGAAAUGGCAUGAUCAGCUAAUCUCCAACAAAGAAUUGAGGAGAUGACAAAGAGUCCUACUCUACGACUCAAGGCUCCAUAUUUUUCCAGGGAAGCUCAAGUCAAGGUGAAUAGGUCCUUUCAUUAUUCACCAAGUACAUCUUAAUGGAGUGGUGGAAUUACUAAAUUCCAAUGGCAUAGAUACCUUCAGAGUCAAUGGUCAUCGCCUCAAGCCAUUCAUUGAGUCGUUCAAGCCAAAAAAUGAGGAAAUCAACCUCCUUGAGCCACAAAAAUCCUGAUCAGAGAAGGGUUAGAUGGACUUGGUUUCACCAAAGUCCAUAAUUUUGUUAAAUAUGUUAAUUUUUAAGUUUUGUAAAUUAUUUGAUUGUAAUUCUGAUCUUAAAUUAUGUUAAUUGUAACUAAUUUUUUUGAAUGAUUAAAAUCAGGAGGAAUUACAAGAAAAUCGAAAGAAGCUGCUCCCAGCUCCUCAGAGCCAUCACAGGCCCCUCUUUUUGUUAAUCAGCCUUUGCCUCAUUCAGAGCCUCCUAUAGGAGAGACAGCUAAGCCAUUAUUUCCACAGCAUCACUUCAUGUCACUCAGGAGGUACCACUUCCUCCCUAUUUUUCAAUUGCUUCUGUCACAUUGAGGACAAUGUUCAGUUUGGUUGGGGGGAGAGUUGAGGAAGGAAGUUUUUGUUAUUAAUGCUAAGUUAUUUUGGUAAUUUAGUUGCUUUUUGCUUAAUUUUAAAAUUUUUUAAGUUUUUAUUCUACUCUCCAUGGUUAUUAAGGAAAAAUUCUCAAAAAUGAAAUGAGAUAAAUUAAAUUUUUGUCUUUUUACUUGACUUAGAUUUUGUAUUAUGCUUACUAAAGUUGAUGAAUUGUUGAAACUUCUAUUGAAUUCAACCUUAAUUCUUCCACUUUAAGCUAUUCACACACUGUGCACAAUAGGUUCUGAUUAUAAGAUGAAGAACUAUUUCCCCCUUAACUUAGGAAAAUUUUAGACUUGGUACCUUUGACCUCAUUUAAUAGUGUUGGGACACCUUAUAAAAGGCCAAUGAGCCUUUGAAAAAAAGAAGAAAGAAAGAAAAAUGUUUACUUGCCUUGAAACCCGAGCAAGGUUUGAGGGGUAUAUGGUGAAAAUCUUAAAAACCUGGUGCCCUAAGCCUUCAGUGGUUGGGAGUCACCGACCUCAAUGCUCGUUACAAGGGUGGAUAGGUGGAGUUUAACAUACUGUAGGUGCUUGGGUAUUAAAAAUUCAUUCUCAAAAGUCCGGGGUAAAAUCCGAGUUAGUGGUUGAAAAAUCCUUAAAGCUUGAUGCCCUAAACCUUAAUUGGUUGGGAGUCAUCGAUGGACCCCCGUUACAUGGACAAUUUAGAAAAGAAUACCUUUAGCCUUGUACUCCUACAAUGAAAAAAAAAUUGUGAAAAAAGAGGUGCGUUCUUAGCCUAUUGGAGGUUGAUUAGUUUGCUAAGCUUUGAAAAAGAACUAGGUUGGGGGAGAGAUUAGUUUAACAUACUAUAUUCAGAAACUAAUAAAUAACACUUAGAUUUUUGUGGAAUAGUAAGGUUUGACCAUCUGGGAGUGGAAACUCUUUUAAAGCUUAAAUUUGCAUAAUGUCGUCUCUAUAAGAAUUGUGAUUAAGACAAGUUAUUUGAUAACUCUUGUUGAAGCUUGAGUUUUAUUUCUUUAAUGUUCCAUGUGAGAGUUAGAUCAUCAUGCCACUUGAAAAUUGUUUUUUGAUCAGCAUGAUGUUGUAAAUUAUAGUACUGUUUAUUUUUAUUUUUUUCUCUCCUUCAUUGCUAAGGGACUAGCAAUAUGUCGGUUGGGGGGAGUGAUUACUACUCAAAAAGUGCUAUUUCAUAGCUUGUAAUAAACUCUUUUAAACACUUUUGAGUAGUAGUUAUCACCUUUUAACCCAAUUAACAUCUUAAGGACCCUUGCAAUCAAUUCUAAUCAAAUUGUGUUAAGUUUUGGUGUUUUGAUAGCUUUUUUAUCACCAAAGCAAUCAGAGAUUGAGGAGAGUUCUUUAGAAUCCAUGACAAAAGAUGUUCGGACAGGGCGUCCGGACACACCAUUGGAGAGCAGCGGAGCGUGGGCUGUAGAAAGGCUUGCUCACUGUAGUCAAUGAUCCGGACAACAUAUCCGGAUAGGAUAUGCUAUCAUCCGGAGUGUGAUGUUCGUGAGUGCCGGAUAGCAUGGCGGCGCAUGUCCUCUUGGGGAAUCCGGAUGAAGUUGAGUCGGAUGGGUCCCUACACCUUACACACGCAGACAGUCCCUCUUGCGCAGCAUAGCUCAGUCCACCCGGGGAGGAAUUCUGUGCGCCAACAUUUCACAUCCGGAAUUCCGUGCGCCGACAUUUCACAUCCGGAAUUCCGUGUGCCGACAUUUUACAUCCGGAUAUCUCACAUCCGGAUGGGAGAGGAAGACGCUUCAACUUCUCCGGAUAUACAUAUCCGGACCUUUUGAUAACGCUUACCCACAGAGUUCUUCUCUCAGUAUACAGUGCAGCGGUGUUCUCCUGAAGCUUCCUGAUAUUUCCGACCGACAUUUUGAGAUAUUUUGGGAUAUUUUUCUUUAGAUAUUUGUUGUCUAAAUCCCCAAACUCUCCUUGUAAUCCACCUAUCAUAGGAUUCCUUAGUCUUUAAGCAAGAAAAAGGGUGAAUAACCUCAUAUAUAUAGUUUGUAAUUUUCUUUACAAAGAGAAUUAUUAUGUAAUCAGCAGAAGGAAGAAAUAUAUUUUACAGAGCACUUGCUCUGUUUUUCCUUCUUAUAAUUGUUUUCUCGUUAGUUUUCUUACUAGCCAAACAAGCUCUGAGGAAGUUUCCUCAGAGAAUGAGUGGCUAGACUUUUAGUUCCUUGGAGUUAAGGUUGCCGGGAAAGGUUCCAAGUGCAUGAAUUAGUAGCUUUGUGGUUUCAGCCAUUAAUGGAGAGAAAGUGUGAUCCUUUAAUGAUUUCUAUGUUUUUAGUUAACUUAAAACACUUUCAAUUCACUUGAGCCAACACUUGGUAAGGCAAGUGAGCUCCGUCCAUGGAGAUGCACUAGUUUACCUCUUGCGAGCUUUUGGGAAGUGACUUGGAGGUAGGAUUUUCUAGAAUUGCCAACACUUGGUAAGCUUUUGGACUCCAAGGAGACAUCCAUUAGUUAUCUCUUGCGAGCUUGAGAAGGGAAGUCCAAAGUUAAAGAUCACCUUGAAUGGCAAAUGCUAGGUGAGAGGCACGAGCCAUUGCAAGUUGCAUCAGUGAGAGGGAAUUAGAGCUGAAAUCCAUUUAAAUGAUACAUCUGUACAGCACUGGUUAGAGAAUUGACUAUAUGUUAAUUCUCUAAUGUGAGGAAAUGAACCAAAUGACCGGAGCUCUGUUUUUGCAUAAGGAACCUCCCCUGUGAACCUAAACCUCCAAGGAAUGUUUUUCUUCAUAAGUAAUUUCUAUUACUUUCUUUUUAGUUAGCUUUAAACAAAACCUCAUUUAAACAAAGUUUGUGUUUUAUUUCUUAAGCUAGCCUUGAAAUGAAAAAGCACCAAUUUACUUUGAAUUGGUAUCAGUUGUGAGUUGAAAGCCCUUCCUAGUGAACGAUCCUAGAGCCACUAUGCUAUAUUAGCUAAGCUAUCCUAAUGCAUGGUGAUAUAGGUUAUAAAUUUUGUUGAUUACUCUCUCAAUCAAAGAGCACCAGCUGGACAUGAAUCAACUGAGACACCAAUUGGGAAGGAAUCAGGAGGUGUGACCUGGGAUGCCAAUGGUCACGUUGUCGGUCUUGAUCUGAGUAGCGAAUCAAUUUCUGGUGGAUUCAAUAGCUCUAGUAGCCUUUUCAAUUUACAAUAUCUCCAGAGCUUGAAUUUGGCUGGAAACAGCUUCUGCGGAGGAUUGAACUGGCCUAACAACAACUUCUGCUCUUCUCAAAUUCCAUCAGGAUUUGACAGGCUUGCUAAUUUAAUUUAUCUGAAUUUAUCCAAUUCUGGCUUUUCUGGGCAGAUUCCAAAGGAAUUUUCGCUCUUGACUAGGUUGGUUACCAUCGAUUUCUCCAGCCUUGGUUAUCUCAUUGGAUUUCCUACACUGAAACUUCAGAAUCCAAAUCUGAGAAUGUUGGUUCAGAAUAUCAAGGAGCUUAGGGAACUUCAUCUUAAUGGUGUAGACAAUCAGCCGAGGGGAAGGAGUGGUGCCAGGCAUUGUCAUCUUCAGUGCCUAAUCUCCAAGUGCUUAGCUUGUCCAGCUGUCAUCUUUCAGGCCCAAUCCAUUCUUCCCUGCAGAAGCUUCGAUCUCUCUCAAGGAUUCGUCUGGAUGACAACAAUUUUGCUGCUCCAGUUCCACAGUUCCUCGCUAGCUUCUCAAAUUUGACUCACUUGCAGCUCAGUUCUUGUGGAUUAACUGGAACGUUUCCAGAAAAGAUCAUUCAGGUAACAACCCUACAGAUUCUUGAUUUGUCAAUUAACUUACUUGAAGAUUCUUUGCCAGAAUUCCCUCAAAAUGGAUCUCUAGAAACAUUGGUGCUUUCGGAUACAAAACUUUGGGGGAAACUACCCAACUCCAUGGGAAAUCUUAAGAAGCUGACUAGCAUAAAGCUGGCACGUUGCUAUUUCAGUGGCCCAAUCCUAAACUCAGUGGCAAACCUUCCUCAACUGAUUUACUUGGACUUGUCUGAAAAUAAGUUUUCCGAUCCAAUUCCAUCUUUUAGUUUGUCCAAGAGACUCACCGAAAUAAACCUUUCCUACAAUAAUUUGAUGGGUCCAAUUCCUUUCCACUGGGAAAAACUUGUUAAUUUAAUGAAUCUUGACCUGCGGUACAAUGGAAUUACAGGAAAUCUCCCCCCGUCCCUGUUUUCCCUCCCAUCCUUGCAGAGGUUACGACUAGACAACAACCAAAUUUCUGGUUAGUUCAAAAUUCUUUUAAAUGCAUCUUCUUCUAGAUUGAGCACCCUUGGUUUGAGUAGCAACAAUCUCGAAGGCCCGAUACCUAAUUCUGUCUUUGAACUGCGGUGUCUUAGCUUCCUUGACCUAUCUUCCAACAAAUUCAAUGGAAAGAUUGAACUCAGCAAGUUUAAAAAACUUGGGAAUCUUACUGAUCUUAGCCUUUCAUACAACAACCUGUCCAUCAAUGCAACCCUUUGUAAUCUGUCCCCUUCUAUACUGCCUAUGUUUACAACAUUAAGGUUGGCUUCUUGCAGGCUGACAACUUUACCUGAUCUUAGCGGCCAGUCAAGCUUGACACAUUUAGACCUUUCCCAAAACCAAAUUCACGAGAACAUACCUAGUUGGAUUUGGAAGAUUGGUAAUGGCUCUCUUGUGUAUUUGAAUCUCUCUCAUAAUUUACUGGAGGAUCUCCACGAACCUUUCUCUACUUUUACUCCUUAUCUGUCCAUCCUUGACCUACAUUCCAACCAGCUCCAUGGCCAAAUCCCCACUCCUCCCAUAUUUUGCAGCUAUGUGGAUUACUCGAACAACAGUUUCACCUCCUCCAUCCCAGAAGAUAUUGGUACUUACAUCUUCUUCACUAUUUUCUUCUCUCUUUCUAAGAAUAACAUCACUGGAAUUAUCCCUGCAUCAAUCUGCAAUGCCAGUUACCUGCGAUUUCUUGACUUUUCUGACAACGCUUUGAGUGGAAUGAUACCCUCAUGUUUAAUUGGGAACGAGAUUCUUGAGGACCUGAAUCUACGGAGAAACAAGUUAAGUGCCACUAUACCUGGGGAAUUUUCGGGAAACUGUCUUUUACGGACUCUAGAUCUGAAUGGGAAUCUCUUAGAAGGAAAAUUCCAGACUCUCUAGCCAAUUGCAAAGAGUUAGAGGUUUUAAACCUUGGGAACAAUCAGAUGAGUGAUUUUUUUCCUUGCUCGUUGAAGACCAUAAGCAGUUUGUGCGUCCUUGUUCUUCGAUCCAACAGAUUCUAUGGACCCAUUCAAUGUCGACCAUAUAGCAAUCCCACCUGGCCACUGCUUCAAAUUAUGGACCUUGCUUCCAACAAUUUUAGUGGUGACUUGUCAGGAAAAUUCUUUUUAACCUGGAAGGCAAUUGUGGACCCGCAUUUUUCACGUGCGUCCCCACUCGAUCGGCGAGACUCGCUUUUUAUUAGUGAAAAAUUGAUUUUUGAAAAAAAGUUGGAGUCGCCACUUAUUUUAUUUUUAUUUUAAAGGGAAAAUAAAACAAGAAAGAAAAACCCUAAAAAGUGACUCCAUAGUUUUGGAAAAAGCAUGUCUUUGAGAAACCCGAGUCUAAGUCCGGGGAUCAGGUUACUUAUUGGGAAGGUACCUCUAGGAGGUAGCACCCCUCUAAGCCCUAUAAAGGUCUCUACUGACAAAGUUAAGGGAAGUGUGGCAAUUAAUCAGUUAAUUAUAGAUACCUAAAUAGGCUGGGUGAUUUUAAAGAGUGGCAUGCCAAACACAAUCAAAUUGCAAUAAAGGAGAGUUAGGGUGCGUACCAGAACCGCUCUUCAAGCGCUAUCAUAAAACAUAAAAGUUAGUGUAGAAUUGUAGCACACAACAUUUGUUUUAUUCAAGCAAAUCAGGCAUAUAUCAAGAUAUCCAAGAAUCACGUCAAAUAUGGAUAUAGUCAUCAAUGGCAUACAAAUCCAUAGAGUUCUAAAAAAUAGAUGAGAAGAGAGCGUACCUGGAUAGCAAGCUAGUACUCCUCUAUGGGAAUCAAGAGCAUCUCAACAAUAAAUACGAAACAAAUUCAUGUAUAUCAUCAAGAAUAAUCAAAAAUCAACAUAUCAAGCAAACAAUAUUGAAGAAGGUAUCAUGAAUGUCGGGCCCCCACCAAAGCCCUAAUUGCUUUCGCACAAAUUGAUUCAACCAGUCCUAUUAUUUAGAACCAUGAAGUUUAUUUGCGCUUGUUGAAAAUCGAGAAAACCAUGAAAAUAGUUGAAAAUCCCAAAAGAUGCAUGUUUGAAUGAAAUAUGGGAGCAAGGGUUUUUAAAACUGAAUUUUCUCAACCUGAAAUCCUCCAAUGAUGAAAUUAAAAAAAGAAUAAUAGCUUUGAUGGAAAAGAGAUUUAAAAAAAAACGUGAUUCAAAACAUGUAAGAUCACAAGGAAAUAUCAAAACAAUAAGGGAACGGUGCAUCAAGAUGGCCACUGUAUGAGUGAGGUCUGGGGGUGUGAUUGAGACUACUUCGCUAAAUUUGAAGAUGAUUUCCUUAAUUCCAUUCUGCUGCAACGUUCUGAUAUGCCUCAAUAAUUCAGGCACAUUCAUCUCCUUGGCCAUCUGAAACAAGCUCCAUGGUUUGCAGAUAAUUAUAAGUCUCAUGAAUGCAGGAGUAAUCAUUACCUAUUUCCAGUAAUUAACAUAUUUAACACCCUGUUCACGAGUCAUGCAACCUGGUUGAUCCACCAGAUUGCAAAGAAUUGAUGCAAAGUAAAUUCUAUGAGGAACAAGUGAGUGUCACGAUUCUCAAUUUUUGAAGCUUCAAUCACAGACUACACAAAUAGUUGACUUUCACUAAGUUCAUCAUCAUCAUCAUCCACACAACCAGGUUGUUGUUUCAAUUCAGUGUCAAGUUGCUGAAUCUUCUUCUGUUUUAGCCAUGUAGGAAGCCUUUUCGAUUGUAAAUCCGGAAUGACAUCAAGUUUAAUCUCCAAUUCUGAACCCUCAAGGUACAGUUUCUUCAUUGAGCCUUUAUUACUUUUCCUUUACUGAUAUUACAGUAGUUCAAUUCAGGCAGCCAACUUAGCUAAACACUCACAACCUCGAAUUCAAAGACGGCACAAUUGGCUCAUAGUAAAAAUCAUCCCUUCCACCGAACUCCUAUGGCGCGGCUGGUUGUUUGAGGUGUAUCUAACCACUUUCAAAAUCACUUCCAUCAGCAGUCCCAAAUUAAUCACUAUGAGACUCCUUAGUGAGUUCAGGGAAUAACCCACCUUAGUGGGGAGUACAUGCACUUACCAUGCGCACACCACGUGGAUGUGCUCAUUGUGUCAAGGCGACUUUCCACUGACAUUUUGGCUUGAGAUUUAACAUGUAUUAGGCGCUGACUUCAUAAGCAAUGCCAUGUAAGAAUAUCUUUAACCAUUCAGGAGUGAUAGGUGGACAUUGGAAGGAGUUUGUAAUGCUGGAGGCAACAUCGACUUAUACAUCUGAUUGGCCGGCGAGUGGCUUCUCCAUCUUCUAAUUCUAAAUCCAUAGAACUUUCAGAAAACGUGCUGAAAUGGUGUUAGUGAGUGCACGACAGCAAGAAGAAGCAUUACAUAUGUCACCUUUCUCCCAAGCUGUUCAUCGGCAGUUUGCUCCAUGACCUGAGUAUGUCUUCUUUUCCUCAGGUAUUCCAAUCAUCUUUCAAUUCAGCUGGCUCAUGAUCAACAAAAUCUGGGUCUCUUGUUCUUUAGGUCGAUAUCGUUAACCAUGACAUGGGAAUAAACUCAUUUGGAGGUGAGUUUGUUUCGUCUGCAAUACCAGGGAACAUGAUUGAUCCACCACUGAGCACAACACUGCCAUAGUAGUUCUUAUCCUAAAAUGGUUGUUGUUGUCAUGAUUGCAAAUUUAAUUUCAAAUGGAAACCUAGAUGGGUGUACAGCCUUGAAUGAUUGUGCCAUGAUUCAGGAUUACAAGGACACUACUAAAGCACUUUAAAGACGGACCAUUCUUCACAUUCUCAUUGCAUGUAGCAGCGGCUUGAUUAGAUGCACGAGCAAUAGAGGCAGGGUGUUUCUGCUAAACAUAAUCUUGUCAUCACAAGCGCAUGGAGCCAAGAGAGCACCAACUUAGGAUUCCAAUCAAGUCAGAAUAUUAAGAGUACCAGGUGGCAGGCUCACCUCCAUGCACACAUUAGCUAGUUUCUAAACAAAUCACAGAAGCCAUCUCAGAUGACUUUAAUAUUGCCAUGCACCCAAUUAACUAAGGCAAGAGCCAUUUUCCGCAUAACUGUCCCCUGUCCCCUGUCCUCUUCAAGUUAUUAGAAGUCUUUUCCUACAUCUUUAAUUGUCCACACCAUGUCGAGGAAGACUAAAGGCAACUAGUCAAUUUAGAAGCAAAUUCCCAUGCAUUAGUUCUUUCUGGCUCAUCAAGCCAUCAACACCUCAACUUUCUAUAUUGUAAAAACCACCCAAAUUAUCUAUAUCCUGCUGCCUUGUGAAGAGAGGACCCCCAGUCCACAAACUUGAAGGAGAAAGAGAGCACAUAAGUCACUUUCCAUUGUAACUCGUGACAAUAUUGUUGAUUUUUGAAUUCAGAAGGGGUGUCAUCAGAUUGAAUGCGUCUGCUCCCAUGUAUGACCCACCAUUUCAAUUUUGUUGACAAGCUCCAAUAACAAUUGAGAUCUAACUCUCUGAGCCUUUACAUCAUGCUGUCCACAAGCAUCCUUCAGAAACCUAAUCAGUGGUUCAAUAAAAUUCUUAGAUGAUAGCGAAUGCCAAAGUUGAUCAUCACCCUUCAAGUCUUUUUCUGCAUCUUCGAUCACCUGGCAUUUAGGACUUCUGUGGAUGUGUAUCAAGUUCAGAUAAAAACUUCAAAUCUGUCUCAGGUUUAUCAGCAUACCAUGACAUCUGCGAGAUUCAUUACUAGUCUUCACGGAAAUCAAAUUUGAGCCAUCUCUGAUUUUAAUGCAUGAUGAGCCUGAACUGUGACGGUUAUCUAAAGAUUCAAGUGAUAUACUGUUGAUAUCUAUUGGCGGAUGUAGAUCAUUCAUAGAAAUUAUGAGGCUUGCGAUAGAGGUAGAACAAAAUUCCCAUGUGUUAUGUGCUGGUGGUUCUACACGUGGGCCAAGUUUGGAGAUUCCAUGCUCCAACAGUAUCCAGAAGAGUCACCACAAAUAAGCACCAGAAACAGGGGAAGGUAUCCAAAAACAGAGCAUGAAGAAUAGAAACAAAAGGAACCGAUAAAAGUCGUGUUUCAUGUUUUGAAUCAACGGUUUAAACAGGUGGGCGAAACCAAACACAUUUCAAAUAGAAAUCAAUACAUGAUCGCAGGCAUCUAACAGAGAAACUAAAGCAGUACCAAACCAAUCUUAACAAAACCCAAAAGAAAGUGAAACAUGAACACACUAUAAUCCAAUCCAAAGAAUAGCAAAGAAGCCAAAUGCAUGACAGGAUAUCCAUGCCCAAAAUCAACAACAAGCAAAUAGGUCUCUGAUGACCGCACUAAAGCAUCAGACAAGUCUCAAUAAUAGCAAACAAAAUAAGUGUACAAAGGAGCAGUGAUUUUACAAUGAAGAACUUACCUUUAAGAAUAUGCAAUCUGAUAGAUCUCCUCUGUUAUACUCUUCUUUCUGUUCUGCCCCUCUGUCUGUUCUUUUUUGUCCUGCUCUUCUUUCUGUUCUGCCCUUCUCUCUGUUCUCUUUUUCUGUUCUGCUCUCCCUUUUUGUUCGUUCUCCAUGCCUUCAUAGAGAUUCUCCCAGAAAUCUCCAGGCUGCUCUUUUGGAAAGUCCCUCAUCAUUCCUUCUUCGAAUGUGUGUUGGCCCUCCAAUCCUGCAGUACCCCUGUGUGUCCUCUUCGUAUAUAGAAGGCUGAUUCUUUUAAGCAUGGCGACGUGUUGUCUCUUUGGAAAGUCUUGCUACCCUCAGACUCAUGGAGAAUCAAAUCCCACCCAUCACUCGUGCUUAUUUUUGGAAAAUCCUUUUUUUCAUUUUUUUUUUUUAUAUGUACGUUGUAAUGUCCAAAAAGUCCAUAGGGUGCAUGCUGUGUUUGGAGAUAAUCUCCUCUUUCCAUCUAGGCGCAACCGGCAUCCCUUUUCUUCCAUGUAUGUACGGCCUUCCAUGUGUGGUCCGGAAUUUUGCAUGGAUUCUCCAUUACACAACCACCAGGAUCUCAUGCAAAAAUAUAAAAAUUCGAAUCAAGACUCACGCAAUCUCCUAGACGAACUCGGUUGCACUUGCUCCUUUCCUGCUCCUUUGUGCUUUCUCCUCAAAAAUCCUCAGAAUUUCUCCCAAUCCUCCAAUGCGUGCUUCCACCAAGAUAACCGAAGAAUUCUUAUAGUACCCCUGAUUCAAACCACCAGAUUUACUGAAGAAGGGUCACCCUGGCUAGCAGCUGUACGUGUUGCAUAAUCUGAAGUUCCUUGCAUGUAGUGGACACCAUGCGAUUCCAUGUAUGAGUGAAGGUCAGAGCCCACCCAAUUUCCACUUCGUCUCAAAACUCUGACCAUCUCCACUACCACUCAAAGCUGGACCUUUGAGUAAAGACUGGCAGAGGCUUGGCUGCAAUCUCCUUUUUCCCGCUCUUGUGCACCUUUCCACCCCUCUCAAUCCUCCAAUGUGUGCUUCCCUUGAAUUCUCCCUAAAAAAAAAUCCUCUUUUGCCCGGUCACUCAUUCUUCCUUCCUCCUUCCGAAAAACCUAAAUCUCCUUAAAAAAAAGCCAAAUCUCCUAUUUUCUCUCUUCUUUUCUCCUUAUCCUUUUUUAAAUCUUCCAAUUCAAAAGCAAUCUUCCCAACUUCAAAUUCUCCUCCAAAACCUUCCAAGGAGAGUCCCACUUUCCUUAAACUCCAAUGGUAAGUUUCCUUGCAAAAACAUGAAAUUUUAAAAGUUAAAUAAUUGCAUGAAUAGAUAAAUAAGUAAAUAAAUUAGAAAAUGGUAAAAAUAAUAAAUAAAUAAAUAAGUUAAGGAAAAUAAUAUAAAGAGGAAAAUGAAAUAAAAUAAAAUAAAAAUAAACAAAUUAACAAAAAAUGGGCCCUACGAGCCAUGCAAACAUGCAAACCAUGCAAAAACAUCUAAAGGUGACCUAGGGUGUGUCCUAGUGCGCUAGGGCAAACGAAGUGGACUAAGUGUGCUUAAAAGCUAUCCUAAAAAAAACAAGAAAAGCCUAAGUCUAAGUUAGGGCUGCCAAGGGUCACAAUAAGGGAUCAAAUAAUCCCUCAACCAAAAUCUCCAAGGUGGCUUAGAAAAAGGUAAGUCGUACGAGUAGUAAUGGGCCACCAAGAAACUAUUGUGGAGCACUGAACACGAAUUUAAAGACAUGUGUUAAAGGGACAAAAUUGAGGGUCUACAGCAAUGAGGGCUGAUAAAGAUGGAGCCAGGUCAGAGCUCAAUCACCUACAACUUCAGGUACUACAAUUCAGCCAAGUGUACUAUCAGGAUACGGUGACUGUCACUAGCAAAGGCCUAGAAAUGCAGCUUGUGAAGAUUCUAACCGUCUUCACUGCCAUUGAUUUCUCCUUCAACAAUUUCCAAUGGGAGAUACCAGAAGCUAUGGGAAGCUUGAUUUCACUUUAUGCUCUCAACCUGUCCCAUAAUGCUUUGACGGGCCAAAUCCCAUCAUCACUAGGGAAGUUGCGGCAGCUUGAGUCAUUGGACCUCUCACAGAACAGCCUUAGGGGGGAGAUACCAGCACAGUUUGUGAGCCUAAAUUUCCUUUCCUUCCUUAACCUCUCCUUUAAUCAACUGGAGGGAGAAAUCCCCACAGGUACUCAACUUCAAACGUUUUUGGAAUCUUCUUAUGAAGGGAACAAAGAACUAUGCGGACCCCCCUUGAAGAGGAAGUGCACAGAUCCAUCCCCACCCACCUAUGAAGAAACACAUCCGGAUUCUGGGAUGAAGAUUAACUGGGUGUACAUAGGUGCUGAAAUUGGAUUUGUCACCGGUAUAGGAAUUGUGAUUGGGCCUCUUGUGUUAUGGCGAACGUGGAGACGAUGGUACUACACACAUGUGGAUAGACUUCUUUUGAGGAUUCUCCCGCGUCAAGGCGAAGGAGUUCAUGGCAGGAGACGUCAUAGAAGUCAGGGACGGAGACUCUAGCACCAGAAAGGUGGCGCAGCUAGAGUUUGUUCUAUGGAAGGAAAAAUAAAAACUAAAAAGUAUGUUCAUUGCUAGGAUUUCUGUGUUUUUUUACCUUAAAAAUUGGAAGUACGUUGUUUUUGAAUAAUAUCUUUCAAUUAUUUUAACUUAUUUUAAAAAAUAAUUAUACAAAUAUGAACAAAAAUUAAAAAUAAAAUAAUACUGUAGACCCCCAUUUUGGGGGGCAUCUUUUUGCAAAUUAUUUAUGUUGGUGGAGGGCUCUUAACGAGCCACAUGUUGCCCCAAGUUUGGUCUUUAGAGAAUCAUGUUAGUGGUUUGAAGAAGCAAUGGGAGGGCGACACGUGUCAUGGGAAUAUUCAGAAACAAUUUUUUUUUUAGGGAUUUGGAGGAGCAUAUAUUUGAUAUAGAGACAGGGAGGCCGUUAAGGAAGGGGAGAUAUUUGGUUGCUGUUACAGAGAGGUAUAGGUAGCUUGGGAGGCAAGACUGAGGAGGCAUGUUUUUUGGGGUUGCUUAGGAGAGAGGGAUACCUGGGGGGAUUCUCUCUGGAGGAGGUUACAGAGGAGUGUUUUUUUUAGUAGCUUGAGAGAGAAGACAAUUGGAGAGAAGACCAUUUGAGCUAGAGAAUGGGAGGAGGAGAAUCGAUUGAGCUUGGAAGGGAGAACUGGUCAGAGAGAGGAGGAAACACACAGAAGAAUCGUCUUGAAAGAGGGUGACACAGUAAAUCGGCCCAUCACUCAGGUACACUCCUUGCCUAUCUUGUUUAUUCGGUUAUUUUGUUUUGAUUGAUAUUCAUUCGGUAUCCAUGUUUGAUCAAUCAAUUGUCAUACUUGCUUCAGCUCAUUAGUAGAGACCCGUUUUUAGGGACUUAGAAGGGUGUUACGAUCUUUACCGUACCUUCCCAAUAAGUAACCUAACCCCCGAGCUCAAACUUGAUUUUUCACAGACCACCUUUUCCAAAAUAAAGAGUCACACUUAGGGUUUUCUUUCUUAUUUUGUUUACCCUUUAAAAAUAAAACAAAAAUAAGUGGCAACUCCAAGUUAUUUUCUUAAAAAAUAAAUAAUUUUCAAAUAAAAAGCGAGUUUUCCAUCGAGUGGAAGCGCAUGAGCAUAAAUACGAGGUCCACAAAUACACACUUAGGGUUUUCUUUCUUCAUUUUGGCAUUCAAAGCCACAUCUUCAUUUUGGCGUUCAGAGCCACCAUCCCUUUUUAAUUUGGCAUUCAGAGUCACUAUCUCUUUUUUCGAUUUGGUGUUCAAAGUCGCAUCUUCAUUUUGGCGUCCAGAGCCGUUGUUUGCUUCUAGUUCAGUAUUCAUAGCCAUCAUACCUCUUUUUCGGUUUGGCAUUCAGAGUCGUAUCUUCAUUUUGGCAUUCAAAGCAGUUGUUCAGUUUAGUUCGGUAUUCAAAGCCACACCUUCAGUUCGGUGUUUAGAGCUGCAUUUUCUGUUUGGCAUCCAGAGCCGUUGUUCAUUUUCAAUUUGGUGUUCAGAGCUGUCGUUUAUUUCUAGUUCGGCAUUCAGAGUUGUCGUUUGUUUUUUUAGUUCAACAUUCAGAGUCGUCAUGUCUUUCUUUAAUUCGUCGUUCAGAGUCACAUCUCUAGUUAGGCGUUCAGAGCCGCAUCUUCCGUUUGGCGUUCAAAGUCAUGUCUUCAGUUCAACAUUCAGAGUCAUUAUUCAUUAUUGACAUUCAAAGCCAUUGUUUCAUUCAGGCAUUUGAUGCCACCAUUUUUCUUUAGUUUUGGUGUUCAGAGCCAUUAUGCAUACUCAUUCAGGCAUUUGAUCCCAUCAUCAUUCUUUAGCUUUGGGGUUCAAAGUUGUUGUGCAUACUCGUUUAGGUAUUUAGAGUCACCAUUCUUUCAUCCCUUUUGGCAUUCAGAAUCAUUUUCCUCACCUUGUUACCUUGUGCUUAUUGCUUGUUCAUCAUGGUCUUCUAGACUUCCCCUUCCACUACACAUGACAUAGUCCUUUGAGUUCGCGACACAUAUUUUGGUCAUGUUGUUGGGCACCCCACAUUUAGCGUUCUCAUGUAGCUCACAUAGGGCGGUCUCCUUUGAGCACAUUCUUUUCUGUACUCCAGGAUGGUUCGACCAUUGCUCAUCUUUGACAUUGACCUUCAAGUCACUUUUGGAGACGUCUUAGAUGGAGUUUGGAUCCUUAAUGCAACUUUAGAGGCACAUUGAGACAUGUUUUUCUCUUAGGAUUAGAGUCAUUUUGUUCAUCUAUUGGUCUAAGUGAGUUUGUGUUUUGCAAAUGUCCCUUUGGGGGUCUCCUUGGUUCUUCAAUAGAGUUCACUUCAUUCCACUCAUUAUGCACAUUUUCUUUUCACCUUAGUGUUCAUAUUCCUUACACUCGUGAGUUCUAUCGAAGAGGGGCAUAUUUGUAGGCCCCCUUUUUGGGGGCCAUUUUUUUGAAAAUUAUUUCUGUAGGUGGAGGGCUCUUAAAGAGCCACAUGUUGCCCCAAGUUUGGUCUUUAGAGAAUCAUGUUAGUGGUUUGAAGAAGCAAUGGGAGGGCGAUACGUGUCAUGGGAAUAUUCAGAAACAGUUUUUUUGAGGAUUUGGAGGAGUGGAUUUUUGAUAUAGAGAGAGGGAGGUCGUUAAGGAGGGAGAGAUAUUUGGUUGUUGUUACAUAGAGGUAUAGGUAGCUCGGGAGGCAAGACCGAGGAGACAUGUUUUUUCGGGUUGCUUGGGAGAGAGGGAUACCUGGGAGGGGACUCUCUGGAGGAGGUUAUAGACAAGUGUUUUUUUUAGUAGCUUGAGAGAUAAGACAACUGGAGAGAAGACCAUUUGAGCUAGAGAAAGGGAGAAGGAGAAUCACCUGAGCUUGAAAGGGAGAACUGGUUAGAGAGAGGAGGAAACACACAGAAGAAUCGUCUUGAAAGAGGGUGACAUAGUAAAUCGGCCCAUCACUCAGGUACACUCCUUGCGUCUCUUGUUGAUUCGAUUAUUUUGUUUUGAUUUAUAUUCAUUCGGUAUCCAUUUUUUAUCAAUCAAUUUCCAUACUUGCUUCAUCUCAUUAAUAGAGGCCCGUUUUUAGGGACUUAGAGGGGUGCUACGGUCUUUAUCGUACCUUCCCAAUAAGUAACUAGACCCUCGAGCCUAGAUUCGGUUUUUCACAAACCACCUUUUCCAAAAUAAGGAGUCACACUUAGGGUUUUCUUUCUUAUUUUGUUUACCCUUUAAAAAUAAAACAAAAAUAAGUGGCGACUCCAAGUCAUUUUCUUAAAAAAUAAAUCAUUUUCAAAUAAAAAGCGAGUUCACCAUCGAGUGGAAGCGGAUGAGCAGAAAUACGGGGUCCACAAAUACAUAUUAAAUUUAUUUUUAAAACAAAUUUAAAAAUAUAGCAAACGGUUUAAAAACAUUUCAAAUUCUCAAAUACACUUUUGUUAAUCUACUAAACAUUAAAUAACAUAUUUAAAAAAUUGUUCUCAAAAACUCUUUUAGAAUACACUUCUCACUCAAAACCUAAUAAACUAAGAAUAUCAAUAACAAAAUAUCAAUAAAAAUAUUUAAAUAAAAUAUGGAGAAAUCCUAUUCAAAAAGUAAAGUCAUGUUUAACAACUAUUUUCUUAAAACAGUUUUUUUUUUAUUCAGAAUAAAAAAUAGGAAAACAUGUUUGAGAACUAAAAAUCAUAAUAUGGUUUUCUAUUAUUAAAAGCAUGAAAUGGUGUUUUCAAGUAACAUCUUUAAAAUUUUAAGAGAUUAUCGGAUCAUGUCAAAAGGGUUUAGCUAGAAUAAUCUAGGAAAUUUUACUCUAAGGUACUUCUUCAAAUGCUCAUCAUCAUUGAAUCCCAUGAUUCCAAUUCUACAAUUGUAAGAGUGCGUUUGAGAGUGAUUUUAGAAAACGUUUAUAGUAUUUUCAACAUUUAAAUGAUAAAAAAUUUCAAAUAUUAAAAAGAUUAAAAACGUUUCCUAGAAUUAUUUUCAAACGGACUGUAAAUCCUUUUCUGGUUAUGUAAAUGAAAUAUACAAAUAUAAUAGUCGGAGACUAAAGACAAAAUGUUGUUUUAUAUAUACAUAUAUAACCGAAAUACAUGAAACUUGUAGUCUGAUUUUUCCAAUGGAAGGAGACAGUUCCACCAUUAUAUUGAUUUGGUAAUCAUUUCGAAAUAUAAUUUAACUCAUGCUUUGAAAUGCAAGAAACUAAGAAAUUAAACUGAAAUCUAAUAGAAUUAAAAUAAGAGAAGUUAACAAUACCCAUCCACCCAUUUUUAUUUUAUUUUUCUUGUUAAGUCCUCAGCUUUCCUCUUACUUCAUGCUUUUUCUUUCCCCAUGUUAAGAGACAAUUUAACAUCUAUUGAAAUAGUAUGUUGGAAGAUGGUUGAACACUUGUGAGAGAUAGUUAAGUACUACAAAUUAAAUAUAAUAGCAGAAAUUCAUCAAUGCAAACUAUUUUAAGGAUGUGCCAAAUUUCGUGAAAGAUGUAUCAAAUUUUGUAAAGGAUGUACCAAAUUGUCCUUAGGAUGUACCUUGGGUUCCAAUGUUCGUUUCAAGGUGGGGAACAACCUCCAAUUCCUUCUCGAGGGUCCCCAAAGGAAUAUAUGAACCAUAAGAAUGGAGAUAGGGGUCUUGGUUCCUCUAAGAAUGGAUAUACCUAGGAUUGCAAAGUUUGUUUUAGGGUGGGCGAGUACCUCCAAUUACUUAUCAAGGGUCCCAAAGGAAUAUAUACACCAUAAUAAGUAUGAUAAUGGUUCUAGUUCUCCUAAGCAUGAUUUACCUAUUUUUUUAAGGAUGCACCUAUUUUUUUUAUGAAAUUAAUAUAAAAGGUUAAAUACAAUUUUUUAUGAAAAAUAUAUUUUCUUUUAUAUUUUAUUUUAAUUAAAAAUUAAAGAUUUUAACCAAACAAAAAGUUAGAUCUACAAUCAAAUUAAAAUCAUAAGAAAAAUGAUAAAAGCAUCAUCACUUAUUGUGAUUUUGAUAUGAUAAAUUUAAAAUGAAAAUUAAAAGAAAAAUAGUGUAAAUAAUAAAAUAGUAUUACAAAGAUAUUUUUAUUUUUACAUGUGAUAGAAUUUACAAAAUAAAUAAAUCUUUUGUUGAGUAUUAAUAUAAAAAAUCUUAUAUCAUAAACUUCUAAAUAAUAAAAUAGAAUUUUUAAAUUUAAACCUUAAUUUAUCAAAUGUAUUAUUAUAAUUAAUAUUUAAAAUCAUCAAGUAUAUUAUUUGUGUGAUAAUAUUUUCAUUUUUGUCCAUUAUAUAUUUUUGUUUUUAUUUAAUUUGUUAUAUUAAUUAUUUAUUAUAUAUUAUCAUUUUAAGUUUAAUAUGUCAAAAAAAUAAUUAAAAUCAAUAAAUAUGAAGAAAUUAGAGAGUAAAGAAAAAUUAAAAUUAAAGAAGUUUUAUGAGAAAAUACAUGAGCAUAUUAAAAAGAAUAUAAAAUAAAAAGAGAAAAAUAAUAAUAAAAACUAUAAUAGGUGGCAAUAGAUUAUGGUGGGAAGAGAGGAAAAAAAGAGAAAAAAAAAAAAAGGAAAAAAGUGGGAAUGUGAUCAGAUAAGCUAGAUAUAUUAAUGGGAGAGAAAUAAUAAAAAUAAAUGACACAUGUAUUUAUCGUGGUAUUAAAUGAAUAGAUAAUAUUUUUUUCCUAUUUUACACAAAAUGUCAAAAGGAAAAAGUAAAGUUAUAAAAUCUCAUUGUAGACCCCUUCUUGCAAGACCAAGGUGUUAUUUUUAUUUUAUUUAGCUGCCACCACCCGAGGAAGGGGGUUUUUCUUUUUUUUGGUAGGAUGGGGGGACCCCUUUUCUGAAAGGAGAGCAGCUUCAUAGACACGGCGAGAGACGUGGGCGGCUUGCUGAGGUGAGGAACAGUAGGGCAAGUAGUGGCUUGCCAAAGAAGAUAGAAAAAAGGGGAAAAAUGGGGAAAAAGUGGCAGGCGGGUUCUGGGAGGAGAAAAAGAAAAAGGAGAUCCGGAAAGAAUCUGAGGAGAAAGCAAGCCGUUUUACCCUCACUUGAGGACUCAGGUAUGACCAUUAUGAGCGUUCUUACUUUAUAUCAUUUGGUUUUCCUCUCUUCACAUCGUUGAUCUUAGGCAGGGUUUGAUGGUUUUUGUUAUCAUAUUCAUUCUAUUAUUUUCUUUCUCUGUUUUCUCUGUUUUCCCUCAAAUGGCUGGGAUAUAGUUUACUUUCUUUGAGUUUGAUGUUCAAUUAAAUAUAUAAUAGCUUACUGCUCAUCCCACCAGUGGGCACUUCGUUUGUUGCUCAUGAAACGAGGUCUUGCUUGAUGAUUUCUUGAUUUCUUACUCUGUUUUAUCUAUUUUCAUCCCCCAUGCUUUUGGGCUCACGUGUGUUUAAUUGUGAAAAUUCCUUGGGCCGUGCAUCACCCUUCGUUGGACUGUGUUUCACCCUCUGAGGAAGCUUCGGCUGCCCCUAAUCUAGAAGCUGUUGAUAAUUCUGGAUACACAUUCGAGCCUCAACGAGGGUAAGGUUGUUGCCUACCCAUCAGAUAUGAGAUACUGUCACUUCAAGAACCGGGUUUGGAUGUUCAGCUGAGAGUGUCAACAGAGGAGAGGAGGCUAACAAUCUGCGUGGGGUUGUUGAUGCUUUUCACUUAAAGCACAGGGAAUAUGCUGAUGGGAUGACACAAAAAUUGGUAGUUGCAUGGAAUGUGAUGAUUCCGGGAAGAUGCCGGAGAUGAUUUUUUUUAUGCAGGCUGUGAUGAAUACCGGGACUGGCGCUAAACGGCUUCGGUGAAGAGGGUCUGAAACUAUCCUAUUGUACAGAGCCAGAGGAUUUUGAGCCAUGUGAUUACGCAUUUGCAGGGGUAAUUAUUGCUCGUGUUUGGUUGGCAGCGUUGAUACGUGGAUGGCAGCUCCAUGCUCAGCUUGUCCAGCCAUGUUUUGAUUCCAUCUUUCCAGCGGGGAAUGCGCUGAUCGUAAUGCAUGCAAGAUGUGGUGUGGUUGAGGCAGCCUAACAAAGUCUUAUUUGGGUCCGGUACCCUAGAACACCAUGAUUGCAGCUUGGGCCAACACGGGCAUGCCACGCUGAUUUAGUUGAAGGGGGACUUGGCCACUUUGAAUCCAUGUCAGGCCUUUAUUGUAUAUGCCCAGGCCCACCCAUUUGAGAGACACUUCUUGCUGGUUGUAGGACUCAUGAGAACAUGAACUGGGGUAUUCCCCAUACGCAUGCAGUGCAUGCAUGUAUAGCUACAUGAAACACUCCACAGCCCGUCCACUUAAGAGUCUCCAUGCCCACAUCAUCUUUCAUGACUCACACUGUUACCACCCCAACCCAUUCAACACCAUGCUCCAUUCAUCUUCAUUAACCCAUCUCUCACUAACUCACCCGUUACGUACCCUCCAUACCCAUUUGGUCACCAUCUUUAGCUCAUGCCUCUCAUACUCACCACGUACCCACCGCCCAUCUCCAUACCCAUCUUUCAUGCAUCCAUGUAAACUCACCACGUUUAUAUAUUCAGCCCUACAUACAUGGUCAUCUCCCAUAGUGCCCUUGUAAACACUCAUCUUCAUACCCAUUUUGUAACCACACCCAUCUCUUGUUCCAUAGACUCACCAAGCCCAUUUUCUUUCACUUUCACUCACCACCUAUUCAUCAUCCGUCCACCUCUCAUCCAAACCCAUUUUCUUAUCACCUUUCUCAUGCUCAUGCUUGCCACCACCUUUCCUCUCUCUACGUUCCCUAUUGCCCAUUUCUCUUUCUAACUCUCCACUCUUCAAACCGUUUCCUCAUCACUCUUUCACCCUCACCACCCAUCAGAAACACCAUCCUCUCAUUCCCAUAAUCUAUUUCACGUGCAUGGAGUCCCAUGCGUGCGGCCACCCCAAGCACCCUCCACGUUUGCUUAACCCAUCUCCUCAUACCCGUCUUCUUUUGAUACCCAUUCUCCAUACAUGCAUGGCUGCCCAAGCCCCCCUCUCCAAAGCUACUUCUAUGACCCCUCAUCUUCUCACUCAGAGUCUCUGUUUCUCGGAUCUAAGCCACGGCCAGUGCGAGAGAGGGAUACACACCGUUGAAGAAAUGGUGAUUUACAUCAUGUGAGCAUCGGGUUUAGAGCUGAAUUUCAUGAAAUGGAGGAAGUUAAUUUCAGCGGUUUGGAGUUAGUAUACCAUGUCAGGCACACCUUUGGAUCAGUCUUCUUGGAUGAUAGUGACAGUCAUGAUCAGCUGAUUGGGGUACUGCACCAUGAGGGACGCCUUUAUCCCUAACGAGGUGGGGCUGUUAGUGACUAGUUCAAAGGCACUAUUUGGAGCAGUUUCUGUGCUCGAUUUGAGGAGGUUGCUGUGGUCGGCAAGCUGUCGGAGCAUGAUGACCCUGAUCUUGGAUAUGAGGCGGCCAAAGGUGAAUGUGUUGAUACGGACAAAAGAUGGAUGAAGGGAAACCCUCAUCCCGGAAAUCGUUACGGGUGCACUCCUGCUGGAUGCCCUGUUCAUAAGUAUAUUGAGACGGCCAUAGAUGGCUCCAAUGCUGUCAUAAUAACCUACAAAGGGACACAUGACUAUGCCAUGCAUGAACAAAGAGAAAGCGACAUGGCCCAUCGAGUGCUCCUCUCGUCGCGGCUGCCGCUGCCUGGCUCCACAGAAUCAUGGGUGCGCCUCUUGCUCGGGUGAGGAAGUAUAGGUUCAUUGUGGUCCUUGGUUGGUAAGUGACAAAGCAUUGAAAGCGGCUGAUUGCAAGAGCGACGGGGAACGUUCCCAAUCCUCGUUCUCAUCCCAGCUGGAGAUCAGCCAUGGCCACUGAGUCCGUCGAAGGACCUCUUGCUGUCUUCACUCCGCGCAAUCCCUUUCGUUUUCUUCCCCGAGUUCCCUCCGAGACUCUCUCUCACACUUGAUCCGCUCAAGCACUGCGCUGAAGCUCUCAAGUUCUUCAAAGAUAAGCUCCAGACGCCUGAGAAGACCCGCUAGGGGUUCGUUUUCUUGCAGGUCAACAGGAUGGGACUAUCCGAAAUGAUGAGAAACUACACUGUGGCUCUCGACAGUGUCAAUUUAAGAAAAUACUGCUGCUGAUGUUGCUCUGAGGCUUGUAAGGCCAAGAAGAAAGAACAAGGAUGUAACAUAGGCAAUUCGGAGGGUUGCUGCUGCAUAUGCCUGCCAAAUUGUCGAAGGUAUACUCAGCCACCAGCCAAAGCAGUUUGUGAUAGAUGGGAACAAAGUCGUACUGAGUGUUCCCUGUCCGGAGACCAGAGUUGAGGAAGCUGUGAACUCUGAGACUUUAUUUCAGAUCCAGUCUCAGGUACAAGAAAACCUAGGGUCUCGGCCUGCCGAGAUAAAUGAGAUAUGGCAGCCUAGUAUAUUUGAUUCAUGGAGAGCCAGUCAACGUUAGUAUGAGAAUUGGUGAUGGCCGGCAAGAGAUCCUUGAGAGAAGUUUCUAUUCCAGGUGGAGGGGUCCCUGUUGAUGAUGAGACAAUCUUCUUUGCCGCUUUGGUGUGUCAGCCUACUGCCCACCUCAAAAAGCUUGUGGAUCAAGAUCCUAUGAGGCUAUGGUAUAUCCUCCUGAAGCUGCCAUAAAAAGCCCAGGCCCAUUUCUAGCAUGGCAUGCAUGGCCACCUUUGAUCCAGGUGCCAUUUCCCAUUUUGCCAUCUUUAACUUUUUAAAAUAAUUUUCCAAGUCCUUUUCUUCAAAUAAAUUUCCGGGUUUUAGUCUUUAAAUAAUUCCAGCUCCAUGUUUUUCUUCAUCCUUAGAAUUUUUAGGUUCCAAAAAUCUAUUUUCCAAUAAAAUUUGCCACAAUUUUCUUCUUGGCGAGUCUCAUUUUCACAUUUUCCGUGAUUUCUAAAAUGUUUUUAAAAUAAGCAAGGAUCAAAUUUUGUAAUUCCUAAUUAUGGAAUUUACGGAUUUGGCUCAUGCAAAAUAAAUAGGCUUUGGUGGGGGGCCCCACAUAUAUGUUUCUGAUGAUUGAUUGGUUGAUUGUUCGAUUUGAUUAUCAUACAUGUUUGAUUUAUCCUGCUCUUUGACGUACAUGCCAUUAUUCUCUAAUUGUGUACUAACCAUCUUUCUUGAUAAUGCAUUGAUCGUUUGACGCCAAGGUAUGCCCUUUUCUCACUCUAGUCACUCUAUAUAUAUGUAUUGAUUCUCACACCUGCAUGAUCAUUUUGAGUAUUCAUUGAUUUACUCGUCAAUUGCCGCGUCAGCUUCAUUUUAUUAGUAGAGGCCCGACUUUAGGGACUUAGAGGGGUGUUAUGGUCUUUUACCGUACCUUCCCGAUAAGUAACCUGACCCUCGAACCCGAUUCGGUUUUUCACAGAUCACCUUUUCCAAAAUAAGGAGUCGCACUUAGGGUUUUCUUUCUUAUUUUAUUUACCCUUUAAAAAUAAUACAAAAAUAAGUGGCAACUCCAAGUCAUUUUCUAAAUCAAUAAAAAUCAUUUUUCAAAUUAAAAUUGAGCUCGCCAUCGAGUGGGAAACGCAUGAGCCAAAAUGCAGGGUCCACACUCAUAUUUUUUUAAAUUAGUGUAUGAUUACAUGAUUUCCCAAAAAAGAAUAUCAGUGUACACAGAAUCCCGAAGAAUUGGACACAAGUAGAAUUGAAAUUGAAUGUGAAUCGAGUGUGAAAGGACAACUUGUAAGAAGACAUUUCUCAGACUUUUCUCAAUAGUACGGUAAUUUAAAAAAAUUAUUCUUAAAUUAUUGUAGUAGAAGAAGUUAUUACAAAUAUAUGAUAGUUUUUGCCACUUAGGAGAGAGGGUGAACGGAUAAAUUUUUUUUUAAACCAAAAUCGUCUUUUCAAAAGACGAUUUUAUUUCCAUUUAAAAAAAAAAAUUCAAAAGGGAAAUCGUCUCUUGAAGAGACGAUUUCCCAUUAAAAAAAAUUAAUAUUUUUUUUAAUAUUUAUUACAAAUUAUUAAAAAAAAAAAAACCCAAGGGAAAUUGUCUUUUGAAGAGACGAGUUCCCAUGAAAAAAAAUAAUAUUUUUUUUAAAAAAAAUCCCGAAUUAAAAAAAAAAUCCUCAAGGGAAUUCCCAUAAAAAUUUAAUAUUUUUUUUUUAAAAAAAUUCCAAAUUAUAAAUAAAAAAUUAAAAUAAAAAAUCCUCAAGAGAACUCAUCUCUUUAAGAGAUGAGUUUCCAUGAAAAAAAAAAUAUUUUUUUUACAAAAAAAUUCCCAAAUUAAAAAAAAAAAAAAAAAAAUCCUCAAGGAAACUCGUCUCUUGAGAGACGAGUUCCCAUGGAAAAAUAUAUAUAUAUAUAUAUAUAUAUAUAUUUAAAAUUCCCAAAUUAAAAAAAAAAAAAAAUUCCUCAAGGAAACUUGUCUCUUCAAGAGACGAGUUCCCAUGAAAAAUAUAUAUAUAUAUAUAUAUAUAUAUAUAUAUAUAUAUAUAUAUAUAUAUAUAUAUAUUUUUUUUUAAAAUCCCAAAUUUUAAAAAAAAAAUUCCUUAAAGGAACUCGUCUCUUUUUUUAAAAAAAAAAUCCCAAAUUAUAAAAAAAAAAAGAAAAAAAAAAUCCUCAAGGGAACUCGUCUCUUCAAGAGAUGAGUUCCCAUGAAAAAAAAUCUCAAAUUAUAUAAAAAAUAAAAUAAAAUAAAAAAUCCUCAAGGGAACUCAUCUCUUCAAGAGACAAGUUCCCAUGAAAAAAAAUUAAUAUUUUUUUUUUUAAAAAAAAUCCCAAAUUAUAAAAUUAAAAAAAAAAAAUCCUCAAGGGAACUCGUCUCUUGAGACGAGUUCCCAUGAAAAAAAAUAAUAUUUUUUUUUAAAAAAAAUCCCAAAUAAAAAAAUAAAAUAAAAAAUCCUUAAGGGAACUCAUCUCUUAAAGAGACGAGUUCCCAUGAAAAAAAAUUAAUAUUUUUUUUAAAAAAAAAUCCCAAAUAUAAAAAUUAAAAAAAAUCCUCAAGGGAACUCGUCUCUUCAAGAGACAAUUUCCCAUUAAAAAAAAUUAAUAUUUUUUUUUAAAAAAAUCCCAAAUUAAAAAAAAAAAAUCCAAAGGGGAAAUCGUCUCUUCAAGAGACGAUUUCCCAUUAAAAAAAAAUAAUAUUUUUUAAAAAAAAUCCCAAAUUAUAAAAUAAAUAAAUAAAUAAAUAAUUCCAAAAGGAGAAAUUGAAAAACUUUUAGAAUAUUGUAAACAAGAAAUUGAUUCAUUAUUAAAUACAAAAUGCUGUUGAGAUAGAAAAAGGAGCACCAAGAUUAGUCAUUAAUUAUAAACCUUUAAAUAAAGUAUUACAAUGGAUAAGAUACCCUAUUCCUAGUAAGCAAGAUCUACUCAAAAGAAUACAUAAUUCUGUAAUUUAUUCAAAAUUUGAUAUGAAAUCUGAAUUUUGGCAAGUUCAAAUUAAAGAAGAAGAUAGGUACAAAACUACUUUUACUAUCCCUUUCGGUCAUGAUGAAUGAAAUGUCAUGCCUUUUGGUCUCAAAAAUGCCCCUUCUGAAUUUCACAAUAUUAUGAAUGAUAUUUUCAAUCCUCAUUUUCAAUUUAUAAUUGUAUACAUUGAUGAUGUCUUAGUAUUUUUUGAUUUAUUAGAAAAACAUUUUGUUCAUCUAAAAAAGUUUUUCAAUGUCAUUAAAGCAGAUUUUUAGAACAUGAAAUUUUUUAAGGAAAAACAAAACCGAUUCAAAGGUCAAUAGAAUUUGCUGACAAAUUUCCUAAUGAAAUAAAAGAUAAAAAACAAUAGGUUGUUUAAAUUAUGUUUCUGAUUACUUCAAAGAUUUGAGAAUCAUUUGUAAACCCUUAUACAAAAGACUUAGAAAAAAUGCACCUGCAUGGACUGAGCAUCAAAAGUCAUGAAUAGUAGUGAAUAGUAGAAUUUGUCUACUUUCUACUACUUUGCAAUCAACGUGGAGGAUGGGAAAGUAAAGUGAAUUUUUCUCUUUUCAAGUCUCUGACAAGGAAAAGAAAUUCUCCCUCUCCAGACUUCAUUACCCAACUGUCUCUACACGUGAUGAAUUUCAAAAAUUUUCAAGAUUGAAGAUUCAAUAGAAUUUCAAGUCUGAAUCAUCGCCUAUAAAUAGAGCCUCAACAUUCUUCAUCAAGCAGAGUCGGGAAGAGAGCUUCAAGAGCAGAAAAAAUUUAGAGAGUGCAAAAUUUUGAGCGUUCAAAAAUUUUUCCCUUUGGAAUUUUUUUUAUUUUUUUAUUUUAUAAUUUGGGAUUUUUAAAAAAAAAAUAUUAAUUUUUUUUCAUGGGAACUCGUCUCUUCAAGAGAUGAGUUCCCUUGAGGAUAUAUAUAUAUAUAUAUAUAUAUAUAUAUAUAUAUAUAUAUUUUAUAUUUGGGAUUUUUUUUAAAAAUAUAUUAAUUUUGUUUCAUUUGGGAUUUUUUUUUUAAAAAAAUAUUAAUUUUUUUUUCAUGGCCCUUGAGGAUUUUUUUUUAUUUGGGAUUUUUUAUAAAAAAAAUAUUAUUAUUUUUUCAUGGGAACCUUGAGGAAUUUUUUUUUAAUUUGAGAUUUUUUUAAAAAAAAUACUAAAUUUUUUUUUAUGGGAACUCGUCUCUUCAAGAGACGAAUUCCUUGAGGAUUUUUAUUUAUUUAUUUUUUUAUACUUGGGAUUUUUUUUUCAUGGGAACUCGUCUCUUCAAGAGACGAGUUCCCUUGAGGAUUUUUUUUUUUUUUUUUAAUUUGGGAUUUUUUUUUAAUAUUAAUUUUUUUUUCAUGGGAACUUGUCUCUUGAAAAGACGAGUUCCUUGAGGUUUUUUUUUUUUUUUUUUACAAUUUGGAUUUUUUUUUUAAAAAAUAUUAAAUUUUUUAAUGGGAAAUCGUAUCUUCGUAGGGAUUUUUUUUUUAAUUUGGGAUUUUUUAGAAAAAAAAAUAUUAAAUUUUUUUAAUGGGAAAUCGUCUCUUGAAGAGACGAUUUCCCUUUUGAAAUUUUUUUUUUUAAAUGGAAAUAAAAUCGUCUUUUCAAAAGACGAUUUUGGUUUUUGAAAAGACGAUUUUGGUUUUUGAAAAUACGAUUUUGGUUUAAAAAAAAAUUUAUCCAUUCACCCUCUCUCCUAGGUGGUAAAAACUACCAUAUAUUUGUAAUAACUUUUUCUACUACAGUAAUUUAAGAAUAAUUUUUUUAAUUUAUCGUACUAUUGAGAAAAGUCCGACAUUUCUGGUUCUCAUUCAAAGUAAUGAAUUCCAUGUCGGUAGGCGUUCUGUUAUGCGUUCCUUGUUUUCUUUCUCUUUCACAAGGACUUGAUUAGGAAGACUUGAAGUCAAACCGAGCCUCAUUGAUCUUCCAACUACGUACCAAAUAUAUAUCUAUUAGUUGAUCUUCCAUUUAAGAUUAAUAGAUGGAAACCAAAAAGUCAGGCGUAUUGUUUGAGCCGCAGAAAAGUCGGCAAUGAAGACCUCUUUUCCGUCGUCGUGGAAAGAUAGGCACGAAUUAAUGAAGUGAACGGGCCAUUGUUGUGUCAAAUCAUAAUUGGUUCCUAAAGGAAAAUUCUGACAAAAUCGUAAGAGUAAAAAAUGUAAGAAAAUGAUAAAUUGUCAUGUGACUUGAAAUGGAGUAGAUAGGGGGAAACAAGGAAGGAAAAAACAUAAAAGAAAUACAUAUUAAACAUGAUCUAUAACUAGAUCAUUCUUUUUUCUUCCUGUUUAAUUUAUCCCAAUCUACAUAUUAAACAUGCUUUGUUGUAGCAGUACUUCCUAGCUGCUUCCAAUGAGAAUUGCACUCUUUUCAUGGCUUUAUUUCUUGCCCUUAUGCUCAAUCGUUUUUGGUAUCCAUGUUGCUUUGGUGUCCGGGGAAUGUCUGAGUGAUGGGAGCAUAUGCCUGGAGGAUCAGAUGUCCUUGUUGCUGCAACUGAAGAACACCCUCAAAUUCAAUGUUGCUGCAUCAAGUAAACUAGUUUCCUGGAAUCCAAGCAUGGAUUGCUGUUCUUGGGGAGGUGUAACCUGGGAUGCCACUGGUCAUGUUGUCGCUCUCGAUCUCAGUAGCCAAUCAAUUUAUGGUGGAUUCAAUAACACCAGUAGCAUUUUCAGUCUACAAUAUCUGCAGAGCUUGAAUUUGGCUGACAACUCCUUCAACUCUUCUCAAAUUCCAUCUGGAUUCGGUAAGCUUGGCAAUUUGAUGUACCUGAAUUUGUCUAAUGCUGGGUUUUCUGGGCAGAUUCCAAUUGAGGUCUCAUGUUUGACGAAAUUGGUUACUAUUGAUUUCUCUGUGUUUUACCUUGGAGUUCCUACGCUGAAACUUGAGAACCCAAAUCUGAGAAUGCUGGUUCAGAACCUGACAGAGCUUAGAGAACUCUAUCUUAAUGGUGUAAACAUAUCGGCACAAGGGAAGGAAUGGUGCCAGGCAUUAUCAUCUUCAGUGCCUAAUCUCCAAGUGCUGAGCUUGCCAAGCUGUUAUCUUUCUGGGCCUCUCGAUUCUUCUCUGCAGAAGCUUCGGUCUCUUUCAAGUAUUCGCCUGGACGGUAACAACUUCUCUGCUCCUGUUCCAGAAUUCCUAGCCAAUUUCUCGAAUUUGACUCAAUUGCGGCUCAGUUCUUGUGGAUUAAAUGGAACAUUUCCAGAAAAGAUCUUUCAGGUACCAACCCUUCAGAUUCUUGAUUUGUCAAACAACAAGUUGCUCCUGGGUUCUUUGCCGGAAUUCCCUCAGAAUGGAUCUCUAGAAACCUUGGUACUCCCGGAUACAAAAUUUUCAGGGAAAGUACCAAACUCCAUAGGCAAUCUCAAGAGGUUGACUAGGAUAGAGCUUGCACGUUGCAAUUUCAGUGGGCCAAUCCCAAACUCCACGGCCAACCUUGCUCAAUUAGUUUACUUGGACUUGUCUGAAAACAAGUUUUCCGGUCCAAUCCCACCUUUUAGUUUGUCCAAGAACCUGACCCGAAUAAACCUUUCUCAUAAUUAUUUAACAGGUCCGAUUCCUUCCUCUCACUUGGAUGGCCUUGUGAAUCUAGUGAUUCUUGACUUGCGUGACAAUUCACUGAAUGGAAGUCUCCCCAUGCCCCUGUUUUCCCUCCCAUCACUGCAGAAGAUACAACUGAGCAACAACCAAUUUUCUGGUCCCUUGAGUAAAUUUUCGGUUGUGCCUUCUGUAUUGGACACCCUUGAUUUGAGUAGCAACAAUCUGGAAGGGCAAAUACCUGUAUCCAUCUUUGAUCUCCAGUGUCUUAACAUCCUUGAUCUUUCUUCCAACAAAUUCAAUGGCACUGUUUUACUAAGCAGCUUUCAGAAACUUGGAAAUCUUACCACUCUUAGUCUGUCAUACAACAACUUGUCCAUCAAUUCAAGUGUUGGUAAUCCCACUUUGCCCCUGCUGUUGAAUCUUACCACAUUAAAAUUGGCUUCUUGCAAGCUCAGAACAUUACCUGAUCUUAGCACCCAGUCAAGAUUGACAUAUUUAGACCUUUCCGAUAACCAAAUUUGUGGGAACAUACCCAAUUGGAUUUGGAAGAUUGGUAAUUGCUCUCUUGCCCAUUUGAAUCUCUCCCAUAAUUUACUGGAGGAUCUGCAAGAACCUCUCUCUAAUUUUACUCCUUAUCUGUCUAUCCUUGACCUACAUUCCAACCAGCUCCAUGGCCAAAUCCCCACUCCUCCCCAAUUUUGCAGCUAUGUGGAUUACUCAGACAACAGGUUCACCUCUUCCAUCCCAGAUGGUAUUGGUGUUUACAUUUCCUUCACUAUUUUCUUCUCUCUUUCGAAGAAUAACAUCACUGGAAGUAUUCCUAGAUCCAUCUGCAAUGCAACUUACCUGCAAGUUCUUGACUUCUCUGACAACCAUUUGAGUGGCAAAAUACCUUCAUGUUUAAUUGAGUAUGGGACUCUUGGGGUGCUGAAUCUACGGAGAAACAAUUUUAGUGGUGCUAUACCUGGGAAAUUUCCAGUCAACUGUCUUUUACAGACUCUUGAUCUCAGUAGGAAUCAUAUAGAAGGAAAAAUUCCCGGGUCUCUGGCGAACUGCACAGCAUUAGAGGUUUUAAACCUUGGGAACAAUCAGAUGAAUGGUACCUUUCCUUGCUUGUUGAAGAACAUAACCACUUUGCGAGUCCUUGUUCUGCGAGGCAACAACUUUCAAGGAUCCAUUGGAUGUUGCAAGAGCAAUUCGACCUGGGCAAUGCUUCAGAUUGUUGACCUAGCUUUCAACAAUUUCAGUGGUAAAUUGCCAGCAACAUGCUUCUCGACCUGGACAGCAAUGAUGGCUGGUGAAAAUGAAGUCCAAUCCAAGCUCAAACACCUGCAAUUUAGGGUUCUACAAUUCAGUCAAUUGUACUAUCAGGAUGCUGUAACAGUUACCAGCAAAGGUCUAGAAAUGGAGUUGGUGAAGGUCCUAACUCUCUACACCUCUAUUGACUUGUCGUGCAACAAUUUUCAAGGGGACAUACCAGAAGUGAUGGGGAACUUCACAUCGCUCUAUGUUCUCAACUUAUCGCAUAAUGGUUUCACAGGCCAUAUCCCAUCGUCAAUAGGGAAUCUGCGACAACUUGAGUCAUUAGACCUCUCGCAAAACAGGCUGAGUGGAGAGAUACCCACACAGCUUGCGAACCUAAAUUUCCUUUCAGUCCUGAACCUCUCAUUCAAUCAAUUGGUGGGAAGGAUCCCACCAGGUAAUCAAAUGCAAACAUUUUCAGAAACUUCUUAUGAAGGGAAUAAAGAACUGUGUGGGUGGCCUCUGGAUCUAAGUUGCACUGAUCCACCACCAGAAUUUGAUGACAGGCACUCAGGUUCCAGGAUGGAGAUUAAGUGGGAAUACAUAGCUCCUGAAAUUGGAUUUGUGACAGGAUUGGGAAUCGUGAUUUGGCCUCUAGUGUUGUGCAGGAGAUGGAGGAAAUGCUACUACAAACAUGUUGAUAGAAUUCUUUCAAGGAUUCUCCAAGGAAGAGCAAGUGGUGGAAGAAGAGCUCACAGAAUUCGCCUCCGGAGGCGGAGAAUGUAGCCGUGGUGCAGAGGGAUGAAGUGAUUAGUCAAGAGUCCAUUUCCAUUAAUCCAAUCCUAUGUUUCAUUGAAGGAAUAUUAAAAAGGGGUCAUAUUAUUGGAUGGGCCUUCAGUCCGUGUGUCAAAUGUAAUUCUGGCUUGCUUCUUAUAAAUUUAAUCGAAUGCAUAAUUUUAUAUUUGGACAAUGUCAUGGUGAAGUAGAUUUUCAAAGUAACAUUAUUCUUACCUUUUAGUGAUGCGAGUAUCAAUGUGCUUCUCUAAAAUAUUAUACUAAUAAAGAAUUUAAGUUGUAAAACCACUUCAUGAAAGCUUUUCUACAAAAGCAUCAAAUCUUAAAUUUGGCCAAAAAACUUUUUAACCUUCAUAUGUUUAGUCAAUAAAAGCCCUUUUGACCAAUGUAAGGAUUUUUAAAUAUUAAAAAAUUUAGCCAAGUAAAAAAUAUAACAUGUUAAAUUUAAGAAAUUUGGAAACUCUUCUUCUUCAGGGAAGGAAUUCAAGCUGAGCAGGAGAUGGUCUAGGAUAUGUUGGCUGGAUGUGGGCCAGAGUUGGGUUAAACUUGGUUGGCUGGAUUUCGGUCAUUAAUGAAAUAUGGGCCUGAUUGGCACAAACGAAGAGCAGCUGAGGUAGCUAGGACCAUAUUCAGCCCAAUCAACACAUCUCAAGCCAUAAGGGAUAUAACAUUGAUAAGCAAGUAACUAUCAUACUAGGUAGUAAGGUGGCUGCCCAUCUACUUAUAAAAGUUUCAUCCUCUUACAGGCUUUCACAUUAAAUUUGGAAAUGAUUCUCACUUUAUUUUAUUUUUUACCACAUUUUUUUAUUAUCUUGUUAAUUUAUGGGAAGAAAAAAAUUUAUCAAUUUUUUUUAUAGUCCAUUGUUCCAAUGAAAUGAUUAAACAAUGAUAAGAGUAUGAGAUUUUCAAAAGUAGAAGGUCAAUCGAUAUAACUUGUAAAUUUUUAGAUUUUAAUGGAAUUUGAAAACUACUAAUAUUAUCAUGCAAGUGAAAUAACAACAUGAACUUGAAAAAUUAAUCCCAAAACCAUCUCUAAAAUUAUCAAUAUCCUGGCCCAACUUCACAUUCAACUUGAAUAUCUCUAAACAAGUUCAAUCCUUUCUGUUUUUCAAUUUUCUUUCACUUUUUUUUUCUUUCUAGAAUUAGACUCUUUAUGGGUACCACGAAAAAGAUUACUAGCUAGGAAUGUAAAGCAUGGUUUUUAAGAAUGAUAAGUGCUCAUAUAUAUUUUGAAUCAAAUUUAAGAGAAAGUUCCUUACAAUGAAUUGAUUUUCACUUAACUACUCAUAUUUCUAGUAUGAUACAAGGAAUCCAUAUAAUCCAAAUCAUAAAUCCAAAUAAGAACUUUAUGUCUAUGGGAAAUCUAAUCAAAGGUCUAAUUGAAGCCAUCUAAAUUUAUCAUUUGAUAUUUAAGCUCUAAUUGAAUCCAUUAGAAUUGUUAUUUGAAUUUUAGACAUAUUAGACAUCAUUUAGACUUCUUUUAGAUAAUUCGUAUAUCUUGUUUUCCAGGAAAUUUGAUUUCUUUGUCCAAACUUGAUGUUUUUGAACAUAAUUUCAAAUUUAAUUAGAAACAAAUGUCUCAAUUUUUUUUCAAAUAAUCAUCUUUUCCAUUCUAAUAUCUUACAUGAUGAUUUGUAGAAGUUGAAACUCGAUGACCUUUUUACCAAGAUCCUUGUUACCUUGCACUAUAAUGUUUAGUAGAUAAGCUUUUAGUUUUCUAGUGACAUAAAUGUUGGAGAUUAGUAGAGAAUGAAAAUCUUCCAAACUUAGAUUUUAUUGAUACUCAAUGUGUAUGUGGAUUGCAUUAGAGUAAAACCAACCAAACACACUAAGAAAUAAGCUACUAGGAAAAAAAUAAUAAAAAUUAUAUUAGAAAAAAAAAUCCAUAUGCAUUCGUAUAUAACGGAGCUUACAACCAAUCUACAAAGAUAAAUAAAAUAUUCGUAUACAAACGGAUUUUUCACUAGCCGUUGGAGGAUUUAAUGCUUGGCAGGUGAUCGUUAUCCUCUACCGGACAUCGAUCAAGAAGGCAAAUACCUCGACCAGGAAGGAAAGGCUACUAGAAGAGAGAGAGAGAGAGAGAGUGUUUUUUGCUCAUCUCAACUAGAUCUCAAUCAAGAAGGAGUAACCGGUCAACCAGUACCCUGGUCGGUUGAGCCGGUUUGGCUAGUGUCUCGACUGGUUCACCAUUUUUGGCCCAAAAACCUAUAUUUUCUUUGUUAUUUUCUCUUCUAACACUUAGGUAAGGUAUUUAGGCAAAUUAAUUUGCCAAUUUUGAAAUGAUUUGCCUAAGGUUCAUUUGAUAAAACUCGGGUUUUGAUGGAAAUGUAACUUUAAAGCAUAAACUAAGUUUUUCAAAUAUGCAUGAAAUGAUACGUAAAUCCUAAGUGCACCCAUGCAUUCAUCUUACAUAUGUUUCCUAUGAUUAAAGGUCUUCCAAAAGUCUUAAUCUUGCAUCCAUUAGGUCAUUUGAUGAAUUUCCAAACUGACAUCUGAAAUUGUUUAUAAUUCAAACCAAUUAGUAACUUAACCAUGAUUUGUUAUUAUCAAAAUAUGAUUAGGAGAACCCUUGGGCUAACAAUCUCCCCUUUUUUUAUGAUGACAAACCUUGGUUAUCUAAGAGAAGAAGAAUCUCCUCCUCAAACCAAUCAUGGAUCAACAAUCAAAAUUUACGAAGUUAAAACCAAGAUAAUCAAGACAUACUAGAGAGAAUUUGCAAUAAGAAACAAUGUAAGUGAUCAAACAUAUAAGAAUAUCAUAUAUAAGUCAAUGUAUCAAUAUCCAGUAUAUACGAUCCAAGUGAUAUGAAAAUGAUAUGCAUGUAAGUCUUCUAUAGUCUCAUAGAUCCUAAAAUAUCUCCCCCUUUUGGCAACAUAAAAAAGGAACAAAUAGGGUCUCGAAGGAAUCAAGGAUGAGGAAGUGGAGGUGGAAACACAGAGCGUAGAUAAGCCAUCAUAUUCUCAUGUUGACUCUCCAAACGAUCCUUAAUACGCUCAAUCCCCUGUUGGAGAUACUCAAACUGUGAAGUGAAGCCAGUCUGAUACUGAUCCAUGCAAUCCUCCAUGGAGUAGAACCGUGUGUCACUGACUAUAGCAAGCUCCUCCAUAUGAGUGCUUAGAGAGCUAAUCUAAGCAGAUAAAUCCAUCCAUGGAGCAUGGUCAGGAGCGAGAGGUGUUUGAGCAAGUGGUAUCUCAAAAUGUGUAGCCUUAGUGAAUGCAAGUUCAGAGGAAGACUCAGUGAAUGAUGACUGAGUAGAUGGACCCGCUAUAAAAGUUGGCUCAAACAUCAUCGGCUCAGAGAAGGUAGUCUCAAACUGAACACCCAUUGACUAGAGUGGAGAAAUGUCAAGCUCGGGCUCUCUUUGUUGAUAGCCACUCUAAGGGUUUACUUCACACUCCAUCUUUUUAAUCUCUACCUCCUCCUUAACUCUGGGAUGUGCCUGUCCCUAUCCCCGAGCCUAUGUCGGUGCUCUCUUUGCUUUCCUGACCUAAGAACCAUUUGGGGCUUUCUCAAAUUUCAUCUUCCCCAUGGACUGAUCAUCAUACGUAUCAUAAGCGUUGGUGGCCUCAAAGUUUGUCUCUCUGCUCAAGUCAACGCCGACAUCCUUGCACAUUCUAGUAAGGAAGCGACCAUAGGGGAGUACGCGAGUCGUGCUCUCGCAACAUGAGAUCAAGUUCAUCAUCAUCAAGUACCCUAAGUGGAUCCGUCUUCCAGUCAAAAUAGAGUCAAUAAGGAAUGCCUCAUAAUAAGAGACCUCGUCUCGGUGUCCACCCUGUGCAUAUGAUGUAGCACUCUACUGAUGACCAUCAGGUUGUGUGCUGAGGGUUUGUCCAUCCCGUGGGCAUCUACAAGUUCACAAAUCCUCUUAAUGGCCUCUCUAGGCUCAAAUCUUGGCACAAUGGGCCACAUUUUGGACUCAUAUACUUUGAGUCCAACUGGAGCAAUAUCGAAAAUACGAUAAAUGCUCUUUGGGUCUAAACGAAUCUUGACGCCUUUGACAGUAGAAAUGAUCGGGCCACCUGAUGAGAAUCAACAAGCAUUCGAGGAUCCAUUGUAUCUUCCAGUUGGGCCUAUUACUAAAGCAAGAUCCAAGAAUAUCAAAGAAGCAAUUAAUGGGCUAAUUCAAGAGAUUUGGGUUGAUUCUAACGUAGGACAUUCCAAGCUUGGCCCAAAGGAAGAUGAAGGUGUAAUAAAUUUAAUCGAAGCUAUUGAGGGCUAAUCUGACUUGAUUGGACGUUAUUUAUGGUGUGGAUUAAUGACUGAUUGACUUUCCAACUCCAUAUCAAUUAAUAGACAUUUUUACUAUUCUAGAGCUUCUAAUUUUAGGCUAAAUCUACCUUAAUUUUAGGCUUUUAUUAUUUAGAACAAUUUUUAGCUAUUUUCCUAUUUUGGAUCUGCUAAUUUCAGACCAAAUCAACUUUUAUUUAGGGUUUUAAUAUUUAGUAAGUUUUUAUUUCAUGACAUAUAAAUAGCAUGCACUCAUUGUAAUAUGGGAUAAUUUGAUUGAAUAAAAAAUCAGAAAAUGUGAGGCUUUACUCUUCUUUUGGUUCUUUAAGGACUGUGAACUUAUCAGGGAUUCUUCCUUGUGGCGUUCAAACUUUAUACUUUCGGUUCAUGAUUCCAUUGUAAUCAUUGGGUCAAGGUUUGUUACUUAUACUUUUGGUUCACGUUUCACUUAUAAAAGUUGGGUCAGGGUUCUAUCAAAAAUCUGUAUUUUAGUUUUCUUAGGCAAUUAUUCCAAUACUGUUUGUUGGGUCUCAAAGUGUGUCGAUUGAGGUUCGCAUCAUUUGGUAUUAGAGCUCAGGUUCUAAAAUCAGUCGAUUGAGGUUCGCAUCACCACCCAUGCCAUAAGUCGCCUUUGAGUAAAAAUCUCACACCAAAGUCGAGAAAAUCGGCUCCAAAACAAUGACCAUAGGUAAUCAACCCAUCCUAGUGAAUAGACCCUCGAAUCCGAAGUGCUCAAGUUGGGGAAAAUUAAUAUUUCUCCUCGGAACUACUUGUCCCAAAGCAAAGUGAUGUUUGUACCGUUGGUAGUCCUCCACGGAGUUGAACAAGGUAGUGUCAAACCUUGCCUUUCGGGUUUGACAAGGUGCCAAAAGCUUGAAUCCUAAAUCCUUAAGAGGGUUUAUAUAGGAUUUCCUAUGGACUUAAGUGACUUGAGCCCAAAUUUGGCUUGAGUCACCUGAUCUAGCCCACUUGGGUCCUAAUUAAUUUAUUAUUUUAAUGGACUCCAAUUAAUUAAUUAGCUCAAAACACCAAUCUAGAAAUAUUGUUCAUAAGAUCUUGUGCAACCUUGUAUUUUUACUAAAACACCCUUAUGUGCCCUUAUGAACUACAAAUCUAAAUCUCUCAAAUAAAACAUGUCACCAUGAACUAUGAGCUCAAGCGGGGACCAUUGGGACCCAUAAGAUUAUAUUGGCUCCCUCAUAAUUGAAUUCUAAAAUUGAUUCGAGAAUCCACUAAAGAGAAUCAAUUGUACUUCAGUAUCCUACAUUAAGACAAAGCUUAGGUUUGUAACCUACUAUUCAUUGCAUGCAAGCUCCUCAUGAAUUAGUGUCUGUAAUCUAAUAAGGUAGUGUUGUCAACCUAUCAAGAUUAGCUCUUUAAUCUUUAAGUUAUAAAUCCUCCUAUUAUGUGAUCAAUUGACAUACUCUAGCUUGUAAAGAACAUAUAUCAAAAUUCACUUAAAGAAUUCCUACAAUCACAUAUUUCAUAAUCAUAUGCCCUUUAGAUCAUCCAAGAGAACACUUUGUUCCAAUUCUAUGAGAUGCCAUGGUGCCUCUAUUAAGAAUAUGUAUUAUCACCAACCUCCAUCAACAAUGGCAAUUCGUAGGGAAUCUAUAUAUAUAAUCAUUUUAGGGUCUUACCUAUAGGUCAAAACCUUCUAUUGAUUUUAGCAUAGACUUAAUAUCUUCUUAAAGUUGAGAGUCCAUGCAAUAUAGUAACUUUGUAAAUCAUGACAACCCGAUGACCUUAUUGCAAAAUUGAAAUAUUGAAAUAUCUUCAUGAUUCAUCAUAGGCACGAUUUGAAAUAUUGCAAAAUUUCAGCGAAAUAUCGUCGAUUUUUCGCUUAUCGGAGAGGAUCAACACGACAUUCAUCAUUUAUAAUCAAUUGACAGAUUUAUCGCGGAUUUUUUUGGGAAUAUCGGUAAUAUUUUGGCAUUUAUCGACAUUUUUGCCUAUUUUUCAAAAAAUUUCCCAAUUUUUUGGUGCCAACCACUUUGGUCAACGCGCAAUCAACCCUCACAUUUUUUGUUGUAAUGCCUAGGGGAUUUGAACCUAGGUCAAAAGGCUUGGGUUGAACCCUGGCUACCAUUGGGCCAAAAUGUCAUUUGUAAAUAUAUGUUCAAUUUAAAUAUGUUAAAGUUCAGCAUUUUAAAAAAUAAUUUUAAUUAUUUUAUUUUAAAUUUAAUGUAAUUGAUUAAUAAAAAUAAAAAAACCAACAUUAUAAUUUUUUAACAAGUCUUUUUUUAUAUCAUUUAUAUGAUAAUUAAAUAUAAAAAAUAUAAAUAUUAAAAAAUCAUAUAUGCAUCAUCAUUUAUUUUACAUUAUUGAAUGCAUUUAAAUUAAAUAAAUUAUAGUUUUAAUAUUAAAUUUAUUAUUAUUGAUCUCAUUAAUCUUAUUUUAAAAAAUAAUUAUCACUUGACUUUUAAAUUUUUUAUAUUUAUUUGUUUAUUUUUUAAUGUCUUUAUUUUAAAAUAUUAAAAAUAUAAAUUUAUUCAAAAAAUACUAAAAUAUAUAUAAAAAAAUUAAUAAUGAAGUUCUAAUAUUUUAUAAAUUAUAAUUAAUUUGAUAAGAUAAAUAAUAAAUUAUAUAUUAUGAUCGAUAUAUCCUUGCUUAGAGAUAAUUUUCUCCUUAAUCAUACUUAUGUCAAUUAUACUUACAAAUUAACUUUAACAUGUGUUUUUUUACUUAUUUUAUCAUUUUUUUUUUUGAGUUUUUCCAAAUAUUUCAAUGAAUUUUGAAUAAUUUUCACCUCACCAAAAUUUUUAUCAAAAUAUUCACCAAUAUUUCUCCGAUAUUUUCGAUAUAAUCAUAAAAUUCAAGUACCAAUAUAUCCAUAUUUUCCAAUAUUUCAAACCAUUAUCAUAGGUGUUGUCUUAUGUAUAACCAUACACACUAGUGUACUCAUAAUAGGAACCCUAUCCCGAUGGUCAAGAUAAGUCAUAUUUUAUAACCAUACACACUAGAUUUUAAAAGUGUGAGAUAAUGCUCAUAAAAAUAACAAAGUAGAGAAUUUGUUGAUAAUUAUUCCCAAAUAAAUGUCAUUAAAACAAUUUGAACUAGAAUUUAAAAUAAAAAGAUGUCACAUGGAUUAACCUAGGAUUUGAGAAAUUUGGCCUCAUCAUAGGCCACACUACAAACCUGAGAUGAGUUUUAGGAGAAAAUGAGUAGAAGUUAGAAUAAUAAAACAGUUUUUUUGUUUUCCAAAACAAAAAAAUUGGAAAACACAUUUUACAAUCAAAAAAUAUUUUAUGCUUUUUGUUCUCAAUAACAGAAAACAAAGUGUUUCAGAUAAUAUCUUUUAGUUAUUUUAAUUAUUUUCACUUAUUUUUUUAGAGUUGUUUUAAAAAAUAAUUAUAGAAAUAUGUAUCAUGAUUAAAAAUAAAGCUCUAGAUAUAAAAAUAAUUUUUAAAACUUACUUAAAAAUAUUAAAAACAUUUUAGAUUCUCAAACAAACUUUUAGUUUACAAAACAUUAAAGAAUAGUUUUUAAAAAUUGUUCUUAAAAACUAUUUUUCAGAACUAUUUCAAAAAAACAGUUAUCAAACAGGUCCUUAAUUUCUAGCCCGUGAAAGAAGAGAAAAAAAGAGUAAUUUUGUUUAGUAUAAAUAAACAAAGAGUCAUGUGAAUAAAGGGAUCCUUGAUAUAACAACAAAAAUCAACCUUUCCAACUUCUCAAGUGAUUCGAUCUCUUUGUUGACCAUCGUGACAACCUUAAUCUCUUUUCAUUAGCAGUAGGAGUAAGGUAGAUUAGCAGCAGAUUCAUCAAUGGGGAAACCAUUUUAUGCUUGUUCCUAUCAUUUAGGUUUACAUCAAUGAGUGGUUUGGAGGGUGUACUACCUAUAGUCUAUUAAUUAAAUUUGAGGGGAAAGGCUUUUAUCCUUUAAAGGACUUCUUGCCACCCUUCUUCAAUUUUGGGGAGAGUUCGAUCAAUAUUCAAUCACCAUUUAGCAUUAUUAUCCAAGGGGUCAUGGGAGAGAAGUUUCUCUAGCAUCGGUUAUGCCAUAUCCAAUAUACACAUCACUGGAGGGUGACAUUAUCCCAAUAAUCACAUCAUGCCCUUCAGUACCAGUAUAGUUUUGAUCAAUGCAAUUUGCUGUGAAUUUCUGUAGUGGUAGAAUUAUAGCCAGGAGAUUCUAGCCCCAGUAUCCACCAUAGGCCAGCAAAGUGAAUAAUCCUAGGAGAAUAAGCUCAGAAGCACAAGGAUUUGAUCAAUGGAACCUGGUUUUUUUUUGUUUUAAUUUCUUUACUGAUGUAAUAAACCUUCUGUUUAUUUGGUUCGCUGUCAUUAUUAUAAUCUCUAGUAGUUGCACCAUCCUGGGUGAAUGAGCUAUUACCUCUACCAAUUGAAGUUUUUUUUGGUUACAGUCCUUGGUAUUCUCUUGGAAUUGACAACCAUUUGGAAAAUAAAAAUUCCUUUAUUUAGACAUAAAAAGAAUCCACAAGCAUGGACCAUUGCUAAAAGAAGAUUGAUAUGAGACUAUUCAACCCGAGACACUAUUUGCCUAGGUAUAUUUCGGGAUGGUGAUUCAUUCCUCUAAUAGGACUAGAACAAAUGGCUAAAUUGCUCUGAUAUGCUCACAUCUUUAAUCAAUAAGUUUACACUAAAUCAGUAUAACUCCCUACCAAAACGCUAGGUGAGAGAUCAGGGGCAAAGCUAGGUAGUGUCUGGGAGGGGCAAAUGCCCCCCAUGAAAUUUUAAUAAAUAUAUUAGGGUUUAGAUCCUUAACCUAAAAUUCUGAAAAACCUAACUCUCAAACUAGGUUUCAUAUAUUGCCCCCAAUCAAUUAAUUUCCCAACUCCACCACUGUGAGGGAUUGUACCUAAGUAGGGCAUCACUUUCAUAAUUCUAUACUCCUCUUGUCUCUUUUCCAUUCAAAAGGACUUGAGUUGAAAGAUUUUGAGGCCUAAAAUUAUAUACAAGUCAAGCCCAUAGGCCAAAACAUAGAACUGGUGGGUAAAGCACCCCAAACUAGACUUCUCAAACACAAUAAUAUUGAAGAUUAAGCUAAAAUUUGUAACUGCAUUUUAUAUUGAAGUGAGUUUCAUUUUAGUAUUAAUUUUUGGAUAAAGUUAAAAACUAAAGGACAUCAGAAAUGUUAUUUUUAAUUACGUAUAUCAAUAGCACUUUAUAGGAGAAAUUUUAAGUAGUGAAAUAUGGAAAAUUUAAGCUCAUAUAGAAUGAAUAGUUAAAUGCAAAAUGGUACACUUAUUAAAGAGUUGAACAUUGACCAACUUAUUUUCUGGGCUAGACAAAAGUAGACAAGAAAAUUCAAUGAAAUAUUGGGGACUUUCUUUUCUGUGUGGUUGAAAGAUACAGAAGAAUUAUAAAUCCUACACUAAAUUUGAAGCGACUUAUGAGUGAUACACCAAACUUAUUGUUUGGGCUAGAGAAAAGUAGGCAGGAAAAUUCAAUGAAAUGGGGACUUUCUUUUCCGUGUGUUAAUGAUGUUAAAUGAAGAAAGAAAAUCUGUGUCACUAAGUUUAAAUGUGCUCAUCUUUAAAAUUGCACUAAAGUCAUUUACGUGAGUCCAACUUUAGAAAAAAGAUGGUUGAUUGUCAAUAUAAGUUGUCAUAUUAAUCAUUAUUAUAUUUAAAAUUUGGAAAACAUGAACAUGAAAAGGAAAAAGGAAAUUCAAAAACAAAAUAAUGAAAAACAACAAUUAGAAAAUAGAAAUCAAUAUAGCCUAAAAAUUGUAUUAGAACAAUUUUCUAAACCUAAACCAAUAGGAAUUCAAAACCUUCACAAUGAGAUAAGUCAAAUUAAACUUCAAGUUAAUACUAAGUUAAUUCAUAAUCAAGAAGUAGAAACUAGACUUCAAAUGCUAGAAAAUGAAAAAGUUCAAAUCAUAGAAGAUGAUAAUAAACAAUUAAAAGGAGAAUUUUGGGAAUUGUUUGUAAAAACUAUAACAAGAAUGAAAACUCAAAAAUGGUAUGUCAAAGUAAAACUCUUCAUAAAACCUGAUUUUUCAAAAUAAUUUUUAGCAUUAGUUGAUUGUGGUGCUAAUAUUAAUUGUGUACAUGAAGGAUUAAUUCCAAUUGUAUACUUUGAAAAAACAUACCAAGGGGCCGUAAGUGCAAACUCACAACCCUUGGCAAUAGAUUUCAAAAUUUCAAAUGUACAUAUAUGUAGUCAAAAUAUUUGUUUCAAGACUUCUCUAUUGCUAGUCAAAGACAUGCAUAAAGAGAUAAUUUUAGGAAUACCAUUCCUUGCUAUAUUUUAUCCUUUUAAAGUAGAUAGUGAAGGAAUUAAAACAAUUUAUAAAGGACAAAAUAUUUGCUUUAAAUUUACUAAUCCUAUACAAACCAAAGAAUUAAAUACACUUCAAAAUGAAGAAGUAAACUUAAUUCAAAAGAAAAAACAACAUACCAAAUUCAUAAGCAAAGAAAUACAUUAUAAAAGAAUUGAAGAAAAUCUAUUACAAAAAGCAAUUCAAACAAGAAUGGAAAAAAUUAAAAAUCAAAUUGAAACAGAACUAUGUUCUUCUAUUCCCAAUGCUUUUUGGGAUAUAAAGAAACAUAAAGUUUCCUUGCCCUAUAUUGAUGGAUUUGAUGAAGCUCAAAUUGCCACUAAGGUAAGACCAAUUCAAAUGAAUGCUUAAUUAUUUGAAUACUAUCAAAAUGAAAUAAAAGAUCUUUUGAAUAAACAUCUUAUUAGAAAGAGUCACUCUCUUUAGAUCGUUGCUUUCUAUGUUCAAAAACCCUCAAAAAUUGAAAAAAGUGCUCCAAGACUUGUAAUAAAUUAUAAGCCUUUAAAUAAGGUUCUCAAAUGGAUAAGGUAUCCAAUAGCUAACAAAAGAGACCUUAUCGGACACCUUGAUAAUGCUUUAGUCUUUUCAAAAUUUGAGAUGAAGUAUGGAUUUUGGUAAAUUCAACUUCAAGAAAAAGACAAAUACAAAACUACAUUCACUGCUCCAUUUGGGCAUUAUGAAUGGAAUGUAAUGCCUUUUGGUUUAAAGAAUGCUCCAUCAAAAUUUCAAAAUAUAAUGAAUGACAUUUUCAAUCACUAUACUAAUUUCUCCUUAGUAUAUAUUGAUGAUGUGCUUAUAUUUUCAAAUUCUAUUGAACAUCACUUCAAACAUCUUGAAAUCUUUCAACAAUUUGUUAGGGAAAAUGGCUUAGUGGUAUCUGCCCCUAAGAUCAAACUAUUUCAAACUAGGAUAUUUGAUUUCUACUUCUUGUUGUCAAGUAUAAUUCUUCCUUUCAAGAUUUCAAAUUCCUUGAAUUAUGUGUUGGGACUUUGUCCAAACACAAUUAGUUUCACCUCAUUUUCCUCCACAUUUAGCAAGAGAAUUCAAAGUCAAAUGGUGGUCAAAUUUCUCUCAUUCUACUGCCUAACAAAUUCCCCAUAUCCAUCAAUGGAUUUCCUCAAAAAAUGCUCCUUCAAAGCUAAGUCCUUCAAAAACUCCUAUUCAAAUUCCUCUUGAUAACUUUUUGUUAUCAAGAACUUUGUUCCCUUCAGACAAAGAAUUCAAAAACAUCUCAAAAUGCUUAUGAAAAAAUAGAAACCAUGUCUCAACUCUCUGAUUUUGGUUCUGAUGAUGAUACUGCAUCAUCUACUUUUUUAGGGGAUCUCAAUGAAGACAUGUGCUAUGGAUUUCUAUACACGCCUCUGGAGUAACGCCUUCAAGUCUUCAUUAAAAUCAAUUUGUGAAGCACUUCAAAAGAGACACUUAGGUCUUCAGGUCAAGCAAAAUGUUCGCAUUCUUGCCUUUGAUUACAUUUUCCAAAGAGACUUUGGAUAUCGUGGCAAAAUCUCAAAGGACCUCAAAUUUCUCAAAGAAUCUAGGUUUGAAGAUGAUUUCCUAUUGUAGACUCCAACAUUUUCCAAUAUGAGUGGGUUGAUGAGACAUCAAUACCGCUCUUCAAAUUUAUGGAUAAAAACAAUGGGCUACAAACCGCUCUUCAAAUUCAAAGGAUAGCUGCACAAAAGAAAAACUACUUUCGGUGGAUUUCAAAACUCUUCAAAUCUAUGAACUUAAAAGGUUUUCAUAUCCGUCCUCAAAUCCUAUAUAAGGCCCUCAUUUCUCAUUGUAAGGCAUCGACAAUUCAGUAGUGGUAUUUGAGUAAAAACAAGUGAAAUAUCCCUCUAAGCGAAAGUCUUGUAAUUGAGAAAAUCUCAAAGCUCUCAAAGUUUUGUUUAAGCUCUCUUCAAAAGCUUGUAAGUUUAUGUUUCAAAUUCUUUUGUAAUUAUUUUAUGCUUUGAAUGAAAUUUCAAAUUCAACUGUUCUUCAAGUUUUACAUAUUGCAUCAAAGAACCCCUUUGAAUAUGAACUUUCUUGAAGUUCUGUCAAAGUUAUCUGGGUUUUAAGUGAGACCAUUAUGACUCCUCUAGAUUCAAUUGGGAGAUUUCAUCAAAAUUCAUAUUGAAAUUCAAAUUGAAGUGUUCUUUAUUUCAUUUUAUUUCAUCCAUCGAUAUUAAUUUUUGGAUAAAGUUAAAAACUAAAGGACAUCAAAAAUGUUAUUUUUAAUUACGAUAUCAAUAGCACUUUAUAGGAGAAAUUUUAAGUAGUGAAAUAUGGAAAAUUUAAGCUCAUAUAGAAUGAAUAGUUGAAUGGAAAAUGGUACACUUAUUAAAGAGUUGAACAUUGACCAACUUAUUGUCUGGGCUAGAGAAAAGUAAGCAAGAAAAUUCAAUGAAAUAUUGGGGACUUUCUUUUUUGUGUGGGUUGAAAGAUACAGAAGAAUAAUAAAUCCUACACUAAAUUUGAAGUGAUUUAUGAGUGAUACACCAAACUUAUUGUUUGGGCUAGAGAAAAUUAAAGUAGGCAAGAAAAUUCAAUGAAAUGGGGACUUUCUUUUCUGUGUGGAUAUAGAAGAAUUAUAAAUCCUACGCUAAAUUUGAAGUGACUUAUGAAUGAUACACCAAACCAUAUGUUGAUCACAAUGGCUAAAAUGAAUUAUCUUGUUGAAUCCAUAUUAAUAAAAUUUAUUGUUAUGGAUAUUUUUUAUAUUUCUAUUAACAGUAUGGAAGAGUGUUAGUGAAGCUGAAUCUAGCAUACACCUAAAAUGCUAUGAAGAGAUUAUUUAAUAGUGAUUUUAAAAAGUAUUUUUAAUCUUUCUAAUUUUGAAAGAUGACAAUUUUCAAGUGUUCAAAAUGGUACAAACACUUUUUAGAAUUAUUAUCAGAUACACUCAAAAUUUGUAAAAAGAAAAAAGAAUAUAAGAUAAGUCAGCUUAUGUUGGUAAAAAUCUUGGUCAUUCAACAUGAAUGGUUUGGUCUAAGAAAUUUUCUAACCCAAAGAAGGAAACAGAUUUAGGAAUUGAUAGAAUGUGUAAGGCAUGAAUUGUGUGGCUUUAUCCAAAGGAAUAAAUUCCAUUUUGGUGUUCCUAAUAGAGUAAUUAGAAUAAUUUGAUUGUAACUUUUCAAUUUGAUCACCUCGAACUAAACAGAACAUACAUAAGCAAUGCCAUGAAAUUUGUAUAAAAUUAAAACUGUUGUUUAUGGUAAUUUCAUAAUUAAACCGUCUUUCAUCAAAAGCACAAGAAAACUCAUAUGAACUAAAAAGAUAUGAAAAUAGCUAGAAGUAGUCCCAUCAUGACCCCUUUUUUUUUUUUUUUGACUGAACAGGAUACCAUGCGUGGAAUGUUGUCUUAUUAUUUAUGUAAUAUUAGAACUUUUUCUCUUCUUGAAACAUGAAUAGAAGUUAAUUAUGUUUUGUGUUAACAGUAUCCCCCAGCGGCUUCCAAUGAGAAUUCUACUCUUCUCAUGCCUUUUUUCCAUGCCCUUAUGCUCAAUCAUCUUUGGUAUCCAUAUUACUUUGGUGUCCGGUGAAUGUCUCAGUGAUGGACGGGUAUGCCUGGAAGAUGAGAUGUCUUUGUUGCUACGGCUGAAGAAGACCCUCAAAUUCAAUGUUGCUGUUUCAAAUAAACUAGUUUCCUGGAAUCGAAGCGCAGACUGCUCUUCUUGGGGAGGUGUGACCUGGGAUGCCAAUGGUCACGUUGUCGGUCUUGAUCUGAGUAGCGAAUCAAUUUCUGGUGGAUUCAAUAGCUCUAGUAGCCUUUUCAGUUUACAAUAUCUCCAGAGCUUGAAUUUGGCUGGAAACAGCUUCUGCGGAGGAUUGAACUGGCCUAACAACAGCUUCUGCUCUUCUCAAAUUCCAUCAGGAUUUGACAGGCUUGCUAAUUUAAUUUAUCUGAAUUUAUCCAAUUCUGGCUUUUCUGGGCAGAUUCCAAAGGAAUUUUCGCUCUUGACUAGCUUGGUUACCAUCGAUUUCUCCAGCCUUGGUUAUCUCAUUGGAUUUCCUACACUGAAACUUGAGAAUCCAAAUCUGAGAAUGCUGGUUCAGAAUCUCAAGGAGCUUAGGGAACUUCAUCUUAAUGGUGUAGACAUAUCAGCCGAGGGGAAGGAGUGGUGCCAGGCAUUGUCAUCUUCAGUGCCUAAUCUCCAAGUGCUUAGCUUGUCCAGCUGUCAUCUUUCAGGCCCAAUCCAUUCUUCCCUGCAGAAGCUUCGAUCUCUCUCAAGGAUUCGUCUGGAUGACAACAAUUUUGCUGCUCCAGUUCCACAGUUCCUCGCUAGCUUCUCAAAUUUGACUCACUUGCAGCUCAGUUCUUGUGGAUUAACUGGAACGUUUCCAGAAAAGAUCAUUCAGGUAACAACCCUACAGAUUCUUGAUUUGUCAAUUAACUUACUUGAAGAUUCUUUGCCAGAAUUCCCUCAAAAUGGAUCUCUAGAAACAUUGGUGCUUUCGGAUACAAAACUAUGGGGGAAACUACCCAACUCCAUGGGAAAUCUUAAGAAGCUGACUAGCAUAGAGCUGGCACGUUGCCAUUUCAGUGGCCCAAUCCUAAACUCAGUGGCAAACCUUCCUCAACUGAUUUACUUGGACUUGUCUGAAAAUAAGUUUUCCGGUCCAAUUCCAUCUUUUAGUUUGUCCAAGAGACUCACCGAAAUAAACCUUUCCUACAAUAAUUUGAUGGGUCCAAUUCCUUUCCACUGGGAACAACUUGUUAAUUUAAUGAAUCUUGACCUGCGGUACAAUGCAAUUACAGGAAAUCUCCCCCCGUCCCUGUUUUCCCUCCCAUCCUUGCAGAGGUUACGACUAGACAACAACCAAAUUUCUGGUCAGUUCAAAAUUCUUUUAAAUGCAUCUUCUUCUAGAUUGAGCACCCUUGGUUUGAGUAGCAACAAUCUCAAAGGGCCGAUACCUGAUUCUGUCUUUGAACUGCGGUGUCUUAGCUUCCUUGACCUAUCUUCCAACAAAUUCAAUGGAAAGAUUGAACUCAGCAAGUUUAAAAAACUUGGGAAUCUUACUGAUCUUAGCCUUUCAUACAACAACCUGUCCAUCAAUGCAACCCUUUGUAAUCUGUCCCCUUCUAUACUGCCUAUGUUUACAACAUUAAGGUUGGCUUCUUGCAGGCUGACAACUUUACCUGAUCUUAGCGGCCAGUCAAGCUUGACACAUUUAGACCUUUCCCAAAACCAAAUUCACGGGAACAUACCUAGUUGGAUUUAGAAGAUUGGUAAUGGCUCUCUUGUGUAUUUGAAUCUCUCUCAUAAUUUACUGGAGGAUCUACACGAACCUUUCCCUACUUUUACUCCUUAUCUGUCCAUCCUUGACCUACAUUCCAACCAGCUCCAUGGCCAAAUCCCCACUCCUCCCAUAUUUUGCAGCUAUGUGGAUUACUCGAACAACAGUUUCACCUCCUCCAUCCCAGAAGAUAUUGGUACUUACAUCUUCUUCACUAUUUUCUUCUCUCUUUCUAAGAAUAACAUCACUGGAAUGAUCCCUGCAUCAAUCUGCAAUGCCAGUUACCUGCGAGUUCUUGACUUUUCUGACAACGCUUUGAGUGGAAUGAUACCCUCAUGUUUAAUUGGGAACGAGAUUCUUGAGGUCCUGAAUCUACGGAGAAACAAGUUAAGUGCCACUAUACCUGGGGAAUUUUCGGGAAACUGUCUUUUACGGACUCUAGAUCUGAAUGGGAAUCUCUUAGAAGGAAAAAUUCCAGAAUCUCUAGCCAAUUGCAAAGAGUUAGAGGUUUUAAACCUUGGGAACAAUCAGAUGAGUGAUUUUUUUCCUUGCUCGUUGAAGACUAUAAGCAAUUUGCGCGUCCUUGUUCUUCGAUCCAACAGAUUCUAUGGACCCAUUCAAUGUCGACUGAUUACUACCAAAAAGUGCUAUUUUGUAAACCUAAUUAUAAUGGUUUUAAGCACCUUUGAGUAGUAAUCAUAUUCAUUUAACCCAAUUAAUUCAUUAAGGUCCUUAGUAAUUGGUUUUAACCAUUUUGUGGCAAGUUUACAUGUUUAUAUCAGCUUAUGAAUCAAUUCAGGCAUGCCAAAUGAUGGAGGAGCUACUUGGACAAGUUAAAGCAAGCUUUUAGCUACACCAAAGCAAGCCAACAAAAGGAGAAAAGCAAAGAGAAGCAAAGAGAAGCAAAAAGAAGCAAAGAGGAAAAUAGAGGACAGCAGCUGCAGUCUUCUUUGGCACUUUUGGAGCACUUCCCGAAGUCCAUUUUCUACAUGCUAUAUACCAUUUCAAAGCUCAGGAAGUCAAGAAUCUAACGCUUCAAACCGUGUACGAUUUGGAGCUGAAAUGAGGAAGAUAUGGCCUUUGAAAGACAACUGCUCCAGGUGUGCGAAAGGUGUGCGAAUGGUGUGCGAAACUCGCACACCCCCCUCAGGUGUGCGAAAAUUUCGCACACCCCAUGCGUGGUGCGAAUUUUGCUCUGUUUUUGCCGACUCCACUUUAGAUAUUUUCUUUUGUAUUUUUUGAUGUAAUUUCCUUUCUUCUCCUUGUAACAAGCCAAUCACAAGCUUUUGCUUUUGUAAAGACUAUAUAAGGGGUGGAAAUCACCUCUUGGAAUAUAUAAUACAUAUUACGUUUUACACUCUCUCGUUUUCUCUUUUCUCUUCACUAUUUUAUUUUCUUGGUAGCCAAACAGCCUCUAAGGGCUUUUCCUCAGAGGAUGAUUGGCUAAAACUUUUAGUUUCUCAAAGUAUGGAUGUUAUGUGAUGACUUGGAUGCAAUCCCAUGGAAAUUUCUCACACCCGGAAGGUAAGGUAGUCGUUUUUCAUUAAAGGUUCAUUAAUGCAAAGUUUGGUUUUUAUUUCCUUUGGACAACUUCCAACGGCCAAUACUUGAUAAGCUUUUGGAUUUCUAUCCAUUAGUUAUCUCCUACGAGCUAUUGGAAGGUGAGGUUUUCAAUUCCAAGUUUUGUAUUAAUCCGUUAGAACCAAUUUCAAUGGCCAUUGAAAGGUGAGUUUAUCACCUGGAAUGACUUUGAGUUGCCAAUAUUUGGUAAGCUUUUGGCUUUAGACCAUUAGUUAUCUCUUACGAGCCAUUCAAAGGAAGUCUAAGGUGAAUAACCAUUGAUGAAAUUCACUACCAUCUGUUUUGCCAUUUUAAAGGAUUAAAACGUGAUUUGCUAAAUCCAUACCGGUUCGGGAAGCAAGCAUCACCAUAGUUGCAACCCCAACGCGAGGAGCCUAUCCUGAGAUUUCCAAUUUGCAUAAAAGCCAGAGCAUAGCUAUCCUAUCUUUGAGAAACUUGUUUUAAGAAAAUCACCUAUUUUCCUAACUUGAAUAUCACUUGUGUUUGCGAAAACCCUUCCCAGUGAACGAUCCUAGAACCACUAUGCUAUAGUAGCUUGGCUACUUGAGUAAUAGUAUUCAAGGUAUAAAUUUUGUUGAUACGCCUUUAAAGCUAAGCUACCAUGAGUCGCAUCAUCGACCACAUAGCAAUCCCACCUGGCCACUGCUUCAAAUUAUCGACCUUGCUUCCAACAAUUUUACUGGUGACUUGUCAGGAAAAUUCUUUUUAACCUGGAAGGCAAUGAGGGCUGAUAAAGAUGGAGCCAGGUCAGAGCUCAAUCACCUACAACUUCAGGUACUACAAUUCGGCCAAGUGUACUAUCAGGAUACGGUGACUGUCACCAGCAAAGGCCUAGAAAUGCAGCUUGUGAAGAUUCUAACCGUCUUCACUGCCAUUGAUUUCUCCUUCAACAAUUUCCAAGGGGAGAUACCAGAAGCUAUGGGAAGCUUGAUUUCACUUUAUGCUCUCAACCUGUCCCAUAAUGCUUUGACGGGCCAAAUCCCAUCAUCACUAGGGAAGUUGCGGCAGCUUGAGUCGUUGGACCUCUCACAGAACAGCCUUAGGGGGGAGAUACCACCACAGUUUGUGAGCCUAAAUUUCCUUUCCUUCCUUAACCUCUCCUUUAAUCAACUGGAGGGAGAAAUCCCCACAGGUACUCAACUUCAAACGUUUUUGGAAUCUUCUUAUGAAGGGAACAAAGAACUAUGCGGACCCCCCUUGAAGAGGAAAUGCACAGAUCCAUCCCCACCCACCUCUGAAGAAACACAUCCGGAUUCUGGGAUGAAGAUUAACUGGGUGUACAUAGGUGCUGAAAUUGGAUUUGUCACCGGUAUAGGAAUUGUGAUUGGGCCUCUUGUGUUAUGGCGAAGGUGGAGACGAUGGUACUACACACAUGUGGAUAGACUUCUUUUGAGGAUUCUCCCGCGUCAAGGCGGAGGAGUUCAUGGCAGGAGACGUCACAGAAGUCAGCGACAGAGACUCUAGCACCAGAAAGGUGGCGCAGCUAGAGUUUGUUCUAUGGAAGGAAAAAUAAAAACUAAAAAGUAUGUUCAUUGCUAGGAUUUCUGUGUUUUUUUACCUUAAAAAUUGGAAGUACGUUGUUUUUGAAUAAUAUCUUUCAAUUAUUUUAACUUAUUUUAAAAAAUAAUUAUACAAAUAUGAACAAAAAUUAAAAAUAAAAUAAUACUAUAGAACCCCAUUUUGGGGGGCAUUUUUUGCAAAUUAUUUAUGUAGGUGGAGGGCUCUUAACGAGCCACGUGUUGCCCCAAGUUUGGUCUUUAGAGAAUCAUGUUAGUGGUUUGAAGAAGAAAUGGAAGGGCGACACGUGUCAUGGGAAUAUUCAGAAACAGUUUUUUUUUGGGGAUUUGGAGGAGCGUAUUUUUGAUAUAGAGAUAAGGAGGCCGUUAAGGAGGGGGAGAUAUUUGGUUGCUAUUACAGAGAGGUAUAAGUAGCUUGGGAGGCAAGACUGAGGAGGCAUGUUUUUUGGGGUUGCUUAGGAGAGAGGGAUACCUGGGGGGGAUUCUCUUUGGAGGAGGUUACAGAGGAGCGUUUUUUUUAGUAGCUUGAGAAAGAAGACAACUGGAGAGAAGACCAUUUGAGCUAGAGAAAGGGAAGAGGAGAAUUGGUUGAGCUUGGAAGGGAGAACUGGUCAAAGAGAGGAGGAAACACACAGAAGAAUCGUCUUGAAAGAGGGUGACACAGUAAACCGGCCCAUCACUCAGGUACACUCCUUGCCUAUCUUGUUUAUUCGGUUAUUUUGUUUUGAUUGAUAUUCAUUCAUAUCCAUGUUUGAUCAAUCAAUUGUCAUACUUGCUUCAUCUCAUUAGUAGAGACCCGUUUUUAGGGACUUAGAGGGGUGCUACAGUCUUUACCGUACCUUCCCAAUAAGUAACCUAACCCCCGAGUUCAAAUUUGAUUUUUCACAGACCACCUUUUCCAAAAUAAAGAGUCAAACUUAGGGUUUUCUUUCUUAUUUUGUUUACCCUUUAAAAAUAAAACAAAAAUAAGUGGCGACUCCAAGUCAUUUUCUUAAAAAAUAAAUCAUUUUCAAAUAACAAGCGAGUUUGCCAUCGAGUGGAAGCGCAUGAGCAGAAAUACGGGGUCCACAAAUACACACUUAGGGUUUUCUUUAUUUAUUUUGGCAUUCAAAGCCACCGUUCCUUUUUAGUUCGACAUUCAUAGCCAUCAUACCUCUUUUUCAGUUUGGCGUUCAGAGCCACAUCUUCAUUUUGGCGUUCAGAGUCACAUCUUCAUUUUGGCGUUCAGAGCCACCGUCCCUUUUUAGUUUGGCAUUCAGAGUCACCAUCUCUUUUUUCGAUUUAGCGUUCAGAGCCGCAUCUUCAUUUUGGCGUCCAGAGCUGUUGUUUGCUUCUAGUUCAGUAUUCAUAGCCAUCAUACCUCUUUUUCGGUUUGGCAUUCAGAGCCGCAUCUUCAUUUUGGCAUUCAGAGCAGUUGUUCAUUUUAGUUCGGUAUUCAAAGCCACACCUUCAAUUCGGUGUUUAGAGCUGCAUUUUUUGUUUGGCGUCUAGAUUCGUUGUUCGUUUUCAAUUUGGUGUUCAGAGCCGUCGUUUAUUUCUAGUUCGGCAUUCAGAGCCAUCAUACAAUUUUCAGUUUGGUGUUCAGAGCCAUCAUUUGUUUUUUUAGUUCAACAUUCAGAGUCGUCAUGUAUUUCUUUCAUUCGUCGUUCAAAGUCACAUCUUCAUCUUGGCGUUCAGAGCCGCAUCUUCCAUUUGGCGUUCAGAGUCAUGUCUUCAAUUCAACAUUCAGAGUCAUUAUUCAUUAUUGAAAUUCAAAGCCAUUGUUUCAUUCAGGCAUUUGAUGCCACCAUUUUUCUUUAGUUUUGGCGUUCAGAGCCAUUGUGCAUACUUAUUCAGGCAUUCGAUGCCACCAUCAUUCUUUAGCUUUGGCGUUCAAAGCUGUUGUGCAUACUCGUUUAGGCAUUUAGAUCACCAUUCAUUCAUCCAUUUUGGCGUUCAGAAUCAUUUUCCUUACCUUGUUACCUUGUGCUUAUUGCUUGUUCAUCAUGGUCUUCUAGACUUCCCCUUCCACUACACAUGACAUAGUCCUUUAAGUUCAUGACACAUAUUUUGGUCAUGUUGUUGGGCACCCCACGUUUAGCGUGCUCAUGUGGCUCACAUAGGGCGGUCUCCUUUGAGCACAUUCUUUUCUGUACUCCAAGGUGGUUCGACCAUUAGCAUCUUUGACAUUGACCUUCAAGUCACUUUUGGAGACGUCUUAGAUGGAGUCUGGAUCCUUAGUUCAACUUUAGAGGCACAUUGAGACGUGUUUUUCUCUUAGGAUUAAAGUCAUUUUGUUCAUCUAUGCGAGUGAGUUUGUGUUUUGCUAAUGUCCCUUUGGGGGUCUCAUUGGUUCUUCGAUAGAGUUCACUUCAUUCCACUUAUUAUUCACACUUUUUUUUCACCUUAGUGUUCAUAUUCCUUACACUCGUGAGCUCUACCGAAGAGGGGCAUAUUUGUAGACCCCCAUUUUGGGGGGCAUUUUUUUGAAAAUUAUUUCUGCAGGUGGAGGGCUCUUAAAGAGCCACAUGUUGCCCCAAGUUUGGUCUUUAGAGAAUCAUGUUAGUGGUUUGAAGAAGCAAUGGGAGGGCAAUACAUGUCAUGGGAAUAUUCAGAAACAGUUUUUUUGGGGAUUUGGAGGAGCGUAUUUUUGAUAUAGAGAGAGGAAGGUCGUUAAGGAGGGAGAGAUAUUUGGUUGUUGUUACAUAAAGGUAUAGAUAGCUUGGGAGGCAAGACUGAGGAGGCGUGUUUUUUGGGGUUGCUUGGGAAAGAGGGAUACCUGGGAGGGAUUCUCUCUAGAGGAGGUUAUAAAGGAGCGUUUUUUUAGUAGCUUAAGAGAGAAGACAACUGGAGAGAAGACCAUUUGAGCUAGAGAAAGGGAGAAGGAGAAUCACCUGAGCUUGGAAGGGAGAAUUGGUUAGAGAUAGGAGGAAACACACAGAAGAAUCGUCUUGAAAGAGGGUGACACAGUAAACCGGCCCAUCACUCAGGUACACACCUUGCGUCUCUUGUUCAUUCGGUUAUUUUGUUUUGAUUAAUAUUCAUUUGGUAUCCAUUUUUUAUCAAUCACUUGCCAUACUUGCUUCAUCUCAUUAGUAGAGGCUCGUUUUUAGGGACUUAGAGGGGUGCUACGGUCUUUAUCGUAUCUUCCCAAUAAAUAACCGGACCCCCAAGCCUAGAUUCGGUUUUUCACAAACCACCUUUUCCAAAAUAAGGAGUCACACUUAGGGUUUUCUUUCUUAUUUUGUUUACCCUUUAAAAAUAAAACAAAUAUAAGUGGCAACUCCAAGUCAUUUUCUUAAAAAAUAAAUCAUUUUCAAAUAAAAAGCGAGUUUGCCAUCGAGUGGAAGCGCAUGAGCAAAAAUGCGGGGUCCACAAAUACAUAUAAAAUUUUUUUUAAAACAAAUUUAAAAAUAUAUCAAACGGUUAAAAAACAUUUCAAAUUCUCAAAUACACUUUUGUUAAUCUACUAAACAUUAAAUAACAUAUUUAAAAAAUUGUUCUCAAAAACUCUUUUAAAAUACACUUCUCACUCAAAACCUAAUAAACUAAGAAUAUCAAUAACAAAAUAUUAAUAAAAAGAUUUAAAUAAAAUACGGAGAAAUCCUAUUCAAAAAGUAAGGUCAUGUUUAACAACUAUUUUUUAAAACAGUUUUUUUUUUUUUUAUUCAGAAUAAAAAAUAGGAAAACAUGUUUGAGAACUAAAAAUCAUAAUAUGGUUUUCUAUUAUUAAAAGCAUGAAAUGGUGUUUUCAAGUAACAUCUUUAAAAUUUUAAGAGAUUAUCGGAUCAUGUCAAAAGGGUUUAGCUAGAAUAAUCUAGGAAAUUUUACUCUAAAGUACUUCUUCAAAUGCUCAUCAUCAUUGAAUCCCAUGAUUCCAAUUCUACAAUUGUAAGAGUGCGUUUGAGAGUGAUUUUAGAAAACAUUUAUAGUAUUUUCAACAUUUAAAUGAUAAAAAAUUUCAAAUGUUAAAAAGAUUAAAAACGUUUCCUAGAAUUAUUUUCAAACGGACUAUAAAUCCUCUUCUGGUUAUGAUUGUAAAUGAAAUAUACAAAUAUAAUAGUCAGAGACUAAAGACAAAACGUUGUUUUAUAUAUACAUAUAUAACCGAAAUACAUGAAACUUGUAGUCUGAUUUUUCCAAUGGAAGAAGAUAGUUCCACCAUUAUAUUGAUUUGGUAAUCAUUUCGAAAUAUAAUUUUACUCAUGCUUUGAAAUGCAUGAAACUAAUAAAUUAAACUGAAAUCUAAUAGAAUUGAAAUAAGAGAAGUUAACAAUACCCAUCCACCCAUUUUUAUUUUAUUUUUCUUGUUAAGUCCUCAGCUUUCCUCUUACUUCAUGCCUUUUCUUUCCCCAUGUUAAGAGACAAUUUAACAUCUAUUGAAAUAGUAUGUUGGAAGAUGGUUGAACACUUGUGAGAGAUAGUUAAGUACUACAAAUUAAAUAUAAUAGCAGAAAUUCAUCAAUGCAAACUAUUUUAAGGAUGUGCCAAAUUUUGUGAAAGAUGUACCAAAUUUUGUAAAGAAUGUGCCAAAUUGUUUUUAGGAUGUACCUUGGGUUCCAAUGUUCGUUUCAAGCUGGGGAACAACCUCUAAUUCCUUCUCGAGGGUCCCCAAAGGAAUAUAUGAACCAUAAGAAUGGAGAUAGGGGUCUUGGUUCCUCUAAGAAUGGAUAUACCUAGGAUUGCAAAGUUUGUUUUGGGGUGGGCGAGUACCUCCAAUUACUUAUCGAGGGUCCCAAAGGAAUAUAUACACCAUGAUAAGUAUGAUGAUGGUUCUAGUUCUCAUAAACAUGAAUUUACCUAUUUUUUUAAGGAUGUACCUUUUUUUUACCUUUUUUUUUUUUUUUUUUUUAAGGAUGCACCUCUUUUUUUUAUGAAAUAAAUAUAAAAGGUUAAAUACAAUUUUUUUUAUUAAAAAUAUGUUUUCUUUUAUAUUUUAUUUUAAUUAAAAAUUAAAGAUUUUAACCAAACAAAAAGUUAGAUCCACAAGCAAAUUAAAAUCAUAAGAAAAAUAAUAAAAGCACUAUCAGUUAUUGUGAUUUUGAUAUGAUAAAUUUAAAAUGAAAAUAAAAAUAAAAAUAGUGUAAAUAAUAAAAUAGUAUUACAAAGAUAUUUUUAUUUUUACAUGUGAUAGAAUUUACAAAAUAAAUAAAUCUUUUGUUUAGUAUUAAUAUAAAAAAUCUUAUAUCAUAAACUUCUAAAUAAUAAAAUAGAAUUUUUAAAUUUAAACCUUAAUUUAUCAAAUGUAUUAUUAUAAUUAAUAUUUAAAAUCAUCAAGUAUAUUAUUUGUACGAUAAUAUUUUCAUUUUUGUCCAUUAUAUAUAUAUAUAUAUAUAUAUAUUUAUUUAUUUAAUUUGUUAUAUUAAUUUUUUAUUAUAUAUCAUCAUUUUAAGUUUAAUAUGUCAAAAAAAUAAUAAUUGAAAUCAAUAAAUAUGGAUAAAUUAGAGAGUAAAGAAAAAUUACAAUUAAAGAAGUUUUAUGAAAAAAUACAUGAGCAUAUUAAGAAGAAUAUAAAGGAAAAAGAGAAAAAUAAUAAUAAAAACUAUAAUAAGUGACAAUAAAUUAUGGCGGGAAGAUAGGAAAAAAAAGGAAAAAAGAAGAAAGGAAAAAAAUGGGAAUGUGACUAGUGAUAAGCGAGAUAUAUUGAUAAGAGAAAAAUAAUAAAAAUAAAUGACGCAUGUGUUUAUCAACAGGUGGUAUUAAAUGAAUAGAUAAUAUUUUUUUCCUAUUUUACACUAAAUGUCAAAAGGAAAAAGUAAAGUUCUAAAAUGUCAUAUUUUUUUAAAUUGGUUUAUGAUUACAUGAUUUCCCAAAAAAGAAUAUCAGUGUACACAGAAUCGCGAAGAAUUGGACACAAGUAGAAUUGAAAUUGAAUGUGAAUCGAGUGUGAAAGGACAACUUGUAAGAGGACAUUUCUGGUUCUCAUUCAAAGUAAUGAAUUUCAUGUCGGUAGGCGUUCUGUUAUGCGUUCCUUGUUUUCUUUGUCUUUCACAAGGACUUGAUUAGGAAGACUUGAAGUCAAACCGAGCCUCAUUGAUCUUCCAACUACAUACCAAAUAUAUAUCUAUUAGUUGAUCUUCCAAUUAAGAUUAAUAGAUGGAAACCAAAAAGUCAGGCGUAUUGUUUGAGCCACAGAAAAGUCGGCAAUGAAGACCUCUGUUCCGUCGUCGUGGAAAGAUAGGCACGAAUUAAUGAAGUGAACGGGUCAUUGUUGUGUCAAUUCAUAAUUGGUUCCUAAAGGAAAAUUCUGACAAAAUCGUAAGAGUAAAAAAUGUAAGAAAAUGAUAAAUUGUCAUGUGACUUGGGGGAAACAAGGAAGGAAAAAACAUAAAAGCUGCUUCCUGUUCAAUUGGGGGAAACAAAAAAAGUGUAAUGUUGUGUUGUUGAUGUAUAACUACAACAUUCUUUUUUCUUCCUGUUCAAUUUCUCCCUAUCUACAUAUUAAACAUGCUUUGUUGUAGCAGUAUUUCCCAGCUGCUUCCAAUGAGAAUUGCACUCUUUUCAUGGCUUUAUUUCUUGCCCUUAUGCUCAAUCGUUUUUGGUAUCCAUGUGGCUUUGGUGUCCGGGGAAUGUCUGAGUGAUGGGAGCAUAUGCCUGGAGGAUCAGAUGUCCUUGUUGCUGCAACUGAAGAACACCCUCAAAUUCAAUGUUGCUGCAUCAAGUAAACUAGUUUCCUGGAAUCCAAGCACGGAUUGCUGCUCUUGGGGAGGUGUAACCUGGGAUGCCACUGGUCAUGUUGUCGCUCUCGAUCUCAGUAGCCAAUCAAUUUAUGGUGGAUUCAAUAACUCCAGUAGCAUUUUCAGUCUACAAUAUCUGCAGAGCUUGAAUUUGGCUAACAACACCUUCUACUCUUCUCAAAUUCCAUCUGGGUUCAGUAAGCUUGACCAUUUGAUAUACCUGAAUUUGUCUAAUGCUGGGUUUUCUGGACAAAUUCCAAUUGAGAUCUCAUGCUUGACGAAAUUGGUUACAAUUGAUUUCUCCGUGUUUUACCUUCCUGGAGUUCCUACGCUGACACUUGAGAACCCAAAUCUGAGAAUGCUGGUUCAGAACCUGACAGAGCUUAGAGAACUCUAUCUUAAUGGUGUAAACAUAUCGGCACAAGGGAAGGAAUGGUGCCAGGCAUUAUCAUCUUCAGUGCCUAAUCUCCAAGUGCUGAGCUUGGCAAGCUGUUAUCUUUAUGGCCCUCUUGAUUCUUCUCUGCAGAAGCUUCGGUCUCUCUCAAGCAUUCGCCUGGACAGUAACAACUUCUCUGCUCCUGUUCUAGAAUUCCUAGCCAAUUUCUCGAAUUUGACUCAAUUGCGGCUCAGUUCUUGUGGAUUAUAUGGAACAUUUCCAGAAAAGAUCUUUCAGGUACCAACCCUUCAGAUUCUUGAUUUGUCAAACAACAAGUUGCUCCUGGGUUCUUUGCCGGAAUUCCCUCAGAAUGGAUCUCUAGGAACUCUGGUGCUCUCGGAUACAAAAUUUUCAGGGAAAGUACCAUACUCCAUAGGCAAUCUCAAGAGGUUGACUAGGAUAGAGCUUGCAGGUUGUGAUUUCAGUGGAGCAAUUCCAAACUCGAUGGCAGACCUUACACAACUGGUUUACUUGGACUCAUCUUAUAACAAGUUUUCCGGUCCAAUCCCACCUUUUAGUUUGUCCAAGAACCUGACCCGAAUAAACCUUUCUCAUAAUUAUUUAACGGGUCCGAUUCCUUCCUCUCACUUGGAUGGUCUUGUAAAUCUAGUGACUCUUGACUUGCGAGACAAUUCACUGAAUGGAAGUCUCCCCAUGCUCCUGUUUUCCCUCCCAUCACUGCAGAAGAUACAACUGAGCAACAACCAAUUUUCUGGUCCCUUGAGUAAAUUUUCAGUUGUGCCUUUUUCUGUACUGGAGACCCUUGAUUUGAGUAGCAACAAUCUGGAAGGGCCAAUACCCAUAUCUGUCUUUGAUCUCCAGUGUCUUAACAUCCUUGAUCUUUCUUCCAACAAAUUCAAUGGCACUGUUUUACUAAGCAGCUUUCAGAACCUUGGAAAUCUUACCACUCUUAGUCUGUCAUACAACAACUUGUCCAUCAAUUCAAGUGUUGGUAAUCCCACUUUGCCCCUGCUGUUGAAUCUUACCACAUUAAAAUUGGCUUCUUGCAAGCUCAGAACAUUACCUGAUCUUAGCACCCAGUCAAGAUUGACACAUUUAGACCUUUCCGAUAACCAAAUUCCCGGGAGCAUACCUAAUUGGAUUUGGAAGAAUGGUAAUGGAUCUCUUUUGCAUUUGAAUCUCUCUCAUAAUUUACUGGAGGAUCUGCAGGAAACUUUCUCUAAUUUUACUCCUUAUCUGUCCAUCCUUGACCUACAUUCCAACCAGCUCCAUGGCCAAAUCCCAACUCCUCCCCAAUUUUCCAUCUAUGUGGAUUACUCAGACAACAGUUUCAACUCUUCCAUCCCAGAUGAUAUUGGUAUUUACAUUUCCUUCACUCUUUUCUUCUCGCUUUCGAAGAAUAACAUCACUGGAGUUAUUCCUGAAUCAAUAUGCAAUGCCAGUUACCUGCAAGUUCUUGACUUCUCUGACAAUGCUUUUAGUGGCAAAAUACCCUCAUGUUUAAUUCAGAAUGAGGCUCUUGCAGUGUUGAAUCUGGGGAGGAACAAGUUUAAUGGCACUAUACCAGGGGAAUUCAGGCACAAGUGUCUUUUACAGACACUAGAUCUCAAUGAGAAUCUUUUAGAAGGAAACAUCACAGAAUCUCUAGCCAAUUGCAAAGAGUUAGAGAUUUUAAACCUUGGGAACAACCAAAUUGAUGAUAUCUUUCCUUGCUGGUUGAAGAACAUAACCAAUUUGCGUGUCCUUGUUCUGCGAGGCAACAAAUUCCAUGGGCCCAUUGGGUGUCUCAGGAGCAAUUCCACCUGGGCAAUGCUUCAGAUAGUUGACCUAGCAGACAACAACUUUAGUGGUAAGUUGCCAGAAAAAUGCUUCUCGACCUGGACAGCAAUGAUGGCGGGUGAAAAUGAAGUCCAAUCCAAGCUCAAACACCUGCAAUUUAGGGUUCUACAAUUCAGUCAAUUGUACUAUCAGGAUGCUGUAACAGUUACCAGCAAAGGUCUAGAAAUGGAGUUGGUGAAGGUCCUAACUCUCUACACCUCUAUUGACUUGUCGUGCAACAAUUUUCAAGGGGACAUACCAGAAGUGAUGGGGAACUUCACAUCGCUCUAUGGUCUCAACUUAUCGCAUAAUGGUUUCACAGGCCAUAUCCCAUCGUCAAUAGGGAAUCUGCGACAACUUGAGUCAUUAGACCUCUCGCAAAACAGGCUGAGUGGAGAGAUACCUACACAGCUUGCGAACCUAAAUUUCCUUUCAGUCCUGAACCUCUCAUUCAAUCAAUUGGUGGGAAGGAUCCCACCAGGUAAUCAAAUGCAAACAUUUUCAGAAGCUUCUUAUGAAGGGAAUAAAGAACUGUGUGGGUGGCCUCUGGAUCUAAGUUGCACUGAUCCACCACCAUCUCAAGGCAAGGAAGAAUUUGAUGACAGGCACUCAGGUUCCAGGAUGGAGAUUAAGUGGGAAUACAUAGCUCCUGAAAUUGGGUUUGUGACAGGAUUGGGAAUCGUGAUUUGGCCUCUAGUGUUGUGCAGGAGAUGGAGGAAAUGCUACUACAAACAUGUUGAUAGAAUUCAUUCAAGGAUUCUCCAAGGAAGAGCAAGUGGUGGAAGAAGAGCUCACAGAAUUCGGAGGCGGAGAAUGUAGCCGUGGUGCAGAGGGAUGAAGUGAUUAGUCAAGAGUCCAUUUCCAUUAAUCCAAUCCUAUGUUUCAUUGAAGGAAUAUUAAAAAGGGGUCAUAUUAUUGGAUGGACCUUCAGUCCGUGUGUCAAAUGUGAUUCUGGCUUGCUUCUUAUAAAUUUAAUCGAAUGCAUAAUUUUAUAUUUGGACAAUGUCAUGGUGAAGUAGAUUUUCAAAGUAACAUUAUUCUUACUUUUUAGUGAUGCGAGUAUCAAUGUGCUUCUCUAAAAUAUUAUACUAAUAAAGAAUUUAAGUUGUAAAACCACUUCAUGAAAGCUUUUCUACAAAAGCAUCAAAUCUUAAAUUUGGCCAAAAAACUUUUUAACCUUCAAAUCUCUUUGGUUUUAGUCAAUAAAAGCCAUUUUGACCAAUGUAAGGAUUUUUAAAUAUUAAAAAAUUUAGCCAAGAAAAAAAUAUAACGUGUUAAAUUUAAGAAAUUUGGAAACUCUUCUUCUUCAGGGAAGGCAUUCAAGCUGAGCAGGAGAUGGUCUAGGAUAUGUUGGCUGGAUGUGGGCCCGAGUUGGGUCAAACUUGAUUGGCUGGAUUUCGGUCAUUAAUAAAAUAUGGGCCUGAUUGGGACAAACGAAGAGCAGCCGAGGUAGCUAGGACCAUAUUCAGCCCAAUCAACACAUCUCAAGCCAUAAGGGAUACAACAUUGAUAAGCAAGUAAUUAUCAUACUAGGUAGUAAGGUGGCUGCCCAUCUACUUAUAAAAGUUUCAUCCUCUUACAGGCUUUCACAUUAAAUUUGGAAAUGGUUCUCACUUUAUUUUAUUUUUUACCACAUUUUUUUAUUAUCUUGUUAAUUUAUAGGAACAAAAAAUCUUUAUCAUUUUUUUUAUAGUCCAUUGUUCCAAUGAAAUUAUUAAACAAUGAUAAGAGUGAGAUUUUCAAAAGUAGAAGAUGAAUCAAUAUAACUUGCAAAUUCUUAGAUUUUAAUGGAAUUUGAAAAUUACUAAUAUUAUUAUGCAAGUGAAAUAACAACAUGAACUUGAAAAAUUAAACCCAAAACCAUCUCUAAAAUUAUCAAUAUCCAGGCCCAACUUCACAUUCAACUUGAAUAUCUCUAAACAAGUUUAGUCCUUUCUGUUUUUCAAUUUUCUUUCACUUUUUUUUUUUUCUAGAAUUAGACACUUUUUGGAUACCAUGAAAAAGAUUGCUAGCUAGGAAUGUAAAGCAUGGUUUUUUAGCUAGAAUGAUAAGUUAAGUGCUCAUAUAUAUUUUGAAUCAAAUUUAAGAGAAAGUUCCUUACGACCCUUAGUGAAUUGAUUUUCACUUAACUACCCAUAUUUCUAAUAUGAUACAAGGAUUCCAUAUAAUCCAAAUAAGAACUUUAUUUUUAUGUGAAAUCUAAUCAAAGCUCUAGUUGAAGCCAUCUAAAUUUAUUAUUUGAUAUUUAAGCUCUAAUUGAAUCCAUUAGAAUUAUUAUUUGAAUUUUAUACAUAUUAGACAUCAUUUAGACUUGUUUUAGACAAUUCAUAUAUCUUGUUUUCCAGGAAAUUUGAUUUCUUCGUCCAAACUUGAUGUAUUGGAACAUACUUUCAAAUUUAAUUAGGAACAAAUGUCUCAAUUUUUCUCAAAUAAUCAUCUUUUUCAUUCUAAUAUCUUACAUGAUGAUUUGUAGAAGUUGAAACUCGAUAACCUUUUUACUAAGAUCCUUGUUACCUUGCACUAUAAUGUUUAGUAGAUAAGCUUUUAGUUUUCUAGUGACACAAAUGUUAGAGAUUAGUAGAGAAUGGAAAUCUUCCAAACCUAGAUUUUACUGAUACUCAACGUGUAUGUGGACUGCAUUUGAGUAAAACCAACCAAACACACUAAGAAAUAAGCUACUUGGAAAAAAAUAAUAAAAAUUAUAUUAGAAAAAAAUCCAUAUGCUCCUGCAAUAGAGUUGACAACAAUUUACAAAGACAAAUAAAACAUUCAUAAGAAAAGAAUGUAUACAAUUUAUUCAUAUCUUUAGGCCAUGAGAUUACUAUAUAAUGUUGCAAAAUGGAGUUGACACACCUUAGAAAGGAUCUAAUGUGUUAUUCUUUAAAUCUAAAGGUUCUGAUACCAAUUGUUAGAAAAACACCCACUAUAUAUAGAUUAAAGAGUGCAACUAAGAUUCUAGGCAUAAUGAAAAUGAAAGUUGUUUAAUUUUUCAAAAAAUUAUUCUAGGAUGUUCUUAGAAAACAUACCUUUGGAUUCAAAUGUUCCCAGAUAUUUUUUCCAAUUUGCAAUAGAAAUCUCGAAUGUCUCGUGACAUUUGGAUCUUGUCUAUGGAUAAGUAUAGACUUUUCUCUAGAGGGAGUGAUGGCUACUAGGGUUUUCUUUAAACUAAGUGAAAGACAACAACUAGUCUAAGCUUAAAUGACUAAGAGGAUUUAAAUAGACUCUCAACUAGGCUUAAAUGACUAGGGUCUAUCCCAUAGGUUUGGAUCAAUUAAUUAGCCUAAUGGGUCUUAUUUAAUUAAUUAGCCUAUUGAGAAUGUCUAUUGCCACCUUCCUAAACCACCAAUAGUCCAAUCCAUUAGGAAUAUAUGAUCACUUAGGAUCUUACCAUUUGUCAUGACUUUUGGUAGGUCUUAUUCAAUAUGUAACCAUACAUGCUAGCACAUUUACUAUGUGAAAACCAUCCUGAUACCUAAGACAUGUCAUCCAAAAAUUAGGAGGUAAUGCAUUAUAAUUUCUAUAGAUUGUCAUCUUAGUCCGUGAACCAACCUUAAACAAGCUUAUCCCAGAAUUGCCAAAAGGGGAGAUCGUAAGUGAUUAUCAAGGUUGGCAAUUCUAUGCAAAAAAAAAUUAUCCAACCUUCUAAUUUAGUUUUUCGAAUCCUUCCUUGGGCUACUGGCCUAAUGAAAAUCAAGUGUUGAAUUUUCUUAAAGGUCAAGGUAUAUAGUUGAGAUUGUAGAUGGGUGAAAUUAAAUCAACCAAAAUUUUCAAAUUGCUAUUUAUCUUGAACUAUUUUUUAUUUUUUUUUAAAGUGUUGAAGAGGCAAAGGCAACAAGUUUUUUCAACUAAGUGUUCAUGUGCCCUAUACCAGGAUCAAUCCAAAUUUGGGUAAGAUUGAUCCAAUUUUUGUUUGAUCUUUUCUUAGCCAUUAGAUCAAGGGUUUCUUUCCUUUUAAGACCAAAAUGCCUUCAGUUUGGGAUUAAGGAAAGACUUGUCGUCGUUCUUCUUCCCUCUUGUGCUCUCUCUAUCCUUACCUAAUUAAGGGUAUUUGAAAAAAAAAUACAUGUUCAUUUUGAUUUCCAAACUAUUUUCUAAUGGAUUUUCUUAUAAAUAAAAAAAUGGGUUUCUUUUGUUCCAUUCAUCUCUCAAUUUCCUAUCUAUUUAGGUUUUGAGUAGAAACCUAUUUUCUUAUUGAUUGAGCUUCCAAAAGAGGCUGAGAUCAAUCUUGGUCAGGACUCCAAGUAUGUUUCGGAAGAUGGAAGCAUAUGGCUGAAGUAAGAAGGUGUUGGUCAAGUUGUUUGUUAAGGAUUAGUAGACUUGAGCUAAGUAAAUUCUUAUACACAUUAAUUAUUCUUCAUAGUAGAUUUCUUUAUCAUUGACCGGCCCAUGGUUUUUUUCAUCUCUUAAGAGAUUUUCCACAAAAUCUAAUGUCAUUGUCUCUCUUUUUCUCAUUCUACUCUUUGAUUUAUUUCUAGUUAUCGAUAUCAUCUGUUACUUGAGCAUGUAUGUUGAAAUGAUGAAAUAUGAGUUGAAAUUGGUGUGAUUAUCUUUUGGAUAUAUUUUGAAUAAUUUUUUGUUCAAUUUGAUAAAGAUAUCAAGAAGUAAUUGAAAAUAUAUUAAGGAGGAUUUUUUCUUAUAAAUUUGUGUUAAGGAGUGUUAAAGCAUUUACAUAUGACUUGCAUUUAUAAAUUGUUAGAAGUAUAUUGAUGUAUCCAUGCUUGCUUGUGAUUUUUAUUUAUUAUUGAAAAGUAUUUGAAGAGAGGAAUAUAGGUUGUGAGAAAUUUUAACGAAAGAUAAUAUAUGUUGGGAAACCGUUUUUGAAUUUUUAAAAAAAAUACUUAUUCCCUUCUCCUCCUAUAGGUGUAGUUCAUCAUUGAGAUUCACUCUCAAAUUCUUUUAAGGAUUCCCCGCAACUAAGACCAAGGAAGAGCAAAUCAUGGAAGCAGGGCUUCCAGGACUUAGAGGCCAAGAAUCUAGCCACCACUAGUGAGAAGGAUCUAGUUUGAGUGUAUUGUAUUUCUAUUAGAUAGAAAAUAUGCUUUCUACCAAUUUGUAAAAAAGCUUUAAACGUACCUAAAAUAAAAUUCUAAUUUGGGAGAUCCAUGAAGUCAUUCAAGUUAAGAGGUUAAGAUAUGUUGGCUAGAUCUGGGCAAGAGUUGGGUUACACGUGAUUGGCCCAAUUGGUACAAAGCAAGACCAACUAAGGUAGUAGGCCCAUGUUCAGCCCAAUCAACACAUUUGAAGCCAUUAGUAGUUUAGUAAAGAUGUAAGAAAGAAAAAACUUCAUCAUUUUUCUCUUAAUCCAUUCUUCCAAUCAUCAUUUUAUCACUUCCAAGAAAGAUUAAACAAUGAGACAAGUACGAGAUUUUUCAAAGUAAAUCUUGAAUCAAUAUAAUUUCUUAAUUCUUAGUUCUUAAUGAAAUUUGAAAAUAAUGAAUAUCUUUAUACAAGUGAAAUAACAGUAUGAACUUGAAAAAUAAAACACAAAACCAUAUUCUCAAAUUAUCAAAGUCCAUGCCCAACUUGACAUUCAAAUCAAGUAUCUUUAAACAAGUUGGAGCAGGGAUUUCGUGUCAUUCCCUCCCCCUCGAAGAGUCCUUGUCCUCAAGGACGGAACUCCGGGUAUGCUUCGCUAGUCCAAUCUCCACAAGCCAAUCCCCAAACUCCUUAUUGAUCUUCCUCUCGAUAUACGAUCGAAUCUCCGGGAUCUGCUUCUCUAGCAUUUUCCGCAGCGUCGACGACGGAGUUUUGUCAAUGAANNNNNNNNNNNNNNNNNNNNNNNNNNNNNNNNNNNNNNNNNNNNNNNNNNNNNNNNNNNNNNNNNNNNNNNNNNNNNNNNNNNNNNNNNNNNNNNNNNNNGGAGAACGCAUGGCGAUUCUCCAAAGCAUACCCGGUAGUUUCGUCCUUAAGGACAAGGACUUUUCGAGGGGGAGGGAAUGAUACGAAAUCCCUGCUCCAACUCCUAUUUGCUUGCAGAUCACAGUUACGUGGGCAACACCUCAACACCUAGCUUGAAUUUUGAUUUGUUGCUACCUCCCUAGACUUAGGCCACUAUUUGUGUUUCAGUUGAUGUUUCAAUUGUCUGUGCAUCUAUAAAUGCACCUGCAUGAAGUUAAUAAAGCAUGGCAGAAUUCAAAACUUCUAUCUCCUAUCUCUCCUGUCAUCUCUUAAAUUAAACUCAUCAACUAGUUGUAAUCACCAACACCAGAAUGAGAAGUAAUCAUUGCAACAAGUUGAUUGUUUACAGAAGGUUGAAAAGAAUGAUCAAAACGAUAAUAGCAAUUGACCAUAUUUGUCACAAAUUUGGCAUUGUGGCCUACCACCAUUUCUAGAAAAAUUAGGUCCUGAGAAAUUAGCAAAAUUGUUUCCAAAAUUACCUUGAUUAUUACCUCUACCUGAAUUUCCCUUGGAAUAGAAACCACGUCCGCAACGACCAAACUGUUUCUGAUUGAAUUGCGAUAGACUCUGGUUAAGGUUUCUUCUUUGAAACUUGCAUUGACUAGUCCUUUGAUUUUUUAUUUUUUUUAUAGUUGUUUCCUUGCGAUUGUAGAAAGGCUACGCUUGCUUGAAGAAGAUUGGUUUCAUCAGUGGCAUUCUGUUGCUCUAAGCGAUGCUUGUAACUAAGCAACAUAUUAUGUGUCUCUUCUAAAUGCAGAGGUUCAUGCUUAGAUGUUAUAGAGACCACAAAGGAGUUGUAAUCAGCUGCUAAACCGCCAAGCAAAAAAAGAACGUGGUCUUGUUCAAAAAUUGAUUCUCUGAUUGCAAUAAGAUUAUAUGCAAUAGAUUUCACCUUGUGAAGAUAUUCCAUCAUAUUCAAACCAUGUUUCUUCAUAGUCUGAAGUUAAAGACGAAGUUGCAUAAUUCUAGCCUUUGAUGCAGCAAAGAAGAAUUUCUCGAGAGCACUCCAGAUUUCAGAAGUGGAAGUGAGACCGAUGAUUUGAGACAUUACAUUCUCGAAGAGAGAUGAAUAAAUCCAGCACAUGACUAGAAGAUUUUGUCGUUGCCAAAUCUGAAAAUCUGGGUUCGUACUUUUAGAGUUCUCAAGAAAUUUUGGAAGACAAGGUCGUGAGCCAUCGAUCAUCUCCUCAACUCCAUUAGCGAUUACAAUAUUCAGCAUCUGAGUACGCCAUAGAAGAUAAUUUGAGCGAUCAAGCCUGAUGGUGAAUGCUUGAUUCAGAGAUUGCAUUAUCGAAGUUGUAUUUGGGCUUGAACUAGUACCAUUUUGGUGAGAACAACAAGUAUAGAGGAAGAGAAAUCUUCAAACAUCAUGGAAAGAGAGCUUCAAGGAUCACAAGCUCUAAUACCAAGAUAAAAUAUAAAGAUCUGCCUCUUAUUUGAGAGAGUGUUACAAAGAGAUAUCUUGAAGAAGAAAGUUUCCUCUGUUUUUUAUUCUUAGUCAAAUACCCAGUACUCACAGUGAAUGUUGAAAUUGGUAUGUUUCUUUUUGCUUAAAACUUUGGAUCCUAGCCAUCCAAAAAAAAAAAAAGGCUUAACCAAUAAUUGAUAAGUGUCUGCUGAAUGUAUGAUCCAAAAAUUAGGUAAUUUAAUAUUUUAAAAAGUUAUUUGGAAAUAUAUUUAUAUUGGGAGUAAUAUUACAACAAUUUCAAUGUAUAUUACAAUUCAACGACUUCAAUAUUAUAUUUUUAAAAUAAAAUUUUCAUUAGGAAUAAAUAAUUUAUAAAACUAUGUAAAUAGAAAAUAGACAUAAAAAAAAUCGAGGGCAGUUGUAAUUAUUCAAAUAUAAUGAGGAUGAAAAUAGUAUAGGCAAUAUAAUUUGAGACCGGAAAACAAAACACAAAUAUAUAUAUAUAUGUAUAUAGAUAAAGAGGGAAUAACAAUAAUCAUGUAAUUCAUUUUUAUACGGAGUUUUAAGUCACUAUUAAUAUUAUUUUUGAAAAUAAAUUUUAAAAUUAGAAAGAAUUUAAAAUGUAAAGAGGGUAUGAAAAUUGUGAACAAUGUACUAAAAAUGUGAAGCAUGUAAACAUGGUACAAAAAAUGUAAGGAUCCUUAUAUUCUCCUCAUGUUUUUCAUAUCCUUCAAAUUUUACAUUUUGUUUAAUUUUAAAAUAUAUUUUUGAAUUGAAAUUACUAUAAAAUAUAUUAAUAAUGUUAUUUUGAGUUACUAUUAAUAGCAUUUUUGAAAAUAAAUUUUAAAAUUUUUAAAAUUUAAAAGGGUAAAAACAUGUGAGGAAGGUAAAAAAAAAAUAUAAUGAAGGUAUGAAAAAUAUGAAGAGUGUAUGAAAAAUAUGAUAGUACAAAAUAUAUGAGCAUGGUACAAAAAAUAUGAGGAUGCUCACAUUCCUAGUAACUUCUUCAUAUUUUUCCUAACCUCCAAAUUUUAAAUUUUUUAAUUUUAAAAUUUAUUUUUCAAAUUAAAAUUUCUAAUAAUAUUAUUCUGAUUUACUAUUGAUAGCAUCUUUGAAAAGAAAUUCUAAAAUUAAAAAAAAAAUUAAAGAGGGUGCAAAUCUUGUUAGGAAUGUAUGAAAAUAUGAGGAUGCAAAAAAUGUAAAAAGGGUAAAAAGAAUGUAAUUUAUUUUUUGAAUUAAAAUUAUAUUUAAAAUAAAAUAAUAAUAGAAUUUCCGGUUACUAUUAAUAGUAUUUUCGAAAAUAAAUUUUAAAAUUAAAAAUUUAAAGAAAACACAAAAAUUGUGAGAAAAGUAUAAAGAAUGUGAGGAUGAUAUGAAAAUGUAAAGAUCCUCAUAUUUUUCAUACCCUCUUCACAUUCUUGGUACAAUCCUCAUAUUUUUUAUUCUCUUAUCACAUUCUUUGUACCCUUCUCAUUUUCUUCAUACCCAUUUUUUAUACUCUUCUCACAUACUUUGUACUUUCAUCAUAUUUUUCAUACCCUUCUCACAUUUUUGUUAUAACCUCCAAAUUUUAUAUCUUUUUAAAUUAUAAGAUUCUUUUAAAAAAAGACUAUCACUAUUUCAUCUCAUCCUCUCCAUAUAAAAUUUAAAAUUACAAUAAAAGAAAUUAAUAAUACUAUUUUGAGUUAACAAUAAAUAAAUUUAAUUUUCUAAUUUUAAUAAUAACUACUUUAACUAAUAUAUUUAUGAAUGAUUUUUUUCACAUGAUCUUAAAGUUAUAACUUUAUAUCAUAAAAUAAAUAACAAUUAUUCUUUUAUGAAAUUUUUAUUAUUGCUUAAUAGAAGUAGAUUUGGAUAAUCAUUAAAUUUUUUUGUAUCCUUAUAUCCAUCAAGCCCAUUCCACACCCAAUACUUUUAAAAUUAAAACUAAUUAUAAGCCCAUAUUUGAUCCAAAACACUAAGCCCAAUUCAAUGACAAGAAAUGCUUGUAAAACUUAUAUUUGGGUCAUGCCUCCAAGCCCAAUUUGCUGGCAAGUUUGACUUACCAAGGAUGUUACAAGGUAUUUAUAGAGUACUUAAAGUACAUAGAAUUCAUGUGAUUCCAAUAUGGGAUUGAGACUACGUUGCUUCUUGGAGAGCUCUUAAAUAUUUAAGUUUAAAGUCUUUGAACCAUUGAGCAUUGUACCAUAUUUAUUAAAUGAUGUUGUUAAAAAAAAUUAUAUAUAAUAAGAAUCUAAUAUUAAUGUUUUUAUUUCAAAUUUUUUAUCAUAGAAAAUCUUUAAAGAAAUGUAAAUAUUUAAAUUCCUAUUUAUUUUUACAAUAAUAAUAUGAUAAUAAUUAUAAAAAAUAAUUUAAAUUAAUUAAUAUAAUAAUUUUAAAACAAUAAAAUACAAAGACAAAAAAAUAAAAUUAAAUAUUAUUAAUUUUUUCAUCUUAAAUAUAUCUUUAUUCUUAAAUAUUAAUUAUAUAUUUCUAUUUAAUAAAAUUUAAAAUAUUAAACUUUAUGAUUUAAUUUAAUAUAGCAAAUAUAAAAAUUAAACAUUAUUAAAAUUUGUAAUUUUAUAUAAUAUAUAAAUUAUAUAUUUAUUGCAUCACCGAUUCAAUUGCAGUUCAACCGUAGAUUCAACCAAUGAACCAUAAACCGGUAAUUUUUUCGAUUAAAUGACCAGUCCCAUUAUGAAAAUAUUGUAUAAUAUUCCAUCCAUUUAAAACAUAUGUUAAUGGCCUGGUGACUCUGGAAUGAGUUUUUUCUUAAUUUUUUAUUUUGAUUCACUCUAAAUGUAUCUCAUUCCAUUGGUUCAAAAAUGUGAGUGUGGUACUAAAAAGUACCCUACAAACUAGUUCAGACCAUUUGCAAAUAACAUUUCAAAUUUAGAUUUGUAGAAAGUUACCCAUAACUUUUCUUAUCCAAUCAUCGAGUAGUAAUUUUCAAGAUUAAUCCAAUUGAUUGUUAGAAUUCAAGUUCCCUUACCAAGUUCAAUCCAAAUCUAUUUUCUAAAAAAGUUUCCAUUUAGUAAAAAUAUAUGUUUGAGUUGCCCAGGUUAGUCGGAUUUGCAACUAUUGUUUAAACCUAACAUCAAUCUUUUACCAAUACAUUGAAAUUUAUUUAAAAAUAAAAAAACUAUUUAUAAUCUAUUUAACUAGAAGUUUAAAUGAAUCGAAAACAAAUACAAAUGAUUUGAGAGUGAGGGGGCAGUUUGUAAGAGGACCCUUUUGGUCUCAUCCAAAGUAAUGAAUUCCAUAUUGGUAGGCCUUCUGCUUCCCUCGUUUUCUUCCCAACUACCAGCCCCUCCUCACCAAACAUUAUCACUGCAUUUGUCGAUGUCCAACUUGGGUGUGGAGACUUGCAAGGAAAUUAAUUACUACAUAAAAUGUGGUGAAGUUUCGUAGAAUAAUUGUAACAAUAGCUUAGCUUGAUAGGGUUUAUUGGAGAGGACACAUAGCAAUGACUUGGGAAAUUUUAGAAAAUGAUGGGAUUAUAAUGAUGCCCAAUCGAGGAAGUAAAAAUACUUGGUAUUAAAAGCUAAAAGGAUAGAUGAAAUGUUUAUUAGAAGACUUUGAGGUCUUCUUGCUCAAGUCAAUAAGCUAAGUCUUCUUUAAGACUUGAGCAAGAGUACUACAUGUUCUCUUUUCCACAACCACUCCUGUCACUGUCACAACUAAAUUUCAUGACGCUUCCUACCGAAGUAUCGAAGUCGAGGUGCACCAAGACUUCAGUUUCAGUGUGAAUACCUUUCCCCACGAAGAGAUGUAAUGAAGCAACUUUAUAAAUCAUUGUGAAGUUUCUACGUAAUUAUAACUAUAUUUAUAGUUAUUACGAUUAAAAUUAAUAGAUGGAAACAAAAAAGUUCGGCAUAUUGUUUGGAAUAGAGAAAAGUCUUGGCAAUGAAGGCCACCUUUUCCGUGGUCCUGGAAAUGUUGUGUUAAUUCAUGAUCGGUUCCUAAAGGAAAAUUCUGACAAAAUCGUUAGAGAAAAAAGUGUAAGAAAAUGAUGAAUUGUGAUGUGACUUGAAAUGGAGUAGAUAGGAGGAAACAAGGAAGGAAAAAUCGAAGAAGUAAAUAUCAUUAAGUAAUGAAAUCACCGAAUUGGUUGGUAUGAAUAAGAUAAACAGGAAAAAUCUGUACUAUAUAUAUUUAGAAUGCUGUGGUGUUUAUGUAUAACUAGAACCCCCUUUUUUUUCCUCUUCUAAAUCAUAUUGAACAUGAUUUGUUGUAGCAGUAUCUCCCUGCUGCUUCCAUUGAGAAUUCAGCUGUUUUCAUGGCUUUAUUUCUUGCCUUUAUAUUCAAUCUUUUUCGGUAUCCAUGUUGCUUUCGUGUCCGGCGAAUGUCUCAUAUGCCGGGAGGAUCAGAUGUCUUUGUUGCUGCAACUGAAGAACACCCUCAAAUUCAAUGCUGCUGCAUCAAGUAAUCUAGUUUCCUGGAAUCCGAGCACAGAUUGCUGUUCUUGGAGAGGUUUAACCUGGGAUGCCACUGGUCAUGUUGUCGCUCUUGAUCUCAGUAGCCAAUCAAUUUCUGGUGGAUUCAGUAGCUCCAGUAGCAUUUUCAGUCUACAACAUCUCCAGAGCUUGAAUUUGGCUAACAACACCUUCUACUCCUCUCAGAUUCCAUCAGGAUUCCACAAGCUUGUUAACUUGACUUACCUGAAUUUGUCGAAUUCCGGCUUUUCUGGGCAGAUUCCAAUCGAGAUUUCACUGUUGACAAGGUUAGUAACAAUUGAUUUCUCUACCCUUUAUUACAUCCCUGGAGCUCCUACAUUGAAACUUGAGAACCCAAAUCUGACAACGCUGGUUCAGAACCUCAAUGAGCUCAGAGAACUCCAUCUUAAUGGUGUAAACAUAUCGGCCGAGGGGAAGGAUUGGUGCCAGGCAUUAUCAUCUUCAGUGUCUAAACUGCAAGUGCUGAGCUUGUCCAACAGUUUUCUUUCUGGUCCUAUUGAUUCUUCUCUGAAGAAGCUUCAAUCCCUCACGAGGAUUCAUCUGGAUAACAACAAUUUUUCUGCUCCAGUUCCACAUCUCUUUGCAAAUUUCUCAAAUUUGAUUCACUUGCAGCUCAGUUCUUGUGGAUUAUAUGGAACAUUUCCAGAAAAGAUCUUUCAGUUACGGACCCUCAAAAUUCUUGAUUUGUCAAAUAACAAGGUACUUGAGGGUUCUUUGCCAGAAUUCCCUCUGAAUGGAUCUCUAGAAACCUUGGUGCUCAGUGAUACAGAAUUUUCAGGGGAAGUACCCAACUCCAUAGGCAAUCUCAAGAGGUUGACUGGAAUAGAGCUUGCGCGGUGCAAUUUCAGUGGUUCAAUCCCAAAGGCGAUGACAGACCUUACUCAAUUGGUUAACUUGGACUUCUCUCAUAAUAACUUCUCUGGUCCAAUCCCAUCUUUCAGUUUCUCCAGGAAUCUCACCCAAAUAAACGUUUCUCAUAAUUAUUUAGCAGGUCAGAUUCCUUCCUCUCACUGGGAUGGUCUUGUGAGUCUAGUGACUCUUGACUUAUCUGGUAAUGGUUUCACAGGGCAAAUCCCAUCAUCACUAGGACAGCUCCGACAGCUUGAGUCAUUAGACCUCUCACUGAACAAGCUGAGCGGGGAGAUCCCUACACAGCUCACUACCCUUAGUUCCCUUUCAUUCCUGAACCUCUCAUUCAAUCAAUUAGUGGGAAGCAUCCCAAAAGGUGGUAAAUUUCUAAGGUUUUCAGAAAAUUCUUUCGUGGGUAACAGAGGAUUAUGCGGCUCCCCCCUAAAUGCAAGUUGCGAAGAUGCUACACCACCGACGUCUGAGGAGAUUCAGUGGAAAUAUAUAGCUCCUGAACUUGGAUUUGUGACAGGGUUGGGAAUUGUGUAUUGGCCUCUAUUGUUGUGCAAGAGAUGGAGGAAAUGUUACUACAAACAUGUUGAUGGAAUUCUUUCAAGGAUUCUCCAUAACCAAGACCAAGGAAGACAAAGUUGUGGAAGAAGAGCUCACAGAAUUCGGCGGCGGAGAAUGUAGCAGUGGCGCAGAGGGAUGUAGCUACUCAUCAAGAGUCUUAUCUGUUAUCCAUUUUGAUCUCCAUUAUCACCAACAAUAGAAACUGAACAUAUAUAUAUAUAUAUAUAUAUAUAUAUAUAUAUAUAUAUAUAUAUAUAUCAAUCCUGAAAACAUGUCAUGAUCUCCAGAUAGGGAAUCAACGAACCUGAGUCCGUUUUGCUUUUCGUUUUGAACAAGGUGUGGAUCUUCUAAGGUUGUGGAGGGUACCACCUCUUACUGAAUUCUCUCUGACGAUGGGAGCGGGAGAGAAACGAGUCUAUUCUUAUUUCAAAAUGAUGUGAUGAAUUUGAACAGACACUUAAUCUUUGGAUUUAUACCCUUUGCCUUAGGGACCAUACCCUUUGACUAUUGGGUCUCACGAGUCUUAGGCCCAUCAUGUGAUGGCAAUGGGCUUUACACAUAAGGUGGUUCAUACUAUGGAAAACCGAUACAAAGUAAAUAUCAAAAGGCGAAUAGCUUAGUCAUGUACCAUUGUUAAACAUGUGUGAGUCCAUAUCUUAACAUUAUCUACAUCAAUGCAAUCCUCUGUUUGAUGAAAGAAACAUUAAAAAGGGGUCCCUUAUUGAAUGGGCCUUCAUUUAGUGUGUUAAAUGUCAUUAAGUGAAUGCAUAAUUUUAUAUUUAGAAAAUGUCAUGGUGAAGAUUUUUGACAAUCAUAGGAAUUAGAUUUUCAAAGUAACAUUAUUCUUACCUUUUAGUGAUCCAAUAUCAAGGGGAUUCUCUAAAAUAUUAUAUAAAUAAAAAGUUUUUAUUUAACAAAGAAUUUAAUUUUCAAACCACUCCAUGAAAGCUUUGUUAGAAAAUCAAGUAAAUAGAAUCUCAUAAUUUUAGUUUAAUGAACUAAAACAAAUCUACAAAACUCACCUUAUGUCAUUACGAUAAAGAUCACCUUAACGUAAAUAGUUCACAAUGUUAUGUCAUUUUGGUAGCACCUUACCACUUUGUAUCAGUAUUAACACCUUAUAUCUUCCCUCUUUUUUACUUUUUCUCACUUAAUGUACAUACAAAUUAUGGGAAACCUUAGUAACUUAUAAUCAAUGAUGAAAAUAUCGGUAAUUACGGAUAUAUUGGUUCUUCGAUUUUACAGAUAUAUCGGUGGAUAUUUUGGAAAAAAAAUAUCGAUAGACCAAAAAUUGAUUAAAAUUCAUGGAAAUGUAAAAAAAAAAAAAAAAAAAAAAACUCUUAUUAAAAUAUAAUUAAAAAUGUAAUAGAAAUUUUAAAGUUGUUUUAUUAAAAAAUUUGAUAUAUGUAUAAUAUGAUUUAUCAUAUUUGAUAAUAAUAUCAUAUGCGUUGAUAAAAAAUAUGAAUUUUGUAAGUGUAUUUUUAUUAUUAAAUUAUAUCAAAUAUUAUUUCAUAAUAAUAUUGUAAUAUUUGAUUAUAAUAUAACUAAUUUAAAAAUAUAUUUAAUAUUAAAAUUAUGAUUCAUUUCAUUCAAUUGUAUUAAAUGAUAUAAAAUAAAUUGUCAUAUAUGUAUAAUUUUUUAAUAUUUAAUUAAUCUAUUAAUGAUAUUCAAAACACUAUGAAAAAAAUUAUCAUGAUAAUUUUUAUAUUUUUGGUAAUCAAUUAAAUGAAAAUUUUUUAUUUAAUUAUAAAAUAAUUAUAAUUAAUUUGUUCUCUAAAAAUAUUCUUUUAGGCUAUGUUUGGUUCUCGGAAAAUACUAAGGAAAGAAAAAAAAAAUACAAAGGAAAAUGAUUUUUUCAUGUUUGGUUGUCCUAUGAAAAAUAUCAAAGAAAAUCAAAUAUAAUUAAAACUAAUUAAAAACUUAUACAUUUUUAAAUUAUUUAAUUUUUAUAUUGAUGAGUUAAAAUAAAUAAAAUGAGUUUAAAGUAACAAAAAAAAAAUUGUCGACUUUUAAUCUAUUUUUUAUUUUCCUUCAUUUUUUUUUCCUUUCACUUUUCCUUUAUAUUUUUUUUCCCUUACAUUUUCCCUCAAAUUUUCUGGGAACCAAACAUAGCUUUAAUAUUUUGUUUAUAUGAUAGUUUUGAAUAUAAAUAUGUUAAGUGCAAUAUAAUAAACAAGGAGGAUACUUACUCCAAUGGUAAACAACAAAAUUAAAAGGCAAUUUUAAGCUUAAUUGAAGCACACUAUAAUGCUUUCACUGUGUCACACUAAAGCGGUAUUGACCCGUGUUGACCACCCAAAAAAUCAAUGAAGUAUCACCGUAUCGACGAUUUUUCCCAAAAUUUCACCUAGGUGAUAUUUCUUCUAUGCUUACAAUGAGUGGACGGAGGGAAGGACCAAGAGUCCUUUUAUAUCAUAUAAAUGACCUUCCUUUAAAAGUCAUAAUGAACAUUUUCUACUAGAUUAUAUGAGUCAACCUUUUCCAAUUUCAUGUAGUAUUCAUAGUAUAUGAAAACUUCAAUGUAGGUACAUGACUUUGGUCAUUGUAUUUUAUACACAAUUUGAUAGGUAUGACUUUGGUCAUGAUACCUUAUAUUUUUCCAUAUACCUUAUACAUUUAAUCUUCGAGCAUAUAUGAGAUGUAUAAUAUGAUAAAUGUAAAUACAUGAAGGACACAAUAUUCCAACCAGCUUUACUAUAAAAGUAUCAAAUCUUAAAUUUAAUCGACAUUAACGUAAUAUGACUACUCCUUGACUAAUGCUAAUGAAUCUUGAACAUUGACUAAUGAUUUAUUGUUAAAAAAUAGAAGAAAAUGACUGAAACUAUCCUCUAAAGUUAGUCAUAAUCUUUAAUGCAUAUUCGUUAAUAGAUUUGAUGAAUGUGUAAAGAAGUUUUUUAAUUCAAAACUAUAAUAUCUAACAAUUACACUUUAGUCUCUCAUGAUUCUAAAAUUACACCGACAUCUUUGACAAUAUUCAAAACUAUCCUCACUCAUAUUCCUCAACCCUUUGAUUUGAUGAAAGCCCUAGUUGCUUUUUUACUAACAUCAACCAAUGUUGAAAAUUGACCAUUAAUUACCCAAUAAUUAUUGUUAAAAAAUGAAAGAAAAUGAAAAAAAAAACCCUCUAAACUUGUUUUCCAAUUUUUAGAAUGUGUUUGAUAAUGAUUUUAAAAAGUGUUUUUAACUUUUUUUAACAUUUGAAAAUUUUUAUCUUUCAAAUAUUAAAAAUGUUAUAAACAUUUCAUAAAAUUACUGUCAAACGUAGUCUUAGUUCAAUAGACCUCAUUAUCUAAUUAAUCUAACCAAAAUUUUAAAAUAAAAGACUUAAUUAAUUUAAAUUAAACACUCCUAAAAUGCCCUUAAUCCUAAUUAAUUUUUUUAUACAUAAUUAAUUCUAAUUAAUUUUUAAUAAAUAUAUUAAUCAUAAUUAACUUCAGACUAUCAUCAAUUAGAAUAAUUAAAAAAAAUUUAAAUACUAAAAAGUCAAGAUAUUAAAUAAAAAUUACUUCCUAAUUAGUCUUGAAUAUUUUUUAUUCAAUAGAUUAAAUUUUGUUAACCUCAAUUUUUAUUAAUUAAAAUCACUAAAUUUUACUGUUCAGUAUCAUUUUUUUCCUUUUCCUUUUAGUUUUUCUUAAUAUUUUGUGUGCUAAAUGGGGAAAAAAAAAUGUCUAAACUUUCAAGACUUUUUAAAUCUGAAAUUAUUUUUUCUUUAAAAAAAAAAAAAUCUUUAUCAUCUUCCUAGACAAAAACCUAAUUUUUCAAAUUAAAUCCUAAAUAAAAAGAAAAAAGGGAAAAAAAAAGUUUGAAGCCUUGAAUUUGAAAUCCUAAAAUUUCUUUUUAAGGCUUUGUGCACUUCCAAAAAUACCAUAUCUUACCUUAUCUUAUUUCAUCAUUUCAUAUCAUUAAUUGUAAUUAAAUUUCUUUAAAUUUUUAUAUAUAAAAUCUAUUUAAUUUUAAUUAAAAAUGUAUAAUUAAAAUUUUUAUUAAAUAUUUAAUAUUAAUUAAUCUUAUAUUAUCAUUAAUUAAAAUUACUAAUAUUAAAAAUAAUAUGUUUUACAUAGACUAAUAUUAAAUAGUAUCCUUUCUAAAUUUAUUAAUACACUUUCAAAUUAAUUAAAAUACUAAUUAAUACACUAUUAAACCAAAAAUUUCCAAGUCAAAAUCUAAAUAUUAACUCUUGUGUACUUUUCAAAUCAAACCUUAAAUGAAGAAAAAGAUCUAAAACCCUAAAUCUAAUUUCUUUUUCAUUACAUUAACCUAUGGAGUUCAUAUCCGAAGACACCAAACACAUACUUAUUAGGAAGAUUUGAAGAGAAAGCAAGGUACAUCUAUCAUCAUGAAUACCCUUGGUGGUUUUGUUGUCAACAAAGAAAAGAUUUUUGACUCCAUUGACUCCUCAAUAAGAAGAUGCCUUCAAAUUGACUCAUAUGAUUGAAGGGAAUAUAGAUAUGAUUCUACAAAUGGUGUUUGAGAAGUAGGAAGAUUUGAACAAAAAGCAAGGUACAUAUAUCAUCAUGAAAUCCUUUAUAGUCUUGUUGUCGAUGAAGGAAAGAUUUUUGACUCAAUUGACACCUCAAUUAGAAGGUGACUUCAAAUUGUAUCGUAUCAUUGAAGAGAAUUUAAAUUUGGUUCUACAAAUGGUUAUUGAGAAGGAACUUGAAGAGAAAUGGAGGACUAAGGUUAUGUAAUUAUGGUUAGAGAUUGAUCCAAUGACUUCAUCAAAUCAAGAUUGAGGGAGAGAGGGGGCUCAAAUUCUUGAAAAGAUGGGGUUUUAGGAGUAAGUUUCUUUCUGCAUUGCAAAUUAAAACUUCAAAACAAGAAAAAAAAAAAAAAAAAAAAAGGAAAAAAGAUAAAUAGUGAAAAAAGAAAUUAAAAAAAAAAUCAACUUCAAAAGAAAGAAAAAAAAGUGAAUUAGUUCAAGUCACGUUUUGAUCAUGAUUUGUGCUAAAGAAAAAAAAAAUUGGAUUAUUUCACGUAUUUAUAAAAUGAAGCAAAAACAUAAAUCUUUUUAUGUUUAAAGAAUUAGGGGCAUUUUGGUAUUUUUAAUUUUUUGUGAAGGGAUUUUUAAUGGCCAUUAAGCAAAAACUUUUACAAGGGAUGUCACUGUAGUUUUAAGGGACUAAAAUAUAAUUUUUAGAUACCUCAAUCUCUGUCAGAAUAUUCAGGAAGGUAUUCAAGUUAAGCAGAAGAUAGGUUAAGAAUCUAAAGAUACAUUAGUUGAAUGUGGGCUAUUAAAAAAUCUGAGCCUGGUCUGGUCCAUGCUAGGACUCAAACUAAUGAGGGCCCAAGUUGGGUUAAACUUGGCUAGCUAGAUUUGGGUCGCUAAAAAAUAUGGGCCUGAUUGGCACAAACUAAAGACCAACAGAGGAAGCUAGGCCCAUGUUAAGACCAAUCAACACAUCUUAAGGCAUAAGGGAUUUAAGAUUGAUUAGUAAGGUGCUUGUCCAUCUACUUAUAAAAUUUACAUCCUUCUUAUUAGAUGUCUGGAAAUAUUUUUCAUUUUAUUUAUUUUUAGUAAUUCAUGCUGCCAAUCAUCAAUUAUCAUUUCCAAGAAUGAUUAAACAAUGAUAAGAACUUGACAAUCUAAAUGAUCAAAAUCCAUGCCCAACUUUGCAUUUGAAUUGAGUAUCACUAAACAAGUUGUGACACACCAAAUAGAAUUACACCUAUUUCAAUCUCUUCUCUAUUUCAUUUUUCUUUUCAACCCUUUUUUCUAGAAUUGAAAUCUCUAGGAGUCCUACAUCCUUCAAAUUAUACCCUACAAAUAAUUGUACAAUUUUUGGGUUGUCUUUCCUUACAAUAAUUUCUAAUUAACUUUCAUGUUAAGGUAAAAAAUCCAUUAGGUUCCCAAAGAAAGAAAAAACUUAUCUUGAAUGACUCAAGGAGGCAUGAGCACCUAAAACAACUUAUUGUUUUGUACUUGGCAAAGAAAAAAUUUAAAUAGUGGGUGCUCAAGAUUUAUGAGGGAGACCUCUCAAAGUUUGCAAGUCUUACUUAGAAUAAAUGUGCAUUUGUGCAUUAGUGUCUUUUUUCUUAUUAAAUUUUUUUUUUAUUAAAGGUUUAAAGCAUAAUUUGUUGAGCCUUAUGUAAACUUUAUGGCAAAUGUUUUAAAAUGAUAUUUGAAUCAACUUACUACAUCGUUAAAGGUAUUCAAGAUGAUAAAAUUAUUUUUAAGCAUCACAUAAGUAAACUAAUUAAUAUUAAAAAAUAUAAUGACUAUGAUAAUGACUUUUCUUCUAUAUAUAAUUAAAAUUGUUUGUGGCAUAAGGGGUUGGAAUAUGUUAACAUAGACCUCAUUAUCUAAUUCAAAAAAUAUAAAUUAUAAGAUGCCUUCUCAAAAUUAUUUUUGAGAAAAAUAAAAUUUGUUAAGCGUGAUAAAUGGGAAAAGCAUAUUAAAAAGAAUAUUUUAAAAACAAAAAUAUGAUUGCUAUAUCAUGACUUUCAUAAUUGCUUCUUGUGUAUUUAUUUGGUCUUUUUAGGCUUUUUAUUCUUAGAGGAAAGUAUUAUGUAUUUGUUAUUUUAAUAACUUAGAUAUAUAUGAAUUAUAUUUUUGGGUAAUAGAAAUAAACAUUUUCUUACUUUCUCAAAGUUUUGUAAAAAGGUUGAAACUUAAAAAUCUAUUACAAUCACUUAUACGAGAAGUGAUCAUAGGGGAGAAUUGGAAAGGUUUGAUUUUUAAAACUUUUACGUUGCUCUUGUUAUUGAGCAUAAUUGUUUGGCUCUUAUGGCACCUUAACAAAUGAGUUAUUGGACAAAUAGAACUAAGGAACGACAAAAACUUUGCUUAGUGAAAAUAAUUUAUUAAAUUAUUUUUUUGAAAGUGAUUAAUAUUUUCUACUUGUUAUAUUUUUUAAAUAAACUUUUAAUGAUAUCCAUUUUAAAGAAAACCUCCCAUGAGCUUAAAAAGACACACACGAAAACAAAAACAAAAACAAAAAUUCAAACUUUUAGAAUUCACAACACAUCAUUUGCCGGUAAGGAUAUGUGUGAACAUCAAGAUCAAAGAAGAGGCCAAGGAAAUGGAUGGGAUUGAGGAUGAGAACAAAGGUAAGGUUGAAGGUAAGGAUGAGAAGAAAAACAAGAGUGAGACUAGGAUGAUGUUGAGGUCAACCUCCAUUAGAGGCUUCUUAUACUAUAGAUGGACCUUCACAAAUUGCCCAACAACAUGGUCAUCAUAGAUGCCCUAAACAAAAGAGAAGAGUAUGGAAAGUGGACUUGUGCCCCAGUGGGUACCCAUGUAACUUGUAGCAAUGGUCCACAAUGUGCCCUGUGAGCCUAGAAUGAGAACAUAUUGGGCGAUCAUGCUUGGGCUUACCCUAAGAAGAGGAAGUUGCAACAGAGGGUGACAACAAAGAGGUGCUAAAUGCAAGGGAUUCGGACAGAGUAGGGGAACUAGAUCUAAUAGUGCAUUGUCGUUCUUCUUGAACGACAAGAUUGAAAACCUUUGCAACAAGGGGUAAUGUGUCAAAUAUCAAAAUAUGUCUUAUCAUCCCUAUUGUUCUAAGGGUAUUAAAACAGGACAAAAAACUUAUCAUUGAUAGGUCGAAGUGUGACAAUGCAUUGUCCUUGAAAUAGACCCACCCUCCUCGAAGACGAACUCGGUGCACUAGGGUACUAGUGGUCUACAUCUAGGAUCUAACAACCACUGCAUCUCGCCUUUGGUGCACUCUGUAGGCGAGACAUGUAUAGCGCGAGUUCUGAAAUAUUCCUCCAGAUAGAUGUAUAAAUGAGUGGAAAAUGAAGCAUAACAUUGGAAGAUUUAGAAGUAUUCUUUAAAAAUUUGGUAUGUUAAGAAUUGACGGGUGACCUGCUUUUAUAGACCACUAACACAAUCCCAACAAAACUCUACUUGUAGUCGGAACCAAUGACACAGUCCCAAUGGGACUCUUCCCAAAGAGUUGGCCAAAUAAGUCAAACGAAAUAAAAUUAAAUUUAAAAAAAAAAUUCUUUUGAAUUUUGUAAAAAUUAUUUGAGGUCGCGUGCAUAUGCAAAGAAGGGGACCCCGUGUAGGAAACGAUACACAUUAAGGAAUUAUAGCCCAACCAGUCUGAAGCCCCACUCAAAUGGGCUUGGUCCCCAUAGGCAUGCGAGACUCUCCUACACCUUUCCACAAACCCAUUAGGUUAAGGAAAGUGGGCUAGUUAAUAAACCCAUAAAAAGUGUUUCUCCUUUUCCUAUGUGGGACAAGCUAAAACACUUAAAGCGCUUUUUCACAUUUACACUCUUCCUACAAUCCCCCACAGAGUGUAGACAUGAAGAAAGAAAAUUUUGGAGGAGAAUAGAAUCCAAUGCAUUAGUACUAGUUCCCAAAGGCUAUGAACCUAUCUUAGGACAAAUAAGUAUCAAAUCACAAAACACGAUGAAAAUAAAUUUCUAUAAACUAGUGUUUCUUGAUGUAACUCAAGGGACCUUUAUCCAUAUUAGUUUUCUCAAUUGCACUACGAGUCGUACAAAACGAGUUGGCACAAAUAGGUCAUGCGCUCUGCUUGGAUAUUCAUGAGAGCUCUAGAGAAUCUACCUAAGUUCUCAUAGGAAGCAGUCCCACCUCCACUCUCAAUAGGUGAAUCCAUCAAGUAUGUUUUGCAUUAAACAUACCAUCCAUAAGGAAUAUGUUACUCAUUAAGAACAAACACUCAACCUUAGUCAAUGCAAAAUACAUUCUAUCUACACUAUAGGAAUAAACUCUCAUACAAUUAAAGUUGAUAGAGCACUUCAAGUCAACAAGUGAUUUGUUAUUACCCAUAUGAACCUACUUCAUGGAAUUUCCAUUCUAAUAGGUUAGUUACCACCACUCUUGACUUCUGUUAUAAGCAUAAGCCCUACCUCCCUCGAUGUUUCUUCCACUAGUUUCUUAUUUAGUGGUUUGAUCAAAGGAUCGACCAAAUUCAACUUUGAUCUCACAAAUUCUAGGGAUAUAACCCAUGUUUCAAGUAAUUGUUGCACAAUAUUAUGUCUUAGGCAUAUGUGUCUGAUCUUCCCAUUAAAUAUUUUACUCUUAGCCUUAGCAAUUGUAGCUUGCCUAUCACAACGCAUAGACAUAGACAGGACUGGUCUCGUCCAUAAAGAGAUAUCUACUUAAAGGUUUCUAACUCACUCAACCUCAAAACUUGCCUUUACUAAGGCAAUAAACUCAGUCUCCAUAGUAGACCGAGUAAUGCAAGUUUGCUUGGCAGACUUCCAAGAAACUGCACCUCCUCCAAGGGUAAAAACAUACCCACUAGUGGAUUUCAUCUCAUCUAAAUCAAAUAUCCAAUUUGCAUCACUAAAUCCUUGAAGGACACUUGGAAAUCCAUUAUAGCACAAACUAUAGUUCAUAGUGCCUCUCAAAUACUUAAGGACUCUACGAACAACAAUCCAAUAGUCCUGAUUAGGACUUUGGGUGUAUCGACUCAAUCUACCUACUACAUAAGCAAUGUCAGGUCUGGUACAAUUCAUUAAGUACAUUAGGCUCCCUAUGAGCUGAGCAUACUCGAUUUGGGCAAUAUCAUGUUUUCUAAUUUUCUUCAGUUGUGAGCUAGAAUCAUAAAGAGUUGACACUAGUUUACAAUCAAAGUGUUCAAACUUCCUUAAGAUCUUCUUAACAUAGUGUUCUUGAGAAAGUUUAAGCUCAUUAGGUGUUCUAGUUAUUUUGAUUCUUAGAACCACCUCUGCCUCUCUUAAGUCUUUCAUGCCAAACUUAGAACCUAGGAGUUCUUGGUCUCACACACAACCUCUAAGCUAGUUCCAAAAAUCAACAUGUCAUCAACAUAAAGGUAGAUGACUACACAUGUGUUAUCCUCAUACUAGUUGUAGAUACACUUACUUAUCAGAAUCAUUAAUGGAAUAUCCAUUAGUUACUAACACAUGAUCAAACUUGUUAUGCCAUUAUUUAGGUGCUUAUUUUUAACCCAUAUAGUGAUUUAACCAGCCUACACACUUUUUUCGCCUUCUUUGGAACUACACAACCCUCAGGUUGUUCCAUAUAAAUUUUCUCUUCCAAAUCCCCAUUCAAGAAUGUAGUCUUGACAUACAUUUGGUGUAUAACCAUAUAUAUUAUGAAUGGAAGCUAGAGCAAUCAAUACUCUAAUUGACGUUAUUCUAGUUAUAGGGGAAAAAAUGUCAAAAUAAUCUACAUCCAUCAUUUGUUUAAAGCCUUUGGCAACUAAACGAGCUUUAUACUUCUCUAUGGACCCAUCUUGUUUUAACUUUCUUUUAAAGAUCCACUUACAACCAAUAAUCUUUGUACCAGGAGGUAAAUCUACUAACUCCCAUGUGUGGUUAUACAUGAUUGAUUUGAUUUCACUAUUAAUAGUCUUCUUUCAAAAUGGCGCAUCAGGCAAAGUGAUAGCUUCUUUGUAGGAUCUAGGGUCCUCAUCUAUUACGAAAGUGUAGAAACUAUCUCCAAGGUUUUUUUUUUCCUAUCUCUUUUACUCCUUCUAGGUUCAAAUUCAGAAGGUUCAACAAACUCAUCUUUACUUGUUUUUUGAACUUAUUGUUUACCACCACUUAGUUUCACAGGAAAGAUGUUUUCAAAGAAAUCUGCAUUUCUUUGUUUCUAUUAUGGCAUUUUCAUCUACAAGACUAUUUUCUGACUUAGUAACAAGAAACCUAUAUGUUGCACUAUUCUCAACAUAGACAAUGAACAUUGCAUCAAAGGUUUUAGGACCCAGUUUUCAUUUUUUAGGUUAAGGAAAAAGAACUUUAGCUAAACACCCCCACACUUUCAGGUAUGCUAUAUUAGGUGCAUAACCCUUCCACAACUCAUAAGGAGUUUUACCAGUUUUCUUGUAAAGUAUUCUAUUUUGAAUAUGACAAACAGAGAGGAUAACUUUCCUCUACAAGUUUAAGGGUGCUCCUAAACUUACCAAUAUUGCAUUCAUCAUUUCUUUUAAGGUCCUAUUUUUCCUUUCUGUUACUCCAUUACACUCAGAGGAAUAAGGAGGAGUAGUUUCAUGAAUGAUUCCAUGAUUUUCACAAAAAGAAUUAAAGGGUUGGACUCAUACUCUCCUCCCCUAUCAUUUCUAAGUUUUUUAAUUUUCUUAAUUAGUAGAUUUUCCACUUCAUUUUUGUACUUGAUGAAAGCAUCUCUUGCUUCAUCUUUGUUUCUCAAAAAAUAUACCCUUGUAUGUCUUAAGUAGUCAUCUAUGAAAGUUAUGUAGAAUCUUUUACCACCUCUAGUCAUUGUAUUUUUUAGGCCUCCUAAGUUACUGUGUAUUAAACUUAGUAGAUCUAAUUCUCUUUCUACUGAUUUGCAUGAUUUCUUUGUGGUUUUUUAUUCUACACAGGAUUCGCAUUUUCCAUGGUUUUCUAAGGACAACUUAGGGGUUAAACUCAAUUCAAUCAUUUUCUUCAUAUAUAAAAAGUUCACAUGUCCUAAUCUACUAUGGAAAAUAUCACAAGCAUCAACUAUGUAAGCAAAAGAAGAAUGUGCAUUAUUAUUGAUAAUAUCAUAAACAUUUAACAUAAAUAAAUCCUGAUUACAAUAGCCCUUCCCCACAAAUACAUCAUUCUUGGUUAGAACUAUUUUAUCAUAGUCAAACAAGAUCCUCACUCCUGUUUUCCCAAGCAGAGAUAUUGACACCAAGUUCUGGAGAAUAUCUAGCACAUGUAGAACAUCACUGAGGGUGAGUGUUUUUCCAGGGGUUAGCUUGAAAAGAAAUUUCUCUUUGCCAAUCACUAGGAUAGAUCUAGAAUCACCUAUGAACACUUGUUCCUUUCCUUCCUUUACAGUGGUAUAUGAAACAAAUGCACUUUUGUUGCCACAGAUGUGCUUGGUAGCCCUAGAUUCUACGACCUAGUUCUUCAUAUUGGUGACCAAGCUCACCUUAGAGGAGACUACUACUAUGAUCUUUGCUAGAUUUGCCUUUGAAUUGGUCUUCUCAAUUCUCUUCCUAUGGCAGCAUUGAGCUUCAUGGAGUCCACCUUGCCACAGACAAAGCAAUUACCCCAUUUUUUAAUAGUUGGGUUAUGAACCUUAUUUGUUGCAUUGGGCUUGGUCCUAGAGUUUUACUUUCUGAACCUUUUUUUUUUUUUUUUAGGUUUGGGUUUUUCUUCUACUACAUUAGCCUUAGAAGACAGUUCCUUAGUUUUCUCAACAUUGUCCCUAUUUCGGUUUUAUGCAUCAAUCUUAAUAUAGGUUAUGACAUCUUUUAAGGGCAUUUGUUUCCUUUUAUAUUUCAUGUUAUUUUUGUAGUCUUUCCAAGACUCUAGAAGAGUCUCUACUAAGUAACCGGCCACAAAAGGUUCAGGUAAUUUAAUGUCUUCAAUAGCUAAGUCAUUAAUCAAUAAAUAGUAGUCAUGGAUUUGAUAUGAUACAUCUCUAUUCUUGGUCAUUUGGAAAUUUCUAAAAUUUUGUAUGGCAUAUUUCUGAGCUCCUACAUAUUCCAAAAUACAUUUUUUAUUCAUUUCAUCCCAAAUUUCUUUUGCAACUUUAUACUGACAAUAAACAUCAAAAAGUUAAUUUGAAAGGGUACUCAUAAUAGCAUGUCUAACUUGUUUAUUUCUAGUUUCCUAGGUAGGAAACAAAUCAAAACCAUCUUUUGGUUGUAGGUCAGUCAAAAUGUGUUCCAAGUUCACUACAUCAAUUGAUGAGAAAACCCUUUCUUACCAUUUCUUAAAGAAUGACUCAUUGAAGGGAUCAAUCUUAGAGGUAUUAGGACGUGUGUGAAAUAGGGAAGCUUCCAUUGAUAUUUUUCAAGAUUGUUGAUCUAAGGGUAUUAAAAUAGGACAAAAAACUUAUCAGUGAUAUGCUGAGGCAUGACAAUGCAGUAUCCUUGAAAUAGAUUCACCUUCCUUGAAGAUGAACUUGGUGUACUAGGAUACUAGUAGUCUACCUCCAAGAUUCAACAACCAGUGUAUCUCGCCUUUGGUGCACUCUAUAGGCGAGAUGUGUACAACUCAAGUUUUGAAAUAUUCCUCCAGAUAAAUGUAUGAAUGAGUCGAAAGAGAAACAGAACGUUGGAAGGUUUAGAAGUAUUCUUUGAAAAAUUGGUAUGUUGAGAGUUAAGGGGUGACCUACUUUUAUAAACCACUAUUACAGUCUCAACUAGACUCUACUUGUAAUUGGAACCACUAACACAAUCCCAAUGGGACUCUACUUGUAGUCUGAACCACUAACACAAUCCUAAUGGGACUUUUCCUAAAAAGUCAGCCAAAUAAGUCAAACUAAAUUAAAUUAAAUUAAAAAAAAUUAUUUUGAAUUUUGUAAAAAUUAGUCGAGGUCACGUGUGUAUGUAGGUAGGGACCCCUUGCAUAGGAUGCAUAUGCUGACGCAACGCACAUUAAGGAAUUCUGACCCAACCAGCCCAAAGCCCCACUCAAAUGGACUUGGGCCCCAUGGGCGCGUGAGGCUCUCCUACACUUCUCCACAAGCCCAUCAAGCUAAGGAAAGUGGGCUAGUUAAUAAACCCACAAAAAGUGUUCCUCUUUUUCUUAUGUGGGAUAAGCUAAAACACUUAAAGCACCUUUUCACAUUUACACUCUUCCUACAAUCCCAACAUAAGAUUCAUUCAAGCCCAUCAAAAAUUGCAUCACAUAUUCUUGCUAUUGAUAAUCCAUCUAUGCUUUCAUUCCACCACAUUGACAAAUAAAUGGGAAUGAGUUACAAAUUCUUGUGUUCAUCCUAAAGAAUUUUCAAAUGGGUAUAAUAAAGUAUUGAUAUCAAGGGAACCUUGAGACAAACCGUGCAGUUGUUGAUUAAUCUAAAAAAUGCGUUGGGCGAUGCUAUAAUGAAACUGAUUGUGUAGAUCUGCCCAAACAACUUGAGUGAUGUCCAGGUAGAGGAGACUAUCAGCAAUCUCUUUGGAAGCGACAUUGAAAAGCCAAGAAGUGUCCAUACUAUUACAUCUUGACCAAACCCCAACAAAAGGAUCCUAUGGAGGUGGUUGCGAAAUCGAUCCAUCGACAAAACCAAGUUUAUGCUUGGCAUUGAGAGCCAUAAGCAUGGCUCGGCCCCAAGUGUUGUAGUUGGGGCCAAUGAGGAGAUGAGAAACAAGAACCAAUUCGGGAUGGUCACCUCUAUGUAAGAAAAAUAGAAUGCUAGUGCUAUCCAUGGAAAAAGAAGAAUCGUGGUGAGCCAUGGUACUAGUGGAAGAAGAGGGUGUGAGUGGCUGGAAUCGGUUAGUGUUGUUAUUCUGACCACCAUGAGCCAUUUUAGCAAAAAGAUAGAAGAGCAACAAAAGAAAAAUGCUCUGAUACCAUAUUAUGAGGAGAGAAUGGAAAGGAGAAAAACAUUCUCAUUUCAUUGUAUAUCUCUUUUAUAGUCUGAAGGUACAAAAAAAAAAUAUUGCAGAGUGCUCUACCUUACAUUGCCAAAGGAGAUAGGUUGUACAGCUCAUCACUAUUCUCAUAAACUAUAGAAUGUUCUAUACUAAUAUAACUGUUAUAAGAGAAAAAAUAAAUAAAUAAAUGCUAGUAUGCUAAAACUUAAAACUAUUAAUUGUAUUGUAUAUAUUUAGAUCAAGAUUGUUUUUAUGAUAAUUUUAUUUUGAUGCAUGUAUAUAUGUUUUUCCAUUUUGAUACAGUUGAUGUUAGUUGUUUAUGAGAUUUGGAAUAUAAUUAUUUUGUUUAUGAUACACUGUGAUUAUGAUAUAAACAGGUUGAUUGUAAAUAUUUAAUUUAAAUUAAAAACAUCUUUUGAAAAUAUGAUUUUUGCAUAAAUUUGUAAAUUAUAAGUACAUUAAAAUGGUCUUUUUAAAAGAUAAUUUCAUUAAAUAAAAUUAAUUUUUUCAAAAGAUAAUUCCAUUGAGUAAAAUCGUCUUUUUGAAUGAGAAUUUCAUUCAAUGAAAUUGUGUGUUGAAAAUAUUAUUUAAAAAUAGGAAAUCGUUUUUCCAAAAGUCGAUUCCAAUGUAAUUUUUCAAAAGUGAUUUUAGGAAUGCUAAUAUUAAUUGCACUAUUGGAACUUUAAAACCUUUUUUUUUAAACAAGCUUACAAAGUAAAAUCAACUUUCAAUAUCAACACAAUUUAUAAAUUUUUAUUAAAAUUAUCUUGUUGAAAAAACGAUUUUGAUGGGUCACCAUAACCGUUGUAUUUUUAGAAUAUUCGUAAAUACCAUUUUUAAAUAUACAUGGUAGUGUACAAAAAAGGGUCUAUGACUAUGGUUUUGUCACUUCAAAGUGAAAAGAAAAAAGAAAGGAAAGGAGAUUAAGGUUGGCGUUAAACCUUAAUAGACAUGAUUUGAUAAACAAGAGCAGCCAAAAGCCACAUGAGUAAGAAGGUCAAGGAUGGUUUUUGUCUAUCAACCAGAAUAAUCAAAUUCAAUUAUGGUGGGUAGUUUAAUUUUUGCAAUGGAGAGGAGGUCAAGUAAUAAUAAAUGUUGUAGAGUAAUAAAAAAAAAUUGUAAAGGCAAUAAGGAGGCUAAAAAGAUAAAAUGAAAAUAUAAACUUAAAAAUUAGUUAAUUAUUUUUAUUUAUUAUUUAAUUUUAUUUUUUAUUUUAAGUAAUAUAAUUAAUUUAUUUUAUCAAACAUACUUAUUUAUUAAAUAACUUAAAUUAAGUUAUUAAGUUAUUUUAAAUUAUUGAAUUAGUUUACCAAACACUCACAAAUAUCAAACUAAUUUCUUUCCCAAAAAAACUAAAAAAAGAAAAAAAGGCAAACUCAUAUUCUAAUAAUUCGUUUUGUUUUUAUUUAUAUUUUUCCAAGAACCCAUUUCUUUUUCUCUCCAACCCUUCGGACUACACUUUCCUCUAUAUAUAUAUAUUCAUUUUUAUUUUUUUUAAUCAUAUUUAUUACCUAAUACAUAUAAAUAAAUAUAAAUAUAAAUAUAAAUAUUUAACGACCUUUAAUUCUACAUUUAUUUUUAGAUGAUAAAUGUACAAAUAAUAUAGGUAAAAUAUAAUAAUCUUUAAAAUUAUAAAACAAUAAAAUUCCUAACUUUUGGAACCUUAAUAAAAUUGAAUAAUAAAAUUAUCUUUCGCUUUUGGAUAUACCUUCUUAUCACUUAACUGUAUACAAAUAUUAUUUAAUAAAAUUAAAAAUACUAAUAUAUUUACACUUCAUCUUUAUCUUAAUUUACUCUAUUAAUAUUAUAAAAAAAUAUAUAUUACUUAGAAUGUAUUCAAUAGUGAUUCUAGAAAAUGUUUUUAAUUAAUAUUUUAAAUUUUUUAUUUUUUAAAUACCAAAAAAGUUAUAAAUCCCGGAUAAAAUUACAAUCAAACAAGCUUUUAAUGAACAUAAAAAAUACUAAUAUAUUUAUAUUUUAUAUUUAUCUUAACAAAUAAACUAAUUUUCUGGAAUCAAAGCAUGGACUGCUGUUGUUGGGGAGGUGUAACCUGGGAUACCACAGGUCAUGUUGCCUCUCUUGAUCGCAGUAGCCAAUUAAUUUAUGGUGGAUUCAGUAACUCCAGUAGCAUUUUCAGUCUACAACAUCUCCAGAGCUUGAAUUUGGCUAACACCUUCUACUUUUCUCAAAUUCCAUCAGGAUUCCACGAGCAUGGUAAUGUGACUUACCUGAUCAAUUAGUUAAAAGUAUGUCUUUUCUGGGCAGAUUCCGAUCGAGAUUUCAUGCUUAAGAACGUUGGUUACCAUCGAUAUCACUAGCUUUAAUUACCGCAUUGGAAUCCCUACACUGAAGCUUGAGAGCCCAAAUCUGAGAAUGCUGAUUCAGAACCUCAAAGAUCUUAGAGAACUCCAUCUUAACGGUUUAGACAUAUUGGCCCAGAGGAAGGAGUGGUGCCAGGCAUUAUCAUCUUCAGUUCCUGAUCUCCAAGUUCUGAGCAUGUCCUAGUGUUUUCUUUCAGGCCCUAUUCAUCCUUCCCUUAUGAAGCUUCACUCCCUUUCAGUUAUUCGUCUGGAUUAUAACUUCACAAUACUUCUCAAUACUGGAAAGGCUUUUCGAAUCUUGUGAAUCUUGACUUAGGUCACAAUGUACUGCAUGGGAGUCUUCCAUGGUCCCUGUUCUCUCACCCAUCAUUGCAGAGGAUAAGGCUUAAAAAUAACCAAUUUUCUGGUCAAAUUGAAGCCCUUAAUUUGAGUAGCAACAAUCUAAAAGGGCCAAUACCCAUGUCUGUCUUUGAUCUCCGGGGUCUUCACAUCCUUGAACUCUCCUCCAACAAACUCAAUAGCACACUAGAACUAAGCAUAUUUCAAAAACUAGGGAACCUACUUCUCUCAAUCUUUCGCACAACAAGUUGUCAUUCAUUGAGGAGAGUUUCUAUUCCACCCUUUCUAAAUUCCCCCAGUUCACCACAUUAAAAUUGUCUUCUUGCAACCUAAGAAGAUUCCCUGAUUUAAGGAACCACGUACUUUUUUUUUACAUAUUUAGACCAUUCACAAAACCAAAUUCAGAGGGAAAUUCCUGAUUAGGUUUGGAAGAAUGGUAAUGGCCAUCUUAUGCGUUUGAAACUCUCUCAUAAUUUUCUGGUGGAUCUGCAAGAACCUUUUUCCAAUCUUCCUCCUCAUCUGUCUACCCUUGACCUACAUUCAAACCUGCUCCAUGGUCGAAUCCCCAUUUCACCCAAAAUUUUCUGCUAUGUGGAUUAUACUCAACCAACAGAUCCUGAAGAUAUUGGUUCCUACAUCUCCUUCACUAUUUUCUUCUCUUUCAAAGAUAACAUCUCAGGAAUCAUUCCUGCAUCCAUUCUUGACUUCUCUAACAACGCUUUGAAUUGGUGGAAUACCUUUAUGUUUGAUUGAGAACGAGGGUCUUGUGGUUCUGAAUCUACGGAGAAACAUGUUUAGCAGGAUUAGAUCUGGGAAUUUUCAAGGCAACUGUAAUUUACAGACUCUGGAUCUUAAUGGGAAUCUUUUAGAAGGGACAAUUCCUGAAUCUGUGGCCAAUUGCGAAAAGCUAGUGGUUUUAAACCUUGGGAAUAAUCAGAUAGAUGAUAUUUUUCCUUACUAGUUGAAGAACACAAGCAGAUUGCAUGCCCUUGUUCUGCGAGCCAACAGAUUCCAUGGGCCAUUUGGAUGUCCUGAUAGUAAAUCCAUCUGGGCAAAGCUUCAGAUUGUCGACCUAGCUUACAGCGAGGUGCCAGCAAAAUGCUUCUUGACCUGGAGAGCAAUGAUGACUGGUGAAGGUGAAAUUCAAUCCAAACUCAAACACUUUGCUAUUUAGGGUUGUAGAAUACAGUCAACUGUGUUGUUCUAAGGGUAUUAAAACAGAGGACUAACCCAAAAACACACAAGCAAAUAAUAGAAUGAGGAACUGGAAACUUAUCGAUGAUAGGCUAAGGCGUGGUAAUGUACUGUCCUUGAAAUAGAUCCACCCUCCUCAAAGACAAACUCGGUGUCUUGGGUGCACUCUGUAGGUGAGAUGCAUACAGUUUCGAUUCUUAAAUAUUCCUCCAAAUAAAUGUAUGAAUGAGUGGAGAGGGAAACAGAAAGCUGGAAGGUUUAGAAGAACUCUAUGAAAAUUGGUGAAUUGAGAGUUGAGGGGUGACCUGUUUUUAUAGGCCACUAACACAGUCCUAACGGGACUUUACUUGUAAUCAGAACCACUAACAAAGUCCCAAUGGUCCCAAGAGUCGGCCAAAUGGAAUAAAAUUAAAUUAAAAAAAUAUUUUGAAUUUUAUAAUAAUUAGCCAAGGCCACGCGCGUACGCAAGGGGGGCAUUAAGGAAUUUUGGCACAACCAACCCAAAGCCCCACUCAUUAGGCUAAGGCAAGUGGGCUAGUUAAUAAACCCACUAAAGGUAUACCUCUUUUUCCUAUGUGGGACAAACUAAAACACUUAAACCACAUUUUUCACAUUUACACUCUUCCUACAAACUAUACUAUUAGGAUGUUGUAACAUUUACCAGCAAAGGUCAAGAGAUAAGCUUAUGAAGGUCCUAAACUCUCUUCACUUCCAUUGAUUUCUCCUUCAACAAUUUUGAAGGCCAUAUGUCAUUAGAGAUAGGAAACUUCCUUUCCAAUCUUGGACCUCUCCUUCAAUCAGUUAGUAGGGAGCAUCUCAACAGGUUUGUUGUGAUUCCUAUAGCAAUUCCUAAUGAGGAAAUUAGAGAAAACAAAAGAAAAACACAGAUUUAACGUGGUUUAGCUUAAUGCUUAUGUUCACGGGAACAAGGGUUGAAGAUUUUCACUACUCCAAAAUUAGGGUUACAAGAAAGGGUAUUGAUACUAACCCUCAAUUAUUGAGAAAUUCCAAAAAUACCCCUGAAUAGUACGCUGCCCGAGCGGAACAGAGUAGAAUGACGAAAUUUGUCAUUUUUUCUCCAUAUAUGUCUUUCACUCAAUAUGAGCCACAUACUACAACAAUCUCCACCUUGGUGAAUAUUCACCCUUUAGGAAAAAAGAAAAACAUAGCUUGGAACUCCACCUGGAACAAUAGGUUGGGACAUCUCCUAUCUAACAUCUGGAGACAUUAAUCAAGUUCAAGCAAUGCUUGAACUUUUCUAUGGUAACAAGUUUUGUCAACAUGUUUGCUACAUUCUCAGAAGUGUGAACCUUCUCAAGUAACAAUUCACCAGAAGAAACCAAUUCCCUGAUCUUGUGAAACCUCACAUCUAUGUGUUUGGUCCUUGCAUAAUACACAUGGUUCUUUGCCAAAUGAAUGGCACUCUAGCUGUCACAAUAUAAUUGAACUCCACCUUACUAAAUACCUAACUCCUUGACCAAUCCUGUAAGCCACAAUGAUUCCUUUGUCACCUUAGCCACUACCAUAUAUUCUGACUCAGUAGUAGAUAGUGCAACCAAAGACUAUAUCAUAGACUUCCAACAAAUAGGCCCUCCACUAAGAGUGAAUACAUAACCUAUGGUAGACCUCCUAUCAUCUAAGUCUCCUACAUAGUUUGCAUCCCACAUAUCCCUCAACUAAAAGAUCACUCUGUUGUCUCCUGAACAUGAUGUCAUAGUCUACAAUACCCCUCAAGUAUCUAAAGAUCCACUUGACUGCAUCCCAAUGCAAUCUUCUCGGAUUUGAUAGAAACUUGCUCAACACACUAACAGUUUGUGCCAAGUCUAGUCUUAUACAAACCAUAGCAUACAUCAAGCAUCCCACUGUACUUGCAAGUGGAAACUUUGACAUGUCUUUCACUUCAUCAUCUAUCUUUGGGUACUGAUUAGUAGACAAUCUAAAAGGAUUCACCAAAAGUGUACUUACUGGUUUUGCAUUAUCCAUGUUGAACCUCUCCAACACUUUUUCAACAUAGCUAUGCUGAGAUAACCAUAAUCUCCCUGAAGUUCUGUCCUUGUGAAUCUCCAUCCCAAGAAUCUUCUUGGUCGCACCUAAAUCCUUCAUGUCAAACUCUUUGCUCAACAAAGACUUCAACUUAUUGACCUCACUCAUACUCUUUGCAGCAAUUAACAUGUCAUCCACAUAGAGUAACAGAAAAAUAAAUGAAUCAUCAUCUAGGCUCUUUACAUAAAUACAAUAAUCAUACUCACAUCUCUUGUAGCCAAUCUAGAUCAUGUAAAAGUCAAAUCUCUUGUACCACUGUCUUGGGGACUACUUCAACCCAUAAAGUGAUUUUCUCAAUUUACAAAUGUGGACCCACAUUUUUCACAUGCGUUCCCACUCGAUCAACGAGACUCACUUUUAUUUGUGAAAAAAUAAUUUUUGGAAAAGUCGAAGUUGCCACUUAUUUUAUUUUUAUUUUAAAGGGAAAAUAAAACAAGAAAGAAAAACCCUAAAAAAGUGACUCCAUAAUUUUUGGAAAAAACGUGUCUUUGAAAAACCCGAGUCUAGGUCUGGGGAUCAGGUUACUUAUUGGGAAAGUACCUCUAAAAAGUAACACCCCUCUAAGCCCUAUAAAGGUUUCUACUGACUAAGUUGGGGGGAAUGUAGCAAUUAAAUGGUUGAUCAUGGAUACCUAAGUAGGCUAGGUGGCUUAAAAAAAAAUAGCAUGUCAAACAAGAAAGUCUGAUCAUAAGAGAGAAUCAAAGUGCUUACCUGAACGGGCUUUCAAGAGCUAUCAUGAAACAUAAAAGUUAGUAGAGAAAUAUAUCACACAACAUGUGUUUUAUCCAAGCAAAUCAAGUAUACACCUAAGAACCCAAGAAUCACAUCAAGUAUGGAUAUAGUUAUCAGUAGCAUACGUGUCCACAGAAUUCUCAAGGGUAGGUGUGGAGGAGCGUACCUAGUGACUCAUGCCCAAUUGGUGUCUCAGCUGAUUUGUGUUCAGUUGGUGCUCCUUGAUUGAGGAAGUGAUCAACAAAAUUUAUACCUAUAACACCAUACACUAGGGUAGCAAAUACAAAGCUACUAUAGUAUAGUGGCUCUAAGGAUCGUUCACUGGGAAUGAUUUGCAAGCAAUCAAGGAUACCAAUUCCAAGUGAAUUGGUUUUGUUUCAUUUCACGGUUAGCUUAAGGAAUAAAACAUAAACUUUGAUUUGUAAAGGUUGAGACUUAAACUAACUAACUUAACAGAAGUUUGGAAUAAUUUAGGAAGAAAAGCAUUCCUUGGACAUUUAGGUUCACUGGGGUGGUCCCUCAUGCAAAAGACAUAGCUCCGGUCAGAUGGUUCAUUUCCUCGCAUUAGAGAUUCAACUUAAAGUCAAUUCUCUAAUCGGUGAUGUACAGAGACUCCUUCAAUUAGAUUUCACUUUAAUUCUCUCACUGAUACAACUUGCAAUGGUUCAUGCCUCUCACGAGCACUUACCAUUCAAGGUGAUCUUUAACCUUGGAUUCCCCUUCACAAACUCGCAAGAGAUAACUAAUGGAUGUCUCCUAGGAGUCCAAAAGCUUACCAAGUGUUGGUAAUUCCAGAAAAUCCUACCUUGAAGUCACCUACCAGAGGCUCGCAAGGGGUAAACUAGUGCAUUCCCACGGUUGGAAAUCACUUGCCUUACCAAGUGUUGGCCCAGGUGACUCCAAGAUAUUUUAAGUUAACUAAAAACAUUGAAAUCACUAAAGGAUUUCACUUCCUCUUCAUUAAAAACUAAAACCACAAAGCUUUGCAUUCUUGCACUUGGAACCUUCCCCGGCACCCUUAGCUCCAAGGAAUUGGAGGUUUAGUUACUCAUUCUCUGGGGAAAACUCCUCAGAGAAUUCAUAACUUAGAAAUAAAAUGAAAAUACAAAGUGAGAAGGUAAGGCAGUAGAAAGAAAAGACCUUUACUUGCUUCCCAAAAAUUUACAGAAGGAACUCCUCUCCGAGAACAGGCUCCCGAGAGGUAUUUAUAUCCAACUAAUAUAAAACUAAUUCUUACCAAGAUAUUUGGUCUUUUUACUAACUUAAAAACUAAGGAAUCAUGUAAUUGGUGGUUUACAAGGAGUAUUUUGGGAUUUAGACAACAAAAAUCUAAUGGAAAAUAUCUCCCAAUGUCGGUAGCAAGCUUCGGGAGGCUUCAGGAGCCAUUUCGCAGGUGAAAAAUGAGGCCUGUGAAAUUUCGCAGACACCCAAGAGGGCUGCGAAAUUAUCUUGCAAGACCGAGCUAUCUUCACUAGGCUGCAAAGUUGGCUUCCAUCUUGAAGUUUCCAGCUCCCUUCUCGCGGCAUGGUUCGUGCAUCGUUAGAAGGAGAAACACCUUACUGUACAAAAGUGUUGCGAAAUUCUCGCAACAAAAGGCUGAUUCCGCAACACUUUAGAGUGUCUGGCUUGUAAUGGCUGCAACUUCUUCGUUUCAACUCCAAAUUGCACACCGUUUGAAGCAUUGGAUUGUUGACUUCCUGAGCUUUGAAAUGGUAUAUAGCUUGUAUCAUUUAGACUUCAGAAAGUGCUCCAAAAGUGGCUGCUACGACUAUCAUCAAGAAUAUGCUCCAUGGCAGAUUCUCUUUGCUUUUUCUCCUUGCAAUCCGGAUUCACUCUUGGCAAUUGAAUUCUAAGCUUUGCCCAAGAUUCCUCAUAGCUCUCCUCAUUCUUGACUUGCUUUGGUGAUCAAAAUACUAACAAAAACACCAAAACUUACACAAAGUGAUCAAAAUUGCUUUAAAGGAUCCUUAACAUGCCAAUUGAGUUAAAAGGCCUAAACUACUACUCAAAAGUGUUAAAAAGGAUUAAUUAAAGGCUAUCAAAUAGCACUUUUUGAGUAGUAAUCACUCCCCCCAACCGACAUAUUGCUAGUCCCUUAGCAAUAAAGGAGAGAAAAAUGAAAAUAAAUAGCUAAUUAUACUAAAAUUUACAACAUCAUGCUGAAAGGAAAAUAAUUCUUAAGUGGCAUGAUGAUCUAUUUCUCACAUGAAUCAUUAAAGAAAUACAAACCCAAAUCUCAACAAGAGUCACAACAAACUAUGCUAAGCACUGUCAAUCAAGGGAGUGCAUUAUGCAAACUGAAGUUUUAAAAUCAUUUCACUUUCUAAGAACUAAACUUCAAUCUUCCACAAAAAUCUGUGUAUUGGUUCCUUAGCUUCCGAGAAUAAUAUGCUACUAAUCUCACCCCCCAACCUAUCUCUUUUCAACACUUUAGUAAACUGACCAAAAUCAAUAAGAAAAGAACACACUUUCAUCAUCUUUUUUUUUUUUUUUUUUUUUUUCAAGGUAGCUUUUUGGGGUACUCUUUCUGACUUGUCCAUGUAAUGGGGGUCCAUCGAUGACUCCCAACCAAUUAAGGUUUAGGGCACCAAGUUUUAAGGAUCUUUCAACCACUAACUCCUCGGAUUUUUCCCCGGACUUUUAAGAAUGAAUUUCUAAUACCCAAGCAUCUACCAUAUGCUAACUCUACCUAUUCACCCUUGUAACGAGCAUUGAGGUCGGUGACUCCCAACCAAUUAAGGCUUAGGGCACUAGGCUUUAAAGGCUUUCACCAUAUACCCCUCAGACCUUGCUCGGGUUUCAAGGCAAGCAACCAACUUUCUUUAUUUCAAAGGCUCAUUGGCCUUUUGCAGGGUGUUUCAAUUUUUAUCAAAUGAGGUCAAAUAUACCAAGUCCCAAAAAUAUACUAAGUCAAGAGGGAAAUAGCUUUUCAUCUUAUAAUCGGAAACUAAUGUGCACAGUGUGUGGAUAGCUUAAAGUGGAAGAACUCAAUUCAAUUUCAGUAGAAGUUUCAACAAUUGGAACACUUUAGUAAGCAUAAUCCAUACUCUAAGUCAAGUGAAAAACAACAGUUCAAUUUCUCUUGGUUUAAUUUGAAAAUUUUCCUCAAAAUUCAUGGAGAAUAGAGUAACAAGAGUAAAAAGUAAAAACUACAACUAAUUAACCAAUAUAAUUGCAAUACCAAAAAGAUUUAGAAUACUUCCUUCCUCAUACCCCCCAACCGAACUGAGCAUUGUCCUCAAUGUGAUUUGAGUGACUGUAACAAAAGGGAGGAAGUGGUACCUCCUUGCUGAUAUCAAAUUCGAAUAUUGAUUGGGGAAAACCACAUGUUUCAAAAAAGAAUAGAAUAUGUGAGAAAAGGAAAUAAUAAUAACUUAAUGCUAACUUUUAACAAGAAAAAUUCAACUUGUAUUACUUUGAGUUCAUUUGAUUACAAUGCUAAAGACAAGUAACACAAGGAAUCCCAUAUAUAGUACCAAAAUACUGGGAUUUCAUUUCAACUAAAAAAAACAAACAAGCAUGCAUAAAAACAUAAAUAGCAAAUAUAUAUAAUGUCUGAUGAGUGGGGUGAUGGUGCUAAGCAGAAGGAUCUGCCUCCUCUGUAGGUGGAUCAGCUGGGGCUUCAGGCUCUGGAGCUUGAGACUCUGAAGGCUGAGAGUGUGGCUCUGGUGGAGUAGGAAUGGAGGGCUCUACAGCUUGUGGCAGAUCGAAAUGGACUUGAAGCUGCCUUAGGAUGGCAGCUUGUUGAGCCUGAGAGGCUAACAUCUGCUCCUGGCAUGCUUUGAUGGCUGCCAACUCCUGAGCAAGAUUGCUCUGGCUAGCUGUAAGAGUCUCCAAUGCUCGGCACAGCUCUCGAUAUUCGGAUAUAGGGAUGGCCAUCCUCGGCUCAGCUGAUGUGGAUGGCUGUGAUGGAGCAGGUGUAGCUGGUGGAGCUCGAGGGAUGGCAGGAGUAGCAAGUGUAAUACCUUCAGGUGGAUGUCUUGGGGAGGCUCUCCUUGCUGCUGGCUGAGGCUGCCCAGGCUGAUCAAUUUUGUAGGCCGUCAUAUUAUUCCAUUUAUCAAGGGUAAAUGGCUCACGGCAUAUUCUCUUUCUUUCCUGCUGAGGCUCAGAGGGGUAUCCGAGAUGCUCCAAAACUUGGCAUAGCAGCCUUGGGAAGAGGAGUGGAAUGCAAUCUGCUCUUUGAAGCUUCUUCUUGUGAACCUUCUCCUCAAAGUAUAGAAGGGCUGCCAUGAUCAGAUGAUGAGGCCCAAAGAAGAAUCCUUCAGACAUCUUGUAUAGAGCUUCCAAGAGAAUUCCCCUUCUUUGGGUCCAAUGCUGCAGGGGAUAGAUAUUAUGCCUCAAAAAGGCAUCAAUCAAAAACAUCACUGGAGGUAGCUCCCCCCUCAGCAGGUGUGAUCGAUUGGCAGCUCCUCUGGACAGGGUGCUAACCAUCUCUAACUCAGUUGGAUUUGUCCAAGCUUUAAAAUUGUCGAAUUGGGUUGGCUCAAAAGGAAUUUGCAGAGCUUCAGCAAUGUGUCUUGCUCCCAAAAUACCAUGCCUUCCAUCAAUUAUGAAAUGGAUCAGAGUUGGAUUUCUUACUUCUUUGGUUGUCAUGGUCUGGUAGAAGUCCGUGACUACCCGAGGAUAGAAAAAAUCCCUUGGAGCUAGCAGAUGCUCCAUAUGAUAUCUCCUCAGCAGCUGGAAUGAUUGGGCAAGCUCUGGCCUCACUCUAAAUGCUGCUAAAUCGAAGCACAAUUCAGAAUGGAAUGCCCGAGUUCGGCAAUCCAGGUUUCCUUCGAUUGGGGGCUGGGGCAGCAUUGGCCUUCGGAUCACUUCUUCCAGAGGUGUUUCCGCUUGCAAUUUGGGGCUCUGGAAUUGGCGCUUGAGGCUCCUGAGCUUUUUCUUGGGGUGUCGAAGAUGGUACCGGCGAUGGAAUUGGAGUUGCUUCUGGUGAGGGAAUUGGCGAGGGAACCGGUGACGGCUCUGGAAUUUGUACCGGUGAAGGAUUUGGUGAAGAUACCGGAGAUUGAACCGGUGUUGGCUUUGGGGAUUUCUCAGGGGAUUGCUCAGUCAAAUCAAUUGGUUCAGAGCUCUCAACCCUGGGUUUCUUCUUCAAUGGCUGACCGCCUGACCUUGUUAAAUAUCGCCUUGCCGGCGGCUUUGGUGGCGUCGGCUUCACUGGAGAAGGAUUUGGUCUCGACGGCGAAGGCUUUGGAGCAGGUUCUGGAACAGAACCUGGACUUGGCUCCUUUCGCAGACUCCUUUUGCGGUUCGAAGGAGAUGAAGACUUUGCCCCUCGCGUUCGUGCCAUUUUGGGCUAUCGAUCGUUGGCCGGCGCUGCUGAACGGAGAAGACGACCGGAGGUUCGGACGGCGUGGCUUGGUGAAGAAGACGAAGGGGCUGCGAGAAUGGUGCUCUGAUUUUUGAAACCCUUUUCGCAGCACUUUUGACCGGUAUAAAUAGGAAAAACGGAAGCUCAGGGGUCAGUUUAAGUUUCGCAACAAAACGCCAAUUUCGCAGCAACUUGCCAUUUUCGCAGCAACUUCGCAGUGAGUUUCGCAGCUGCGAAAUUGAUGUCACUGUGCUGCGAAGUGGCACUCGUGUGCCAAAUCCACUUUUGCAAUUGCGAAAUGCCCUGCGGAGUAGGACUUUUAGUGCGAAAUCACGCUUUUUCAUUUCGCAACGCGUUUCGCAGCUGCGAAAUUGAUGCCACUGUUCUGCGAAGUGGCACUCGUGUGCCAAAUCCACUUUCGCAAUUGCGAAACACACUCGCAGAGGCUUCUACAGUGCUGCGGAAUGGGUUGGCAGCAAAAUGCCAAUUUCGCAGAAGUUUCCUUCACCCUGCGAAAUUUCGCAGAGCUCUGUUUUUCCCCUGUUUUUGCUCUGUUUCGGCUCCAAUUUCGGCCCGAUUUUUUUUCUUUUCAAUUUCCUUGAAAUUUCUUCCACCUGGGAUCAUAUAAAACGAUUAAAACACACCUAAAAACAUGAUUUAAGAUCAAAAACUAAAAUCAAAAGCAUGGAAACAACUUGAAAAUUUACAAAAUUUACAAAAAUUUUGGACUGUGGUUAAACCACGUCCAGCAAACUCAUUUCACUUAGACUUUUUAAGGUUCAAGGAGGUUGAUUGCCUCCUUUUCUGAUUUGAAUGACUCCAUGAACGGCUUAAGACGAUAUCCAUUGACUCUAAAGCUGUCCUUGCCAUUGGAAUUCAAUAAGUCCACCACUCCAUUGGAAUAUACUCGGUGAAUAACAAAUGGACCAAUCCACCUUGACUUGAGCUUCCCAGGAAAGAUAUGGAGUCUUGUGUCAUACAUCAAAACUUUUUGCCCUUCCUGAUUCAGUUUGCCCGGAUCCCAUUUGAAGCUUGCAUCCUUCACUUGAGACUUGGUUUGAGAUGAAGAUAUUACGACAGGACAUUGAUUAUUUUCUUCAAGAUAUGUAUAUUUCAACUCCACAGGUAAAGGCUUCAGAUUGAAUUUUGGAAUUUCUUUUUCAGUGGCUGCCUCCUCUUCUUCAUUGAACAAAGGUAGAAUUUCUUCUAUCUUUCUCCAACUUUGUAGAGUAGCAAGCCCAAUAGGCGAUUCAGAAAAACCUUCCUCAAUAUUCUCAAGAUUUUCAUUCAACUUAUCUUGCAUAUGUUGAUUACAGUGCUCCUCCACCAAAGUAUCAAUAAUACAUAGCUCUUCUGGACCUUCUUCUUCUUCCGGAGUGAUUUGCUUUUUAGACAUAUAGAAAAUAUUUAGAUCCAGUGUCAUAUUACCAAAAGUGAGUUGCAUAAGCCCAUUUCUACAGUUGAUGAUUGCAUUUGAAGUUGCAAGAAAUGGCCUUCCAAGGAUGAUAGGAACUAAAUUAGCUUCCUUUACAGUAGGAUCUGUAUCAAGAACAAUAAAAUCUACAGGAUAGUAGAAAUUAUCCACUUGAACCAAUACAUCCUCAAUUACCCCUCUUGGAAUUUUCACUGAUCUAUCUGCCAGAGAUAAAGUGAUUGCUGUGGGCUUCAACUCUCCAAGUCCCAAUUGCUUGUAGACAGAAUAUGGAAGCGAAUUCACACUUGCUCCCAAGUCUAACAAGGCUUUUUCCACUACCUUUUCUCCAAUCAUGACUGAAAUGGUAGGACUUCCAGGGUCUUUGUACUUCAAAGGAGACUUGCAUUGUAAGAUUGCACUUACUUGCUCAGUCAAGAAGGCUUUCUUGUUUACAGUCAACCCUCUUUUGAUAGUACACAAGUCCUUUAGGAAUUUUGCAUACGUUGGAACUUGUUUGAUCAUAUCCAGCAGUGGAAUAUUAACUUUCACUUGCCUCAAUACUUCUAGGAUUUCAGCUGCAUUUCUAACCCCCUUUUUCCCCUGUAAUGCUUGAGGAAAAGGUGGAAAAGUUGAUUUCUUCAGCAUUUCUUCCUUCAGAAGCUCCUUCUCUGGAAUUGCUUUCAUUGUUGCAUCAGAGUCCUUCUUUUCUUCACUGAUCUCACUGCCUUUAUCUUCCAUUUCCUUCCCUUUCUUCAUCUCUUCUUCUUUCUCAACAUGUGGCUUAGGUGCUGGCUGCUCAAUUUUUUUACCACUCCUUAGAGUGAUCAAAGCCUUCACAUCUUUCACCUGUGAUGAUUCUCCCUCAAGGCUUUCCACUUCAUGGACACCUUUGGGAUUUUGGUUAGGUUGAGAAGGAAAUCUUCCCUUUUCUUGCAGUGUAUUCAAAUUUGUAAGCCUGGAGAUUGAAUAUUGGAUGUUAUCAAAUUUUUGAUUCAUAUCAUUUUGCAUUCCAUCCAUUCUUUUGUUCAACAUACUCUCCAUUCUGUCCAUUCUUUGAUCCACUCUGUCCAUUCUUUGAUCCACUCGAGCAUUGGUGGCUUCUUGCUUUCCCACAAAAUCUCCCACUACCUUGCUGAGAUUAGCUAUUAUUUGUUCAAUACUUGAAGAUUGCUGAGAUGGUGGAUCCGGCUGUUGGUAUUGAGUUGCUCUGGCCUUCCAUGAGAAAUUUGGAUGAUUCCUCCAACUUGAAUUGUAGGUAUUUCCAUAAGGAGCAUUGUUAUUGGGCCUGAAUUGUCCAACAACAUUUGCUUGAUCUCUAUACAUUUCCCUUUCAGCUGAAAUUGCAGGGCACUCCUCCACCAAAUGUUCAAAUGAUUGACAAUUGGGACACAGCUUCACUUGCACUGGUGCUUCAGCAACAGCUUGCACUUCAUGCAUUCUUUUCAGCUCCAGCUCCUCCAAUCUUCUUGUCAUAGCUGCCAACUUUGCUUUCAUGUCAUCAUCUUCCCUCAAAUUAUACAUCCCAGCUUUUGCAUUGUAAGCAUUCAACUGAGACUUCAUCUUUCCCACUUCUCCUUUAGUUGGUUCAUCCCAUCCCCUUGAAACAUCAGCUACAUAGCUCAAGAAAUCCAUAGCUUCCUCUGGAUUUUUGCUCAUGAAAUCUCCUCCACACAUUGUCUCGAGGAGUUGCUUCAUUGAGGAUGACAUACCAUCAUAGAAAUAGCUCACCAAUAGCCAAGUAUCAAAGCCAUGGUGAGGACAAGCAUUUAUAGCUUCCAUGUAUCUUUCCCAACACUCAUAGAAUUUCUCAUUCUCUUUAGCUGAGAAGUUUGAAAUUUGCCUUUUCAAGCCAUUUGUUCUAUGAGUAGGAAAAAAUUUCUUGAGGAAUUCAGCUUGUAAAUCAGUCCAAGAGCGGAUACUCCUUGGCCUUAAAGAAUUAAGCCAAAUUUUGGCCUUAUCCUUUAAAGUAAAAGGAAAUAACUUAAGCCUCAUCAAAUCAAUUGAAGCUCCUCCCUCUUGGAAUGUAUUACAAACAUCUUCAAAUUCCUUGAUGUGUGCAUACGGAUUCUCACUUUCCAUCCCAUGGAAAGUUGGUAGAAGUGGAACAAGAUACGGUCUGAUCACUAGCUGCUCUGUAGGGGGCACUAUACAUGAUGGUGCACUCAUACGAGGUGGAUGCAUACGGUCCCUCAUUGAUCUGAAUUCAUUGAGAUUGUCUUGACGACCUUGGUGACUAUGCUGAUCUUCAGGUGCAGCCUCCAUGAUAUUCAAGAUUACUUCCAAUUCUCCUUUCUGAGGUGUAUCACACUUAACAAGCCUUCCUCCACUAUCUCGCAUCCACUUUGGCAUACACAACUAGUAUCUACCUAGAAAAAAAAUGAAAACAGAGGACAACAAGAAAAACAGGGCUACAACAACAAAAUUAAACUAGACUAAAAUUUAAAAAGAUAAACUUAGAUUGUAAAUAAACAAAGAAAGAAUGAAAAUUAGUAAAGUGAAAGAAACUUUACCAACUUGUGAUGAAAAUCACAAGUGCUCAAAAAUGGUAUCACAAUGAACUUGACACUCAUUCCCCGGCAACGGCGCCAUUUGACUCAUGCCCAAUUGGUGUCUCAGCUGAUUUGUGUUCAACUGGUGCUCCUUGAUUGAGGAAGUGAUCAACAAAAUUUAUACCUAUAACACCAUACACUAGGGUAGCAAAUACAAAGCUACUAUAGUAUAGUGGCUCUAAGGAUCGUUCACUGGAAAUGAUUUGCAAGCAAUCAAGGAUACCAAUUCCAAGUGAAUUGGUUUUGUUUCAUUUCACGGUUAGCUUAAGGAAUAAAACACAAACUUUGAUUUGUAAAGGUUGAGACUUAAACUAACUAACUUAACAGAAGUUUGGAAUAAUUUAGGAAGAAAAGCAUUCCUUGGACAUUUAGGUUCACUGGGGUGGUCCCUCAUGCAAAAGACAUAGCUCCGGUCAGAUGGUUCAUUUCCUCGCAUUAGAGAUUCAACUUAAAGUCAAUUCUCUAAUCGGUGAUGUACAGAGACUCCUUCAAUUAGAUUUCACUUUAAUUCUCUCACUGAUACAACUUGCAAUGGUUCAUGCCUCUCACGAGCACUUACCAUUCAAGGUGAUCUUUAACCUUGGAUUCCCCUUCACAAACUCGCAAGAGAUAAAUAAUGGAUGUCUCCUAGGAGUCCAAAAGCUUACCAAGUGUUGGUAAUUCCAGAAAAUCCUACCUUGAAGUCACCUACCAGAGGCUCGCAAGGGGUAAACUAGUGCAUUCCCACGGUUGGAAAUCACUUGCCUUACCAAGUGUUGGCCCAGGUGACUCCAAGAUAUUUUAAGUUAACUAAAAACAUUGAAAUCACUAAAGGAUUUCACUUCCUCUUCAUUAAAAACUAAAACCACAAAGCUUUGCAUUCUUGCACUUGGAACCUUCCCCGGCACCCUUAGCUCCAAGGAAUUGGAGGUUUAGUUACUCAUUCUCUGGGGAAAACUCCUCAGAGAAUUCAUAACUUAGAAAUAAAAUGAAAAUACAAAGUGAGAAGGUAAGGCAGUAGAAAGAAAAGACCUUUACUUGCUUCCCAAAAAUUUACAGAAGGAACUCUUCUCCGAGAACAGGCUCCCGAGAGGUAUUUAUAUCCAACUAAUAUAAAACUAAUUCUUACCAAGAUAUUUGGUCUUUUUACUAACUUAAAAACUAAGGAAUCAUGUAAUUGGUGGUUUACAAGGAGUAUUUUGGGAUUUAGACAACAAAAAUCUAAUGGAAAAUAUCUCCCAAUGUCGGUAGCAAGCUUCGGGAGGCUUCAGGAGCCAUUUCGCAGGUGAAAAAUGAGGCCUGCGAAAUUUCGCAGACACCCAAGAGGGCUGCGAAAUUAUCUUGCAAGACCGAGCUAUCUUCACUAGGCUGCAAAGUUGGCUUCCAUCUUGAAGUUUUCAGCUCCCUUCUCGCGGCAUGGUUCGUGCAUCGUUAGAAGGAGAAACACCUUACUGUACAAAAGUGUUGCGAAAUUCUCGCAACAAAAGGCUGAUUCCGCAACACUUUAGAGUGUCUGGCUUGUAAUGGCUGCAACUUCUUCGUUUCAACUCCAAAUUGCACACCGUUUGAAGCAUUGGAUUGUUGACUUCCUGAGCUUUGAAAUGGUAUAUAGCUUGCAUCAUUUGGACUUCAGAAAGUGCUCCAAAAGUGGCUGCUACGACUGUCAUCAAGAAUAUGCUCCAUGGCAGAUUCUCUUUGCUUUUUCUCCUUGCAAUCCGGAUUCACUCUUGGCAAUUGAAUUCUAAGCUUUGCCAAGAUUCCUCAUAGCUCUCCUCAUUCUUGACUUGCUUUGGUGAUCAAAAUACUAACAAAAACACCAAAACUUACACAAAGUGAUCAAAAUUGCUUUAAAGGAUCCUUAACAUGCCAAUUGAGUUAAAAGGCCUAAACUACUACUCAAAAGUGUUAAAAAGGAUUAAUUAAAGGCUAUCAAAUAGCACUUUUUGAGUAGUAAUCACCUAGAUAGCAAGCUAGUACUCCUCUAUGGGAAACAAAGUUAGCCUAAUAACAUAUUCAAAAUAAUCUCAUAUAUAUCACAAAAGAGGAAGCACAAUCAAUCAAAUAUCAAACAAACACUAUCGAAGAGAAUAUCAUGAAUGUCGGGGCCCCACCAAAGCCCUAAUUGCUUUUGCAUGAAUUUGUUCAGUGAAUUCCAUUGUUUGGAACCAUGAAAUUUAUUCAUGCUUAUUGGAAAUUGAGAAAAUCAAGAAAAUGGUUGAAAGUCAAGGAAAAUAGUGAAAGUGCAUACCAGAAAGAGAAUGGCAAUAAAUAGUUUGUUAGAAUUUGGAUUUUGUGCCUAGAAACUCCUAGGGAAUUUUAAAGAAAACUAGAGUUAUUUUUUACGAGAAAAGAUUUUGAAAUCCAGAUUAAAAUGUGUAAGAUCACAAAAAGAAGAAGAAGAAACAUUAGGAGGAGCAUGAUGUGUGGCAAGUGACCACUAUGUGAGUGAGGUCUGGAGGUGCACUUAAGACUAAAUUGCUGAAACAGAUUGCAUAGGGAGUAUUCUAUAGAUCGCUGGUUGUCUAAAAAGAAACUGAAUGUAUUCGUUUCAGAGCCCAUGUUCACUGGAUUUUAGGGUGCCACCUCAUCUGAAAAGGGGCUUCAAUUCAACUCUAGUUUCUCAGGAUCACAACCCGAAUUAUCAACAGAAGCUUCUGGUGGAGACGUAAGGCUCAAUUUCAGAUUAAGUUCCCUCUUCUAUAACUCAUUUUCUCUGAAUUUUCCUUUUAUAUCUGUGGUUUCUGAUCAUAUAAGUUGUCCGUCUAGUUCCUUGUUUGAGACUCUGUAGAACCUGGAAUAAUGUUUCUAAGUCCAGCUGAAGGAACCUGCACUCCUUUUCAUGGAACCUGAGGCAUGUGUUAAUUUGAAACUCUGUUACUUUGCCUUCCAUUGCUUUAAGUCUUUUAGCCAUCUCAGCCAUAAAUCUGGAGAUUCAUUGAUCUUUCUUUAAUAUUCAAGCCAAAUGUCAAUUUAGUCCACUUAAACCCUGAUUUGAAUAAUUUCGAACUCUCUUUUUGCGUUCUUGAUGUCUUUCAUUUCAACUACAACGGAAAACCACCCUUCAAAAAAGAAAUCUGGACCGAAUCCUAAACAUUUUAAUUCACAACUUCCUGAGCCUGACUGAGAGUCGACACAAUUGAAUCACCUUGGAUAAGAGUGCUUCUAAAAAACCUCCGGAAUAUAGACACAAGUGCAGCAUUCGCUAAUAAUGACCAUGGCAUGUUACAAAGGAAAGCUUCUUUCUCAUAAUCAUCAACGCAUAUUGACUCUUAAUGGGCCCCAUUGCCUGCAUCACAUCAAAGACUGGAUAGACAGGGAGAUUCACAAUUUCGAUAGCUAUCUUUGCAUUAUUUGGGCAGGACAAUCAUGUCAUGGAUAUAUAGCUUGAAAGUGACUCAUGUUUUGUUCUGUUUGCUGCCCAAGCAGCUAUGGAGUUGUUGUUUUGAUUUUGUGUCCUGUGCGUGGAUUUCAACCCUCUCGUGAGCUUUGUUGUGAGACAUUCCACGUCAUGCAUCUGUCUCUGUGAAAAUGCAGUGACACGCUGAAUAAUUUUGGCUGGAAGUACACGUAUUGUUAAGAUGUGAUAGCCCAUGAGAAAGCUGGGGAACCUUGAGAAUGCCUGUUGGAUAGGAACCUUUCAUAUUAUUCUUUCCUCUCCUCAUGCUCUACCUGGAAAUAACAGUGACUUCAUUUCUACUGCUUUGUUCAUACCCUCCGGACCAAUAUCUACUUCAUCUCUCACGAAAUCUGGUUCUGCUAAUGAAGUCCUACCCUCAGUCAGUUUUGCAAAGCGUAACUUAAUUUUACGUUUGUAAGGUCCCAGGUUAUCACUCUGGUCGAUGGAAUUCAUAGCCCGACAUAACCUUUCCUGAGAAGUUGGAGAAAUUGCUUUUAUGGUAUGAAAGAACCUUUCUGGACCAUGCUAAAGCUCUGAAUGUUGAUUGUUUUCCAUUACAACUGAUGUGACUUCCUCGUCACUAGUGUUAUAAGAAUGACUCCAUGAGAAGUUUCUUGCUGCAUCAGAACCAACAAGCAUUAGGAGUUGCUUCACCUCCGUUACUGGCUGAUCAUCACCUUCAGAGACCAAACAGCUGGUUGGACCAUGGCAUGGAUUGGAAUUCUGCAUACUGACAUCAGUUGCCACUAUCUGCAAACUCAAUUCACUCAAGACAACUGUGGAGAAAUGAAUUUCACUGCCAUCUCUUCCUAAAGUUUCUGUUUUCAUGCUACUGCCAUCACAACCCAAGCCAGAACUUGGUGCACUCCAAUGUCCAAUAUUUAUUCUGAUUCGGGUUCAGAGAGUGAUGAGAGAUCGAUUGGGUUUACUACACUUCUGAUCUGGAAAUAUGCAUCAUCAAUUUAUUUUAUAUUAACAUCUGAGUUCUGCUUCUGUCGUCAACCUGCUCACAAACAAUUUUCUUCAACUGAGUGCUCGUGCCUUUAUUGAUAUUUUCUUUGCAGCAGCCUGGAAAUAAUGGCAUAGAUGAUUUUGUACUUCAGGUGAUAAGAUGUCAUGAAGAAGUGUGUAAAGCUUUACAGCAGGUUCCAACACAGGUGCGGAAAGCCUAGUUGUUGGCCUGAAAGCAUCUAUAAUUCCAGAAGCAGAUGACUCGUCAAGUGGCUUAUAAUUUUCAAAAACUAGUGCAAGGAUCUGUUCAAUUUGAUCCUUGAUUUCUCCUAAGAUCCGGUUCUCUUGAUGACUCAAUGUACUCUUACUGUGGCAAUUUAUGGUGACGGGCAACAACAAAUCAUAUACUAAGGUCGGACAGUCAGCUGUAGGUGUAGCCACAUCUUUGACAUAAGAUAAAUACCUCAGCUUGGUGUAUACAUCAGAAACACCAUAACAUGAUGCAAACUCGGUUAGUAACCACUUCCAGGGCCCAUGGAUUAAUAAGUUUCUCUAUUGAAAAUGCUGAAUUUUCAUGGCAAAUUCAAGUAUACUCCAGAAACCGAGCUUGGCACUAAAAUCAUGUUUCAUUCGAGUCCUCGCUGCGAACCAACUGCUGAAUGGUUGGCCAUUCAUAUUUAUGUUAACAGGCAGCUUGGAUUUGCAUCAAAAUGGAGUUAAAUGAGAAAUGGACUGAUCAAAGAAGGAUGAUGUGGAUCAGGGGAGAGAGAUGUAUCAGUGACUGUCUAUCGCAAGCUUUUUGCAAGAAUAUUCUUCUGUAUUUUCCACCCUCUAUCCACAUUGUAUAUUCUAAUAUGGCUUCCCUGAAACCCUUCCCCUUCCUGGAUAAUUCCUUUCUUAACCUGCCAGCAUCUUAACCGUCAAAACAGGUGAGUCACGCUUUCCAGGAAUAAUCUGACUCAGACAUUUUCUGUUCCUCCUAUUUUUUUUUAGGAUGAUACAGGUUUAGAAUUCUGCUCAUUCAGUACUGUUCCUUCUGAGAGCUGAGGUAAUUUAUCAAUAAGCCUAGGAAUUUACAAAUUGUCUUUGGAAAUGCAAGAACUCAGAGCCAGUCUAACAUCUAGUCUUGCCCAUGUGCAAACUGCACUUAAUUUUCCUUCCAAAGCUUCAACAAGGAAUAGUUCUUUUAAGAAAAUAUUGUGCAACUUUAUGCAGCCAAAUGUCCUUGGUUGAAAGUAUGUGCGUUAAUCACUGGACAAGUUUGUAAGAAAGAACCACUGGGAUGAAAGAUGCAGGCAACCUUGAUAAGAGAAGAAGCAGAACAUCAGAUGCCAAGUGUUUGCAGUCAUGAUAUGCUGAUUUUGAAUCAGAUAUAGAGCUUGCGCUGUUGUCUCUCGAUCUCCGUACAAAGGAUCAGAGUGUGCGUGAGGCAAUUCUUUCUGACACAUGAAACAGUCCUCCAACCUUGCGGUUGUCUUUGGAAGAAUUACUUAUUGAUGAGCCCAUCCAUUAGAUAAGACUACAGGUCUUGUGCUGAAACUUGAUGCCAUAAGGUCUCUAUGGGAAAUUGCCAAAAGUCUCAGUAUCUAUCUUCAUUCGCGUAGAGAACCUGUUCUGUCCAUUCCUAGUCCCACGAGCAUGAGAAUUAUAAGAAAUCGUGUCAAAGAACUUAUCCUUAUUAUAAGCGAGUUUAGCAUCUGAUUUGGGUACUAGUCCAUAACCCUCUCUGUGACCCAAGCCUUGACCAAGUGCAUUGUCUUCGAUCCCUUUGCUUUGCCUUUCCAAGAUAACCCCGAACUUCAUCCCUUUUAAACCUUUCAUUCAUCGCCAUAAAAUUGAAUUCUUCAGUGAACUGCACAGUAGACUUCUGAGACUGUUAAGCAGAGGCUGGCAAUGGCAACAAUAGUGCUUAAAGUGCUGGAGUAGAUAUUGUGCUCAAAGUAUUAGGAGAUGUUGAUGUCGAAGCAACCUUAUCCAUCUGAUCAGGAUAUACUUUGUGUGAGGAAGAAAGUAUGGAUGACAUGGGCUGUGCUAAUUGAUCAGGAGUUAAUAAAGUUGGUGGUAGAGUUAGAAGGAGGCCAGAGGUGGAACCUCCAAUUGUGGAUGCAGAAUGAUGCAGGGGAUGGAUAUGAGGCACAAAUACCAGAUCAGAAACUAUUUUACCAGUAAUUGGUGGAGAAUCGGAGGAUUUCAUCUCAAAGCUUUCACACAAUUUUCCAGUUUUCAGGGACUUGAGAGAGGUAGUAUACUAAAUAACCAGAAAAUGGCAUAAGAAAUUGGACAGUCAUUUAUGAGAAUUCCAUCCAAAUUCAUCGUCCGAAUGUAAGCAAUUCUGUUGGGAUCGUCCCUAGCAAAACCAUGUCACAAGGAAUUGUCUUAUCUGCACAGAUCUUCACCACCCUACUAGACCCAUCAUCCAUCAUCUCUACUGAAGCAUUGAUCAAUACCAAAUCUUUAAAAAGAGAAAUAGGGAAUCCUGGCAAACCACUACCGGAUGAAGUUGGCUCUUUGGCAUCAUCAGCAUCUUUCAAUUCUGAACCUGUUUGCACUGGCUUUGAUUUAUGAUUUUCAGAAACAACCCCAUGCCUCUCUUUGUCCAAUGCUGAGGAUUAUAUUCAGUUAACUGUCCACAGAGAUCACUGCGCCCAUUAUUUUAGACUGAGAAAGCAUGGUGAAACCAUGUAGUUCUCUGCAUAAUUUUUUUUUCAUAUUUUGUCUACCUGAAACAGCAUGAUUUCUAUCUGUCCACUUGUAUGCGUUAUCAAUCCAUCACAUUUCUACCACACUGAGACCUGGUUUCUUCGUCAGCCUCCAGUCUUCGAGCUCUCUCCUUAACUUUACUUUUUCAUCCCUUCUCUUGCAUGAGGCAUAUAAAUUUGACCGCAACGUCCGAUACCCACAAUUAUCAGGUGCUAAUUUUAGUAGUUCUUCUCCAGCAAGCAAACCAAGUUCUAUGUUCAUGUUCAUCAUACAUGCACUCGGAAGGGCUCCCAAACAGCAUCACAAUCCCACAAAGCAUCACCAUCAGAAUUCUGAUGGAGCCCUGAUUGGAGCCAAAAUAUGUGCUCUAAUGGCACAUAUUCGAUAUGAUUUGUGCAUCAAAGGACAUUCAAAUCACCCUCCUUGACCUAAAUCAAUGUUAAGGCCCUAACCAUGAGUUUAAUUUUUUAAUUUGGAGACUUAUUUCAGGUUCAAGGAAAGAAAAUAGUGCAAGUUGAAUCACUUUAGAUUUUGAAAGAUCAAGAAAUGGCUAAAUGAGGAAAUAAGUCAAGACUCAUGGACCAUAAGGAAAGAAAAGAUAAGGAUAUCAUGAGUUUGGAAGAUGAGAAAUAACCAUUAUGGAGUAAGAAAGAAGGCAAUAAAACAUGGGAAAUGAGGUAUGAAGCAAGAUUUAGCUGCAUGGAAAUUUAGAACUCAAAAAUCUGAUGGCAUUAUAUACUCUGAUUUUGAGGAUAAAUUUAGAGCAUUUUCUAGAGUCCAUUAUAUACAUACUAUAUAUCAUUUCGAAGCUCGGGAAUUCAGGAGUCCAACACUUUAAAUAGUGUGCAAAUCGGAGCUAAAAUGAAGAAGUUAUAGUCAUUUGUAGACAAUUGUACCAAGCUGGAGGGUCAUUUCGAAAUGAUUUCAAAAUUCAACUUAUAAAUUCGAAAUCCACUUCAAAAUGACACCAAUUUCGAAUUCACCCACUGCCACUUUGAUGUUUCGCCUCUUCUACCUCGGGAAUUGCAUCUAUUCAAUUUAUGAAUUCGAAAUCCACUUCGAAAUGGCACCAAUUUCGAAUUCACCCACUGCCACUUUGAUGUUUCGCCUCCUCUACCUCGGGAAUUGCAUCUAGGGCACUCCAUCUGCCCUAAGUGGACCCCACAUGACUAGAAGUCACCAUAUUAUUAUUAUUUUUAGGAAACUAUUUUGUAAUAAGUGGCCAAUGAGAGUGUACCACAUGUUAGGUAAUUGAUGAUAUUAUAUAAACUCUUUUAAUUCUAGGUAUUAAAGAUCUUAGAUUUUUAUUUUUUUCUAGAGAGUUUGACAUUGAAGGUGGAAGAAGACGAGAACUUUGGUUUGUUUUCUUUUUCUUCUUUAUUAAAUAUAUUGUUUUUAGUUUCUUUUUAUUCAAAUUAUGGAUUUUUACCCUAUUAUGGAUUGUGAAUGUGACAUCACCCCCAUAAGAGGCUAAGAGCCAACUUGGGGCUUGAAGCAUGAAAACCUAAGGGCUAGGAAACUUAUAGAGACAAUGGGUAAAUUAUUAUAACAAUGAGAUUAAUUAUUGGUUGGGUGACAAUUUAUCAAUUUUUUUUAUCCUAUCCUUGUGAGUUAGUUUAGGGAAUGAUACAGUAGGUUAUUACCCGAUAUUAGUGAUUCUUGGUAAUUCUUGAUCAUUAGUUAUCCUCGUCUUCCCUAUCAUUAUUUGCCCCAAAACAAAGCUAUAAGGAGUAUGAAGGGUUAAAAAGCAAAAUCUUAAACUAGUAAUCAAUCUCAUUCAUUUAAUGGUUUUAGGAAUCUAUUUUAAAAAGGAAAAAUUAGGUCUCGGAUGCAAUUUUGAGUUAUAGAACUCAACUUGAUCGUGAGCGGCCAAAGAUCCCAAAACCCUAAGAUCAUAUCAUUUAAAAGACCCUUGUUUUCUCUAAUUUCUAUACCUUAGGUUGGAUUGUGGAAAACUCCAAGCUUGAAUCAAUUGAAUUUAAAAUCAAUAUUCAUUUUGUUAUUAAUUUAAUUUCUUUUACUUAGUUUCACAUUAUUCACAUAUGGAUUUUCACUUUAGGAUUUAAACAAAAGUAAUUUAUUUAUUCUAGUAUUGACAAUUUCCAUAAGUCAGUCCUUGAGGAUGAUACCCGGAGUACUACAAAAGUCGUAGUGACUCUUUCUCUAGUUUUUCUUAACUAGAGUUGCUACGUGAAAAGGCUAAGUAUUAUGGUACAACAAAGAAGUUCAGUCAAGCCCAUUUUCUAUUAAUUGAUAUGCUUCUUCCAACCUUCCUGCUCAUGCAUACAUGUCAAUAAUACAAGUCCAUUGCUCAAAACCCAGCUGGAUUUUGUACUUUCUCAUCAUCAUAUCAAAGUACCAGCAACCUUCUUCAAUCAAGCCAGAAUGACUAUAAGUUGAGAGUAAAGAAGUAAAUGUGAUGGAAUUAAGCUUGUAGCCAUCUUUUUCCAUAUGAGACACAAGCUCACAUGCUUCUCUCCCUUGACUAUUCAUUCCACAUCUAGCAAUCAUUAUAUUCCAUGAGCUUUGGUCCCUCAAAUUACCCAUCUGCAUAAACAAGCUUCUUGCCUUUUCUAUAAAACCAGUUUUUUGCAUAUACAUCAAUUAGAGAAUUCAUGACCUAUGUUUUAGAGUCAAGUCCUAGAAACCAUGGGCAAUUUCAGCACCACAACUAGUCAAAAUAGUUGCAAAGGCCUGAAUGAAUGAGAUUAUUGUGACUAAAUCUCGUUUGUAUUGAUUUUCUAACCGCGACUGGAAAAAAACUCUCAUGACCAUGGCAGAGUCACCAAUUUUGGCAUGCCCAGAAAACAUUGUGUUCCAUGAAUCCAAAUUCCUGUCGAAUAAUUCCCCUUCAAAUAUGGUUUGAGCACACUCAAUCCUAUCAGACUUCGCAUGCAUAUUGACCAUAGCUAUUCCAAGACGGAGGUUGGAAAUUAAUCAUGUGCAAAUCAAGUGCCCAUGAAUACUUUUUCCUAGAUCAAGGUUCCCAAUUUUUCCACAAGCCAACAAUAAACCUAAAAAUGUAAUUCAGUUUGGAAAAAAAUCUCCAACACUUUUCAUGGAUGAGAAAAGGUUGAAUGCUUCAGCCCAAUUACCAUUCCAUGCAUAUGUUGUAAUCAAUGAAUUCCGAGACACUAUCUCUUUUUGGCAUGUCACACAAAACGCGUUUCCCAAAAUCUAUCUUUCCAAUCUUAAUAUACAUUGAAAUCAAGGAAUUCAAUUAGAAACUCAUGAACCAACGCUCCCUAUUUCAGGUUUCCCAAUUCACCACAAACCAUAAUUACAUGAAAUGCAGGAUCCAAAGAAGGUAACAAACCCACAUCUAGCAUCUGGAUAGUCUUGGCUGCAACCAUUCCUUUUUCGCUCUUGUGUGUUUUUCCACAAAGACCAUCCAAGAAUCCACUACUCCAGCAUCCUUUCUUAUGUAUAUAUAUCAGCCCCAAAAAACCCAAAACUGUUCCAAAAAGGAAAAUCCCUCAUUUCUUCUUUUUUUUGUCAUUUUCUUUCCUUUUUGCAAUCCUUUUUUUUUUUUUAUGUAUUUGUAUCAGUCUCCCAAAAACUCAAUCUGCUGAAGGAAAUCCACUUUUCUUUCUUCCAUUUCUCUUCCUUUUCAAAAUCAAAAUACCUCUCCCUUUCCUUUGGAGAAUUCUUUCCUCCCAUAUGUAUGCAUCCAAGUUGAUCUCUUUUCUUCAAAAAUAUUUUUGUUUGCCUUCUUUGAGUGUGCAUGCCUUUAUGAGAGUUGAUCUGUAGCCCUCAUUCUCUUGUCAAACAAUAAAAACGAAAAUAAAAAGAAUGAAACCAAAAAAGAGUUAGCAAUCUUGCAACAUAGAAUAAUGUAAAAUAAAAUAAAUAAAUAAAGUAAAACAAAAUAAUUAAAUAAAAUAAAAUAAAAUGGUCAAUCUAUGUGGGUCAUGCAAGUCAUGCGACUAUGUAAGUCAUGCAAGAAACGCUAAAAAAAGUCUAAUAGGACAAGUGUGCCUAAGAGGGCCUAAGUGAACCUAGACGGGCCUAAGGUGUCUAAUGGGUUGGGUAUACCUAUUUUAACCUAGGGUGAGACUAGGUGGGCCUAACUAAGUUUGACUUAAAGUGCACCUAAGUGAAGCCUAAUCUAAACUUGAAGGGCAGCCAAGGUCAUAAUGUGAAGCCGAAUAAACCCCUCAACCAAAGUCUCCAAAGUGGCUUAGAAAAUAUAAGUAGUAUGAAUAGCAAUGGGCUAUGAAAGAACUAUCGUGGAGCUCUGGAAAUGAACUUAAAGACAUGUGCUAAAGGGACAAAAUGGAGGGUCUACAACAAACCAAGUGCUCCUGUCAAGGUUGAAUGAACCCUUCUGGUUGUACCAUGUGGACCAAUUCCUCCAAAUCACCAUGAAGAAAAGUUGUCUUUACGUCCAUUUGCUCCAACUGCAUAUCAAAAUGUGCUACCAACCCAACACUAUCCUAAUGGAAGUGUGUUUGACCAUGGGGGAAAAAAUCUCAUCAUAGUCAACCCCUUUCCUCUAUGAGUAACUCUUUGCUACUAAACGAGCUUUGAAUUUUUCACCAUCUUUUUCUAAAACUAUUUCUUUCUUCUUGUACAUCCAUUUACAUCCUAUUGCUCUCUUCUCCUCUAGAAGCUCCACCAACUCCCAUGUCUAGUUCUUAUGCAAAGACUACAUCUUCUCCACCAUAGCACCCAUCCAUAUACUUCUCUCUUGGUUGUGUAUUGCCUCUUGGAAGGUAGUAGGAUCCCUGAUACUAGUAAUUAGUGCAUAAGAAACCAAAUCUUCAAAACCAUACCUAAUAAGUGGCCUGAUAGUGCGUCUGUUUUUUGUUUGUGGCUAUACUAUGAUGUUGUUAAUCUUCUAAACUAGACCUCCCUACACUCCAAGCAUUUUCUUCUAUUCCAUGGGUCUCUAGUUCCACUUGUAUCAAUUGCUCAUUUCUGAUGCAAUUUUCUAGCUCUUGUUUCUCUUCUUUUUUAGUACACUGUAACAUGGCUUUCUCAUCAAAAACCACAUCUCUACUGAUCACCACCUUGUUUGCCUUUGGAUCCCAAUACUUGAAGUCUUUCACUCUUUUCUAAUAGCCCAAAAAAAUACAUUGUCUAGACUUUGCAUCAAGCUUCGAUCUCUUCUCAUUAAGAAUGUGUACAUAGGUUGGGCACCCAAACACUCCCAAACCAAAGUAGUCUACUGCACUAUCUGUCUAUACCUCCUCUACUACUUUCCUAUCUAAUGUUGCCCUAAGUGACCUGUUGAUCAAGUCACAUGUCAUGUUCAAUGCUUCUGCCCAGAAUUUCUUUUCAAGCCUUGCAUUCAAUUUGAGACACCAAGCUCUUUCAGCUAUUGUUCUGUUCAUCAUUUCUGUUACACCAUUUUGUUGUGGUGUCUUGUGUAAUGUGAAGUGUCUCUUAAUCCCAUGUUACUCACACAAUUUCGUGAACUUUGAAUUUGUAUACUCGGUACCAUUGUCUGACCUGAGGCAUUUUAUCUUCCUCCCUGUUAGGUUUUCUACUUCAACUUUCCACAACUUAAACUUGGCAAACGUAUCUAACUUGUGUCGCAUGAAGUACACCCAAACCUUUCAUGAGUAAUCAUCAAUAAAACUCACAAAAUAUGUAUUUCCUCCCAAUAAUGCUACCCUUACUGGUCCCCAAACAUCUAUAUGGACAUAGUCAAGAAACUCAUCUGUCUUAUGUAUGAUUGUCUUAAACUGCACUUUAUUAUGUUUCCCAAAAACACAAUACUUGCAUAAAUCAAGUUUACAUGUUUUGACGUCCUUCAAUAGAUUUAUCUUAUGAAGCUCCAUCAUCUCACGCUCACCCAAUGACCUAAUUGCAUAUGCCACAAGACUAUACUGUAUGACUCAGACUCUGCGGUUGCAACUCCACCCACAACUGUGGUACCUAACAGUUUAUAAAUAUUUCCUACUUGCUUCUACCCCUUCAUCACUGUCAUAGCACCUUUACUCACCUUCAUUACUCCACUUGUAGACUUGUAACUAAACCCAUUACAGUCUAAGGUCCCCAAUGAAAUCAAAUUCUUCCUUAAAUCAGGUACAUGUCUAACAUCACACAAUGUUCUAACAAUACCAUCAAACAUUUUAAUUCUGAUAUUCCCUAUUCCAGCAACUUUACAUGAAGUAUCAUUACCCAUCAAAACAGAACCAAAAUUUACUAACAAGUAUGUGUUAAACCAAUCUUUAUUGGGUUUCAUAUGAUAAGAGCAUGCUGAAUCCAAAAUCUAAGAAUCUAUAAGAUGAUCUGAACUGGAUGAAACCGACAACAUAUCACCAUCACCACUCUCUGAGUCUUCUUCUACCACUACAUUCGUAAACUUUGAUGAACCCUCUUUAUUUUCUGUACCCCAUUUGUUUUUCUCUGGACAAUUUCGUUACAUGUGCCCCAUUUUUCUGCACUUAUAACAUUGUAUGUCUUUUCUCUUCCUGGAUUUAGAUUGAGAUUUGUUGUUACUUGAUUCACUCCGAAACUUCUUUCUCCCACGCUCCUGAUUUCUCCUUGCCACAAGCCCUUCACCCUAUGAACUCUCAUCAUUGGCUUUCUUUCUCUGAUUAAAACCUAAUAGAACACUUGUGAUCUUCUCCAAUUCGAGAGUUUCUUUUCCCCACAUCAGAGUUGUGACUAGAUUAUCAUACGUAGAAGAAGCAGGUAGGGAAUUCAGUAACAUCAAUGCUUUGUCUUCAUCUUCGAACUUCACAUCAACUCGCUUCAAAUCAUUGAUGACAUGGUUGAAUACAUUGAUAUGUUGGCUUAGAUCUGAGCCCUCUACCAUCUUAAGACCACACAGUUUCUGCUUAAGAUACAACUUGUUCGUCAACGAAUCAAACAUAUACCGACUUUCCAAUUUCAACCAAAUUGCAAACCGAUGAUUCCUCAUCCAUUACAUGGUACAUCACAACAUCAGCUAAACAAAGCUUGAUAGUUGUCACAGUCUUCACUUCUAAAUCCUUGCAAUCUAUGGCAUUCAUUCCUUCUGGUUGUUUUCAGCAUAAUGCCUUCAUAAUGCCUUGUUGCGCUAACAAAUCCCUAACCUUCCUCUGCCAUAGACCGCAAUUCCUAGAUCCAUCGAACUUGACUAUGUCGAACUUCGUAGAAGAAAUCCCAUACAUUGGAACCUAGUGCUCUGAUACCAAUUGUUGUGAUUCCUGCAGCAAUUCCUAAUGAAGAAAUUAGAGAAAACAAAAGAAAAACACACAGAUUUAAUGUGGUUCAGAAAAAUGCCUACGUCCACGGGAACUGGGUUGAAGAUUUUCACUACUCCAAAAUUAAGGUUACAAGAAAGGGUAUUUAUACUAACCGUCGUUCCACUCCAGCAUUUGCCCAUUUUUUUCUAUGUCUUUCACUCAAUAUGAGCCACAUAGUACAACAAGGUUCCCAACGUGAAACAUUUUCAGAAGCCUUUUUUGAUGGGAGCAAAGGAUUGUGUAGGCACCCUCUAAGUGUAAGUUGCCAAGAUGUUACACCAUCGAGAUUUGAUGGCAGCCACUCACAACCUACUUUUGAUGGCAGCCGCUCACCACCGACAUCUAAUAGCAGGCACUCAGGUUCCAAGAUGGAGAUUAAAUGGGAAUACAUAGCUCCUGAAAUUGGAUUCAUGACAAGGUUAGGAAUUGUGUAUUGGUCUCUAGUGUUGUGCAAGAGAUAGAGGAAAUGAUACUACAAACAUGUUGAUAGAAUUCUUUCAAGGAUUCUCCGUGGGCAAGACCAAGGAAGAGCAAGUGGUGGAAGAAGAGCUCACAGAAUUCGGAGGCAAAGAAUGUAGCAGUGGUGUAAAGGGAUUUAGUUACUUGUCAAGAGUCUUGUUUCCAUUAAUGCAAUCCUAUGUUACAUAGAAGAAAUAUUAAAAGGUUUUUAUUUAAUAAAGAAUUUAAAUUCUAAAACCACUCCACCGAAGCUUUUCUACAAAUAUUUUAGUCAUAAAAGUCUUUUUUCAACCAUUAUAUUAUAUUUGAUUCUAAUGAAGUAUUAUUACCAAAGAAAAAUAAAAUAUUAAGAAAAAUUAUUUUCUCAUUUUUAUUUGUUAUAUGAAUAAUGUAAAAAAGAAUCAAAUAUGACUUGAAUUAAUUAAAAACUUAUACAUUUUUAAAUUAUUUAAUCUUUAUAUUUAAGAGUUAAAAUAAGUGAAAUGAGUUUGCAAUAAUAUAUCAAAAUAAUUUAUAGACUUUAAAUUUAUUUUUUAUUUUCUUUCACAUUUUUUCUUUUUCUACUUUUCUUUUCUAUUUUCUUUUUCUUGCAUUUUUAUUGAAAAUUUUCAAGAACCAAACAUAGUCUUAAACAUUCAAAAAAUUAGCUAUUUUAAAAAUAUAAUAUUUCAAAUUAAAUUUCUUUUACAUAUUAAAUAAAAAAAAUUAUAUGUUCUACCUACAUGCAGAAAAGCUUUACAUUCAAAAUUAUAGUCUAUAUUAUGAGUGAUAAUUCAUAUUAGUAGGUCAUGUUCAUGUCAUGUCAAAGUUUAAGUAUUCUACUAUAUAGUUUAACCCAAAUCCAACAUAAAUAAUAACUCAUGUAAAAAAUGUAAACCCAAAUACUAAUUAAUUAUUGAACAUGUAAUAUGUCAUGUAACUCAUUUAAUCCAUUUAAUAAUCUAAUCCUCCUGAUUAAUAAUCAAGUUGAGUUAGAUUUGUAUAUAUCUAUAUUAUUAAUGUGUCAAUCAAAUAUAUUUAUAACUCAAUUGAUUUAUUUAUUUAAAAAUAAAUUUAAAAUAAGUAAAAUAUGAGUUAAAUAGUUUAAAGAUAUAAUUAGGUUAAUAGCGGGACUAUUAAAUUGGUCAAUUCAAAUCAAAUCCAUGUUAUUGAAUUAAAAAUUAUCUAUUUAUUAAAUAAGUUAUAUAAGUCGAUACGAAUUUGAUCUCAACUCAUUUAUAUUCAACCAAAACCUACAAAAAAUGUGUUGGAUUUAUAUCAUGUUGACGAAUCAUAUCAAACUUUGUCACCAUUAUCCAUAACCCUAUUAAACCUACACAAAAUAAAAUUUUAAUUUGAGAGGUUCAGAAAGUAAUUUUAGCUGAAAAGGAGACUUGGUUAAGAAUUAAGAUGAGUCGGUUGGGUGUGGGCUGUUAAAAAAGUCUGAGGCAGGCCUGGCCCAUAGUAGAGCUACUGAAUGUGGAUUAUUAAAAAUUCUGAGUCUGGCCUGGCCGAUAGUAGAGUUGGCUGAACAUGGGGUUGCUAAAAAUUCUGAGCCUGGUCUGGUCCAUAUAGGACUCCACUGAGACUGCUAGGCCCACAUUUAGCCAUGAGGGCCUGAGUUGGGUAAAACUUGGCUGGCUGGAUUCGGGUCAAAACAACAAAUAUGGGCCUGAUUUGUACAAACUAAGACCAAGUUAAAUUGCUAGGCCCAUAUCCACCCCAAUCAACACAGCUCAUCUUGAGCCUAAGGGCCUCUUUUGGAAAACCGUAUUCUAAGGUCUUAUUUGCACACUUUUUCUGUAUUUAAAAGAUAGAAACUUUUAUAUAUAAAAAGUAUUGACUUAUCUCAUAUUUUUAAAAUUCACUUUCAAAAAUUUUAAAGUUUAAGGUAAUCUAAAUUUUUUAAUACUCAAUUUUAUAAAAUAGUUUUAAAAACAAUUGCAUUUUUUCUAUUUUUAAAAAUAGAAAAUAGAAAAUAAAAAAUAAAAAAUAAAUCCAAACAAAUAUUAGCAAACAAAUAAUUUACCAUACUAAUUAGCAAGGUCUUACAAGUCCUUGUUCUGGAACUACACCUAAUUCAACUCUCUUUUCCUUCAACAUUUUCCUAGAAUGGAACUGAUUUUUGAGUCUUUGGUACUUCUCAUCAUACCCUUCUAAAUGACUUCAGAUUCUUGGCUAUUUCUGCCUCCUCCCCUCACAACAAUUUCUAAUCAAUUUUCUUGUUGGAAAAAAUUCCAUUUGGGUCUUAUCAGGAAAGAGGUUGGCAUCCAAUCUUCACACAACAAAUGGUAAGAUUAAAUGGAAGGAACAAAGGGGUGAAGAGAAACAUGAGUCAAGAGCCCAUGCGCUCCAGUUUCUAGAGAAAAGGGUGGGACCCAAUUUAGGCAGGGAUUUGAUUACCUUGUCUAGAAAACAAAGGGGUUGGACCCAUGAAAAGAAAUUGGAGGUUGGCAGGUUUUGAAUUUUGCUAUUUAUUGGUUGUUGGCAUGUAUACACCCAGUCAAGUUUUAUUAGAAGAUGGUAUUUUAUUUGGCGCCUGUUGUUAGUGUUUGAUUAUGGUAUUUGAACCACCAAUUUGGUGUGGGACAUCUAGUCCAAUUUAAUUACUGUUGAGAAUUGAAAGUAACAAAGUUGUUCAUCAAAUUUACCUUUUGACAAACUUUAUGGAAUUUCAAUUCCAAAGAAGACAAAUGUGUAGCAUUCAAGUGUGACAAUGUAAUUAUAUAAAUUAAUCCCAUGUGUUAGACCCCACAUUGAAAAUUUUAUAAUAGCUAAACAACUUUUUUGCACAACAUUUCUUAAUGAAAUUUACGUUUGUCAAAAAGCUUGAAUUAAAACAAAAAGAAUUUUGAAACUUUAAAACAUGCUAUUUAAUUAUUAUUCCAAUAAUUUUACCAUAUUUUGUAGACAAAAAAUAACUACAUUAAUAUGCAUUAAUAUAAAUCACGAUUUACUUUUAAGCCCUAUUGGAAUUAACUUCUAAAGGCCAAAAAUUUCUUUUAAAAUUUAAUGACAACUUCUUUAUUUGUUUACAAUUUUAUGGCAUUGUUUUAUAAAUUAAAAUUCAAAAAAAUGUUCCUUAGAAACUAUGAAACAAGGUUAGUUUGAUUAAGAAAAACACCCCAGAGUCGGAGUGAAUUAGGUAUUCAAAAUCUUUUCAAAAAUAAUUAAUUAAAAUCACAAAAAAAAAAACUUAAAUAAAAGUGCAAUAAAAUAAAGAGCAAAUAGAAGAAAAUUGUAAAUUAUUUUUAUAGUGGUUUAACAACUCACCUAUGUCUACUCUCCUAAAUCUCCUAACGGAGUGAUGAUUCCAUUACCAAGGCUUCAAUCCAAGUCUUCAAUGUUUACCAAUAAAUUCAUCGACUCCAAUGGAUUCUAUAAUCUCUUCAAGUUUUUCACCAACUUUAAGUCUAUAUCACUUAAGAAAGAAUAAGUAGAUGAAUUUUUUUAUAGUCUUAACCCUAGUACAAAUAUAGCUCAAUACACAAAGAACACUAUGAUGAACUAAAGGGUGCACUAAAGGAUUUGCAAAUUUGGAAUAAAUUCACUUAAAUGAAGAGCUUUGAAAGAAGGAAAGUAAGUGAAUAUGAAAUCAAUGCAAGUGCUCUCUUCUUCUUACAUGAAAGAAAGUUCUUCAAUUCAUAGAAAAUCACCUCAAGCAUCUAAAAUAGCAUGAAAGGCCUUGAUUGAUCGAGGACUGAUUGAGUUCUUAUUCAAUCGAUUGACCAGUUGUUGGUGUAUUUAAUGCAUAGCAAGUGAUCGAUUAGCCAAUUAUUGGUGCAUUAAUGCAUAACAAGUGAUCCUUGGCACUUUUAAUACUCAACCCAUCAUACAUCAACUACUAAAAAAAAAAAAAAUUACAAGCUCAACUAGUUCUCAACUAGGAAAGCCCAUAGAUUGAGUCAAUUUCCUAACCAAUUCAAUCGGUUCUAGGAACCCUUAGCUAGUUGCACCAAAAAGUAGCCAAAAUGGUUCUAAUUUUCGCUUUAAGCCUCCAAUGACUUGUGUAUCCCUUCUUAAAGCCUUUAUAAGUUAUUUUUGAAAGAAUUAAACCUUAGGUUUUGAAAUAAAAAUCAUGCUCAUCCACUUCAAAAAUAAAUGGUGACUUUUAAGCUUAGGCGAGGAUGAAUAAAAAAUAGUUUAGAAGUGCAUAAAAUUUUUUGAACCUAAGUGCACCAAUGAAACUCAUCUUAUCGAGAAACCUAGACAACUUGAGUCUUCAAGUGAUCCAUUUCUUCAUGACUUUUGGAUUUUGCACAAUGGUACUUGAGCUUCCGUUACAAAUCAUCAUUGAAACCUAAAAACUUCACUUGAUUUGAACUUGUUAGUAUAUUUAACCUUGUUUUGUAACCAUUAAAAUAUAAUUAGGAGAAUCUUUGUGCUAACAAUCUCCCCAUUUUUUAUAAUGACAAAACUAGGUUAUCUAGGAAUGAGAAAAAGAAGAUUUCCCCCUCAAACUAUUCAUAAACGAAAUCAAGUAAAGCUCAAAGAAUUUGGAUAGAUCUCACAACUAGUUAAACAAUACCAUUUACCAAAACCUCAAUAAGGAACAAGUACAUUAGCACUUGUGAAUAGAUCAUGAUAUCCAUACAAUAUUAAUUAUCAUCAUCAAGAUAUCAAACUAUAGUUAGGAUAAAUGGAAAAUCAAAAUAUUCAACAUGAGUAAUAAGCACAUAUCCAAGUAUCCAAAACAAGAUCAUGUCAUAAUAUCCAAAAGAUAUUAUCAAUGUUAGGAAGUGUCCUAAAUUCCUAAUUAGUAUAGAUUCCUUUUUGUAAAGAAUAUUAUAUAGAAUAUUUCUAGGUUGAUAUAUUAUUGUAAUAUUAGACUUCCUUAUAGAAUAAGGAAGGUUGUUGGAAAUAUCUCUAUAAAUAUUCUAGGUCAUGAGGGGAAAAAGUUAUGAGAUGGAGAUGGACCUGUAGAGACUAUAUGAGGUGGAUAGAGAUGUGAAGAAGAACGGGAGGUACUCGGUGGAGCGAGAGGACUCGUAGUAAGGUAUGGAUACAACGAGUGGGGAUACAUGGGAUGUUUCGGGAACCCAAUAAUUGUAUCCGGUUUUGUCCUCUAUAAUAUUCUCUAUUGUAUAAUGGAAUCAUUAUCUCUCAUCCGUGGACAUAGGCAUGGUUGGCCGAACCACGUUAAAACCUCGUGUACCGUAUGUGUGAUUGUUUUAUCUUUGUGUUCUCGAACUAACAUUGUUGGCAUCAGAGCUUUUGUUAGCACUACAACUAGUAUCAGAGCUUGGGUUGAAGAUUUCUGGAAGAGUAAAAGAUCACAAAACAUAUAAGAUGAAAACAAAAAGAAUUUUCAUUGAAGGUGGAGUCGAUUGCUCUUUCAUGGCGAUAUGAUACAAAAAGGUUUGUGUCAUGGAGAGAUUGAAGAUUAACUUCAUGGAAUUUGGUAAAAGGUGGAGAUUGUUAGGAAGUGUCCCAAAUUCCUAAUUAGUAUAGAUUCAUUUUUGCAAAGAAUAUUAUAUAGAAUAUUUUUAGGUUGAUAUAUUAUUGUAAUUUUAGACUUCCUUAUAGAAUAAGGAAGAUUGUUGGAAAUAUCUCUAUAAAUAUUCUAGGUCAUGAGGGGAAUAAGUUAUGAGAUGGAGAUGGACCUAUAGAGACUAUACGAGGUGGAUAGAGAUGUGAGGAAGAACGGGAGGUACCCGAUAAAGCGAGAGGGCUCGUAGUAAGGUAUGGAUACAACGAGUGGGGAAACAUGGGAUGUUUCGGGAACCCAAUAGUUGUAUCCGGUUUUGUCCUCUAUAAUAUUCUCUAUUGUAUAGUGGAAUCAUUAUCUCUCAUCCGUGGAGGUAGGCAUGGUUGGCCGAACCACGUUAAAACCUCGUGUACCGUAUGUGUGAUUGUUUUAUCUUUGUGUUCUCGAACUAACAUUGUUGGCAUCAGAGCUUUCGUUGGCACUACAAUCAAAACUAGGACUACUCAUCCUAGUUCUAGUGGGACUCUUCAUGAUAGGUUGUGGCACCAACUACUCCUGCUAAGACUAUAAGUCAUACUCAGACUACAAAUACAAUUACAAUAUGAAUAAGACUCCUACGCAUACUAGGCUCAUAAUUCCGCUUUGAGUUCAACUCUUCAUGUUGCUACCAUAUGCAUCUAUAUAUAGCUCAUGUGUCUUCCAAGCUCUCUUUUGGUCUAGACAUCUAAGUCACAUCCAUGUCGAGGCUACAUGUCCUUGCACUCAUCAUGUUAUUUUUGUGUGUGCCCAUAGGAACAACUCUUAUACAUGCCAAGCCUUCUUCUCAUUUAAUUCAUAUCCACACCUAGACAACCAACUAUCCCUAUACUCAUGCCCUAUGUCGUUGUACUCAUGGGUUGCAUCUCAUCCUAGCUCCUUGCCCAUGGUUGUAUGCUUUAGAAAAGGUUAAUACCACCCCUUGCUCAUGUUUGAAGCCCACGCUUCUUCCUAUUGAUGCUAUGGCACCAUGCCACAUCCCAUUCUUUCUUGGUAUAGCAACAAGUCAUGGCAUUGUGCCUAUGACUCCUUAUUCAUGCACAAGGCAUUGCACCCCUUGUGUAUAGCAUCCUAUAUUGUGUCUUGAGUCGACUUCGUUGUUAUCUAUGCCACAUCCAAGCAACAAGCCAUGGCAUUGGGUCCAUGGCUCUUCAAGCCACCCCACACAAGGCAUUAAGCCCUUAUACUAUCAUCGGGAGGAGAGUUCACAUCACUCCCUAUGUCAUUAUUGCCACAAGUUGCACACCACCACAUGUCAUAGAGCCCAUGUGUGGGUGCCAACAAGGCUUGCCCCAUGUGCCUUACUCAUGUCAAAAGCCUUACACUAAGGCCUCUAGGUGUAGCCAUGCCCAAGCCACCAUGCCUCACCUUGAGUCACCUACUUGCCCCUCCCUACCCUCCUUAAAUAGUUUUAGGUCAUUUGAAAGUUUUUAGAGGAAACAUCACAUAUUCUUGAGGAGGAAAUACAAGACCUAUUAUGCGUAUGCCCCAUGCAUACACGUGAACUAUUGUGUGUGCGACUUAUUGUGUGCACGCCUCAUGCAUUAACUACUCACAUUCACCCAAGUGUUGUCACCUUUUUGCCUAUUUGAUGCCACAAACCCUUCAUUACGUUGUAGUUUCCCUAAGGGCUUCCCUCAUGGGUGUAAGGUGUUUACCCAUGAGACCUUUAUUGUCGUAUGGUCCAUGUCAAGGGGCUAAUAAUAAUCUUACUCCCAUAACCCAUAUUGGUGUUGUUUCAUUUUCUCCAUCUCUCACCCUUCGUAAUGGCCUUUAUGCGUCCAACUUAGCAUAAUGGAGCAAGUAGAUCGUCAUUUUAUGACCUAGGACCUUUAUUACUUUGUUUUUUUGCACUUUGAUUUAGUUGUUGUGUUGCUAACACAAUGGUUUCAAUGUUUGGUUGCCCUAUCCAACCACAUCCUAUUGCCUUUCUUCUUGUAAAAUGAGAGAAUAUGCUCAAUUCACAUUAGAAAAAGGGUUCAUAAGCAAAAUUUGUCCAUGUACAACAAAAUAUGAUUUAUUUAAACCCAUCAAUAAUUGAAUGAGAUGGUAUUACUAUUGAUAAUCUACCAAGGCCUUUUUUGCUAAGCACAUAUAUGUGGAAAAAAAUUGCAAAUUUGCAAGUUCAUCCCAUAAAGCUUUUAGUCGAGUAUAAUUGGUAACAAUAGAAAGUUGUUCUUGUCUUAGAGAGAUAAUAUCUCUCUCAAUUUGAAGGAAGCGAAGGGUAUUGAGUUGAGAAAAAUGCUCCUUUAGAUCAGACCAAAUUUUGACUCUUAUAUCUACAUAAAAAACAUUAUUGGCAAAAUCUUGAGAUAAAGAAUGGAGGAUCUAAGUUACCAUAUUGUUGUAAUGAUUCCACAUAUCAUAGGUUGAAUCCGUUGAAAAGGGUUUUGUGGUCAAUCCAUCAAUGAAGCCCACUUUGUUCUUUGAACUCAAGGCUAUAAGCAUAGCCCUACUCCUAGUUGAGUAGUUUUCACUCAAUGUUUUCAUAACUAAACUCAUUGAACCACAAAAAUUAACGAUUGUAGUUUGGUCGUCCAGUGUUUCAAGUGAUGGUUGAACUACAAUCGAACUAAUAAUUUUAUAAAUAUAUCAUUUACAUUAUUAAAAUUAAAAAUAAUUAUAAAUUUUUAGAUUAUAUAUAAAGUAAUUAAAAAUAAUAAUAUUCAUUUUUCAUUUUUGAUAUUAUCAAAUAAAUUAUGAAUAAAUAUAAAUUUAUUAUUAUUUUAAAUUUUAUGAAAUAAUAUAUAUAUAUAACAUUUAAAUAUGAAGAAUAUAUUAAAAUAGAAGAGAAUUAUUUUAUUUAUAUUUAUUUUACUUAUAAUAUAUUAUCUUACUCAUAUUUUUUAAAAUACUAUUUAUUGUAAAAAAAAUUAAAAUAAUUAUGAUAUUUUAUUUUGGGUUUGAAACAUUUUAAUAUAAUAAUUAUUAGCAACAAAGUGGUCCCCAUCCCAUCUCAUGAUCAAUUAUGGUUGGGCUUCCAUUGACCUUACCACAUCAAAAGCACACAAGUAUGAGGAAGCCUUUAAAUUAAAUGAGAAUGCUUUUGAAUUCUCCAUUGCAUGAUCAGUUAAACAACCAAGAUAGCCCAAAGUGGAGCCUAGUAGGAGCCUCAUAUUAUGGCUAGGCUUCCAUUGACCUUAAUAAUGUGAAGUGAGCUUCCACCUACUCUUUUGCCAAGGAAAGAAAAAGGUUUGGCCAACCUGAACUAGCAAACCAGUUCAUCGUCAAAAGGUUGAACAAUUAAUUUGUUCGAUUCAAGGUUGAUUCAAUAUGUACUUCGGCCCAAAGGUUGGACUAAACUAGAUUAAGCUCCGAUCAACGGUUUGACCAAUUAGACCGGCUAGUUUGGUCCAAUUUUUAAAAUAUUUUUUUCACCCAUUAAAGUGCUAGGACUAAUAUUCUAUUACAACAAGCGUGGCACAUUAAAAAUUUUAGUCUUCUUCUCAUAUAACAAGAAUACAUGUAAAGUAUUUUUAAAAUUGCCCCCGUUGCCAUGAUAUUAUAAUGAAAUCAAAAUAAAACAUUUAAAAAAGUUAAUGAGAAUAAAAUUAUAAUAAAUUUUAUAAUUUUCAUGAAUAUUUUGAAAUCAAUCAACAAAAAAAGAAAGAAAAGAAAUUGUAUAAUAAAACAAAUUAGGAUAAUAAUCUUGAGUUUACUCCAUAUAGUGAAAAAUAAGUUAUUUAGGGUCCGUUUGAAAACUGUUUUGAAAAACACUUUUCUAUUCUUCGAAUUAAAAAAAACACAGAAAACACGUUUGAUAACAAAAAACUGUUUUAUGUUUUAUAUUCUUAAGAAUAAAAAAAUACGAUAUUUUUAAAUAAUAUCUUUUAAUUGUUUUAUGAUGUUUUCACUUAUUUUUUAAGGACUAUUUUAAAAAAUAAUUAUACAAAUAUAUUGAAUGAUUAAAAAUAAAACACUACAUAUAAAAACACUAUGUUUUUAAAAUAUUAAAAAUAUUUUAGGUUUUCAAAUAGACUUUUAUUUUAUAAAAAUUUAAAAAUAAUUUUUAAAAACUAUUUUUAAAAAUUAAUUUUUAAAAUAAUUAUCAAACAUACCCUUAUAUUUUGACGAGAGACAAUUAUUUGAUCGUAGAUAUGUCUUAAAUAAGAUUUAAAAACUAUAAAGCAUUGUUAUAUUAGUAAAUGAUUAGCAUGGAAAAGUCAAGUAAAAUCCAAAAUCAUCUCCCCAUAUUCACAAAAUCCAAACCCCACUUCAAAGCUGAAUCCAAUCCCUCUUAACCAACUAGAAGACCAAGUGCAGCUAUACCUACUUCAUCUGUCCUCUAUCCCCAAUUUUCCUUCAACUUUGUCCCUAAAAUUCAACCUCUGGAAUUCUUUUUCUUUGAAUUGAACCGUUGGGAUUCUCCUGGCAGGACUUCCACUCUUCCAUGAUUUUGCCCUCCUCGUAAUAAUUCCCAACCAAGCUUCUUUCUUAAGGCAGAGAAUCCAUUGGGGUUUUCGAAUGGAGGAAGUCAAGCAUCUAAUCUUUAUACUAAGAACCUAAAAAAUUAAGAAUUUUGUUGAGUCUUGAAUCCGUGUGUUGAAAAGGGGAUGAUUCACAUUGUAGCACCCCAGUAUCUUUCAGAUCCCAUUAUUUUAUAUAUUAGUUAAUUUUUAUAUUUUAUAUUUAAUGGAUUUAAAAAAUAUUUUAAAUCUUUUUAAUACUUAAAAAAUAAUAAUUUUUAAGAAUUAGAAAAUUUUAAAUAUUUUUCAUAAUCAAUAUUAAAUAAACUUUUAAUCUCAUUAUUGAUAUAUAUAUAUUUUAUUUUUUUAUACUUAUUUUAUUUAUUUAUAUUAUUAUUUAAUAAUUUAAAUUUCUAAUAAACGAAAAAGCGUGAAAUGCGUAAGGAGAGUCCUGAGUGAGGACAGAGGAGCCAUGGGUUCAAAACUCGGGAAAGAAGGGUGGGACCACUUUAAGUGAUAUUUCAUUAUUUUGAUGAACUUUUCAAGAUAUCAAAGGAGGUGGGCCCAUGAAAAGAACCAGUCGAUGGCACGUCUUCAGUCUUGCUGGCUGAUGAUUUCUUUUAUAGUGGAGUUUUGUGCACAUAUAUUCAAAGUUUUGCCUCGAGACUACUUUAUGCGUCCAUUAUGGCAUUUGAACUACCAAUUUGGUGUGGGCCAUGUGGUUGGACAAUCCACCAUACUCUUAAAAUGAUAAUAAGGGUAUAUUGUUUUAAAUAUAUAAUUUAAGGAGAGGAUUUUCCAAUAUUUUAACAAAUAUGAUAAAUAUGGUCAGCUUAAAAAAAUAAUAAUAAGAAUAUAAAUGAGAUAAUCACGUAAAAAAAAAUCCAAUUAUUGCAUCUUUUUAUUAACUUCUCAAACUAUAUAUUAAAAUAUAAGUAUUAAUGUUACAUACCAAACUUUGUUAUAUAAAUUCAAAAAGAGGAUAAAAAUUCCAGACUGGGGCAUGGCACGUGGAAAGGGUAAAAGGACGGACCAUUUUGGUACUAAUUCUUCAAUGAACUUUUUGACAAAUCCUAUUUGGAGGUUUUUUUAUUUAUUUUUAUUUUUUGAAAUAAAAACUGAAAUAUUAAAGCACUGGACCAAUUCAGACCCAUGGCUGAAUCACCCACGAAUUUAAUGAUUCUGACAAGACAAUCAAAACCCAUGGCUGAAUCUCGAAGUCCUGGUAUGACAUUGCUGAUAAUUCAAUAAAAAAAUAAUAAAAAUAAAAAUGUUUAAGAUUCUUUUGAAUCUUAGUUCACACUUUGAGGAUUGACAUUCAGAUUGAUGGAAAAGGUUGCACCACCGCCACGUUCCACUCAUGUUAUCAUGAAUAUGAUCAUGCUUUAUGUUGUGGUGGGGAGACGCCCAAUAGAGCAAACCUCUUUUUCUUCUUCCAUUUAUCUUCCCCCUUUUUUCUUUUUUCUUUUUUCUUUAUUUAUUUAUUUAUUUAUUUAUCCUCAACGUGUCAAGAGUGUCGUUGAAAAAGUACAAGAUUAUUGUAAGUUUAAAAUAACGUUAUUUAAUUAUAGUAAAUUUAACCGUUGAGGUAACUCGUGAUAGCCGUACAAAAUAGUCAAAUCGAGUCAUAUAAUGAACUUCAUCUAAUAUAGGGCUUGUAGCUUAGGCGGGUGGUUUAGAUUGGUGCUUAACCCAAGGUCAAUUAGAAUUAAAAUAUAAUUAAUCCAACUUCAAUUCAACCCCAAUUAUAAUCGAGAUACUUAAUUUAAGAUUAAUUCAAUCUUAUUUUUUUUAAACUUGAAUUGAGUUUAACAGGUUAUGUAUUUGAAAAUUUAUCUAUAAUAUUUUUAAAAACUUUUUAAUGUAUUUAUAUGUAAAUUUAAAUAAUAUAUAAAAUAAAAUUUCAAGAUAACAAUAAAAUAAUAAACAUAAAUUUAUAUAUAUUUCUAAAAAAGUAAUAUAUAUAUAUAUGAUGUCGUAUAUAAUUUGAUAUUUUUUUCUUAAAAAUAGAAAAAGAAAAUACAUAUUAUGGAUAAUAUACAUUAUCAAUAUUAUAAAAACGUUAAAUUGGGUCGGGUUAAGUUGGAGUUAUUUGAACCUUAACCCAAACCUAACCAAAAUUGAGGUCAAAUUGAAAAAAAAUGUAACCCAAGCCUAACUCGAGUUUUAAAAAUAAUUGUUCAAAUUGCCCAAAUAUCGAAUUAGAUUUAGGUUAGGUUAGGUCAACCCAUUCAAGUUACACCCCUAAUUUAAUAUAACCAUUUACUAAUUCCAAACUGAAAAUUAAAUUCAUUAUGAAAUUUAUUUAUUACAUUAAUACUAUUGUUAAGUAGACUUUUUUUUUAAAUCUUUUUCUUUUUUAUUUUCCCCUCUUUCACGAUAUACAAACUUCAUGUCAUGCUAAUAGAAAGUUUUGAUUCAUUAUAAAAGUAUACUAUCGUGAUUAAUUUAUGAAAAUUAGAAUACAUUUGAUAGUGAUUUUAGAAAGUGUUUUUAGUCAUUUUUAUGUUUGAAAGAUAAAAAAUUUUAAUUGUUAAAAGAAGUAGAAAUACUUCCUAAAUCAUUGUUAAACGCAUUUUUUUAUGGUCGAGACUUUGAUAUUAAUGGUCAUACAAAUGGUACAAUUUUAUAAAAAUAUUGAUAUUGAUAUUGAUAAAAAAAAUUAUGAAAAUUGACAUUGAAAAUAAAAAUCUAAGAUUAAAUUUUGAGAAAUCUAUUUGAAAAUAGAUAUGCAUAAAUUAAACUAGUUUUUAAUAAGAUAUGCAAGACAAAAUUAGCGUUAUUGGUGAAUAUAAUAUAUGAUUUAAAAUUAAAUAUUAACAUAGAAAUAAAAAAAUUAUUUUAUUAAAUUUCAACAUUGGAAAACCAAUAUUAAUACAAGUAAGCACAAAAAUAUAGAGAUAAAAAUAAAUAAGAAUAAAAAAAUAAAUAAAAAAAGAAGCCAUUCACGCUAAGAUAAAAAAACUUCUACAGCAUUUCAAUUAUAUGGAUUAAAGAGAAUUAUUGUAUUAUUUUAUAAAUAAUAUUAUAAAGAACAAAAGCAAUAAGUAUAAUAGUAUAUUAAGGGUCUAUUUGCUAACUAUUUUUUAGAACGAUAUUUUAUUAUCCAAAAAUAAAAAUAGGAAAACGCUAACCAACCACUAUUUUUUGUUUUUUGUUCUUAAGAAUAUGAAAUAUGUUGUUUUUAGAGAACAUUUUUUAAUUACUUUAUAUUGUUUUCUAUGGGUUGUUUUAAAAAAUAAUUAUACAAACAUGUAAAAUGAUUAAAAAUAAAAUAUUAGACUUAAAAAUUAUUUUUAAAAUGUAUUUAAAAAUAUUAAAAAUAGGUUAAAAACAUUUUUGGUUUUCAAAUAAACUUUUAUUUUAUAAAAUAUCAAAAAACUAUUUUCAAAAACUAUUUUUAAAACUAUUUUCGACGGUUACCAAAUAUACCCUAAGCCUUCAAUUUCACAUAUAUUUUCUUACUCUCAUAUUUAGGAUUUAAACCAUGACUCCUCAUCUUAUUACUAAAUAUAUAUAUAUAUAUAUAUAUAUAUAUAUAUAUAAAACUUGAGACCAAUAAUUUUAACAAUGAAUCAAAUUUCAUUAAGUUAAUAUUUUAUCUUUUAUCUGAUACACAUCUUCAUAGUUUAUGUGACUUUUCCACAUAUUCUUUUAUCAUACGAAUGACCCAUUUGCUAUGCAACUAGAGUUUAAGUCCAAAAUAAUCAAUUGGUAGAAAAAAAAAAUGGUAAGGAUGGUACAUAUCUCAAAAUAUUUAUCAAACUAAUCUUUUGCAUCCAUGUAAGCAUCCAUAUGGAUUUUUUUUCAAGUGUGUAAAACCACCGUUGAUGACUGUGAUUUUAAAAUUUUUAGGAAUAUCCUUAAAACCACAGUUUAUAACUGUGGUUUUACAAUUUUCCUUAAAACCACAGUUAGUAACUAUAGUUUCAAAAUUAUUUUUAGUUCACCCUUGUUUUAGUGGUAUUGUAAUUUUAAUAUUAUUUUUAAAAAUUUUUUAUCAUAAUAACCAUAAAAUCACAGUUAGUAAUUGUGGUUUUGAAAAUAUCCUUAAAAACCACAGUCCUAAACUGUGGUUUUACAAUUUUCUUUAAAACCACAAUUACUAAUUGUGGUGUUUCACAAAUAUCUUUAAGGGGAACUCAUGUAACCAUACAUCAACUAAAAAAAAAAUGAGAUUUUAAAAUUUUAUUUUUUUAUUUUUAAUUUUAGUGUAAAUUAUGGAUGUACCAAAAAUUUUUAACUAUAUACCAAAUUCUUCAAAUUGAUAAAUGGUAGUUUUUUCAUUCUUUUUUUCAUUCGUUCAUGUACAAAGUAUAUAUAAAGGGUAAUCACCAUUCUAAGAAUGAAAAAGAAUGAUACAAGGAAAGAACAACUAAUAUCCUAAUAUCUCAACUUUCCUAAUAUCUAAACAUUCAUAAUAUCUCAACACUGAAUAAUAUAAGGAAAGAAUUAUAAAAGGAAAGUAUUCCUAAUAUCUCAACAAUACGAAAUUUCCUUAAAGUUCUUUUUGGAGUGGGAAAAAUUUCUUAUAAUUUUCCAUUGUCAGUUUAAAAUUAUCUUUUUUACAAAUUAUCCUUAAUAAAUUUUUUCCUUACGAUUGUUUUAAAAUUAUAUCUAUAUUAUCUUUAUUUUUUCAUAUUUUCUUUGAAAUUUUGAGAAAAUAAUUUCGCAUGUAUUCCCAUAAAAAUUUAUAUAUUUAUGGUAAAUAAAAUAUUUAUUUGUUUUAUGAAUUUUAUCACAUAUGAAUUAAAGAAAAUUAUUUUUUCAUAUUAUUUUUUAAUUUUAAAAUAACUAAAUAAAUUAUUUAUAUUAUUUUAAAAAUUUUUAUUUUCAUAUAAAAAUUAAUGUCAAUGGUUAUGAUUUUAGGUUAUUCCUUAAUAAUGGUGGUUUUAUGGUUAUUAUGAUUAAAAAUAAUAUUAAAAUCAUAAUAUCAUUAAAACAUGGAUGAAUUAAAAAUAAUUUUAAAACCAUAGUUACCAAUUAUGGUUCUAAGGAAAAUUGUAAAACUACAUUCACAGACUGUGAUUUUAAAGAUAUUUCUUAAACUUUUAAAACCACAGUCAUUAAUGGUGGUUUUACACACUUAAAAAAAAAAAAUUCAUGUGUAUGUUUACGUAAAUAUAAAAGAUUAAUUUGACAAAUAUUUUAAGAUGGAUACUAUUCUUACCAUUUUUUUCUACCACUGGAUUAUUUUGAACUUAAACUCAUGCAACUAUCUAGGAAGUUAUGGAAUGUACCCUAGAAAAAUUGUCUAAACCAAAUCCUUCGUACCACAUUACUUUAUUAUGUUUUAGGGUCUCCUCAUGCGCAACAAUCCCCUUGGUGCACACUAUUCCCUAAUAUGCCAUGGUCUCUCAUGCUCACAAUCCUCUUUAUGUGCCAUACAUUCAAACUAUUCUAUCACAUCACUACUUCUACCUUCUAAAAUCCAAUAAAUUUAUUCGAGAGACUACACUUAUUCCUAAGAAUAAGUUAUGUACUUCAUGUAUUAUAUUCGGGCGAGAGAAUGACUAAUUUUAUGAUUAAUUAUUAUUUUAUAUUUUUACAAUUUUUUCACGUAGUCUAAGAAUGUGUUGAAUAGUAAUUUUAAAAUAUAUUUAUAAAUUUUUUAAUACUUAAAAAUUUUCAUUUUUUUAAAAUAUUAUAAAUACUUUUUAAAAUUACUGUAAAAUGUCCUCUAAAUCUUUUGACUGAGUUAUAAUAUUCUAUCUUAAUAUAUGCUUCUUUCCUCUUUCAACUAUCAUCACCUUAACACCUAAGGCUUCAAUAUCAUUUGUUAUGCUAGCAAUUAUAUAGGCCAAAAAUACACUUAUUUUGCCCGUGGAAACUUUAAUUCCAUGAAAGCACAAGAAUAUUAAGAUACAAAUAAAUUAUCCAUAUAAAAGUAAACAAUGUUUUAAUAUUGUUUAAUCAAGCACGGUGACAUCCACAUACGAGAGAAAUUGAUUCUAUUAUACCUUUAAGAAAAUAUUACCAAAAAAAAAAAAUUAUUUGAAAUAUCUAGUGUUCUUCUGCUCCUCAUAUUUAGGGCUAUUUGAUUAAAAAUGCUGACAUAUUUUUAAAUUUAUAAAUCUAAUCCUUCACAUAUUUCAACCUAAUAAUAGAUCCAUUUUUUACCAAAAAAAAAGAAAGAAAAAAACUUUUUUAUGUUUUUUUUUUUGGUAGAAGUAACAUUUUAGGACUUGCCUGAAAAUAAUCCAAAUGUUGGGCAUUUAUGUAAAAACGGGUUAGUUUUCCAAUUCAAAUGUAGAAGGUUAUUUUUACAAAUUUGAGAUUACUCAAUCCCUUUUAAUAAAAUAAUUUUUUUAUUCAUACAUGGAAGAAGUCUUUCUUGUUCUUCUUUUUCACGUCUUUACCUACUCGAUGUUGACUACACUUUAAGGACAUUAAAUAUCCAUUCCUAACUCACAAGACGGGUUUUGCAUAUUAAAUAUUUAAAAUAACUUUACGAUUGAAAUAAAAUCAAAACCCAAUACAAAUUUUUCCUUUUUUCAAAGAAAUAAACUUAUGUGGAAACUUAUUUCAUAUUAAUCAAAAUUUCAUUAGAUUAAGAUUUGUUAUGAUUUUGGCUUUAAUUUUGAACUAAAAAAAAAUGCCAAACAACAUUAUAAUGCUUUUAAUGUAUGACAAACAAAAAUUAUACAUAAGUUCCAAUUCUACACUCUCUUUUCUAACAGGCAAGAAAACAACUCACCCCUACUUACAAUAAAAUUUUAACCAGUCACCAUUUGAUGUGAAAUGAGUAGAGCAAAUCAAUGAGUAAAAGGGAGCUUAACAAAAUGGAAACAGGGAGGCAUCUUUUGAAGCAGGCCGCAUUUAAAUACUAUGUCAAGAGUUAGGAGACAACCAAAUUUAAACAAAGUUGAGGUCUAUACUUAUUAAAAUAAUACGGCUCUUUUCUUUGUUCUAAUUAAAAAUAAAUAAAUAAAAGAAAAAACAAAUCAUUCCUUGACUUUGUCCCAAACGUGAUCCAACAAAAUUUUUUAUAUAUAAGAUUUUUUUUUUUUUUUUAAAAAAAAAAACAUUUUUCUUACUUUCUAUUUUUAUUUUUAUUUUUUGUGAAAGGCAACAUCCAAACAAAACCUAACGGGGCUAGGGAUGGCAACAGGGCGGGUUUUUUCGGGUACCCGCCCCGCCCCGCCCCUAAUGGGACGGGGUUGAAAUUUAAUAAACGGGUUUUUAACGGGUAUGAGAUUUUUUUUUUAAACCCGGGGCGGGUUCGGGUAUUGCCCCAUCCCGCCCCGUUUACAUAUAAAAUCAAUUUUAAAAUUUAAUUUAAUUUAAAAUUUAAAAUUAAUUUUAUUUUACUAUUUUUAAUAUAUAGAUAAUAAUAAAAAAAUUAAUAAAAUAAGUUAUAAAAAAUAUAAUAAUUUUAUUAUUUAUUUUAAUGUAAUUAAAAAUUUUAAAAACAAAUUUUUAAAAAAAUUUAAAAAAAAAAAAAAAAGGAGGCUAAACGGGGCGGGGAUGGGAAUUAUUUUUAAUAAACGGGACGGGGUUGGGAUGGGAGCGACCCGUCCCGAACCCGCCCCGUUGCCAUUCCUAAACGGGGCUGCUUUUAUUUCACGAUAUUGACCGGCGCAAUCUCAUGCAUGACACCUUGUAAUAGAGAAUGGUAUUGAGUGGCAUCUUUCUCCCAUCGCCUCUUCCUUUACAAAAAAUAUCUUCGUUUCAAUAAAUCCCAACGCCCAUUUUGUGAUAUUAAUUAAUACAAAUUUGUACAUUUUGUUGGAUGUGUCGUUUUUAGGAAUUGAGACCCAUCACGGGGCCCAAUCAAAUUGGUUGAAUUUUCAUUACACUAUAGUGGGAGUUUGGCAUCCGAAGGAGGCCUAAAGUCCACCAAGGCCGAAAAGAGAACGCGUCAAUACAAGGGACUUUUCUCAAUAGUACAGUAGUUUAAAAAAGUUAUGCUUAAAUUAUUGUAGUAGAAGAAGUUAUUACAAAUAUAUGGUAGUUUUUGCCACAUAGGAGAGAGGAGAGAGGAGAGAGGGUGAGAGAGGAGAGUGGAGAGAGGAGAGAGGGUGAGAGAGAGGAGAGAGGAGAUAGGAGAUAGGGUGAACGGAUAUUACAAAAGGGAACUCGUCUCUUGAAGAGACGAGUUCCAUGAAAAAAAAAAUAUAUAUUUUUUUAAAAAAAUUCCCAUUNNNNNNNNNNNNNNNNNNNNNNNNNNNNNNNNNNNNNNNNNNNNNNNNNNNNNNNNNNNNNNNNNNNNNNNNNNNNNNNNNNNNNNNNNNNNNNNNNNNNNNNNNNNNNNNNNNNNNNNNNNNNNNNNNNNNNNNNNNNNNNNNNNNNNNNNNNNNNNNNNNNNNNNNNNNNNNNNNNNNNNNNNNNNNNNNNNNNNNNNNNNNNNNNNNNNNNNNNNNNNNNNNNNNNNNNNNNNNNNNNNNNNNNNNNNNNNNNNNNNNNNNNNNNNNNNNNNNNNNNNNNNNNNNNNNNNNNNNNNUUAAAAAAAUCCCAAAUUAAAAAAAAAAAAAAAAAAAAAAAAAAAAAAAAAAAAAACCAAUUCCAAAGGGAACUCGUCUCUUCAGGAGACGAGUUCCCAUGUAAUUUUUUUUUUUUAAAUAUAUAUAUAAUAAUAAUAAUAAAAAAAAUAAAAAACAAUUCCUAAAGGGAACUCGUCUCUUCAAGAAACGAGUUCCCAUGUAAAAAAAUUAUAUUUUAAAAAAAAAAUUGUUUUUUUUUUUUUUUUUUUAAUUUGGGAUUUUUUUUAAAAAAAAAAAUAUUGUUUUUCCUAUGGGAAACUCGUCUCUUAAAAAAACGAGUUCCUUUAAGAAAAUUUUUUUUUAAAAAAAAAAAAUAUUUAAAAAAAAAAAAAAUUUUUUUCCNNNNNNNNNNNNNNNNNNNNNNNNNNNNNNNNNNNNNNNNNNNNNNNNNNNNNNNNNNNNNNNNNNNNNNNNNNNNNNNNNNNNNNNNNNNNNNNNNNNNUCCAUGAAAAAAGGCAAGAGAAAGAAAAGUUCCCAGGGAAUUUUAUUUAUUUUUAUUAAAUAUAUUUUUAAUUUAAAAAAAAUCCCAAAUUAAAUAAAAAAAAAUUUUCCUAAAGGGAAGUCGUCUCCGUGGUAAAAUUUUUAUUUUUUUUAAAUUUAUUUAUAAUUAAAAAAAAAUCGAAAAUGUAAAAUAAAAAAAAGUUUUUAAAGGGAAAAAAAUUAUUUAUAAAAAAAAAAUUUCAUUUAAAAAAUAUUUUAUUUAAUUUGGGAAAUUUUUUAAAAAAAAAAAAAAAAAUUUCCUAAAGGGAACUCGUCUCUUCAAGAGACGAGUUCCCUUUAGGAAAUUUUUUUUUAAACAAAAAAUAUAUUUAAAAAAAAUAAUAAUUUUUUUCCUAUGAAACUCGUCUAUUCAAGAGACGAGUUCCCUUUAGGAAAUUUUUUUUUUAAUAUGUAUAUUUUAAAAAAAAAUAUAUUUUUUUUUACAUGGGAACUCUUCAAGGUCUCUUGAAGAGACGAGUUCCCUUUAAGAAUUUUUUUUUUUUUUUUAAUUUGGGAUUUUUUUUAAAUAAAAAAUAUAUUUAAAAAAAAAAAUUUUUUUUCCCAAAGAGACGAGUUCCCUUUAGGAAAUUUUUUUUUUAUUUAAUUUGGGAUUUUUUUUAAAUAAAAAAUAUAUUUAAAAAAAAAAAAAAAUUUCCCUGGGAACUCGUCUUUCCCUUGUCUUUUUUCAAGAGACGAGUUCCCUUGAGUAAAUGGGAAUUUUUUAAAAAAAAUAUAUAUAUUUUUUUUCAUGGAACUCGUCUCUUCAAGAGACGAGUUCCCUUUUGUAAUAUCCGUUCACCCUAUCUCCUAUCUCCUCUCUCCUCUCUCACCCUCUCUCCUCUCUCCUCUCUCUUAUGUGGCAAAAACUACCAUAUAUUUGUAAUAACUUCUUCUACUACAAUAAUUUAAACAUAACUUUUUUAAACUACUGUACUAUUGAGAAAAGUCCUCAAUACAAGCAUACAAACCAUUCAAACAUUAUACACCACGCGGUAUACUUUGACGGCCUCCUCCGUCUUCCAUUCCCCCAUCCUCUGCUUCUCCUUUUUCAUCUUCUUCCAUUUUUUUUUUCAGUCCCCAUCUGGGGUGGAAUCCGAGAUAGAAUUGGAGGUGAGGUUGAUGGGAGUGCACCUCGGUGAAGCCACUGGGACUUUGAUCUUCUCUUCAUUUCUCUGUCUCAUGGGCGUCUCUCUCUGUUGCUUCCAAUGAGAAUUCUAGUCUUUUUGUGGCUCUUCUUCUUGCCCUUGUGCUCAGUCUUGUUUAGGAUCCAUAUCGCUUUGGUGUCCGGUGAAUGUCUUGGUGGUUCGAGGCUGUGUCUGGAGGAUGAGAAAUCGAUGUUGCUGCAGCUGAAGAACAGCCUCAAAUUCAAAUCUAAUGUGUCGAUGAAACUAGUGACGUGGAAUGAAAGUGUGGGUUGCUGUUCUUGGGAAGGUGUAACCUGGGACUCCAAUGGUCAUGUUGUCGGUCUUGAUCUGAGUAGCGAAUUGAUUUCUGGGGGAUUCAAUAGUUCCAGUAGUCUUUUUAGUCUACGGCAUCUCCAGCGCUUGAAUUUGGCCAACAACAGCUUCAAUUCUUCUCAAAUUCCAUCUGGAUUCGAUAAGCUUGGUAAUUUGACUUACCUGAAUUUGUCGGCAACUGGCUUCUAUGGGCAGAUUCCAAUUGAGAUUUCACGCUUGACGAGGUUGGUUACUAUUGAUUUCUCUAUCCUUUACUUCCCUGGAGUUCCAACACUGAAACUUGAGAACCCUAAUCUGAGAAUGCUGGUUCAGAACCUGGCUGAGCUUAGAGAACUCUAUCUUAAUGGUGUAAACAUAUCGGCACAAGGGAAGGAAUGGUGCCGGGCAUUAUCAUCUUCAGUGCCUAAUCUCCAAGUGCUGAGCUUGCCAAGCUGUUAUCUUUCUGGCCCUCUCGAUUCUUCUCUGCAGAAGCUUCGGUCUCUCUCAAGUAUUCGCCUGGACAGUAACAACUUCUCUGCUCCUGUUCCAGAAUUCCUAGCCAAUUUCUCGAAUUUGACUCAAUUGCGGCUCAGUUCUUGUGGAUUAUAUGGAACAUUUCCAGAAAAGAUCUUUCAGGUACCAACCCUUCAGAUUCUUGAUUUGUCAAACAACAAGUUGCUCCUGGGUUCUUUGCCGGAAUUCCCUCAGAAUGGAUCUCUAGAAACCUUGGUGCUCCCGGAUACAAAAUUUUCAGGGAAAGUACCAAACUCCAUAGGCAAUCUCAAGAGGUUGACUAGGAUAGAGCUUGCACGUUGCAAUUUCAGUGGGCCAAUCCCAAACUCCACGGCCAACCUUGCUCGAUUAGUUUACUUGGACUUGUCUGAAAACAAGUUUUCCGGUCCAAUCCCACCUUUUAGUUUGUCCAAGAACCUGACCCGAAUAAACCUUUCUCAUAAUCAUUUAACAGGUCCGAUUCCUUCCUCUCACUUGGAUGGCCUUGUGAAUCUAGUGACUCUUGACUUGAGUAAAAAUUCACUGAAUGGAAGUCUCCCCAUGCCCCUGUUUUCCCUCCCAUCACUGCAGAAGAUACAACUGAGCAACAACCAAUUUUCUGGUCCCUUGAGUAAAUUUUCGGUUGUGCCUUCUGUAUUGGACACUCUUGAUUUGAGUAGCAACAAUCUGGAAGGGCAAAUACCUGUAUCCAUCUUUGAUCUCCAGUGUCUUAGCAUCCUUGAUCUUUCUUCCAACAAAUUCAAUGGCACUGUUUUACUAAGCAGCUUUCAGAAACUUGGAAAUCUUACCACUCUUAGUCUGUCAUACAACAACUUGUCCAUCAAUUCAAGUGUUGGUAAUCCCACUUUGCCCCUGCUGUUGAAUCUUACCACAUUAAAAUUGGCUUCUUGCAAGCUCAGAACAUUACCUGAUCUUAGCACCCAGUCAAGAUUGACAUAUUUAGACCUUUCCGAUAACCAAAUUCCCGGGAGCAUACCUAAUUGGAUUCGGAAGAUUGGUAAUGGAUCUCUUUUGCAUUUGAAUCUCUCUCAUAAUUUACUGGAGGAUCUGCAGGAAACUUUCUCUAAUUUUACUCCUUCUCUGUCUAUCCUUGACCUACAUUCCAACCAGCUCC